This 198934-nucleotide long non-coding RNA is filed under the name Citrus x clementina. Its description in RNAcentral is "Citrus clementina (C. clementina) long non-coding RNA (CCLE_LNC001436)". Lineage: Eukaryota; Viridiplantae; Streptophyta; Magnoliopsida; Sapindales; Rutaceae. The record is from RNAcentral.
AACUGGGAAGACUAAUCGCAGCAAAGAACGAUGUGAUGAUGAGGGUUGUCAAUGCUGAACGGCAACAAAUGAGAAGGCUGGGCCAAGUGGAAUGGUGGGUUUCGAGGGUGGAUGCUGUUAAAACUGGAGCCGAUGAACUUAUCACAGACGGCUCUGAAGAAAUUGGCGAAUUAUGUGUUGGAGGCUACUGUUCCAAGAACUGCAGGUCAAGCUACAAGUUCGGAAAACAAGUGGCUAAAAAGCUACAAGAUGUGAAGGCUUUAAUCGCCGAGGGAGUUUUUGAGGCGGUGGCUACUGAGGUGGUGCCCGAGAGAGCUCCGGAACCUGUAGCAGAUGAAAGACCCAUUGAGCGAACAGUAGUAGGCUUGCAAUCACAACUUGAACAAGUCUGGAGAUGUCUUGUAGAAGAAUCAGUGGGAAUCAUUGGCCUAUAUGGUAUGGGCGGUGUUGGUAAAACCACACUGUUGACCCAUAUCAACAAUAAAUUUCUUGAGAGUCCCACCAACUUUGAUUGUGUGAUUUGGGUCGUAGUUUCAAAAGACCUGCGACUUGAAAAAAUUCAAGACGAUAUUGGGAAGAAGAUAGGUCUGUCUGAUGAUUCAUGGAAGAAUAAAAGUUUUGAGGAGAAAGCUGUAGACAUCCUGCGGAGUUUAGGAGAGAAGAGAUUUGUAUUGUUGUUAGAUGAUUUAUGGGAGCGGGUUGAUUUAACAAAAGUGGGCGUUCCACUUCCCGGACCACAAAAUACUACCUCAAAAGUCGUAUUCGCAACCCGUUUCAUCGAUGUUUGUGGUAGCAUGGAAGCUGACAGGAAGUUCCUAGUGGCGUGCUUAUCAGAAAAGGAUGCUUGGGAACUGUUUCGAGAAAAAGUUGGGGAAGAAACUCUUCAGAGUCAUCAUGAUAUCGUUGAGCUAGCCCAAAUUGUGGCCAAAGAGUGUGGUGGUUUGCCACUCGCACUUAUUACUAUUGGUCGAGCUAUGGCCUGCAAAAGGACAGCCGAGGAGUGGAUACACGCAGUUGAAGUGCUAAGAAGAUCAGCUUUUGAGUUUGCAGGUUUGGGAAAAGAGGUGUAUCCUCUUUUAAAGUUUAGCUAUGAUAGUUUGCAGAAUGAGACGAUUAGAUCUUGUUUCUUAUAUUGUUGUUUAUAUCCCGAAGAUUAUGGAAUUCUUAAAUGGGACUUGAUUGAUUGUUGGAUUGGUGAGGGAUUCUUAGAGGAAUCUGACAGGUUUAGUGCAGAAAACCAAGGUUACUACAUUGUGGGCACUCUUAUUCAUGCGUGUUUACUAGAAGGGAUAGAAGAUGAUAGAGUAAAAAUGCAUGACGUUGUUCGUGAUAUGGCUCUAUGGAUAGCUUGUGAAAUUGAGGAGAGGAGACACUUUUUGGUUUGUGCAGGCGCUGGAUUAGAACAGGCACCGGCUGUUAGAGAAUCGGAAAAUGUGACAAGAUUGUCAUUGAUGCAAAACCAAAUUAAAAUUCUGUCGGAGGUUCCCACAUGCCCUGAUCUCCUCACUUUAUUUCUUGACUUUAAUGAGGAGUUGGAGAUGAUCGCGGAUGGCUUCUUCCAAUUUAUGCCUUCUCUCAAAGUUUUGAAGAUUUCAAACUGCGGGAAUUUUACUUUUCAAUUACCUUUGGGGAUGUCAAAGUUGGGUUCACUAGAACUUUUUGAUAUUUCACGCACCGAAAUACAAGAGUUACCAGAAGAGUUAAAGUUGUUGGUAAAUCUGAAAUGUUUGAAUUUGAGGUGGACAAGCAAGUUAAUUAGAAUUCCACGGCAACUAAUAUCAAAUUCUUCAGGGUUACGUGUGUUGAGAAUGUUCGCUACUGGCUAUGAAUGUUUUCAUGAAGCACCAGAAGACAGCGUUUUAUUUGGUGGGGGUGAAGUUUUAGUACAGGAAUUGCUCGGUUUGAAAUAUUUAGAGGUAUUGGAGUUGACCUUGGGAAGUUAUCAGGCUCUCCAAAUCUUUUUGAGCUCAAAUAAGUUAAAAAGUUGUAUUCGAUCUCUUUUCCUCCAGUUGGCCGGAGAUACAAAGUCGAUUAUUGAUGCUGCGGCUUUCGCAGAUCUAAACCACCUCAAUGAAUUAUAUAUUUAUGAAGGUAUUGAGUUGGAAGAAUUGAAGAUUGAUUAUACAGAGAUAGUACGAAAAAGGCGGGAACCUUUUGUUUUCCGCAGCCUUCACCGUGUUACCAUAUUUAGUUGCGGUAAAUUGAAAGAUGUGACAUUCCUCGUUUUUGCUCCAAACCUCAAGUCUCUUGAGCUAUUGCAAUGCGAUGCUAUGGAAGAAAUAAUCAGCGUCGGAGAAAUUGCUGAGACUCCUGAGAUGAUGGGACACAUAAGCCCUUUUGAAAAUCUCCAAAGUCUUCAUUUAUCGUAUUUACCAAUUUUGAGGAGCAUCUACUGGAAGCCAUUGCCUUUCACUCAUCUCAAAAAAAUGGAGGUACGUAGAUGCGAUCAGCUUAGAAGGCUUCCGCUCGAUUCCAACAGUGCAACAGAGCGUAAUGUUGUUAUUCGUGGAUACACACUCUGGUGGAACCGACUUCAAUGGGAGGAUGAAGCCACUCAAAUUGCUUUUCGUUCCUGUUUCCAACCUCGUUCCUGAGCAGUGGUCGCAAAAUUUGAUUUCUGGUGAGUGCGUUUGUCUUUUAAAAAGAAGAAUUUAAAAGAAAUUUAUUCUUGUCGUUUUCUUCACUGUUUUUAUUUGAUUUCUGGUUAGUUUCUUUCUCUCUCUCUCUCUCUUUGUCUUCUGCAAAUCACAAUUAAAUGUUGAAUUAAUGGAAUUGAUGCUCUGGUUUUUUACUUUUUGUUGUCAAAUUUUGCCCUGUUCUAUCUUCUUAGCGAUUUAAUUUCCUGUCAAAAGACGAGCGAGAAGAACAUAUAUAUGACUUAAACCAAUUGAUACUUUAUUUAUGUGCAUUGUAUGUAAUAAAUAUUAAGUAUACUUUAUUUUUGCCCUGUUCUCUGUUUUUAUUUCAGUCUCUCUCUCUCUUUCCUGUCUUCUGCAAAAUAUAAUCAAUUAUUUUCAAAAUAUCAUUGAUGAUUUUUCUGCUCUAAUGCUAUGUAAAUAGUAUGUUAAGUAAAACAUAAUCAAUUAUUUGUGUUUUAUCUCUAAUUAGAACAUCAAUCAGUUCAGUACCUCACAAAUAAUUCGCAAUAUCUACAAAAUACUAUAAUGGCUACAAAACAAAUCCUGCUUGCAAAUUGUCAAGGAUACCUAUCCGUUCGCUUGACAAGUCAUUUGAAUAAAUAUUGUUCACAUUCCUUACUCUAUCAAUUAUCCAAAGCACCAUCAAUGGUCCUCAACUUUAGUUUGAAUAGUAUACAUGCCAUCACCAUUACCAAGAAUCAAGCAUGGAAGAGUCAUUCUAUAGAGUUAAUCGAAGCAAGGAAUGAUGUAUCAGAAAAUAUUUGGUGGAGAAUUCAGCACAAACAUAUUUUGGAUGAUCAGAAUCAAUAAAACCUGGUGGUUGCGCCAUAUAAACAUCUUCGGAAAGCUGACCUUGAAGAAAGGCGUUAUUGAUAUCCAAUUGACGAAGAGGCCAGCCAUGACUAACAUCAAUACUAAGAACAAGCCGUACUGUGGUGGACUUAACAACUGGACUGAAAGUGUCAUAAUAGUCCACACCAGGCCAUUGAUUGAACCCUUUGGCAACAAGAUGAGCUUUAAACCUGUCAACAGAACCGUUGGAAUGUCUUUUAAUACAAAAAUCCAUUUGCAGCCAACAAUAUUGGAAGGGAUGGGAGGUGGAACAAGCUUCCAUGUCCCGUUACGAACAAGAGCAUCAUACUCUUCUGACAUAGCUGGACGCCAGUGAAGAUUUUUGAUAGCUUGCGUCACAGUUGUAGGUUCACAAUCAGAAGAAGGGCUAAAAUGAGCACGGAGGUUAAGUUUUUGUAACGGCUUGUGAAUCUUAUUUUUAGCUCGGGUAGUCAUAUCAUGAUGACUUGUGGGGCAAUGAUCUAGUGGAGUUUAGGAAGAUGAUUGAACAGGAAGUGAAGAAGUGCUUUGUGUAGAGGUAGAAGUAGGUUGGGAGGAUUGCUGCGGAGAUGUUACCGGUAGAGAAGAAGGAGCAGUACACGGUGGCAACUCCAGAGGGCCCACAAUAGAUGGAGUAGGUGCCGACAAUGGAGUACUAGGAAAUGAAACAGGAAGAAUUGGUGGAACACUUGCGUAAUUAGGAGUGGUAGAUGAGCUUGUAAUGAUUUGUAUGGAAAAACAAACUCUACAAAUUUAACGUGACGUGAAAUAAAAAUUCAACCCGAUUGCAUAUUUAAGAACAUCUCAAAUGAAUUGCUUACUGCUAUCAUCAUCAUUAUUGUCUAUAUAAUAAUGGAUCUUUAUUAUAUAUAUGUUUCCACUAAAAUAUAUUUAAUUAUUCUUUAUUUUUCUAUUGUUGCGUGUAAGAUUUAUUUGAGUUCUAAGUUAUAUCAAUACAAAUGUUAUCUUAUCCAUAAAAAGUUAGAUCCAACAAUUAUGAAAAUUACUAUAGAGUUGCUUUCAAUUAUUUUUUUAAAAUACCAGGAGUAAAUAAUAAUUAGUUCAAAUGGUGGAGACUAAAAUGCGUUCACCUUUAUUUUUUAUCUGUUAUUUACUUUUGUCAUUACAUUAAUGCACAUGCUAUACAUUUGAGACAUUCCAUUAAUUGCCAAUUAUGUAUGUGAGAUAGUAAUUUAAAUUAAAAAAUAAAAGUGAAAGUUAAUCCUAUGCAAUGUGAAUAAAUUUCUUUCCUUUUUCCUUUACUCUUUUUAUUUGACAAUAAAGUUUCCAUCUAUCAUCUAUCAUCUAUGUACACAAAAUUUCUGCAACAAGUACAAAACAUAAAAAUAUAUGAAUAUUAAGGGAAACACGCAGAAGUUCAUCAUUUCAAUGUUCAGUAUUACCAAUUUUGGCAUUAAGCUUGUACGAAUAUAUUCUACUUCGAAAGCAAAAUAUUAGACUCGUGAUUUUAAUUCAUUCAUUAUCUCUCAUUUUAAUCCCAAAAUAUUCAAGAGUAUCCAAGUUACCAUAAGACUUCAGAGGCUCGAGCCUUAGCCAGAGAUGGUUAAUUGAUAGACUAUGUGCCUGGGUCGAGCACUGGAAGCCUGCAAUGCAGACUGAUUGAUUUAUCAGUUUAACGUGUGCCAGGAAUGAAGAACUGGAAUAUCACCGUCAAGCAAGCACCCUGUGGAGCAAUACCAAAGAAUGCACAAUCUGGCUUUGCUAGGUGACCCUGGAGGCUUUUUGAAAAGUGCUUCAUGCUCACUUGCACAGAUUGAGCAUCCCCUCUGGAUAUUGCCCUCUCUGAUCGAGUCUGAGCACUCAAAUUUCGGUCCUCAGAUGGAGCUACAGCUUUCUCUCCAAUAACCAACAAUUUUCUAAACUCAGCACCUAGUGUGAUCAGAGUUGUUGAUAUUUGCAAAUGGAGAUCCCCAUAUUUGCAAAUGGAGACAUUUAACAAAUCACCAACAUGCUUCAUCCGGUCCACGAAAUUCUGCAACUGAUUCAAAUCUGGAACCUGAACCAGAGUCGGAGGUAUAUCUUGAGCCAUAUCUAAAGCAGUUUGAAGUUCAAGACCUUGAGCCCUUGACAAUGGUUUUGAAAUUGGAACAUCUUGGAUUACUGCAGACUUGUACCCCUUGGUUUCAAAGGUAAGGAAAGGCAUUGCUUGAGUACAAUUUGGAGGCAGCUUCUUCACCAAUUUUAUUUGGAGGCAAUUGGCAGCGGAUCCAGCUGCACCAAUUUCAGAGCAACUACUGACACUACUUCGAACAGCACACUGACGAAGUGAUAUGUCUACGGCAAAGGCAAUGCAGUCCUCAUUUUGGCUUGAGAUGCAGUAAUCAUCGAAGAGAGUUUCCUUGUGAAACUGGGCAACACAUUGAAUCCCUUCGCCACUGAGAAGGUUGUGGAGGAAGUAAGCUGUCUCUCUAGUGAGGAAGAGGUGGCAUACCUUCCCCAUUUUGUCUAGGGCAGGUAGGAAUCUUUUUUCUAAGAGAUUUACUUCAUUCUCUGUGAGAAAUGCUUUGAACUUCAUCCCUCUGUCUCUAUCCUCACUUAUCAGGAAAUAAGUUGAAAGCACUAUGAAGAGAGAGAGAGAGAGAGAGAGAAUUAAGAUAUAUAGACAAGAAAAUAAUUAGACGUUGAUCUUACAAACUAAUACUUCAAGCAGUAUCCUAGAAAGCUAAAAACUGCAAGAUGGCUUGAAAUUUGAAAAGAGCACAUGGUUUUCCUCCUUAACUUGAGAAAAUGUUUAAUAUAGUGCACCUUACAGAAGCAUUUAAGCAAUUAGAACUUUGCACAAAAACAUCAAGAAGACUAAACAAAUCAGAUGCAGUGUAUUUGUCCAAGCACAAAUUGCAUUUUGUCCUCAACUUUAAUAUUUAUUGAUGAGAAUCAAUACAGGUCCCUCAUUUGUUAUAGAAAGCUUUCUUGUAGUCUCACCAGUUAAUUCACAGGUCUAUAAUCAUCUUGCAAAGUUAAGGGCAUUUCUUUCGAUCUAAAGUCUUUGCAUCACCACCUCAUCACACGCCAAGCCAAUAUUCCAUUUACCUCUACAACAAAAAGUUUUUAAGUAAAUAAUCCUAAUGCACGCAGCCGAAUAAAAUGCAGUAAGAAUAUUCAACUUAAAAAUCUGAAAGCCAACUUGGUGAAUUGCCUCCUUAGGUGAAGUUCCAUGCUUUACUAUAGUUGACAGAACUCAGCAAAAGCUUCCAUACAACAGAUUUUGAAAAUGAUGAUGCCAAUAGAUACUCAUUCAAUCCAUUGAAACUCCAAAGGUUCAUUGUUCAUAGAAGUUUACAGAGUUUUGGUCAUCAAAUAGCUCAGACCUAAUCCCAAACAAAAAACGAGUGAAAAUUAGAUCACGAGCAGCUAAUUGUAAAUUCUAACUUAACUCUUCAUCUCCUUUGUAAACAAGAAACAAAAUGGAGACACGCAAAAUGAAUAUGGAGAAAAUUUGAACUCAAAUGAAAUGAGGGCACGAAAGCAAACAAAUGGCAUGCACAAAAAAACCAAGCCUCGAUAAAAAACUAAUUAACCAUUAAGAAAAAAAUUGGUCAGAGAAUGAACUCCAAAUUCAGGAGUCAAGCAAGAAGCUUUCAUUAUUUCAGAAGCUCCUGUACAAAUUAAUAAGUUAUGCUCUUUGGAAGCAAACCUAAAUUCCAAGAGAAACAGAACCCAAAAAAUUUGCAAUUAUACGCAAAGGAAGUGAAGCACAGGAUUCUAUCACACAUAGGAAUUGUAUAACAAGAGAUCGAUAUAUCGAAUUAGAAAACUCAAUUCGAAUUUGUGUCAAAAAUCAAAAUUAGAAGAUUUCACAUUUCGAGAGGAACAAGCAACAGAUGAAGUUCAAAAUUUCAGCCAUAACAUGCUAAAAAUGCUACACUUAACGGUUCAUUUUCAUGGAUUUUCUCGGGAAACAAACAGAAAAUUACGGUUUAGAGAGUUGACUGACCUUUUGGCUUUUGAAAUUGACCAGAUCGCGCGCCAAAUUGGAAGAGGGAAAGUGAAAGCGCGAGUUUUAAUAUGGGUAUUAGAUAAGGAAAUUUUAUUAGGUUGCGAGGGUAAAAAAGGAAAGAGAUAUCAUUAUUUUAUUAUCGAUAAUUAUUAAAUUUUUUUCCAAAAAAAAGAACAAGCAAGGAUUUUUUAUUGUCAUCACUAAGUUAAAAAAAAUUGUUUCAAAAUUACUUGAGUCAUAUCCAAUGGACCAACAAAGUAAUCGUUUUUAUUUUUAUUGAUUUUUGCAGGAAAUUAAUAACUUAAAAAUACUGAAAGCUACUGUAAAAAUUUUUAUUAUCAACCUCAUAAUUUUUUUUUUUUGGGGAAGAGAAUUCAAACUUUUUUUUUAUGAAUAUCGCUGUUUCGUUUGAGUUGGAUGUGAAUUCAAAUCCAAAUAUUCUUUGUUUUUCAAUUUUGAACUCAAUUUCUUUUUCUCAAGAAUGUUAUGCAGAAAUAAUUUUUACUAAAUCUUUUUUGAUGAAUUGUUUAAAUUAAACAAUUGGAAUAAGAAUUGUAACGAUUUAUCAUAAGCGUGCUAAUAUGAUAACUUGUUUUACGAAGGAUUAAUUAAUCAAUUAAUAUUAAAUUAUAUAUUAGUCAAUUAGAUAUGUGUUACAUUUAUCAUGUUUUGUAGGUGAUAGUACAUCAUUUCUAAAAGAAUAUAGUACGUUAAAAUAUUAUUUUAAUGAAGAAAAUUUUAUUAUUUUAUUAUUAGGUGACACAAUAAUAAAUGGAUUUCUGUAAGAAUUGAGAUUCUUGAUAUAAUUAUUACAUAAGGAGAAGUUUAGUUGGUUCAAUUUUGACGUGAUAAGAAGACAACACAGCACAGAAAACCCAAAUUGCCACUUCCACUAAUAAAAGAUACCUGUUUGAAAAGUAAUUAUAAACUAUCUUCUUUGUGUUAUUUCUCAAAACUUUUGUGGCACAAAUGUUAUUUCCAUUGACAACAGUACGAAAUACCACCCCUUUCACUUGAGCAGGAGCAAAGCAAAGGUAUGAUGAGCUAUCUCUGUAUAAUUGAAACGCCAUUACUAAACGAUUCUUGAUGAUGGGAGCCACCGUGCCAGCUUUGUCGCUGAUUUGCAUGAUUUAUUAGUUGUCCAGAUGGCGGAUUUUGUACUGUUACCUUCGUUUCAUUCUUCAGAGCCAUGUACUGUUCUAGGAUACCAGAGAAACCAAGGUGGCAUUGAAGUUGCCCUGGUGGUUAGUUUUCCGAUCAUUUUUUUAUUCAAUUAUUUAUGUUUUUAGAAAAAUGUAGGAAAUAUGUAGAAAUGUUGACAGCUAUGAUUUUGAAACUUUUGCCUAAAAUUGUUAUCAUUACUUGUUGUUUCUUAUUUAAAGAGAAAUUCUAGAAACAUGAAAUGAUUAUUCUACGCUUGUUUUAAUAUUGUGCUAUGAAGAUUACGAAGGUUUGAUUAUAUGUCACUAUCAAUUGCCUUAAUCGUUUGUCGUAAAUCAAUUAAGCAUUUUGAUGCGAAUGAUUCCCUAUUAAAAAAUUCAAGUCAGAGCUGAAUUGCAAAGUAGUUAGUCGUGCUUGCAAUUCAAAUUAAGUAUUGUAUUUUCUCCCUGAUUUGGUUGAUUCAACUAUGUGCAUUUGCUUAUGAACGUUGCAGUAUAGAAAUCGAAAUAUCUUGUCUUUUGCUAAGCCCAGAAGCAAAUUCUUUGUAUUCUACUCAUCAGUUUUCUUCAUUCUCUUUGUUGAAAUUUUAUCUAAACAGCGGUUUCUUCGAAUUUAUGCCUUCGCUUACUCUUUUAAAUUUUAUCCAAACAACGGUUUUGAAAUUGUUUUCACUACAAUACCUUAGUCUUUCAGAUGCUCCCGUCACUGAGUUGCCAGAAGAGCUAAAAGCCUUGGUAAAUCUUAAGUGUUUGAACCGGAGUACACAAAUUAUCUCUCUACAUUUCCAAAGCAAUUGAUUUGUUACUUUUCGAUGCUACAUGUUCCGCGAAUAUUCAGUUGUGGUUAUCUUGUUCAGAUACCAGAAAAUAGCGUUAUAUUUAGUGGUAAUGAAUUCUUGGUUUGGGAGUUGCUUAGUUUAAAACGUUUAAAUGUAUUAAGCAUCAUCUUGAAAAGUUUUUCUGCUGUCCAAAAACUUAUGAGCUUCCAAAAGUUUCAAAGCUGUACACAAUGCAUGGAGCUUGUAGACUGUGAUGAUCCAAAGUCAUUUGCCGUGGCAGAGUUGAAGCAUCUUGAAAAACUAGGUUUUUCAAGUUGUGGAAAUUUGGAAGAGUUAAAGUUCUGCUGUGUCGAAGUUGCAAAGGCUCGAGAAUGUUUUCGUUUGAACAGCCCUCACUGAGUUAAGAUGAAGGCUUGUCAUAAAUUGUGGGAAGCGACAGGUUAUUCAAAUAGAAAAAUUUAUGGAGAUGGAUGUUAAUCUUAAGGUUAUUCAAUUAGAAAAAUUUGAAUAAAAUUUAUGGUAAGUGCUUUUCCAUUUAUUGCAUAUUUAUAUCUAAUUUUUAUUUUCCUUUAUUGUUAAAUUUUGGUCUCUAUUUGUUGUUGUAUGGUGGCAUUCUUGUACAAUUAUUAGCUUUUCAUUUCUCUUCUCACAUUAACUGCCCUUCUGAUCAUGUAGGAUUUGCUGAUGCAAAGAGUCAUAAUUUGGGAUACAAAUGUAAGAAUUAGACAGAUGACAUGUUGUUUUGAAGCUCUCAAAGAAGGACUAAUUAUGUCAUUGAAAGCCUCCAAUUUUGUGAUUGGUUUCUUUUUAUUUUAUUUGUUGUUUUCUCUAUUUUCAGAUCACUUAAUUGUUAGUUGUUGUAAUGUAAUGUUUUAGUAUAGCAAAUUAUAUUCGGCCAAGACAGUGAUAGGAGGGCACAUUGUGCAUGCACACUAGUGGAUUUGGCAUGCCAAAUCCAAUUAGGAUGGAUAACACUUUAUAAGCAUUAGGCUUCUCUCAUACCUGAGUAAUAUAGAAUAUGUUUAUAAGUUGUGAAUCACCCUUUACAAGUGUUAGGCUUCUGCUAUACUCAGUGAUGUGAAAUAUAUUUAUAAGCACUAAACUUCUCCCAUACACUUUAUGUUAAUAAUAAUAAUAAUAAUAAUAAUAAUAAUAAUAAAAUAAUAAUAAAUAAACCCAUUUUAACAGACUCUUUUUUCUUUUUCUAUAUGAACAAAUGCAUUCUUCAAAGCAACUGUGGGGAGAAGAAGUGAGUAGAGAAGAACUGAGCCCCUGUCAUUCCCCUAAAACCUCACCAAAACCUCUCUUGUAAGCUUCUCGGAUUUUCUUUCUAUAUUUCUUAGGAACUCAUUUUUUAUUGAAUCACUUAUUUUGCAUGCUGCAUUUUUUGGUUGUCGUAUUUGUGUAUUAUCUUAUCUGGAAUGCUGUUAUGAUUGAUGGAACAAGUAAUCGAUUUUUGGUCUAAUGGAAGUUGAUUUAUUUAUUUAUUGUUGUUUUUAUUUGAAAUUAUGUACAAUUGUAUUUCAUUCAUUUCUCUCUCUUUUGCUUUUUUCCCCCCAUAUAUUUGUUAUGUAUAAUUGCGUUUCAUUUAAUAUUGAUCAUACUGUAGGUAACCAUGUGAUUGUAGAUGGGGAUUUCGAGUUUGUUGAAUAUUCAUGUAAGUGAAGUAACCGUCACAAUACUAGUGAAAUUGGGAGCUUUAUUCAUGAGUUUGUGGUUUUGAAAAGUACCACAGUUCAACUGGUGAAGGCUCCGUUUUGGGAUUCUUCUUUUUCUAGGCUGCAAUUAGGAUAUGUACAUGAUAGACAAUCUUUUGUUGGUUUAGCAUAUCUUCGCUGAUUUUGUCUUUUAUUCCCCAAUUUUAUAAUUACACACCAUGAAUGUUGGGUGAUUGUAUAGAAAAUUUGUGUUAUAACAAAAACAUUGUGAAGGAGUUUCCGUGCUAAUAGUUAGUGGCUUCUGUUUUAUUGGCAUUGAUUGGGUAGAUUACGUGUUACAGUGAUUCAAUUUGUGUUCCAAACUUUGCUUUAAUUUUCUGUUUUCCCCAACUAUUUAUGUCAAAUUUAAAUCCAGAAGCAUGUGCUGAUUUUUUCUUUUUGUAUUAAUCUGUGAAGUUUAUUUGGAAUGGAAGUAACUGGGUCGGGUCUAAUGGAUUAAAUUAUGACAUUGAGGGGAAGGCACUAAAAGGGUUUGCUUGACACAUUUGGUUCUGUGUUUACUCUGCAAGAAAUAACUUUUGCUUAUUGCAAUGCAGGGGGAAAUCCCGAUUUGGCUGGUGAAUUUCUCUGCAACAAACAGGCAAACACCUCAACAUCUUCUGUCCAUACUUCUGCUGGGGAGGCAAGGGGUAAAGAGUCUUCAAAAUCAUCAAAUAGUUACAUCUCUGAGAAUUCAUUUUAUGGAAAUGGAAAAUCUAGAGUUUCUAAUACAAAAUGGCAUCUGGUAUCAGGACGUACCGUUUCAAGUUUUCUUGGUAAAGAUUAUGUUAAACCUGCACAGCCAGCUAAUGGCACUUUUCUGGCAUCAAAGCCAUUGAAGUUGGAUCCAAGGGAGUUUCGCAUUUCUGCACUUUCAGAGAAGAAACUAAACCGACAAUCAAAGGAUGACCAUUUGCAGAAGGAUAUGGAAGAUUUUCUUUUUAAAUUGCUAGGAGAAGGGUUCCAGCUGUACAGGGAUGUGAUUCAGGAGGUUCAUGGUAACGUCUUAAAUAUAUUGAUGCCAAUUUAAUACAUAUUGUCCUUUUCAAUGUUCUUUCUUUCUUUCUCCUCUUUUUAUUAUUCUUCUUCUUCUUUUUUCUUUUCAUGUGCAUGUGAUCACUAAUUUGGUAUUAUUCUUGACUUGCAGAUAGUUGUGGAUAUGAAAUGCAAAAGGUAAGGGCUAUAUCUUCUUGAUGGAGGCCUCUGAUUUUUUAAAUCGCAUUUUCCUUUGUGAUUGAUAUAUCAUACCAAAGUCAAGUCUUAAAUACUGCUGUCAUAUGUUAAGGUUCAACUUCCAUUUUGAUUAACGUCGAUUUGCUACUGCUUCCAAAAGUGAGAAUGAGAUACUUUGGUUAAUUUCAGUAGUUGAACUCAAUGGAGUACUUUAUUUAGAUCUUCAUGGUUCAAAGGCCUGAAAAAACUUGCCGGUAUUUGCAAAAUGACAUCUGUGCUUUUAUUUAGACUUAUUAUUAAAGACAACAUUUUAUUUCAGCCAAAAAUGUUUGUUUCAAUUAAAGACUUGAACCAUUUUCAUUUAACCUGAUUGUGAUGCUUUACAUUAUGCAUGUUCCUCUCAAUCAAUAAAAGUUGAGGUCAUGAUUUUAUAUUUCUAUUUUGUAACUUGAAAUAAUUGGUCUGCCUGUUUCUGUUGCUUGAUAACAUGAAUUUUUCCUUCUGAAGUUAAUUUGAUCAAUAAAGUAAUUCUUCGGAGAGGAUAUGCCCAUUCUAUAGUCAUUUUCUUAGCUAACAUGUUUUUUCUUCACUCUUCAAAGCAUGUCUAAACUAAUUGAUCGCUCAGCGGAGACUUUGGGUGAGAAGACAAAAUUUCUUGGUAAAUCCUCUGAAAAGGUAUGCAUAAUUCCCGAGUAUUAAAUAAUCAUUGGUCAUAAUUUUUGUACACGACUCUUGUUUUGGAGAUCGUUAAAAGUGGUUGAUGAUCUAUUUUGUAAUAUCAUAGAGGGAUCAUGAAUUCCUUUUCUUUUCUGUGGCUAGGCAACACUUUCGAGCCAAGCUAAGGAAAUCUAUUUUAGGUAAUGUGAAAACUAGUUGUAGGAUGUAAUAGUUUAUUAUGCCCUGACAAUAACUUUUUGUAUAAUUGUCAGUUUAAUGAAUACAAGAGGAACUCUGUUGGCAAGUUCAUCCAUGAUAGAUGCUAAAAUUAUUUAUGCAUACCAGUUGCCUUAACUAAUUUUUCUCAACACUGGUAUUGAACAGGAAAAUGAAUAUGCAAUUUGUAUAUUGUGCCAUUGUGGAGAAUUUGGAUAUUCUUAUUUAAGUAACAAGGAGAGUAUUUGCCUCAUCUUUAAACAAUGAAUCUUUGAGAAAUGAGGAGUGGGUGAUUGACAGUGUCUUCAUGUAAAUGUUCAUUUAUUUGUAUUUUGAACUAUUAUGAGAAUCUUUGUAUGCCAAAUUAGUAAUACAAAUGUUCAGAUGAUUUUUCCUGUUGAUCAUGCGUGUGUAUCUGCACACAACCAUUGUGUACCACUUUAUUCUGAUGCACAAAUAUCUGUAGUUUAGAAGAAAAGAAAUAAUAAUCAUAUAUUAUUGCUUGGUUCAUGAUUAUUAAAUGAUUAUGGCUUUAGAAAAUCCACAAAUCCUUUGUGUUCAUAUAUGAAUGUGCGAAGUUCGCUAUAUCUUAGAUUACCUUCUUCCAAGAUAACAAGUUCAUAUAUUUUUUUUAAUCCUUUUUCAUCACAGUUGAAUUUCAAGUGUAAGUUUUGUUAUUAAUAGCUGGUUUCCUGUUAUUAUGAUUUCAUAAACAAUGAGAGGAUAUGUGCUCUACUUUUGGAUGGCCUCCACAUAAAAGAAAAUUGCAACAAUUGAAUUCUUCUGGAGGGUAUGGUAUUUAAUUUAUUUUCUCAGCUUGUUGUAAGACUAAUAUAUUUCCUUCAGUACGCACGGCAUGGUGGGAAGGGUUUUUAUUGAAAGAAUUAUGAUAUUUCUUAGACUUUGUUUUGGAAGGGGGUGGAGGGAUUUCUCAUCCAUGUAUGGUUACUUGAUUAGCUUUUGACUGUACUGUCUCCGUCGUGCAAAGGAAAAUCCAAAUACUAACGAAGGGGAAUUGCUUAGGCACCCAAAGGACAGAAAUGAAUUACGGAAGGAGGUUUUUGCUGCUUUAUUUAGUGCUGCUGAGAAAUCUGAUGAAUUUCCUGAAAUUACGGUGAAGACGGAGUGGAGGUCCAACGCAUUAGGAAAGGUGGUGAGUGAACCGCCAGAGGAAUUAGUACCAGAAUACAAGGCUAAUGUGGUGCACUGGCAGCAAGAUGACCAGACCUGUAUGUGCUCUUAUAUUAACUAUAUUGGCUGGAUUUGUGAGUGUGUUCAUUUUUGUGUGUAUACUCACUUUUGUAUUUAUGCAUAUUCACGUGUGUAGGAUUCUCGAUUUCUGCCACUUACUGGAGAACUAGUGGAAAGCUUUAUACUGAUAUAUGUGCUAUAUAACUAAUGGAAACUACAAUAUGAAUAUUUUCUCUCACCUGGAGAGCAGUGUAACUAAUAUAAUUUGUGGCUCUGGAAUACUGAAGAUUCUGCAAUAACUAAUGGAAAAUAUGAUAUGAAUAUUUUUUCUCACCUGGAGAACUUUGUAACAGAUACAUUUUGUGCUGGAAUGUCUAAAGAAUGCUUCAGUUUAUAUCAAAUAUCUUUUAGUUAGAAAAGAUAAAAUUCUCUGAAUCUGAAAGACUGAAACAUUUUGCAUAUUUCGUGAAAGGCAAGUAUCUGUAGAUACUAGCUCAUGCAUUGAGGUAAUAUCAAUGUUAAAGAAAAACAGCAAUAAUUUAUUAUACAGAAUUAGGUUCACUUGCUUUAAAUGCUGGUCUGAUCAACCAUAUCAACCUGUAAUGGUCCUGCAGAAAUAUAUAUACGGGGAGAAACUAGCUAAUUUUCCUUUCACUUAUGGGUUUGGUCUUUUUUUCCCCAAUUUUUCAGCUUUCCUUCUCCUGAAGUAUGUUAAUAAUUGCAGAUAAUGGCGAAGAGGACUGCUUCCAGGCUACCGGCAAAAACUUUGUGAAAGCUUUGGAGUUAAACAGGGAAUUCACUUACUGCUAAGGACAAUUGGUGGCGAGCUAUUUCAUUCAUUUUAUGUCCAUACAUCUAUUUAAUUAUUAAAGAUAAUGUACGCAUUUGUAAAUUUCAGAUUGUGUGUCUCUGAAAAUAACAAUAUUUAAAAUGUCUCUUAAAUUAUUAUAAAUUUUAAUUUACUCUCGAUUUAAAAUGGAACAUGUUGGUGAAAUAUUUUUUCUUCUUAAUAAAAUUGAAAUAAAUUAUGUUAGCAGUAGUUUGAAAUAUUUUAAAGAUGAUUAUUUUAUAAGGGAGUAAUAUGAAAUGAAAUUUACUUUUCAUGCGUGAAAUGUUGAAAAAGGACAAAGCAAGUGUCCCUGCUUUUAUUUUAUUUCAAAGUGGAGUCAUCUCACAUACUUUAGCUCUAUCAUUAGGAGCCGGCUAAGUUACGUUAAACGUAAUUUACGCCAGGCACAGCAAUAAUGACAAGUCCCAUGACUAGUAUUGUUGCUGUGUCUGACGUAAGUUACGUUUAACGUAACUUAGCCAAAGCCCUAUCAUUAAUAUAUAUUUAAAUUUAACACAUGCAUGUGGGUUACUUUUCCGUAAGUUCCUUAAUAUAUAUUUAACACAAAUCAUGGAAGAGAUGGGAGUAUAUCAAGAUGAUCAAAGCAUGAAACAAAAAUAUUUAAGAAGUAAAACACUGAAAAUGGAGAAGAGAUGCAAGCAAAAGAUAUUCUAAAGAAAAGCAAUCUAUCCCCUUUCGAGGGCAAACUUAUCAGGUUUAAGAAAAGUACAUGCUUUGGAUUGGUAGUUGCAGCCUUGCAGGAUAAUUGUUUUUGCCACUAUAUUAGUUGGAGGAGUUGAACCCAGUGAAGAAUGUUAUGGAAGAGCAAAUGAUAUUUCUGAUAGACUCUAUUUGAUUAUGUAGCCUGAAUAGAUGUCUUGUUGAAAGAUAUAUCAGUGCAUUAGUUCAUCCUUGUCUGUCAAUGUGUUUUUAAUGGUUUUUCCAAUUGUUUUUUUUUUUUUUGAAACUGAUUAAGCAUCAGGUUACUGCAUUACACAGAUAUAUAUACAACUGCUAUGACAGCAGGUCAUUACACUGAUAUUUACAAUCAGAUAUAUAUACAUGGGACUUAUAUUAUUACAUUUUUAUUCUAUGAAGUACAUGCCCAUCCCAAAUACCCCUCACGGAGGAGGGAUGUCUCUACUCCACUCGCAUUUCGCAAGGGAGAAAGACGUUUAUAGAAAUCUCCACACAAUUAUGUUUAAUUGGAGGAGGUUGAGUCCGUGGGGACUCGAACCAUUGCCCUCAAAGUCAUGCUUAACUUUGAGGGCAAUGGUCCACCACUGGGCUACAAGCCCAAGUGGCGGUUUUUCCAAUUGUUUAUUGCUAUAGAUUGAUUGUAAAUUGAUGUGAACUUAAUGUUGAAAUAUUUUCUCUUUAGUGGAAUGAAAGUUAAACAUUCAAGAUUAGAUUAUUCAAGGUCCACAUAGUAUGUGUUCCGUUGUGUUGUCUGUAAUUUUGCAUUUAAAUAAAUUUGAGUGCUGCCGUUUCGCUCCCACAAUCUCUCGCCUUUUUUUAAUUUUAAAAAUUAAAAUAUUAAUAAAAAACAAUAAAGAAAAUCGAAUCCUUUAUGUCAUUCCAUCUUUACAACUCUCUCUCACAAACUCCAUCUAACAGACUUCUCUCUUACUAUCUCGGUCGAACAAGACCAGUGACAAUGAUGACACGACCGCCGACGAUGAGAUGGUCAUCGCUAAAGAAUCGGGCCGUGUAUUUUACAAUUUCUUGGUUUGUGACAACAAUGGAAAACUCCUGAAAAUUUUGAAUUUGUAGUCGAGCAAAGGAAGAAGCAAGUUAUCUUCAAAGCAUUUUCCAGUAAUAGCUGAUGAAAUUUAAUACUUCAAGCUGGCCCUUUGCUGUCACAACUAGAUGCAUUUGCACUGUCAUUACAAUUUAUGGAAAUUAAAGUAAUUAAUGGUUCUAAUUAAUAGCUUCCCAAAAAACCAAUCUGCCCUUGUGAGAACCAAAGCAUUAAUUUCUUGUAAGAGCUGCAGAAGGCCAGAGAAUUUCAGAUCGUGAAAAGGAGUGUGUGAGUGAGAGAGAGAUCGUGAAAUAGUGAGAGACAAUGAGAGAGAGAGCCGCUCGACUGAGAUGGUGAGAGAGUUGCAAAAAUGGAGUAAGGAGCAGAUAAGAUUAUGUUUUCUUUAUUAUUUUUUAUUAAUAUUUUAAUUUUUUUAAUUAAAAAAGGGCGAGAGAUUUUGGGAGUGAAACGGCAGCAUGUUCCAAUAAAUUUUUACCAAAGUUUCUCUCGUGUUUCUCUCACCUUUCUAGAUACCAAGCAUUUUCCAAUAAAUUUUUACUAAAAACUUAGCAAGCCCUUGAAACUUUGGUCAAAAUUAUUGUUAUUAUUACUUUUAGAGGAAAAACUUUUAUUAAAACCUCAUUAACACAAUUCUUAAUUAAAAUUAUAAGUUUGUGUUGGUGUAAGGAUUUGCAGGAGCAAUUACUGCCUAGCCAAGUGUCAAAAGCACAAAAUAAAUCAAGAGAAAGUAGACAUGAAUUAGGAUCCAAUGAAAUUUAAAUCCCGGAGAAAAGAAAUAAUCAUGCAGAUUAUCAAGAUUUCAAUAAGGGAUAUUGAUAUCCUAUUUUGAUUAAUAAUAUCCUUUUACUGUGUUAACUCAAAAAAUAUGUAUAUUCUAAUAUUUUACAAUAAAUAGAAAUCUAAUAUUAAAAUAAAUGUGAUAUAUAUAUAUAUAUAUUAAAUAAUUUAAAUAUAAAAAAUAUUUUAAUGUUUUACAAUCUACUACACAUAUUUUAUUAAGUUAAUAUAAUUUUUCAAAUAAAUAGGGACAUAAUAUUAAAAUAAAUUUAUAAAAAUUUAAAUUAUUUUGAAUUUAAAAUAAUUUUAAUAUUAUUAAUAUGUUAGAUAUGUUUGAUUAAUUAUAAAAAUUAUUUACGCAAAUUUUUUUAAUAUUUUCAGUAGAUAUAAAUAUAUUACUUACAUUUUGAUUAUUUAACUAUUAUUAUUCUACAAUUAUUUAUAUAAUGUUUGCACUUAUUAGAAUAUAUUUAAAGUCAAAUCUUUUGCACUUCUACCUAGCUAGAAUUAUUGGACGCAGAGAAAUAAGCAUAUAUGCUUUAUAACUUUAGAAAUCGAAUUAUCUAUACAAAUUGAUUUUAGCUGGAAAAAAAGUGAGCUGAAUGAUAUAGGCGAUUAGUGUGGUAAUAUUUCAUAGAGUUAGACUAUUGAAUUUGGCACCCCUCCAAUCUUCUCAUGAUUACCUUUUUGAGUUAUUAAUACACUUCUAAUUUUUCGUUUAAUUUUUUUUAUUGUUAUACUCAAAGUAGUAUUGUGAUAUUUUAUAUUUCUUUUGCAAUCUUAUUAUUAUUUUACACAAAAUUAAAAAGUUUUCUAGGUGAUGAACUUUUGAGUUUUGAACAUUAAUCAUUGGCUUAAAUUUCAUAUAUUUUACAUUAUAAUUUGAAAUUAAGUACGAAAAUAUUUAAUAAAUUAUGAAAAGAUUAACAGAUUAUUCUAAAUUGAUACAACUUAUUUUAGUUAAAUAAAAAGUAACAGGUAAAAAAAAAAAGGAUUGGUUAUGAAAUUUGUUGGAAAAAAAUCUGUGUGUGUUUAAUUUUUAUUUGUCCUUAAUUGUAAUUUAUUUGAAGUGAGGUUUUAUAAGGAUAAUGAAGGGGUGCCAUAGUUUCACUCUAUUUCAUAUGGAGAGAGAAGUAAAAGGUACACCUGAGGUUAAUGGAAAGGACUUCGAAAGUUUCUUUUGAUUAUAAUACUGUUUGUUCUAAUUAACUUAAAAAAUUUUACUUUAAUAUUUUAUAAUAAAUUAAAUUUUAAUCUUAAAAUAAGUAUAAUCAUAUAUUUUAAAAUAAUCUUAAAAUAAAUACAAUCAUAUAUUUUAAAAUAAUCUUAAAAUAAAUACAAUCAUAUAUUUUAAAAUAAUCUUAAAAUAAAUACAAUCAUAUAUUUUAAAAUAAUCUUUAUAUUUAAAAUUUAUUUAUUUGUACAUAUUUUAUAAUAAAUAUAACACAUACUAUUAAAAUAAUAUAUAAAAAAUUAAAGUAUUUUGAAUAUUAUAUAAAAUAACUUUAAGAUUCUUAAUAUGUAAGAUAUAUUUUAUUAAUUUAAAAUUCUAUUUAAAAUUUUAUUAAUUUAAAAUUCUAUUUAACCCAAAGAUUUAUUUAAGAUAAAUUAAUAAUCAUAUUUUUUAAAUCAUUUCAAAUAUUAAAAAAUAUUUUGAUAUUACUAGUCUAUUAAAUAGAUUAAAUAUUUUUAUUAUUUUGUACUAAUCAAAAGUUACAGCUCGAAUGAUAUUAUGAGAACAGAAUUUUUAUGUCUUUAUUAAAAAUUUGGGUUUGUAUAAUUAUUUUUUCAAAUGUUAGGGGCAUAGCUGUCUUUUUACUUUUAUAUAUGUGAACCGCGGUGGUGAAAAAGUGUGAUUUAAUAUUAGUUAUUUAAAUAAUAUCUGAAUUAAAGAUGUACAGAGAAGAAAUUUCGGUGGGCAUUUUAGUCUUUUAACGAUUAUCAUGAUUAGGGAUUAGGUCCUGCUCUUGAAACGUUGGUCAGAAAAGUUCUAAAAUGCGUACAUUAUCUUUACUUUAAAAAAGUUAUUUUAUUUUAUUACAAAUUAAUGCCGACAAGAAAAAGCAAGAUCUUAAANNNNNNNNNNNNNNNNNNNNNNNNNNNNNNNNNNNNNNNNNNNNNNNNNNNNNNNNNNNNNNNNNNNNNNNNNNNNNNNNNNNNNNNNNNNNNNNNNNNNAUAAAGAUGAAGAAAAGGGCAAAAAAAUAUUAAUGAUUAACGAAAUCUCUAUCCAAAUUGAUUUUAGCAGGAAAAAAGUGAGCUAAAUGAUGUAGACGAUUAGUGGUAAUAUUUCAUAGAGUUAGACUAUUGGCACCCUUCCAAUCUUCUCACGAAUCCUCUUUUUGAGUUAUAUUUAUUUUAUUUUUAAAAUAUCUUUUUUCUCUUUUACUACACUUCUAAUUUUUCAUUUAAUUUUUUUAUUGUUAAACUCAAAGUAGUAUUGUGAUAUUUUUAAUUUCUUUUGCAAUCUUAUUAUUACUCUGCAUAUAAAUUAAAAAGUUUUUUAGGUGAUGAAUUUUUGAAUGUUAAUCAUUAGCUUAAAUUUCACAUAUUUUACAUUACAAUUUGAAAUUUAAUAUGAAAAUAUUUAAUCAAUAAGAAUUAUGAAAAGAUUAAUAAAUUAUUCUAAAUUUAUACAACUUAUUUUAGUUAGAUCAGAAGUAGCAGGUUAACAAAAGAAAGGAUUGGUUAUGAAAUUUGUUGGAAAAAAAUCUAUGUGUGUUUAAUUUUUAUUCGUUGUUAACUCUAAUUAAGUAGGUUAAAUAUUUUUGUUAUUUUUUACUUAUCAAAAAAUUUAAGAUCAAUAUUUUUAGUUACCAUUCGAAGGAUAUUAUGACAAAAACAGAAUUUUCACUUCUUUGUUAAAAAUUUGGGGGUUUGUGUAACUAUUUUUUCAAAUGUUAGGGGCAUAUCUGUCUUUUUACUCUAUAUAUAUGAACCAUGGUGGUGAAAAAGCGUGAUUUAAUGUUAUUUAUUUAAAUAAUAUCUCAAUUAAAAAUGUAAGGAGAAGAAAUUUCGGUGGGCAUUUUAGUCUUUUAACGAUUAUCAUGGUUAGGCCCUGGUCUUGAAACGUUGGUCAGAAAAGUUCUAAAAUGCGUUCAUUUGUCUUUACGCCAACAAUAAAAAGCAAGAUCUUAGUGUCCCACAAAAGCAAAUCGUAAUAUUCCGCAAUGGAGUUAGAUCCGCAAAAGCAAACAAAUUCUUUUAUUAAACUACAAAUUAAAGUGGAAUCAUUUACUAAACAACAAAUUAAAUUUGAAAUAUUUAAAUAGUCGUGCGUUAGACGAUUAGAGACUCUUAUUAAAGGCAAGUACAAAGUAGUGAAGAAUCGAAUAUUUCUAUUGUCUAGUCUUUUUUUAAAAAAAAUUUUCUUUUAUUAUUUUUCAGAAUAUGUUUUGGUGAUUACUAUUGGGUUAUUAUUCAGAGUUAUUGUUAUCUUCCGGGGCAGUUUCUGUUCAUCGAAUUCGUUAAUAAAAUUUUAAAACUCUUAUUGAAAGAAUGUUUUUCCGUUAUCUUUUUUAUAAUCUAAUUUUAAGUGUAAGAAGUAGUCAUUUUAGAAUUUGGGUCUUGAAUCGAAUUUCAAUGCAUGAAUUAAUAUUUAAAAAAAAUUUACUACAUGCAGUUUAGGUUACAAACUAUUUUUUGCAAAGUUGACUAUGAAAUUGGAGAAAUUAAGUAAUUUAUAAUGUUUGCAAAGAAAGAGACCAACAUACUUCCAAUUACACUAUAUCUCAAUUAUCAUAAUGUUAAGAUUAAACUAACUUAAAAUAAAAUUUAUUUAAAAAGUUUAUCAAACGCAGUCUAAUUUUAUUAACUUGAAGAGAUAAUAGUUAUAGAAAUUAUUAUUCUAACUUAAUUAGUAAAAGUGGUAUAAAGGUUAAGUGUGCACUAAAUCUAUUUAAAUUUUUUUCCAGUAUAACUAACAGAGGUCAUUACUAGAAUUAUAUUACUAGUCUAUUAGAUAGAAAAAAUUAUUUAUAUUGUUUUAUAUUUAUUAAAAAAAUUUAAAGUCAAUCUUUUUAAUUACUAUUUAAAGGAUAUUAUAAUUAAAAAAAUUUUAAUGUCUUCAUUAAAAAUUUAAAAUUUUAUAUGACCGUUAUCUAAAUAUUUAAAGUGUAACUGUCAUUUUCUCAUAUAUAUAUAUAAUUUCAUCAACCCCUUAUACUUUAUGUUAUUUAUAUUUUAUUCAUGAAUAUUAUAAAUUUUUUGAAAUAUAAAAUUUCGUUUAACCCUUUAUACUCAAUUUUAUUUUAUUAAAACCCUAGAGUAUGAAUUCGUCCCUAUAAUAUUAAAUUCUCAAAAUAACUUCCAUUUAAUUAAAAAAUAUAAUUAUUAUUAAAUGAAUUAUAAUUAUUAUUAUUAUGUUAUUAUAAUCAUAAAAAGCGAGAUCAUAUUCCACAAAAGCAUAAGUGACAAAACAACCAACUGGAUUCUUUUAUUAAUCAACAAAUUGUAUAGUCUUUUUCAAAUUGUUAUAAAUUGGUGGCCCCUACAAUCCUCAAUAAUUGUACCGAAAUUCACAAGUUGGUGGGCCCUACAAUUCUGUUCCGAUAAUUUAACUGUGCAAGUGCUCAUUCACAAUCUUCCAGGUCAUGCUCUUAACAAUUGUUUUUUCUUUUCUGCACGCCCUUUCAUGCUCUUAAUAAUUGAAGAGCAUACUUUUCAAAUGUGAAGCCGCAUCUAAUGUCGCUAAUUUAAUUUGGGAUUAAAUUACGGGACUAUUAUAUUGCAGUGUGCACUAAUUUUUAUGUUUAUCUAAACUCUUCAAAUUUAAAACAUAUUAUGGCAUAAAUAAGAAUGUAACAAUAACAAAAGAGUAAGAAAGUGUAGAGAAAAUCUUGCAGAAAUAUAAAUAAUAUUUAUUUUUAAAAUAAUAUUAAUAUUUAAAAUAAUUUUUAAUAUUUUAUGGUCCAUUAGAUAUAUUUUAUUAUAUUAAAAUAAAUUUUAUAAUAAAUAAAAACAUACUAUUAAAAUGAAUAUAUAUAGAAAAUUUAGAGUAUUUUAAGUAUUAUAUAAAAUAAUUUUAAUAAAAUAUGUGAGAUAUUCAUAUUUUAUUAAUUUAAGAUACCAUUUAACCUAAAGAUUUAUUUAUGAUAAAUUAAUAAUUAUAUUUUUGAAAUUACUUCAAAUAUUAAAAAAAUUAAUAUUACUAAUAUAUUAGAUAGAUUAAAUUAUAUAUAUUAUUUUUACUUAUUAAAAAAAUUUUAAAAUUAUUUUUAAUUACUAUUCAAAAAACGUAUUCAAAAAACAUAAUGAUAAAAAAAUCUUAACAUCUUUAUUAAAAAAUUAAAAACUUAUAUGAUAAAUUCUCUAAAUAUUUACGGUAUAUGUGAACCACGGUGGAUAAGCUUUAUUUAAUAUUAUUGAUUUAAAUAAUAUGUCAAUUAAAAAUGUACAGAGAAGAAAUUUCGGUGGGUAUUUUAGUCUUUUAAGCAAUUAUCAUGAUCAGAUCAGCCUUUAGCCUUCAAACGUCGGUCAGAAAAGUUUUAAAAUUAAUGCUAAAUUGUUUUUCACUUUUAACGUUGGUGGCCUUGAAAUUGCUUGUAUUUUAUUAAAAAUUAAUGCUAACAAGAAAAAGCUAGGUCAUAUUCCACAAAAUCAAAAGUGACAAAACAACCAGCUGGUUUCUUUUACUAAACUACAAAUUAAAAUAAAUUUUUUCGAUAAAUUACAAAUUAAAGUGGAUUCUUUUGAAUACAAAUGGGACAGACGAUUAGGCUCUUUUUAUUAGAGGCAAGUAAAAACUAGUCAAGAAUCGAACAGUCUUUUUCCAAUUCUUGUUUUAUUAUUUUUCAAAACUAGUUUUUGGUAAUUACAACCGGGUCAUUAAUCAUUAUUCAGAGUUAUCUUCCGGGGCAGUUUCUGUUCAUCGAAUUCGUUAAUAAAAUGUUAAAACUCUUAUUGAAAGAAUGUUUUUCCGUUAUCUUUUUUAUAAUCUAAUUUUAAGUGUAAGAAGUAGUCAUUUUAGAAUUUGGGUCUUGAAUCGAAUUUCAAUGCAUGAAUUAAUAUUUAAAAAAAAUUUACUACAUGCAGUUUAGGUUACAAACUAUUUUUUGCAAAGUUGACUAUGAAAUUGGAGAAAUUAAGUAAUUUAUAAUGUUUGCAAAGAAAGAGACCAACAUACUUCCAAUUACACUAUAUCUCAAUUAUCAUAAUGUUAAGAUUAAACUAACUUAAAAUAAAAUUUAUUUAAAAAGUUUAUCAAACGCAGUCUAAUUUUAUUAACUUGAAGAGAUAAUAGUUAUAGAAAUUAUUAUUCUAACUUAAUUAGUAAAAGUGGUAUAAAGGUUAAGUGUGCACUAAAUCUAUUUAAAUUUUUUUCCAGUAUAACUAACAGAGGUCAUUACUAGAAUUAUAUUACUAGUCUAUUAGAUAGAAAAAAUUAUUUAUAUUGUUUUAUAUUUAUUAAAAAAAUUUAAAGUCAAUCUUUUUAAUUACUAUUAAAGGAUAUUAUAAUUAAAAAAANNNNNNNNNNNNNNNNNNNNNNNNNNNNNNNNNNNNNNNNNNNNNNNNNNNNNNNNNNNNNNNNNNNNNNNNNNNNNNNNNNNNNNNNNNNNNNNNNNNNNNNNNNNNNNNNNNNNNNNNNNNNNNNNNNNNNNNNNNNNNNNNNNNNNNNNNNNNNNNNNNNNNNNNNNNNNNNNNNNNNNNNNNNNNNNNNNNNNNNNNNNNNNNNNNNNNNNNNNNNNNNNNNNNNNNNNNNNNNNNNNNNNNNNNNNNNNNNNNNNNNNNNNNNNNNNNNNNNNNNNNNNNNNNNNNNNNNNNNNNNNNNNNNNNNNNNNNNNNNNNNNNNNNNNNNNNNNNNNNNNNNNNNNNNNNNNNNNNNNNNNNNNNNNNNNNNNNNNNNNNNNNNNNNNNNNNNNNNNNNNNNNNNNNNNNNNNNNNNNNNNNNNNNNNNNNNNNNNNNNNNNNNNNNAUUGUGGGCACUCUUGUUCGUGCAUGUUUGCUAGAAGAGAUGGAAGAUGAUAAAGUAAAAAUGCAUGACGUUGUUCGUGAUAUGGCUUUAUGGAUAGCUUGUGAAAUUGAGAAGGAGAAGAGAAACUUUUUGGUUUGUGCAGGUGCUCGAUUAGAAGAGGCACCGGGUGUUAAAGAAUGGGAAAAUGUGAGAAGAUUGUCAUUGAUGCAAAACCAAAUUGAAACUGUGUCAGAGAUUCCCGCAUGCCCUCAUCUCCAUACUCUAUUUCUUGCCUCUAAUAGGAAUUUCAGGAUGAUCACGGAUGGCUUCUUUCAAUUUAUGCCUUCUCUCAAAGUUUUGAAGAUGUCACGCUGUGGGCAAUUCGAAGGUUUUCAAUUACCUGUUGGGAUGUCAGAGUUGGGUUCAUCACUAGAACUUCUUGAUAUUUCACAUACCACCAUAAGAGAGUUACCCGAAGAGUUAAAGUUGCUGGUAAAUCUGAAAUGUUUGAAUUUGAGGUGGACAGGUGCGUUAAUUAGAAUUCCACGGGGACUAAUAUCAAAAUUUUCAAGGUUACGUGUGUUGAGAAUGUUGGGUACUGGCGGGUUCAUUUUUUAUGAAGCACCAGAAGACAGCGUUUUAUUUGGUGGGGGUGAAGUUUUGAUACAGGAAUUGCUCGGUUUGAAAUAUUUAGAGGUAUUGGAGUUGACCUUGGGAAGUUAUCAUGCUCUCCAAAUUCUUUUGAGCUCAAAUAAGUUAAAAAGUUGUAUUCGAUCUCUUUACCUCUAUUUGACCGGAGAUAAAAAGUCGAUUAUUGAUGCUACGGCUUUCACAGACCUAAACCACCUCAAUGAAUUAUGGAUUGAUAAUGGAAUUGAGUUGGAAGAAUUGAAGAUUGAUUAUACGGAGAUAGUACGAAAAAGGCGGGAACCUUUUGUUUUCCACAGCCUUCACCUUGUUACGAUAUAUAGUUGCCAUAAAUUGAAAGAUUCGACAUUCCUCGCUUUUGCUCCAAACCUCAAGUCUCUUUCGCUAUUCAAAUGCCGUGCUAUGGAAGAAAUAAUCAGCGUCGGAAAAAUUGCUGAGAAUCCUGAGAUGAUGGGACAUAUAAGCCCUUUUGAAAAUCUCAAAAGUCUUGAUCUAUCAUAUUUGCCGGAGUUGAAGAGCAUUUUCUGGAAGCCAUUGCCUUUCACUCAUCUCAAAGAAAUGGGGGUAAGAGCAUGUGAUCAGCUUAGAAAGCUUCCACUCGAUUCCAACAGUGCAAAAGAGCGUAAAUUUGUAAUUCGUGGAGAAGAAGACUGGUGGAACCGACUUCAAUGGGAGGAUGAAGCCACUCAAAUUGCUUUUCGUUCCUGUUUCCAACCUGAUUCCUGAGCGGUGGUCGCAAAAUUUGAUUUCUGGUGAGUGCGUUUGUCUUUUAAAAGAAGAAUUUAAAAGAAAUUUAUUCUUGACGUUUUCUUCACUGUUUUUAUUUCAGUCUCUCUCUCUCUCUUUUUGUCUUCUGCUAAUCACAAUUAAAUGUUGAAUUAAUGGAAUUAAUGCUUCAUAAAUUUGCCGGCACUGCCAUUACUUUUUUUUUUUUUAAUACAAAUUGAUACUUUAUUUAUAUCUUCUUAGCGAUUUAAUUUCCUGUCAAUUGACGAACGAGAAGAACAUAUGACUUGAACCAAUGCUCGCAUAAACUUGCUGUAAAAAGAUAUAAUCUCACUGAAAUGCACACGCCUAGAAUGAAUAGAAUUAAAACAGGGAAAAUAUUAAGUAUAUUAGCCCUCUUUACCGAAAAUCAAAUGACAAUAAAUUUUUUGAAGUUUUGAUUUUCUAUGGUCAAUUCCACCUUUUGCAAUUUCUUCUGUUCUAACAAAAACCAAUUUCUUUGUUCAAGUAUUUUCGUUUGGGUAUUAAUAAUUCUCCACCGAAAGAGUGAACUCUUGCUCAAGGGAUCUCUAAUCAAUAGCCGGAAGGGCGCCGAGACCUGAUCGGACCUAGGCCCAAGUUUGGUCUUAAAGCCUGGGCUUGAGCCUGGCAAUUAAAUUAAAACAGUAAUUGAUUUCUUGAAUGAAUUGUCGUGUAAUUGAUUUAUGGGGGAUGACACAUCAACAUACUUGAAAAUACACUAAUCUCAGCAUCAUCCGUUAAUAACUUUUAGAUUUAUGGGCAAUCAAUAGUUAAAUUAGUUGUCAUUAAUACUAAAUAAUUUUUACUUUUUUUGUCUCUUCUAGAGGAUCUUCUAGAAAAAUGCAUCCACAAUUAAAUUUAAUACUUUACAUAAUAAAGAAAGCAUAAAUGUUAAAUUUAAGAAACUGCAUUGUAUUUCAGCUGAAGUUGACUUUAAUAUUUAGGGUAGAAAAAAAUUAAAUCCUUAAUGUGUUUAAUUUCUAUCACUUGUGUCAUUAAAAUUUUCUAGUCACCCUAACCAAUUACAUCUCAACCCACUUUUUUUUGGAUGAUUUUAUUUUUACACUAUUAUUUUCAACAUUUUUUUUUCCUUUUAACACCAACAUUAGUGUAUGUUACGUAACAUAAUCCAUAUUUGGAUAAUUUGAAAUUUGUUUGUGUUUUAUCUCAAAAUAGAGCUUCAAUCAAUUUGUACCUCAUAAAUUCACAAUAUCUGGCAUAUUGUCAAAUGUGCUUAUCCUUUUGCUUGACAUGUCAUUUUAAAAUUGUCAUUCAAUGUCAAAAAAUCACAUCAACUAAUGGCCGACUACUUUAAUUUGAAAGCAUGCGUGCGAUCGCCAAUAAUUAUAACUUAAUUGUUAUAUUGAAAUUUUUUUCUUUAUAAUUUAAGUUUAAUACUGCUACAUGUGUGGCACAUAAGUUGGAAAAUAUAACAUAAAAUUUGAAAAAUGUGUAGUUUUCGUUCCUUUUUUUUCUAAAAAAAUGGGAAAAAAGAAUGUAAUUUUGUUUAAAUUACUGUUGUCAUAACAAUUAUUAUUUUAUUGAUUAAUUGGCAGAGAAUCGUAAUGGUUUCGCAUGGUUGUUAAAACAUUGGAAAGUCCACUACAUCAUCGGUUAAUAACUUUCAGAUUUAUGGUUAAUUAAUAGCUGAGAUUUAUUAUCAUUAAUGCUAAAUAUUUUUUCUCUCUCCUGGAGGAUCAUCCACAGGCAGGUGCUUCCUGACGAUGACAAAAUUUUGGGCAGGCAGGUGCUUCCUGACUUUCACACGGUAAUUCUCAAAUUCUGAUUUCACCAUAUUUUAAUUACUGAUUAGCAUAUAUUCAAGUGCUCUCCAUUAUAAUGGAAGCCGCCGCCUCACUCGUAAUUCCAAACUUUAUCUUUUUUUCCUUUUUUAAAUUAAUGCAAGUAGCCGCUGUCCUUUCUAUUAAUUAAUUAAUUCGGCCGCCCACAUUUCUUUUCCUAAUGUCUUCUACUGUCGAGUUUAUUUUAUUUUCUCUUUAUUAUUAAAAUAUACUUAUAAUAAUAAAAAAAUAAAAAUUAACAUAUCAAAAUAUAAUUUAACAGAAAAUUAAGAUAAAAAAUUAAAAAUAAAUAAAUUAUGAGCAUAUCAAUCAAUAAAUGAAAAAUAAUAAUUUUUAUUUUUAUUAAAUAUAAAUUUUUCAGUAUUAAUCAAUUAUCUGAAUAAAUAAAAUCAUUUAAAAAUAAAUAAAUAAAUUAUUCUUAAAAAAAAAAAAAAAACUUUUUAUAACACUCACUAUGCUGGUUGUAGGGUUGACGCUUUGGGUACUGAAGCUAGUAACUUCUACAAGUAGUCUUAAGUUGACUGGCAACAACUAUAUUGGCAUUUAGAAAUAAUGUACUGCAACCAUAUUGGCAUGUUCAAAUGUUCUUAUUAUUGUAUUGGUGUGUCAAUAUUAUCUCUAACGGUUUUAUAAAUAAAAAAAUAAUCUAAAUUUAUAAUUUAACAUAAAAUAAAAUAAUUGGUAGAAAAACAAUUAUGGUUCAUUUACUUAUCAGUAAUCAGAAUAGACUGAAAUCGAAAUGAGUUGUAUUACUGUUGAUGUGUUUAUGUUGUACUCGAAUCGAAAUGAAUUAUUUUAAAUUACUAAAAUAUCCUUGGUCUGUUAUUCUAAUUAUUAUUAUUAUUUAAUAUUUAUUAUAAUAUUUUUCAUAUCAUUAAAAAAAAAUAAUAAUGAUGAUAAUAUUCUCAUUAUUGUUUGUUACAUUAUUAUUAUUCAAAAAAAUUAUUGUUAAUAACAAUAAUUACUUUAUUUCAAUAAUAAUAAUGAUAAAAUUAAUAAUAAUAAACAUGACAACAACAAUAAUUAUUUAUUAUGCCAAAAAAUAACAAUAAUAAUAAGAAUAAUAAUCAUCAUCAUUUUUUUGCCAAAGAAGCAUUAUCAUCAUCAUUUCAAAAAAAAAAUCAUCAUCAUCAUCAUCAUUUUUGUAGUGGCUACCUAUCGGCUGCUGCUUUCAUGUGAGAUUGACUUGCGACGCUUCAACGGCUAUUAUUUCUGACAAUGUCAGGUGUUGCUAUUUCAAUUUAGGAAGAAGUUGUUUCGGUGUGCUAGCGAUGGGAGAUGUUGUGGCUGCGAUUCGGGGAGCUACUAGUUUAUUGCACUAAUAACGGCAGGUGCUGUUGCUUGAUGCGAGGUCCAUGGCCAGUUGUCAGCAGUUCGACUUUGGUAUGGGUGCUGCUGGUUCGAUUUUAGGUGUUGUCCAAUUUCAUUUUCAGGAUUUUAAUUUUAUUUUUCUUUUAUAUUUUCAUUAAUUAAUCAGGGUAAAAUUGGAUUUUAGAAUUUAGAAUGAAGGUAAUUUUGUUAAUAAUGGAAAUGAGAUUCUGAUUGUCGAGAAUGAGCUUACACAAACAACUAUAAAUUAAGUGAAAACAAAACACUUUUUCUCUUUGUGUGAUUAAAACAUGAUAUGUACCAUAAAUAAAUAAGUAAAAAAUAAAUCAACACAAUCUAAAACAGUAAACAAAUUACAAGAGGCACAGAUUUUUAUGUGAAACACCGAAAAUGGAAAAAACCACAGCAUCUUAGUUUGAUAUAAUCUUCUACUAUAUUAAUGGGAUUAUAGCACAAAUUCUUUCCUAUAUAACACUAGAGAUUAACAACAUCAAGAAUCUCAAUAAUCUUGACUUACAAUACAGCCUAAUAUUUGUCUCUCUAAUAAGUAGAUAUCUAAAAUAACAGUCUCUAAUAAGUAUGUAUCUAAAAUAAUAGUCAACAAGAGGAUAAAACAAAAAUUAAGAUUAGUAGGAUGUGUAUAAGGUGAUGCUAUCAAUUUAUCUUCUAAAUUUGAGAAAAAUAGUUAAAUUCACUUUUUCGAUUGUCCGACCAAAAAUGGAAACCCUUGCCCCAAAACCAAAGGAAUCACCAUUAUGUUUUUCUCUCUCUCUCUCUCUAUCUCGUUCUUUUCUUCUUCUUUUCUUAAUGUUAGCCAUCACUUGCUUUUAUUCUUUAUAGCAUUCAAAAAGCUACUUUUAAUGGUAAAUUUCAUUUAAGUCUGCAACUUAGUGAUAAUUGCACACCAAACAAUCCUUACAUAGUGUUUUGGGCCCUCAAAUGAGAUGAAUACAACAAAUCUCCCCCUUUAAAUCAUGUGGGGGGCACCGCAAGCCCGCUAUUUGCAUAUAGCUUUUCAGCUUCUCCUUGAAUAAUGACUUUGUCAUCAUACAUAAUCCAUUCUUCGUUGUGUAAAUCUUCUCAAGCUGUAACUGUUCCUUCUCAAGCUGUAAUUAUUCCUUCUCAAGCACGUCUCGUAUCUAAUGAUACCUUACAUCAAUAUGCUUAGAUUUCGAAUAGUAUAACAGCACUCUGACUAUCGUAGUACAUAACAUAGCUGUCUUGUUUUACACCCAGCUCUUGUAGGAAAUUCUUCGUCCACAAUAUUUUUUUGCAACCUUCAAUAAUUGUAAUAUCAUUUGCUUUAGUGGUAGAAAAGGCAACUUAUUACUAAAGUUUAGAUUGCGAUGAGACUGUUCCCCCUGCAAAAGUGAGCAAACAUCCUAGUAGGAAUUUUUCGGAAUCAACAGCUCCUGCCAUAUCUACACACUUGUAACACAGGUUUGUCACCACCAAAAUAUAAACAUGCUCUGGAAAUGCAUCUAAGAUAUCUGAGAAUUUUUCACUGUUGUCCAGUGCUCUUUACCGAGGUUGAAGAGAAACCACUGACUACACUAACUGUAUAGGCAAUAUUUGGUCUUGUACAAAUUAUGGCGUACAAUAAACUGCCAACUGCUGAAGCAUAAGGAACUCCUCUCAUGGAGAAAUGGGUUUUACUCUUGAGAUUUUUGGGACCAUGAAGAAUAAAGAUGUAAUUUCUUAUACUGCCAUUGUUUCGGGAUAUAUAAAUAGAGAACAAGUCGAUAUAGCUCGACAGUGUUUUGAUCAGAUGCCAGAACGAGAUUAUGUCUUAUGGACUACCAUGAUUGAUGGGUACCUUCGAGUGAAUAGGUUCAGAGAGGCUUUGACACUUUUUCAGGAGAUACAAACUUCAAAUAUAAUGGGAGACGAGUUUACCAUUGUUAGCAUUCUUACAGCUCGUGCGAAUCUGGGGGCACUAGAACUGGGAGAAUGGAUAAAGACUUAUAUUGACAAAAACAAAGUCAAGAAUGAUAUAUUUGCGGGGAAUGCUUUGAUAGACAUGUACUGUAAAUGUACUGUAAAUGCGGAGAUGUUGAGAAAGCUCAAAAGGUAUUCAGGAAGAUGCUUUGAAAGGUCAAAUUCACAUGGACGACCAUGAUUGUUGGCCUUGCCAUCAGUGGAAAUGGUGAUAAAGCUCUUGAUAUGUUUUCCCAAAUGCUCAGGGCUUCGAUCAAACCAGAUGAGGUAGCUUAUGUUGGUGUUCUGUCUGCCCGUACUCACAAUGGUAACGAAACUUUUGUGAUAAAUAGUUGCAACUUAAGGUGAGAACUGGAGGAAGGGAAAUAGAUUGAAGUUGUUCAAUCAUCAGUAGUUGCUACUUGGUUUUAAGUUGUUCAAUCAUCGGUCGUCUCUAUUUGGUUUUCUCCAAUAUCUCAUCUUCAAUUUUGACUCAGAUUGUAUCUUACCACUAGUAAUUACAUAGACUUGCUGCCAAAGGUAAGAAUGGGAAUAAAUUAAAUAGAUUAUGUCGAAAACGAAAUAAAUUUACUAUUGUUCUGUUCAUUCUAUUUGUUUCCUACAAAAUAUUUCUCCUGCCUAAAAUUUUUUGAAUCAGUAAGUUUUUACCUUAUGGAUGAAUUGUGUUGAGAGUAAUUCCAUUUCUCAGUCUCUUUAUGUUUCAAUGAAGACGUAAAACUUGUGUUCUAGUGCACCAACGUUUAUGCUUCUUACAAUUUGACUUUAAUUUACUUUGUAAAAUUUUUGUCAAAAAGUACUAAAAAGUAGUGCACCAAACACCAACUUUAUUACAGAGAGGACUUUAGUUAAAUUUUAAGAAAACACUCAAAAGAAAGAGUUGUAAAUUAUUAUAAAAAUAUUUCACAUAAAUAAAAGCCAUCCCAUGCUGCAAAGAUCUUGCUAUAAUCACCAAAAACUAUCGGGAGCUUUUAGGGUUUCCAUAAAAAUGCCAUUUCGUUCCAUGUAUAUGAUUCUAUAGUCUCACUGGCAAGUAAACCACAGCCCAACAGCACUGACUGUCCAUGAUGAUUCACCCCAAUGAACGAAACCAGCGUUGCAUCAUAUCUUUCUGUCAAGCAUGUAAUAUCAAUUGAUUUGAGCUAUUAACAUCAUUUCCAAAUACUCCAUUGGCAUCUACAUUACCAUUUCCCUCGGCAUCAAUGAUAAGAGUUCGAAACAGUCUAAUCUUUUGAACUUCUUCAGCACCAUCUAAGAGCAAUGUUCUUUUGGUUCCAAUACCCAUGUGCUUAUGAUAUUUGUAAAAUAAUUAUUUGUAAAAUAAUUAGUUCAAUUUUGACAUAAUACGGAAUAAACACAACCUGCCAAUCUAAGUUACUAUCUUUUCCCGUCAUCAGGUACCUGUUUGAAAAAUAAUUAUAUACAAUUUUAUUUGCGUCGUCCCUCUAAAAAUUUGGGACUCAAAUGUUAUUUCUAAUUGCUAAAAGUACGAAAUUGCCCCCUUUCUCUUCAGCUAAAGGAGUGCAAAGUCAUCUGUAUAAUUGAAUCUGCAUCAUCAGUUUCUAUUGCUGGCUGGUGUUACUGCAUGCUUACAGUUGCUUGACAAAGUGAGCCAGUUUUUUGUUUAUUAAUUUUUUUUCUUGUCGAGACAGUCACAAAGUAUUACUUGUUCUAUUUGAGAAUGAUGUGAAUCAAUUUUUCAAUUAUGCAUUCUGUGGUAAUUAUUGUGAAUUUAGUUUCAUUUGUCUUGUCUCCUGCAAAUUUUGAAGAAAAUGCAGACAUACAAAUUUACAAUAUGUAUUUGCGUUAGUAUAAAAACAAUUGUUAGAUGAUUAAAGCGAUUUAUUUUUUUUUUUACAGCAUUUGAUUGUAUUAGUUAAAAUCAUUUUUUAAGGAUAAAAAUAAAUAGAAAAUUAUUCUCAUGUAGUGUGGAAAUCUUUUCUAAUUUCUUGUUGACUUGUACAUUUAUUUCAGAAUUUCCAUUCAUUAAUUCUACUGUUUUAAUCUUUGACUUAGCUACCGUAGUUGACUUUUUAUAUCAAAGGCUUAAACAGCAUGCAUUUUUGAAUUGACUGAGAAUAAUUUGGUGGACAAAUUACUAGUAAAGGACUUCAAAUGGUUGAAUUGACUGUGGGUUUUUCAUGCCCAAGUCACUCGUCACGUCGUUUCAUCGAAACAAAGUGCCCGGUGCAAAUGGUGUGAUGUAAAACACCUUUUUAAAUUGUCAUUUUUUUUCCUUUGCUUUUGCUUUAAUUUUCUAAAUGCUCAACGCCAUAAAUCCAUGUAUUCUUAAUUUUCGUUUGCUGUAUUGAUUCCCAACCCUCUAUGUCACAAGGUUUUGAAUGCCAGUAAUUAAGUUAAAUUAAACAUAUUUUAAGUCCUACUUUAAAUUAUUGAAAAAUGUAUUAUGGUUGAACUGAAUUUUAACUAAAAAAUAUAUACAAAAUAAAAGAUUAAUCAUAUCUUUUUAUGAGGAAGGUCAGUCAUCAUUCUGACCACAGACACUUAAAAUUAAUUGAGUGGAAUAUUGCAAAAUAUAUAUAAACCAUGCCAAAACUAGAUGUUUGAGUAAUGAAAACGAGAAUUCAUAUGACUCAGAAAUAUGGUCGCUUUCCUUUUUCUGAAAGGCAAAAAAAAAGGGGGAACCAAAAAGGACCAAAAUGAACAAAAAUGGAAGGCGAAGGUAAGCAGACAUGUUAUAUGUUUUACCUAAGAUGCCAAAUGCAACUCCCCAUUGAUGGUGAUCGAACAUUAUGGCCAUUUUCUUAGUAAACAAAAAAUGAAUUUUGAACACUCAACAACGAAACUUGAGCAGAAGAUCAAGCAAGGGCCUCGAUCUCAAAGAAGAUACUAUGAAACCCUACUUAAUGGUUAAAUAACUUUCAUUCAGCUUUGGACCCUAUUUCGUGAUACGGAAAGACAAACCUUUCUUGGCCGGCAGUGUCCCAGAUCUGGGCUUUGAUGAUCUAGAGGUUGAUGGUGACAGUUCUGGUUUGGAACUCGACGCCAAUGGUUUAUUUCGAUUCAAAGCAAAACUCAUUCUUGGUGAAUCUCGAAAGAAUCUGAGACUUGCCCACGGCCGAGUCACCGAUCACCACUACCUUGAAUACAUAGUCUAUUUUGUCAGGAAUCAUAUUCUCUCGUUGUUGAUGACGAUGAUCGGUGCCAUCACCACUCAUUUCUUCGUUCAUUCAUUCUAUGUCCAUUGAUCUUUUUGAAUUAUUGAAGACAAGUGGCUCACCGCUUUUAGUAUUGGUAAAAUUCAGAUAAUCUCUAUUCCGAAAUAAUAAUAUUAAAAAUAUCUCUUAAAUCAUUAUAAACUUCAAAUCUAUUUUAAUUUUAUUUAAAAGAUAAAAGAAAAAUAAGUUAUGUUGGUGAUUUUUUAUUAUCUUUUUAAUAAAAAUAGAAUAAAUUGAUGUUUAUAAUUAUUUAAAGUAUUUUAAAGAUUGCUAUUUUAUGAGAGAAUAAUAUUUCAUUUUUUUUUUCGUGUGAAAGACCGAAAAAGGACAAAGCAAGUUUCCCUAAUUUUUAUUUUAUGUGAAAUUGGUCAUCUCAUAUACUUUACCCUUCAACACUCUAAUUUUUUUGGUUAUAAUUUUAUUAUUUUUUCUCUUUUACACAUGCAUGUGAAUUACUUUUCUUUAAGCUCCUGAAUAUUUAAGACAAAUCAUGGAAGAGAUGAGAGUAUAACAAGAUGAUCAAAAUAUGUAACAAAAAAAUUUUAGAAGUGAAAAAUAUGUUAGAGUCGAAGUAAAACUCUGAGGUGAUGUUUGAUUUGAAGAAAAUGGAGGAGAGAAAAAGAGUGGAAUGGAGAGGAAAAGAGAGAAAAGGAGAGGAGAGGAGAGGAGAGUGAACUUUUUUUCUAAUGUUUGGUUUGUCACAUAAAUAUACAAAGAAAGGAAAUCUCCAAUUUUUUAUUUAGACAAUUUUAACCUUAAUAAGUAUUAAGCUUUCAAUAUUUAUCAUGUGUAUAAUUUAAAAAAAGUAAAUGGUAGAAAGCGGUUUCUGAUUCCGGCCACAUCGCCGGCAAUGGAAGGUACUUAUCAGAACAUCAAGAACCGGCCAUCAUUCCCUAGCCAUCACUGCUGUAGGAACACUGCUAAAAAGCUGCCGAUUGAACCGCGAAAAGUCGUGGAAAUCGUUGCCUCAAAUCGGUGAGUUUCGCCUUUUUCUGGUCAUGCCGUCGCCUUGGCUUUGUCCAUCAACGCUGCCACUUCCAUUUCAACCAUCCAUAGCCACUAUUAACCGCCAAAUCGCCGCCGAUCAGCGGGAUCUGUGGAAGUUAAAAAGUUUCUAAAAUUUUUUAAUUGGAUUUGAACAACAUACAACCAUUUUUUGAUCUCAAUAACGACAUAGUAAUGUUGAUCGUUGGUCGGCAAGUCGAAUGGUAGUGGCGGUGAGUAACACGCGCCAAUGACAUCGGCGGCGGCGGCGGCACUAUCCGGCUACUGUUAAAAUUAAUAUUUUAUAUUUGUAGAUUAAAUAAAUUUAUUUUAUUAAACUUUUUAAAUCAUUAUUUAAAUUUAAUUAAUUUAAAAUUAUCUAUGAUGUUGAAUUGAUAAAAUAAAUUUAUAAAUAAUAAUUAUGUGAUUACAUUAAAUAAGUUAAAAAGUUGAAGGGUUAUUUUUGGAAGAUUUAGUUUCCAACACAAAGGGAAUUUGAAUUCUUCACUUCUUAGUGUGGAAUUCAAAUUCUAUAUUGUAAUGGAUAUUAAAUUCCAAUAGAAAUUAAAUUCUUAUAAGUUAUGUCAAACCAAACAACGGAAAUAAAAAAAAAGAAUUUAAAUUACUUUCCUUUCCUCCACCCUCUCCUUCCAACCAAAUACAUCCUGAAAAUAGAGAUAUUGAUUAAUUUAGAAGAGAUGCAAGCAAAAGAUAUUCCACAAAAAAAAAAAAGCAAUAUGUCCCUUUGGAGGGCAAACUUGUCAGUUUUAAAAAAGUACAUGCUUUGGAUUGAUAGUUGUAGGAUAUUUGUUUUGUCACUAUGUGUUAGUUGGAGAAGUCAAGCCUUGUGAAGAAUGUUAUGAAAGAGCAAAGGAUAUUCCUGAUAGCUGAUAGAGCUCUAUUUGAUUAUGUAUCCAAUGAAUGGAUGUGUUGUUGGAAGAUAUUUGAGUGCAUUAGUUCAUAUGUGUCUAUCAAUGUGAUUUUAAUGAUUUUUCCACUUGUUUGUUGUAAAAGAUUAUUGUAAAUUGAAAUGAACUUGAUGUUGUAAUAUUUUCUCCUUAGUAGAAUUUCACCUAGUAUGUAUUUAGUUGUGUUGUCUAUAAUUUUGCAUUCGAAUAAGUUUCACCUAAAAUAUUAGCAUGAGUAGUGGCCCUUGAAACUUUGGUCAAAAUUAUUGUUAUUAUUUCCGACUAGAUGUAAAUUUUUUAUUAAAUCUCGCUAACACAAUUCUUAAUUAAAAGUAUAGGUUAGUGUUGGUGCAAGACUUGCCACACCAAAUUCUGCCUAACUGUCAAAAGUGCAAAAUAAAUGAAGAGAAAGCACAAAUACACGACUUGAAUAAGGAUACAACGAAACUUAAAUUCAAGAGAAAAUGAUAGCUAUAUCUCAAGAUUUGAAAAAACGGUCAUGUAGAUUUUUAAGAUUUCAAUAAGCGACUGAGAUUCAAAUAAUAUCCUUUAAUUCUAUUAACAAAAAACAAAGACUCAAAUAUUUUAUGAUAAAUAAAAAUAUAAUAUUAAAAUAUAUGUGAUAAUAUACACAUUUUAAAUACUUUCAAUCCAAAAAAAUAGUUAUGUUUUACAAUCUAUUAGACAUAUUUUAUUAAAUUAAUAUAAAUUUUCUAUAAAAUAAGAAUAUAAUAUUAAAAUAAAUUCACAAAAAUUUAAAGAAUUUUGAAUGUAAAAUAAUUUUAAUAUAUCAAUACGUGAGUUUUUUUAUUAAUAUAAAAUUUAUUUAACUUUAAGAUUUUUUAAAAUCUUUACAAUAAGUAUAACUAUAUUAUUUACAUUUAAAAAUAUUUAAAUAUUAUUAACCUACAAUUAUAUUUGCAUUUGUUAGAAAUUUUUUAAGUCAAAUAUUUUGCACUUCUAUAUUAUUAGAAUUAUUGCACAAAAAGAAAGAAACAUACACCUUUAGAAAUUGUUUUCUUUUAAAAUAGAGAUGAUGAUUAGUAUAAGGAUGAAAAAAAGGAUAAAGAAUAUUAAUGAUUAACGAAAUCUCUAUACAAAUUGAUUUUAGUAGGAAAAGAGUGAGAUGAAUGAUUUCUUUUACAGUUAGAAACAUAGAUGAUGAUUAUUAUAACGAAGAAAAAAAGAUAAAGAAUAUUAAUUAUUAAUGGAAUCUCUAUACAAAUUGAUUUUAGUAGGAAAAAAAUGAUUAAAUGAUUUAGAGUGCGUUUGGAAUUGAGAUUGGGCAGCCAUAGAUUUUAAGUUACAACACUGAAGUGUUUAGUAAAUACUAGUUGCUGCAGAUUGAAAGUUAUGUUGAUAUGAUUUUUCACAUGUAUCAUAGAAAAUAUAUUACAUCUUUAAUAUUUUUUAAAAAUUUAUAUUUGCUAUAUAUUAUUAAUUUUUUUUUAUAGUUAUAACUUUUUUUCCACAACAGUUGUAGCUUAAAAGUCACAGCACCUCAAUCUCAAACAAAUCCUUAGACAUUCAUAGUGUGUUUAUUUUUUGGAUUGGUGAAUCAAAAUUAUUGACAACGCUAACUUCAUCUUCACUGUUCGCAAUCCAACAGCAGCAAUUGUCGCCAAUAAUGAUAUCUCCAAUGAUGAUGACAAUUAUUAUUAUUAUUUUUAUUAUUAUUAUUAUUAUUAUUAUUAUUAUUAUUAAUUAAUUAAUUAAUUAAUUAAUUAAUUAAUUAAUAUAUUAAUGUUGAUAUUAUUAUUAUUAAGAUUAACAAUAAUUAUUAGUAAUACAAUUUUUUGAAUAAAAAUAAUCACAAUAAUUAAAAUACAAAUUAAUAAUUAUGACAAUAAUUAAUUAAUGUCUUUUUAGUAAUUUGUAAUAAUCUAACUCAUUUUGGUUCUGAUUAUUACAGCUUAAGUAAACAAAUUAUUAUGAUUCCUAUUCUCCUUUCCCAUUUUAACUCACUUUGAUUCCAGUCUAUUCCGAUUUCUAUUUAAUAAAUGCACCAUUAGUGCUAAAGUAAUAUUUCAUACAUAGAAAAAUAAAAACUACGCCUAAGGUUAAGGGAAAAGACUUCAAAAUUCUCUUUUGAUCAUAAUACAUUUUGUCCUAAUUAACUUAAAGAUUUUGAAUCUAAUAUUUUAUAAUAAAUAAAAAUAUAUUCCUAAAAUAAAUAUAAUAUCAAUAUUUAAAAUAUGUUUUAAUAUUUUACAAUCUAUCAUACACAUUUUAUUAUAUUAAAGUAGAUUUAUAAUAAAUAUAUAAAAAUUUAGAAUAUUUAGAAUAUUAUAUAAAAUAAUUUUAAUAUAAUGCGUGAUAUAUAUUUUAUUAAUUUAAAAUGUCAUUUUACCUAAAAAAUAUGAUAAAUUAAUAAUUACAUAUUUGAAGUUAUUUCAAAUAUUAAAAAAAUUUAAUAUUAUUAAUCUUUUAGAUAGAUUAAAUUAUUUUUUAUAAGAGAGAUUAAAUUAUUUUAAAAUGCCUUAAUUGUUUUUACUUUUAACGUUACGGGCCUUUCUUUUAUUUUAUUGCAAAUUAAUGCUAACUAGAAAAACAAAAACAAAAGUGACAAACACAACCAGCUGGAAUCUUUUAUAAAACUACAAAUUAAAAUGGAUUUUUUUUUUUUGUUGAUAAAUUACACAUGAAAGUGGAUUCUUUUGAAUAUAAGUGGGGUAGGCUCUUUUAUUUUUUUUUUAAUACCGUAUAACAGGACUGUAGACUCUUUUAUUAAGCACAAAUAUAGAGUUGUCGAGACAAUUAGGGUCUUUUAUUAAACUACAAAUUGUAUAGUCUUUUUUAAAUUGUUCAGAUAUUUAUAAAUUGGUGGCCCCUACAAUCCUCAAUAAUUGUACCGAUAUUCACAAGCUGGUGGCCCCUACAAUCCUUAAUAAUUGUUUUUUUUUUUUUCUGCAUUCCCUUUCAUGCUCUUAAUAAUUAAAGAGCAUACUUUUCAAAUGUGGAGCCGCGGCUAAUGUCGCUAAUUUAAUUUGGGAUUAAAUUAGGGGACUAUUAUAUUGCAGUGUGCACUAAUUUUUAUGUUUAUCUAAACUCCUUAAAUUUAAGAUAUAUUAUGGCAUAAAUAAGAAUAUAACAAUAGCAAAAGAGUUAGAAAGUGUAGAGAAGAUCUUGCAGAAAUAUAAAUAAUAUUUAUUUUAAAAUAAUAUCAAUAUUUAAAAUAAUUUUUAUUAUUUUAUGAUCCAUUAGAUAUAUUUUAUUAUAUUAAAGUAAAUUUUAUAAUAAAUAAAAACAUACUAUUAAAAUGAAUAUAUAGAAAAUUUAGAGUAUUUUAAGUAUUAUAUAAAAUAAUUUUAAUAAAAUAUGUGAGAUAUUCAUAUUUUAUUAAUUUAAAAUACCAUUUAACCUAAAGAUUUAUUUAUGAUAAAUUAAUAAUUAUAUUUUUGAAAUUACUUCAAAUAUUAAAAAAAUUAAUAUUACUAAUCUAUUAGAUAGAUUAAAUUAUAUAUAUUAUUUUCUAUUUAUUAAAAAAUUUCAAAUUAUUUUUAAUUACUAUUCAAAAAAUAUGAUGAUAAAAAAAUCUUAACAUCUUUAUUAAAAAAUUAAAAACUUACAUGAUCAAUUCUCUAAAUAUUUAGGGUAUAUGUGAACCACGGUGGACAGAGGUCAUUACUAAAAUUUCUCUUCCACAGGCAAUUACAGCAGCUCCAGUUUAUCAAACUCAACCAAUUUUCUUUCUUAACAAAAUUCCAAAGAUGUGUAGCUUUUUUCAGAUCACAUGCGAUGGUGCUUUUUUCAAUCGUUGCUUGGAUUGCUUUCUUGGAAAAGCAGCAUACAUACGUAACCUCCAAGAUAAUCUUGAUGCCUUGGACACUGAACUGGGAAGACUAAUCGCAGCAAAGAACGAUGUGAUGAUUAGGGUUGUCAAUGCUGAACGGCAAUAAAUGAGAAGGCUGGACGGAGUGCAAGUGUGGGUUUCGAGUGUGGAUGCUGUUAAAACUGGAGCCGAUGAACUUAUCACAGACGGCUCUGAAGAAAUUGGCAAAUUAUGUGUUGGAGGCUACUGUUCCAAGAACUGCAGGUCAAGCUACAAAUUCGGAAAACAAGUGGCUAGAAAGCUACGAGAUGUGGAGACUUUAAUCGCCGAAGGAGUUUUUGAGGCGGUGGCUACUGAGGUGGUGCCUGAGAGAGCUCCAGAGCCUGUAGCAGAUGAAAGACCUACCGAGCGAAAAGUAGUAGGCUUGCAAUCACAACUUGAACAAGUCUGGACGUGUCUUGUGGAAGAAUCAGCGGGAAUCAUUGGCCUAUACGGUAUGGGCGGUGUUGGUAAAACCACACUAUUGACCCAUAUCAACAAUAAAUUUCUCGAGAGUCCAACCAACUUUGAUUGUGUGAUUUGGGUAGUAGUUUCAAAAGACCUGCGACUUGAAAAACUUCAAGAAGAUAUUGGGAAAAAGAUAGGUUUGGUUGGUGAUUCAUGGAAGAGUAGAAGUGCAGAGGAGAAAGCUCUCGACAUCUUCCGGAGUCUAAGAGGGAAGAGAAUUGUAUUGUUGUUAGAUGAUAUAUGGGAGCGGGUUGAUUUAACAAAAGUGGGCGUUCCACUUCCUGGACCACAAAAUACUACCUCAAAAGUCGUAUUCACAACNNNNNNNNNNNNNNNNNNNNNNNNNNNNNNNNNNNNNNNNNNNNNNNNNNNNNNNNNNNNNNNNNNNNNNNNNNNNNNNNNNNNNNNNNNNNNNNNNNNNNNNNNNNNNNNNNNNNNNNNNNNNNNNNNNNNNNNNNNNNNNNNNNNNNNNNNNNNNNNNNNNNNNNNNNNNNNNNNNNNNNNNNNNNNNNNNNNNNNNNNNNNNNNNNNNNNNNNNNNNNNNNNNNNNNNNNNNNNNNNNNNNNNNNNNNNNNNNNNNNNNNNNNNNNNNNNNNNNNNNNNNNNNNNNNNNNNNNNNNNNNNNNNNNNNNNNNNNNNNNNNNNNNNNNNNNNNNNNNNNNNNNNNNNNNNNNNNNNNNNNNNNNNNNNNNNNNNNNNNNNNNNNNNNNNNNNNNNNNNNNNNNNNNNNNNNNNNNNNNNNNNNNNNNNNNNNNNNNNNNNNNNNNNNNNNNNNNNNNNNNNNNCAGGAAGUCCUAGUGCGUGCUAUCAGAAAAGAUGCUGGGAACUGUUUCGCGAAAAUGUUGGGGAAGAAACUCUUGAGAGUGAUCAUGAGAUCGUUGAGCUAGCCCAAACUGUGGCCAAAGAGUGUGGUGGUUUGCCACUCGCACUUAUUACUAUUGGUCGAGCUAUGGCCUACAGAAAGAAAGCGGAGCAGUGGAGACGUGCAAUUGAAGAGUUAAGAAGAUCAGCUUCAGAGUUUGCAGGUUUGGGAAAAGAGGUGUAUCCUCUUUUAAAGUUUAGCUAUGAUAGUUUGCAGAAUGAUACAAUUAGAUCUUGUUUCUUGUAUUGUUGUUUAUAUUCUGAAGAUUAUGGCAUUCUUAAAUGGGACUUGAUUGAUUGUUGGAUUGGUGAGGGAUUUUUGGGGGAAUCUGACAGGUUUGGUGCAGAAAACCAAGGAUAUGACAUUUUGGACACUCUUGUUCGUGCAUGUUUAUUAGAAGAGGUGGAAGAAGAUGAAGUAAAAAUGCAUGACGUUAUUCGUGAUAUGGCUAUAUGGAUAACCAGUGAAAUUGAGAAGGAGAAGAGAAACUUUUUGGUUUGUGCAGGUGCUGGAUUAGAAGAGGCACCGGAUGUUAAAGAAUGGGAAAAUGUGAGAAGAUUGUCAUUGAUGCAAAACCAAAUUGAAACUCUGUUUGGGGUUCCCACAUGCCCUCAUCUCAUCACUUUAUUUAUUGACUUUAAUAGGGAGUUGAAGACUAUCGCGGAUGGCUUCUUCCGAUGUGUGCCUUCUCUCAAAGUUUUGAAGAUGUCAAACUGUGGAAAGCCUUAGAAAGGUUUGGAAUUACCUUUGGGGAUGUCAAAGUUGGGUUCACUACAACUUCUUGAUAUUUCACACACCUGCAUACAAGAAUUACCACAAGAAUUAAAGUUGUUGGUAAAUCUGAAAUGUUUGAAUUUGAGGCGGACAAUUUGGUUAAAUAAAAUUUCAUGGCAACUAAUAUCAAAAUUUUCAAGGUUACGUGUGUUGAGAAUGUUCGCUACUGGCUGGUUCAGUUUUCAUGAAGCACCAGAAGACAGCGUUUUAUUUGGUGGGGGUGAAGUUUUGAUACAGGAAUUGCUCGGUUUGAAAUAUUUAGAGGUAUUGGAGUUGACCUUGGGAAGUUAUCAUGCUCUCCAAAUUCUUUUGAGCUCAAAUAAGUUAAAAAGUUGUAUUCGAUCUCUUUUCCUACAGUUGUUCAGAGAUACAACGUCGAUUAUUGAUGCUACGGCUUUCGCAGAUCUAAACCACCUCAAUCAAUUAUGUAUUAGUAACGGUUCUGAGUUGGAAGAAUUGAAGAUUGAUUAUACGGAGAUAGUACGAAAAAGGCGGGAACCUUUUGUUUUCCGCAGCCUUCAACGUGUUACCAUAGAGGAGUGCCAUAAAUUGAAAGAUUUGACAUUCCUCGUUUUUGCUCCAAACCUCAAGUCUCUUUCGCUAUACGAUUGCGGUGCUAUGGAAGAAAUAAUCAGCGUCGGAAAAUUUGCUGAGACUCCUGAGAUGAUGGGACAUAUAAGCCCUUUUGAAAAUCUCCAAAUGCUUUAUUUAAUGGCAUUGCCGGAGUUGAAGAGCGUCUACUGGAAGCCAUUGCCUUUCACUCAUCUGAAAGAAAUGGAGGUACUUGGGUGUGAUCAGCUUAAAAAGCUUCCACUCGAUUCCAACAGUGCAAAAGAGCGUAAAUUUGUAAUUCUUGGAGACACACAGUGGUGGAACCGUCUUCAAUGGGAGGAUGAAGCCACUCAAAUUGCUUUUCGUUCCUAUUUCCAAACCUGAUUCCUGAGCGGUGGUCGCAAAAUUUGAUUUCUGGUGAGUGCGUUUGUCUUUUAAAAGAAGAAUUUAAAAGAAAUUUAUUCUUGUCGUUUUCUUCUCUGUUUUUAUUUCAGUUUGUUUCUCUCUCUCUCUUUUUGUCUUCUGCAAAUCACAAUUAAAUGUUGAAUUAAUGGAAUUAAUGCUUCAUAAAUUUGCCGGCACUGCCAGUACUUUUUUUUUUUUUUAAUACGAAUUGAUGCUUUAUUUAUUUCUUCUUAGCGAUUUAAUUUCCUGUCAAAAGACGAGCGAGAAGAACAUAUGACUUAAACCAAUUGAUACUUUAUUUAUGUGCAUUGUAUGUAAUAAAAUUUUCUCUGUUUUUUUCAAAUUGAGGCUUUAUUUAUAUUUUCUUCGUGAAGAGUGAUUUAAUUUCCUGCCAAAAGACAAACGAGAAGAACAUUAGAGUCAAACUAAUGCUCACAUAAAUUUCCCGUAAGAAUAUAUAUAUAAUUAGACUGGAAUGCACACCUCUAGAUUGAACAGAAUUAAAGCUGAGAAAAUAUUGAGUAUAGUAGCCCUCUUUACAGAAAAUGACGCGAAAGUUAAUUUAGAAAGAUAUAUUCUUGAUUAAUCCAUUUUCUGAAGUUUUUUAUUUUGUAUGGUCAAUUAUACCUUCAUACUAAAAAAAAAAAAAAAAAAGAGAAAAUAUGUAAUCCAUGAAUGGUUAAUUUUGUUUGUUUGUUUUUUUUUCUUAAAUAUCAUUCUUUUUCGGCCACCCAAGGACAUUUUCACAAAUACCUUUUGUGUGCAGAAGUCUUCCAAACCAUCAAUGGAAAAAUAAAAAAUAAAAAAAACACGGUCCAGUAUACCUCAAAAUAUCAUUGAUGACUUUUCUGGUCUAAUGCUAUGUAAAUAGUAUGUUAAGUAAAACAUAAUCAGUUCAGUACCUCACAAAUAAUUCGCAAUAUCUACAAAAUACUAUAAUGGCUACAAAACAAAUCCUGCUUGCAAAUUGUCAAGGAUACCUAUCCGUUCGCUUGACAAGUCAUUUGAAUAAAUAUUGUUCACAUUCCUUACUCUGUCAAUUAUCCAAAGCACCAUCAACUUUAGUUUGAAUAGUAUACAUGCCAUCACCGUUACCAAGAAUCAAGCAUGGAAGGGUCAUUCUAUAGAGUGCAGAACAUGACUCUAUGCGGUAGUCAAUUUGACACACGACGAACACCAUAUGCUGCAUAACAUACAAAUUAAUUUCCCAUAUGUGAUGCAAUUUUCUCCUCAACAUAUGCGCAAUUCUUUCCAUUCCGGCAUUUACACUCAAAUUUUCCUUCCUUUCUCUUUGUGGUUGAAUCUUACACCACAACUCAUGUGAUGCAAUCUCCUCUCGCUGCCUAAAUUGCACUCUCAGCAAAGCAGCAUAUGUAAGCAAGCUUGAAGAUAAUCUUGCUGCUCUGCAGAAGAACGGCAAAAGUUAAUCGAAGCAAGGAAUGAUGUAUCAGAAAAUAUUUGGUGGAGAAUUCAGCACAAACAUAUUUCGGAUGAUCAGAAUCAAUAAAACCUGGUGGUUGUGCCAUAUAAACAUCUUUGGAAAGCUGACCUUGAAGAAAGGCGUUAUUGAUAUCCAAUUGAUGAAGAGGCCAGCCAUGACUAACAUCAAUACUAAGAACAAGCCGUACUGUGGUGGACUUAACAACUGGACUGAAAGUGUCAUAAUAGUCCACACCAGGCCAUUGAUUGAACCCUUUGGCAACAAGAUGAGCUUUAAACCUGUCAACAGAACCGUUGGAAUGUCUUUUAAUACAAAAAUCCAUUUGCAGCCAACAAUAUUGGAAGGGAUGGGAGGUGGAACAAGCUUCCAUGUCCCGUUACGAACAAGAGCAUCAUACUCUUCUGACAUAGCUGGACGCCAGUGAAGAUUUUUGAUAGCUUGCGUCACAGUUGUAGGUUCACAAUCAGAAGAAGGGCUAAAAUGAGCACGGAGGUUAAGUUUUUGUAACGGCUUGUGAAUCUUAUUUUUAGCUCGGGUAGUCAUAUCAUGAUGACUUGUGGGGCAAUGAUCUAGUGGAGUUUAGGAAGAUGAUUGAACAGGAAGUGAAGAAGUGCUUUGUGUAGAGGUAGAAGUAGGUUGGGAGGAUUGCUGCGGAGAUGUUACCGGUAGAGAAGAAGGAGCAGUACACGGUGGCAACUCCAGAGGGCCCACAAUAGAUGGAGUAGGUGCCGACAAUGGAGUACUAGGAAAUGAAACAGGAAGAAUUGGUGGAACACUUGCAUAAUUAGGAGUGGUAGAUGAGCUUGUAAUGAUUUGCAUGGAAAAACAAACUCUACAAAUUUAACGUGACGUGAAAUAAAAAUUUGAAAGGUGGAUGGGUCAAAACAUAAAUAAGCACUUUGAGAUAAAGGAAUAUCCUAGAAAAACACAAGGCUUAGAGGGUGGUUCGAGUUUAUGUGAUGAAACACAAACAUUCAAAAAAUUUUAAGUUUAUAUUAAUUAGGAGUGGUACCAAAAAUUAAUUAGCUAUGGGGUUGUUGGAUGUGUUUUGGAUAUUUACAGUUAAGUUUGAGUAUCUCAACUUAAAAUUUGUAGUUUUCACUUGAAAAAAUUCAGUUAAAUUUUGCAAUGCAGACUGAUUGAUUUAUCAGUUUAACGUGUGCCAGGAAUGAAGAACUGGAAUAUCACCGUCAAGCAAGCACCCUGUGGAGCAAUACCAAAGAAUGCACAAUCUGGCUUUGCUAGGUAACACUGGAGGCUUUUUGAAAAGUGCUUCACGCUCACUUGCACAGAUUGAGCAUCCCCUCUGGAUAUUGCCCUCUCUGAUCGAGUCUGAGCACUCAAAUUUUGGUCCUCAGAGGGAGCUACAGUUUUCUCUCCACUAACCAACAAUAUUCUAAACUCAGCACCUAGUGUGAUCAGAGUUGUUGAUAUUUGCAAAUGGAGAUCCCCAUAUUUGCAAAUGGAGACAUUUAACAAAUCACCAACAUGCUUCAUCCGGUCCACGAAAUUCUGCAACUGAUGCAAAUCUGGAACCUGAACCAGAGUCGGAGGUAUAUCUUGAGCCAUAUCUAAAGCAGUUUGAAGUUCAAGACCUUGAGCCCUUGACAAUGGUUUUGAAAUUGGAACAUCUUGGAUUACUGCAGACUUGUACCCCUUGGUUUCAAAGGUAAGGAAAGGCAUUGCUUGAGUACAAUUUGGAGGCAGCUUCUUCACCAAUUUUAUUUGGAGGCGAUUGGCAGCGGAUCCAGCUGCACCAAUUUCAGAGCAACUACUGACACUACUUCGAACAGCACACUGAAGAAGUGAUAUGUCUACGGCGAAGGCAAUGCAGUCCUCAUUUUGGCUUGAGACACAGUAAUCAUCGAAGAGAGUUUCCUUGUGAAACUGGGCAACACAUUGAAUCCCUUCGGCACUGAGAAGGUUGUGGAGGAAGUAAGCUUUCUCUCUAGUAAGGAAGAGGUGGCAUACAUUCCCCAUUUUGUCUAGGGCAGGUAGGAAUCUUUUUUCUAAGAGAUUUACUUCAUUCUCUGUGAGAAAUGCUUUGAACUUCAUCCCUCUGUCUCUAUCCUCACUUAUCAGUAAAAUAGUUGAAAGCGCUACAAGGAGAGAAAAGAAGAGUAUUAAGAUAUAUAUAUUAUAUAGACAAGAAAAACAUUAGAUGUCGAUCUUACAAGCUAAUACUUCAAACAAUAUCCUAGAAAGCUAAAAACUGCAAGAUGGCUUGAAAUUUGAAAAGAGCACGUGCUUUUCCUCCUUAACUUGAGAAAAUGUUUAAUAUAGUGCACCUUACAGAAGCAUUUAAGCAAUUAGAACUUUGCACAAAAACAUCAAGAAGACUAAACAAGUCAGAUGCAGUGUAUUUGUCCAAGCACAAAUUGCAUUUUGUCCUCAACUUUAAUAUUUAUUGAUGAGAAUCAAUACAGGUCCCUCAUUUGUUAUAGAAAGCUUUCUUGUAGUCUCACCAGUUAAUAUGGAUAUUAGAUAAGGAAACUUUAUUAGGUUGCGAGGGUAAAAAAGGAAAGAGAUAUCAUUAUUUUAUUAUCGAUAAUUAUUAAAUUUUUUUCCAAAAAAAAGAACAAGCAAGGAUAUUUUAUUGUCAAUUGCAACCUUUAAUUUUUUUAAAUGCUAUUAGAAACACAAGAUAACAAAAAUGUAGUGAGAUGGGAUCUCCUGCAUGCCACUCUGGUUUAGAACACAAAGAAUGUGUCUGCAUAAAUAUCCUCUGAAAUUGAACAACCCACAAACACAAAGCACCUCCAAGUCGGAGGCAUUGUACAAAACAUCAAAAGCCCUUGAAUCCUUCUCGUUGCCACCAACCUCGAAUUCUUCCUUCACUAUGUAUGUUAUAGGUCCAUCAGAACUAAUAUGUUUUGUGCUAUAGUAAGAGUACAUAGCCUCCACCUCCAUCUGAAACUUCCUUAACAUUUCAUUUGUGUACAGUUUUGAGAGUUGAAAUUCAUAGUAACAUCUUGGUUUCCGGAUACAACUUGAAUUUCUUGAAUCCAUAUCUGCCAAGGCUACCAGUUGAUAAUUCGCCUGCAGUGCUUGAUCAUACUUGUCUAAGAAUUCUUUCAAAGGAGUAUUCUUAUCAAGAUAUCCUUCAAAGUAUGAAGUAGAAACCUCAUUCUGCAGGAACGAAAACACUCCUGAUAAAAAAGCUUCCUUCAAAUAAAUAGGAGCCCACCUUUUAUGAUCUUCAUAUAAAGUUUGAAUCCAUCCGUGAUCCUUUAUUCCAUGACAUUGAAUCAUGUCUUCCCAAGCUGCUUCAAAUUUCUCAGGCCUGAGAGAGUGAUAAAUUGCUCUAUGUAAUGCAGCUUUAAUAGCUUCAUAUUCAAACAAUCCUUGGAGUUUCUCUGGAAUUUUUUUGCAUGAUGCAUGACAAUGAAAAGAAAUGAUAAGCUCUUGGGAAAACAUCACCAACAGCAAUUUGCAAGAUUCUACAUUGGUCAGUGAUGAUUGUUUGUGGAGAGCGCCCUAACAUACAUGUAAGCCACGCCGUAAACAACCAUGUAUAUGAUUCUAUGGUCUCACUGGCAAGUAAACCACAACCCAACAACACUGAUUGUCCAUGAUGAUUCACCCCAAUGAAUGAAACCAGUGGUACAUCAUAUCUUUCAGUCAGGCACGUAGUAUCAAUUAAGACCACAUCACCAAAGUACCUAUAUGCAACUCUUGACCUGGUAUCAGUCCAGAAUAGGUUUUUCAAGCAUCCCUUUUCAUUUAGAUCCACUACAUUAAAAAAGUUUGGAUCUGUCAACUGCAAAUGACAAAAGAAACUCUGGACAGCUUGUGCAUCUCCUGGUUUAAGCUUCAAUUGAUUUGAGCUAUUAACAUUAUUUCCAAAUACUCCAUUAACAUCUACCAUUUCCCUUGGUAUCAAUGAUAAGAGUUCGAAACAGUUUAAUUUUUUGAACUUCUUCAGCACUAUCUAAAUGCAAUGUUCUUUUGGUUCCAAUACCUAUGUGCUUAUGUGACUUGUAAAACUUUCCGCUUCUUGGGCUUAACAAGUGGUUAUGCUCAAGCUCGACUUCAAUGAUUCUCCACCUUUUGGUUUCCAUCAACCUAAACUUUAUCAUUGCUGGACAGCCAGUUCUUGUUUCUGGUCUUGGGCGGUUUGCCUCGCUUUUCUUCUUGAAGCCUGCACUACUACAGCUCAGCUUUCCUCUAUACUUUUCUCUACUCUUUCGGUACCAUGGAUUGCUAACUCUAACACCAAAACCCUGUUCCUUGGCAUAGCAAUUGUAAAAGUAAUAUACAUCAUCAUACAUCUCAAACUCCAUUCCAACAGUAGGAGGCAAGGGAUUUUGGAUUAUCCCAGUUUGUCCAACAUAUUCAGUCAUCGCACAAUCUCCUACAACCUCAAAAUCAUCAGUGUCAUCAUCACCUACUGGUUCGGUGUUGAGAGAAACUUCAUCCAUCUACAAUGGAUGUUCAAUGAAGUGAGCUUUAAGGAGAAAAAGCAAAAUCUGUUCAAGGAAUGAUAAUAUAAUCAUACAGUUACUUUCACAAAGCUUCAUAUUUCAUCACUGCUUUACCAACAUGCAACUGCCAGAGAACAAACAGACAUGUCAUAGACGCUUGAAUUAAGUAUUGGUACAAAUGAGCACACAUCAUGUGGGACAAAAUUUCAGUCACUAAACCCAAUACCACUUUUUACAUCAUACCAAGGAACAGAUUAAACCCGACACCUUCUUUUAAACCAUACCAAGGAACAGAUUAAAUCAUCAAUGAAAAAUUAAUCACAUAAUAACUUAACCAGACAAAUGAAGAGCCUGAAACAGCACAAAACUUGAAUCUGAUUAUGAUAAUUGUUGAGUCCUUGUAUCUACAGCUUUCCUUCAAUGAUAAGACAAUGAACAUAAACGAGACACAAAAAAAUUAUUUUAAACUGACAGCCCAUGAUAUAAAUCAAACAAAAUCAACUCCUUUUUUUACACAUUACAUCUCAUAUUCAUUUACAUUGAAACACAAAAAGGAAGCAGGAGUGGGAAAAAAACAACAGCAGAGGAACUUAUUUCCAUAAGGUUUACGAAAUAAGGAAUCUAUUAAAACCCAAAACUUGAGGUCACCACUAAGAAUUUGGUUCUCAUUAUUUUUUUCUUCAUUUUUCACCAAUUGAUGAACUUAAAAUACAAUCAUAAAUGAUAAAACCCCAUCUCCAUCUUUUUGAACUAGAGCUAAAGCAAAGCAUUUUAAGAUGUUUCAUCAUUUUUUUUUUUAAAAAAAACUCAAUAGUACAAUGUUUUUCAAUGCUAAAUGCACAAUUCAAUCUUCUCCUAAUUUACUCUAAUAAUCUCUUAAUUAAGGAAGAUUAAGCUUCAGUUGUAAGCUAAAACAAAUUUCUUAAAUCAAGCCCCAAUGCUUUAUGCUAUUCAACAAGGGCUCAUAAAUGAUAAAACUACUUCUAUAAAGAUACCCAUUUUCUAAAUUAAUUUCACAAACUGAAAUCAAACUCCUGAAACGUAACGAGCAUUAAUAUAAUCAAGCCCGAACAAGAAUUGAAAAAUGAUACAUAAACUCGUUUACACAUUUCGACAGACACUUUGCAAUCAAUGAGCAAAAAAUUAAUGGAGAAGAUAAAAUUCAAACGAAACAUGCCUUACAUUGAUAAAUUAGAAGGGCAAAAGAAAUUUUAGUACGAUAUGCGAUCAGGGUCUUGCCACGGUGAUGUUAUUUGUGAAGUUCGAGCGACUCAGCAGCCUUCGAGGUUGAAAAUUUGAUUGACCAAAAGCUUCCCGUUCGUUGAUUCUCUAAUAGUAGAAACGAGACUGGCAGUAUACACAAGAAGUUCGCCGAUUUUAAAUUCCGUUGUUUGAGAUGGAAAAUUUUUUGAAAAAAUUAAUGUGUUCGAUGAAAAUCAAAAUCUCAAAAACCUCUUGUUUUUCAUUUUUUUGGAAAAAACCAUUGAGAUCCUUACUAUUUUUUCUUAUAUCAUCUUCCUUAAUAAUUUGCAAAGUCUAUCGCAUAGCACCCAUGUAUGAUGUAUGCUGCGUUGUAAUUUACAAAAUUGCACAUGAAUAAAUCCAGCUAAAAUUUGUUAAAAGAAAAUAAUAAUAACAUGUUAAAACUUUAAAAUUUGAUUAUUCGAAGAAAUUUUAAUUUAGUUAAGUAGGUGACAUGAUAAUAAAUAGAUACGUAUAAUGUCCGAGAUUUUUUAUAAGAUUAAUAAAUAUGAUAAAUUUGGAUUAGUUCAAUUUUGACAUAAUUCAUAAUAAACACAGCUUGCUAAUCUAAAUUGCCACCGUUACUCAUCAUCAGGUACCUGUUUGAAAAAUAAUUACAAACAAUUUUAUUUGUGUUGUUUCUCUAAAAGUUUGAGACACAAAUGUUAUUUCAAAUUGAUAAAAGUACGAAAAUUCCCCCUUGCUCUUCAACUAAAAAUGAAACAUGCAAAUAUACACACUAAUUUAGAUGUGUGAAUAACAAAUAUGGAACGACACAUGCAAAGUCAUCUGUAUAAUUGAAACGCCAUGCACUAGUAGUAGGUAAGAGAAACCAAGGUUGAAGUUGCUCCAAUGGUUACUGUUAAUUUAUUUUUAUUUAUGAUUUUUUUUGUAAAAUGUAAGAAAUAUGUAGAAAUGUUGCCAGCAAUGAUUUUGGAACUUUGCAUAAAAUUUUUAUCAUUAUUGUUUUUGGUAUUAAGAAAUCCGAGGCGGUGAUUAGACGUAUGUUGCAACAAUUAAGAAAUUUCUUAUUGGAGAUAAUUUGGUAGGUUUGCAGCAAUUAGAGAAUAAUUUUCCUGCCAGUUAAUCAAUCAAUAAUAAAUUUCAAAUUGCAGAAAAUAAAAUAAUACAGCCUCACUUAGAAUCAUCUUUUCUAUCUCUUUCAAUUGUGGCAAUCAUUUGCAACAAAUAAAUCAAUUUGAUGCACAUCAUUUCCCCAAUUCAAAGUUCAAGUCACUGCUCAAUUACAGAGUAGUUAGUGGACAUGCAUGCAUGUUUAAUUAAGUACUGCAUUGUAGUAUCGAAAAUCAUAACAUCUCACCAAUAUCAGAUUAUUAACCAUGGAAAUCAUAUCACAAUAUCAUAUAGAAUUCACAAAUCUGAAAAUCAUCACCAAACAAGUACCCAGAGAAAUAAUCUCGUCAUAUCCAGACCUCAACGGACGGGCAAUGACGUACUAUUUGGGUAACGUCACACCCUGGAGCUACACGGAUAAAUAGGAAAAUACCAUCUCAUAUCUCAUCAUAUUUGUGCAUGCAUAAUCUAGUCCCCAAGGGACAAAAGCGCCCAAGCACACGGCCCAAAGCCUCUAUGUGUACUCAGACGGGCCCCAAAGGCCUGUAUCUCAUAUGUAUCAUAUGUAUCAUUUGUAUCUCAAUAUCUGUUUGUAUCUCAUUUCCGUAUAUCUAUAAUCAUCAUACCGCAUGCAUAUGCCCCCAAAAGACAAAAGCGCCCAAACACAUGGCCCAAAGCCUUUAUAUGUGUUUAGACGGGUCCCAAAAGCCUCUUAUCUCAUCUUAUCUGUAUCACUGUAUCUGGAGAGAAGGGUACUGUCUAAUGAUUUAAAAAACAAUCAUUAUACUCAUAUUUACAUACCUCUUAAUCAUAUUUGAAAUCAUAUCACAUUUGAAUCCACUUUUCUAAUCUUUAAAAUAUUAUCAUGCUUUAUUCAAAGUCGAUACGCAAAAUCAAUAACCAAACAUUUUAAAUCAAAUUAUUAACCAUGGAAAUCAUAUCACAAUAUCAUAUAGAAUUCACAAAUCUGAAAAUCAUCACCAAAUAAGUACCCAAAGAAAUAAUCUCGUCAUAUCCGGACCUCAACGGACGGGCAAUGACGUACUAUCUGGGUAACGUCACACCUUGGAGCUACACGGAUAAAUAGAGAAAUACCAUCUCAUAUCUCAUCAUAUCUGUGCAUGCAUAAUCUAGUCCCCAAGGGACAAAAGCGCCCAAGCACACAGCCCAAAGCCUCUAUGUGUACUCAGACGGGCUCCAAAGGCCUGUAUCUCAUAUGUAUCAUAUGUAUCAUUUGUAUCUCAAUAUCUGUCUGUAUCUCAUAUCCGUAUAUCUAUAAUCAUCAUACCGCAUGCAUAUGCCCCCAAAAGACAAAAGCGCCCAAACACAUGGCCCAAAGCCUUUAUAUGUGUUCAGACGGACCCCAAAAGCCUCUCAUCUCAUCUUAUCUGUAUCACUGUAUCUGGAGGGAAGGGUACUGUCUAAUGAUUUAAAAAAUAAUCAUUAUACUCAUAUUUACAUACCUCUUAUCAUAUUUGAAAUCAUAUCACAUUUGAAUCCACUUUUCUAAUCUUUAAAAUAUUAUCAUGCUUUAUUCAAAGUCGAUACGCAAAAUCAAUAACCAAACAUUUUAAUAAAAUACCAAUGCAUAAAUAAAAUUCAUUUCGAGAAAUCAUUAAAUCAGAACAUUUAAAAUACUUAUUUCGCAAACAUGCUUUACUAUCAUCGCUAACUAUGAAAAUAAGUUUUGUAUAUUCCACUUUCAGUGAUGGUGUUCACGGUCGGUUAUCGUCCAUAUCUGCAGACCGAUUCUCGCUCGCGAAUCCUCCUAAAUCAAGGAAACGACAUAAUUAUUUUUUGUAAAUCGGAAUUAUGACUAAAUUUUAUGCAAUAAACUCAAAACGAACAUCUAUUCAUAAUUGACAACUCCUAUAUCCAUAAAAUUACUAAAAUAUCCUUGAGUCCGUAGAUCAUUAACAUGCUCCGAAAUCGUAAAUCACUGAAUUACCCUCGGAAUCGUAAUUACACCCGAUCCUCAAUUAUAGGAAUUACUAACAGAUCCACAGGCUUAGAAAUUACAAAAUUGCCCUCGUAGUGUGAAAUUACCAAAAGCCGGAAGUUGGUCAACAAUGGCUAGGAAGCUCAAAUCGUAAAGUUCCAAUCACGCUGAGUUCAAUGGUACCGGCGGUGAGCUCCAACGCGCGACAACGAUGCCAGAAUCUAGCUCGGCAGCCGUGAAUUCCACCAAUCGACCGGCGGCACAACAGUGACUCUCGGUGCCUAUGGAUGGUCGAAAAUGGAAGAGGGAGCCGUGGGGAACAAAAUCCAACCGGUGGUGUCACCAAAACCGGUGAAAAUCCCGGCGGAGCAAAGUGAAACAGUCGCGGGUUUCAUGCUUCGAUCGCCGGUGUUCCGAUUGGUUUUUGGCGAGGAGGAUGGCAAGGGAACGACAGCCGGCUUCUAAGCUUCAGAUUGGUACCAAGCUCGGCCGAAACGAUGGCCGGAAAUGGGAGAUAUGACCGGGUCAAGGUCGCGGGUUCCGGGUCGGGUUUUUUGGUCUGUAGUUGGGUCGGUUUGGUAGCUUCUCUCUCACUCUCUGUUACACGUGCAUAUGUUUCCUCUGUUUCCAGCUUAUUCUUUUGCUUUUACUAACUUCUUAACCGCCUCAUACUUAUUCAUUUUUAAUUCACAUAUGUUACAAUAAUUCCCGAGUAUUAAAUAACCAGUGGUCAUAAUUUUUGUACAAGAUUCUUUUUUUUUUUUGGAGAUCGUUAAAAGUGGUUGACGAUCCAUUUCGUAAUAUCAUAGAGGGAUCAUCAAUUCCUUUUCUUUUCUGUGGCUAGGCAACACUUUUUGGCCAAAGUAAGGAAAUCUAUUUUAGGUAAUGUAAAAACCAGUUGUAGGAUGUAAUAGUUUAUUAUGCACUGACAAUAACUUUUUGUAUAAUUGUCAGUUUAAUGAAUGCAAGAGGAACUCUGUUGGCAAAUUCAUCCAAGAUAGAUGCUAAAAUUAUUUAUGCAUGCCAGUUGCCUUAACUAAGUUUUCUCAGCACUGGUUUUGAACAGGAAAAUGAAUAUGCAAUUUGUAUAUUGUGCCAUAGUGGAGAAUUUGGAUAUUCUUAUUUAAGUAACAAGGAGAUUAUUUGCCUCAUCUUUAAACAAUGAAUCUUUGAGAGAUGAGGAGUGGGUGAUUGGAUGUGUCUUCAUGUAAUUGUUCAUUUAUUUGUAUUUUGAACUGUUAUGAAAAUCUUUAUAUGCCAAAUUAGUAAUACAAGUAUUCAGAUGAUUUUUCCUAUUGAUCAUGCAUUUGUAUCUGCCCACAACCAUUGUAUAUCACUUUAUUCUGAUGCGCAAGCAUCUGUAAUUUAGAAGAAAAGAAAUAAUAAUCAUAUUUUAUUGCUUGGUUCAUGAUUAUUAACGAUUAUGGCUUUAAAAAUCUACAAAUUUCUUGUGUUCAUGUAUGAAUGUGCCAAGUUUGCUGUAUCUUAGAUUACCUUCUUCCAAGGUAACAAGUUCAUAUAUAUAUAUUUUUUAAAUCAUUUUCCAUUACAGUUGAAUUUCAAGUGUUAGUUUUGUUAUUAGUACCUGGUUUCCUGUUAUAAGGAUCUAAUAAACAGUGUACGGAUAUGUGCUCUACUUUUGGAGGGCUUCCACGUGAAAGAAAAUUACAACAAUUGAAUUCUUCCGGAGGAUAUGGUAAUUAAUUUAUUUUCUCAACUUCUUGUAAGACUAAUAUAUUUCCUUCAGUAGGCACAGCAUGGUGGGAAGGGUUUUUAUUGAAAGAAUUCUGAUAUUUCUUAGACUUUGUUUUGGAAGGGGGUGGAGGAAUUUCUCAUCCAUAUAUGGUUACUUGAUUAGCUUUUGACUGUAUUGUCUCUGUCGUGCAAAGGAAAAUCUAAAUACUAACGAUGGGGAAUUGCUUAGGCACCCAAAAGGCAGAAAUGAAUUACAGAAGGAAGUUUUUGCUGCUUUAUUUAGUGCUGCUGAGAAAUCUGAUGAAUUUCCUGAAAUUACGGUGAAGACCGAGUGGAGGUCCAAAGCAUUAGGAAAGGUGGUGAGUGAACUGCCGGAGGAAUUUGUACCAAAAUACAAGGCUAAUGUGGUGCACUUGCAGCAAGAUAACCAGACCGGUAUGUGCUCUUAUAUUAACUAUAUUGACUGGAUUUGUGAGUGUGUGCAUUUUUUUGUGUAUACUCACUUUUGUAUUUAUGCAUAUUAACAUGUGUAGGAUUCUUGAUUUCUGCCACUUACUGGAGAACUAGUGGAAAGCUUUAUAUUGAUAUAUCUGCAAUAACUAAUGGAAACUAUGAUAUGAAUAUUUUCUCUCACCUGGGGAGCUGUGUAACAGAUAUACUUUGUGGCUCUGGAAUGCUGAAGAUUCUGCAAUAACUAAUGGAAAAUAUGAUAUGAAUAUUUUGUCUCACCUGGAGAACUUUGUUACAGAUACCCUUUGUGGCUCUGGAAUGUCUAAAGAAUGCUUUAGUUAGAUCAAAUAUCUUUUAGUUAGAAAAGAUAAAAUUCUCUGAGUCUGAAAGACUGAAACAUUUUGCAUAUUUUGUGAAAGGGAAAUAUCUGUUGAUACUAGCUCAUGCAUUGAGGUAAUAUCGAUGUUAAAGAAAAACAGCAAUGAUUUAUGAUAUAGAAUUGGGUUCACUUGCUUCAAAUGCUGGUCUGAUCAACCAUAUCAACCUGUAAUGAUUCUGCAGAAAUAUAUAUACAUGGAGAAAGUAGCUAAAUUUUUCUUUCAUUUAUGGGUUCGGUCUUUUUUCCCCUUAUUUUUCAGCUUUCCUUCUCCUGAAGUAUGUUAACAAUUGCAGAUAAUGAUGAAGACGACAGCUUCCGGGCUCUCCUUAGAGCCGUGAUGGAAUAUAGGGGCACAAUGAAGGAAUAUUGUAAAGCUGUAGGUACUUUUUCUCCUUUCAUUUAUGUUUUCUCACACAUUUUGUAUAUGCCCUGAACAUGCACCUUUGUAUGUAUCAAUUGACUUUUAAAUUUUAAAAGCCAUAAAGUAAGAAUACGGUUCCUUGUCAGGCUACUGAUGACAUUCGCUCAGGGGGAUCAUGUUCGAGCAGGAAAAUUUCUAGAACAGGUAAGGUUUCCAUCUACAGCCAUCCAUUGACAGCAGAUACAUUUUCAUUCAGCAGACUCUGUUAGCAUUCAAGAUGCUGGCAGAUUCACUUGAUUCUUAUUAGCUUGUUUAGUGGCAAAGCCUAUAACCUGUAUUUCAAAGCCAAGUUGUGCUAUUGAUUAUGUUAACUUUUUUGUUAACAUAAAAUGAUAUGGAGGAAAUAAUCAGUGUUGGAAAAUUAGGUGAAAAGAUGAUGUCAAAUCUUGAACCUCUUACGAAACUCUAAGUUCUUUACUUGAAGAGGCUACGAAAUUUGAACAGCGUCUACUCGAAGGCCUUGCCAUUCCCUGAUGCAUGCAGAAUUUUUGUAUUUAAAUGCCCAGAGCUUAAGAAGCUGCCACUGGAUCUUGAAGGGGCAGACCAAGGUAAAAAUCUUAUCAAGGGAAAGGAAGAUUGGUGGAAACAACUUAAUGGGAGGAUCAAGUAACUCAGAAUGCAUUGCUUCCAUUUUUUAAAUUGACUGACAAGUGAUUGAACGGGGCAUCAUCAACAUCAUCAACAGGGAUGGAGAGAUACCGGAGCAGAUCAGCAGGGUUUGAAUAUGACCUUUGGCGGUUGCUUUUUUUUUGUGAUUUUUUUUUCAUUUUUUCCUUCCUGUCAUUUUAUCAUUUCUUUCUCUGUUUCUAUUGCGGGUGUUACUGCAUGCUUACUGUUGCUUGACAAAGUUUGCUAGCUUUUUGUUUGCAGUGUUGCUAUACACUCCGAGUCAAGCCUCGAAAAUUUAUUAAACGAAGCCGUUUCGACAGUAACAAUUCUUUUCUUUUCCCUUUGCAUGUCUCUUUCAUCUGCUGUUUCUCUAUCACUUUUCAUUUUUGAUUUCCUUGCUUCUCAGCUGCCCCUAAAUUGUUAUUCUAGCAAUAUACUUUCUCAUCUUUGAAUUUUCAUCCUUGAGUACUCCCACAGCCGUAAUUUCAUCAUCAUAGACUUCACUUGGAAUGCUGUAUUUUUUCGAUUCUUGAGCUACUUCAAUUACAUCUUAGUAUAGGAUCCUCAUCUUCCUUUAUUUCUUCAUCUUAUGAGGUAAUAAAUGGAUUUCACAACUCAUCUACUUUUAAGCAAUUACAUAUUAUACCUUGAAUGAUUCAACUGUUCUGACAGUUAAAGAUUUUAUGCUCAACCUGCAGUGCUACGAACAUUGUCCAUGAAAGAUGAGUUUCAGCAUAUAAAAUGAAAUAUAGAUGUUUAAUCUAAAAUAACCCUUCACUGCCAGAAACCUAGGUCACAAAAUUCACAGAUAAUGAUAAAGAGCUAAAAAAUUUGAAAAACUCUACAGAUCACACAUCAAGCAAGAUAUCAUGUUUUUUUCCCUCAUUCAGUGGUGAUUGAUUCGCUUUUUGAUGAUGGAUAUGGUAUAAAAGUGUUGACCCAAUUUCAAGCAAACACAAAUAGAAACACAAACACAAUCGGGACUAGAGUUGUGGGCGAUUAUCUUAGGUGUACAAGUGAAACGGUGGUGGCUGUCGAUGGUGGUAGUGGGGUGGUUGGGUAUGCGUGAUGGCUAGAUUUUAGGACAAUAAUGAUUGGAGUUGACCUCAAUCAACGAAGGAAAGUGACAACAAUUUUGACAUCAAACGGUGCAUUUUUUAGCUUAGUAAAAUGGAGCCGUUUCGAUUUUGGGGUUUAAUCCGGGGUUUGACUCGGUGCAAGUAUCAUUUUCCUUUUGUUUAUUAAAUUUUUUUAUGGUCACAAAGUAUCACUCGUUCUAUUUGAGAGUCAUGUGAAUCAAUUUUUCAAAUUUUCAAUUUUAAAUUUUGUGGUCAAUGUGAAUUCAAUUUCAUUUGUCUCCUGCAAUUAUGAAAAAAUUAAAUAGUCAUAAUAUGGAAAAAUACACCGGUAAAAACUUUGUAAAAGCUUCGGAGUGAUACGGGGAAUUCACUUACUACUAAGGACAAUUGGUGGCAAGCUAUUCCAUUCAUUUUAUGUCCAUCCAUCUAUUUAGUUAUUGAAGAUAAGUGGUCCAUUUGUAAAUUUCAGAUUGUCUCUCUCUCCCUCUUGAAAUAACAAUAUUUAAUAUAUCUCAUAAAUUAUUAUAAAUUUUAAUUUACUCUCGAUUUAAAAUGGAGCAUGUCGAUAAAUUUUUUUUCUUCUUAAUAAAAUUGACGUAAGUUGUGUUUACAGUAGUUUGAAGUUUGAAAUAUUUUAAAGAUUAUUAUUCUAUAAGGGAGUAAUAUGAAAUGAUAUUUACUUUUCAUGUGUGAAAUGAAAAAGGACGAAGCAAGUGUCCCUGCUUUUAUUUUAUUUCAAGGAGGAGUCAUCUCACAUACUUUAGCUCUUAACAUUACAUUUUUUCUGGUUACAUUUUUUAUUUAUUUAUUUUUUUUUUUUUACACAUGCGUGUGGGUUGCUUUUCUGUAAGCUCCUUAAUAUAUAUUUAAGACAAAUCAUGGAAGAGAUGGGAUUAUAUCAAGAUGAUCAAAGAAUGUUAAAAAAGAAAAAAGAAAAAAAAAAGAAGUAAGACACUGAAAAUGGAGAAGAGAUGGAAGCAAAAGAUAUUCCAAAACAAAGCAAUCUAUCCCCUUUCGAGGGCAGACUUAUCAGGUUUAAAAAAGUACACGCUUUGGAUUGGUAGUUGCAAUCAAGGGAAAAUAAAUAGGAUCCAAUGAAAUUUAAAUCUCGGAGAAAAUAAAUAAUCAUGCAGAUUUUCAAGAUUUUAAUAAGGGAUACUAAUAUCUUAUUUUGAUUAAUAAUAUCCUUUCAUUGUGUUAACUCAAAAAAUAUAUAUUUUAAUGUUUUGCAAUAAACAGAAACGUACUAUUAAAAUGAAUAUAUAAAGAAUUUAGAAAAUUUUGAAUGUUAUAUAAAAUAAUUUUAAGAUAAUGCGUGAGAUAUAUUUUAUUAAUUUAAAAUGUUAUUUUACCUAAAAAAUAUGAUAAAUUAAUAAUUACAUAUUUGAAGUUAUUUUAAAUAUUAAAAAAAUUUAAUAUUAUUAAUCUUUUAGAUAGAUUAAAUUAUUUUUUAUAAGAGAUAGAUUAAAUUAUUUUAAAAUACGUUAAUUGUUUUUACUUUUAACGUUACCGGCCUUUCUUUUAUUUUAUUGCAAAUUAAUGCUAACAAGAAAAAGCUAGAUCAUAUUCCACAAAAGCAAAAGUGACAAACACAACCAGCUGGAAUCUUUUAAUUACUAUUCAAUAAUUCGAGACGAUUAGGGUCUUUUAUUAAACUACAAAUUGUAUAGUCUUUUUAAAAUUGUUAUAAAUUGGUGGCACCUACAAUCCUCAAUAAUUGUACCGAUAUUCACAAGUUGGUGGCCCCUACAAUUCUGUUCGGAUAAUUUAACUGUGCAAGUGCUCAUUCACAAUAAUUGUUUUGUUUUUUUUUUCUGCAUUCCCUUUCAUGCUCUUAAUAAUUGAAGAGCAUACUUUUCAUUUUCAAAUGUGGAGCCGCAGCUAAUGUCGCUAAUUUAAUUUGGGAUUAAAUUAGGGGACCAUUAUAUUGCAGUGUGCACUAAUUUUUGUGUUUAUCUAAACUCCUUAAAUUUAAGACAUAUUAUGGCAUAAAUAAGAAUAUAACAAUAGCAAAAGAGUUAAAAAGUGUAGAGAAGAUCUUGCAGAAAUAUAAAUAAUAUCUAUUUUAAAAUAAUAUCAAUAUUUAAAAUAAUUUUUAAUAUUUUAUGAUUCAUUAGAUAUAUUUUAUUAUAUUAAAGUAAAUUUUAUAAUAAAUAAAAACAUACUAUUAAAAUGAAUAUAUAGAAAAUUUAGAGUAUUUUAAGUAUUAUAUAAAAUAAUUUUAAUAAAAUAUGUGAGAUAUUCAUAUUUUAUUAAUUUAAAAUACCAUUUAACCUAAAGAUUUAUUUAUGAUAAAUUAAUAAUUAUAUUUUUGAAGUUACUUCAAAUAUUAAAAAUAUUAAUAUUACUAAUCUAUUAGAUAGAUUAAAUUAUAUAUAUUAUUUUCUAUUUAUUAAAAAAUUUAAAAUUAUUUUUAAUUACUAUUCAAAAAAUAUAAUGAUAAAAAAGAAUCUUAACAUCUUUAUUAAAAAUUUAAAAAUUUACAUGAUCAAUUCUCUAAAUAUUUAGGGUUAUAUGUGAACAACGGUGGAGAAGCUUUAUUUAAUAUUAUUGAUUUAAAUAAUAUGUCAAUUAAAAAUGUACAGAGAAGGAAAUUUCGGUGGGUAUUUUAGUCUUUUCAGCAAUUAUCAUGAUCAGAUCAGCCUUUAGCCUUGAAUCGUCGGUCAGAAAAGUUUUAAAAUUAACGCUAACAAGAAAAAGCUAGGUCAUAUUCCACAAAAGCAAAACUGACAAAACAACCAGCUGGUUUCUUUUACUAAACUACAAAUUAAAAGUGGAUUCUUUUGAAUGCAAGUGGGACAGACGAUUAGGCUCUUUUUAUUAAAGGCAAGUAAAAACUAGUCGAAUAGUCUUUUUCAAAUUGUUGUUUUAUUAUUUUUCCUUCAAAAGUUAGUGUGGCUCAUGUUUGCAGGUGCGAAUGUGGGUCCCGAAUCAUUACUAAAAUUUCUAUUCCACAGCCCACCGCAGCUUCAGUUAAUCAAACUCAAAUCAAUUUUCUUUCUUAACAAAAUAUUCCAAAGAUGUGUAGCAUUUUUCAGAUCACAUGCGAUGGUGCUCUUUUCAAUCGUUGCUUGGAUUGCUUUCUUGGAAAAGCAGCAUACAUACGUAACCUCCAAGAUAAUGUUGAUACCUUGGGCACUGAAUUGGGAAAUCUGAUCGCUAGAAAGAACGAUCUGAUGAGGAGGGUUGUCGAUGCUGAACGGCAACAAAUGAGAAGGCUGGACGGAGUGCAAGUGUGGGUUUCGAGGGUGGAUUCUGUUAAAACUGAAGCUGAUCAAUUUAUAAGAGACGGCUCUCGAGAAAUUGAAAAAUUAUGUGUUGGAGGCUACUGUUCCAAGAAUUGCAUGUCAAGCUACAAGUUCGGGAAAAAAGUGGCUAAAAAGCUACGGGAUGUGCGGACUUUAAUCAGUGAAGGAGUUUUUGAGGUGGUGGCUGACAGAGCUCCAGAGUCUGUAGCAGAUGAAAGACCUACUGAGCGAACAGUAGUAGGCUUGCAAUCACAACUUGAACAAGUCUGGAGAUGUCUUGUAGAAGAAUCAGCGGGAAUCAUUGGCCUAUAUGGUAUGGGCGGUGUUGGUAAAACUACACUACUGACCCAUAUCAACAAUAAAUUUCUCGAGAGUCCAACCAACUUUGAUUGUGCGAUUUGGGUUGUAGUUUCAAAAGACCUGCGACUCGAAAAAAUUCAAGAAGAUAUUGGGAAAAAGAUAGGUUUGGUUGGUGAUUCAUGGAAGAGUAAAAGUGUAGAGGAGAAAGCUGUCGACAUCUUCCGGAGUUUAAGAGAGAAGAGAUUUGUAUUGUUGUUAGAUGAUAUAUGGGAGCGGGUUGAUUUAACAAAGGUGGGCAUUCCACUUCCCGGACCAAAAAAUACUACCUCAAAAGUCGUAUUCACAACCCGUUUCAUCGAUGUUUGUGGUAGCAUGGAAGUUGACAGGAAGUUUCAAGUAGCAUGCUUAUCAGAAAAGGAUGCUUGGGAACUGUUUCGAGAAAAAGUUGGGGAGGAAACUCUUCAGAGUCAUCAUGAUAUCGAUGAGCUAGCCCAAAUUGUGGUCAAAGAGUGUGGUGGUUUGCCACUCGCACUUAUUACUAUUGGUCGAGCUAUGGCCUACAGAAAGAAAGCGGAGCAGUGGAGACGUGCAAUUGAAGAGUUAAGGAGAUCAGCUUCAGAGUUUGCAGGUUUGGGAAAAGAGGUUUAUCCUCUUUUAAAAUUCAGCUAUGAUAGUUUGCAGAAUGAUACGGUUAGAUCUUGUUUCUUGUACUGUUGUUUAUAUCCUGAAGAUUAUGGCAUUCUUAAAUGGGACUUGAUUGAUUGUUGGUUUGGCGAGGGAUUUUUUGGGGAAUCUGACAGGUCUGGUGCAGAAAACCAAGGAUAUGACAUUUUGGACACUCUUGUUCGUGCGUGUUUAUUAGAAGAGGUGGAAGAUGAUGAAGUAAAAAUGCAUGACGUUAUUCGUGAUAUGGCUAUAUGGAUAACUUGUGAAAUUGAGAAGGAGAAGAGAAACUUUUUGGUUCGUGCAGGUGCUGGAUUAAAAGAUGCACCGGGUGUUAAAGGAUGGGAAAAUGUGAGAAGAUUGUCAUUGAUGCAAAACCAAAUUGAAACUCUGGCAGAGGUUCCCACAUGCCCUCAUCUCCAUACUCUAUUUCUUGACUUUAAUAGGGGGUUGGAUAUGAUCGCGGAUGGCUUCUUUCAAUUUAUGCCUUCUCUCAAAGUUUUGAAGAUGUCAAACUGUUCGAAUUUGAAAUUACCUGUUGGGAUGUCAGAGUUGGGUUCAUCACUAGAACUUCUUGAUAUUUCAGAAAACAGCACAAGAGAGUUACCGGAAGAGUUAAAGAAGUUGGUAAAUCUGAAAUGUUUGAAUUUGAGGUGGACAGAGCAUUUAAAUAAAAUUCCACGGCAACUAAUAUCAAAUUCUUCAAGGUUACGUGUGUUGAGAAUGUUCGCUACUGGCCGGUUCAAUUUUCAUGAAGCACCAGAAGACAGCGUUUUAUUUGGUGGGGGUGAAGUUUUGAUACAGGAAUUGCUCGGUUUGAAAUAUUUAGAGGUAUUGGAGUUGACCUUGGGAAGUUAUCAUGCUCUCCAAAUUCUUUUGAGCUCAAAUAAGUUAAAAAGUUGUAUUCGAUCUCUUUACCUCGAGUUGACCGGAGAUACAACGUCAAUUAUUGAUGCUACGGCUUUCGCAGAUCUAAACCACCUCAAUGAAUUACGGAUUGAUAAUGGUAUUGAGUUGGAAGAGUUGAAGAUUGAUUAUACGGAGAUAGUACGAAAAAGGCGGGAACCUUUUGUUUUCCGCAGCCUUCAACGUGUUACCAUAGCGGAGUGCCAUAAAUUGAAAGAUGUGACAUUCCUCGUUUUUGCUCCAAACCUCAAGUCUCUUCGGCUAUUCUAUUGCGGUGCUAUGGAAGAAAUAAUCAGCGUCGGAAAAUUUGCUGAGACUCCUGAGAUGAUGGGACAUAUAAGCCCUUUUGAAAAUCUCCAAAUGCUUGAUUUACAAGGUUUGCCACAUUUGAAGAGCAUCUUCUGGAAGCCAUUGCCUUUCACUCAUCUGAAAGAAAUGGAGGUACUUAGGUGCGAUCGGCUUGAAAAGCUUCCACUCGAUUCCAACAGUGCAAAGGAGCGCAAAUUUGUUAUUCGUGGAGAAGAAGACUGGUGGAACCGACUUCAAUGGGAGGAUGAAGCCACUCAAAUUGCUUUUCGUUCCUGUUUUAAAAGUGAUGCUUUAUUUAUAUCUUAUUCGUGAAAAGUGAUUUAAUUUCCUGCCAAAAGACGAACGAGAAGAACAAUAGAGUCAAACUAAUGCUCACAUAAAUUUCCCGUAAGAAUAUAUAAUUAGAUUGGAAUGCACACCUCUAGAUUGAACAGAAUUAAAGCUGAGAAAAUAUUGAGUAUAGUAGCCCUCUUUACAGAAAAUGACGUGAAAGUUAAUUUAGAAAGAUAUAUUCUUGAUUAAUCCAUUUUCUGAAGUUUUUAUUUUGUAUGGUCAAUUAUACCUUCAUACUAAAAAUUUCUGAAGUUAUAAAUUAGUGCAACUUGACAAUUUUUACUGAUGAUAUCUUCUAUUUUUCCCUUUUUUUUUUUUUCACUUUCAUAGACUGGCAGCGGAUCCUGCGGCACCAAUUUGAGAGAAUAUACUGACACUACUUCGAACAGCAAGCAGAAGAAGUAAUAUGUCUACGGCAAAGGCAAUGGAGUCCUCAUUUUGGCUCGAGAUGCAGUAAUCAUCGAAGAGAGUUUCCUUGUGAAACUGGGCAACACAUUGAAUCCCUUCACCACUGAGAAGGUUGUGGAGGAAGUAAGCUUUCUCUCCAGUGAGGAAGAGGUGGCAUAUACCUUCCCCAUUUUGUUGAGGGCAGGUAGGAAUCUUUUUUCUAAGAGAUUUACUUCGUUCUCUGUAAGAAAUGCUUUGAACUUCAUCCCUCUGUCUCUAUCCUCACUUAUCAGGAAAUAAGUUGAAAGCACUAUGAAGAGAGAGAGAGAGAGAGAGAGAGAGAGAGAGAGAGAGAAUUAAGAUAUAUAGACAAGAAAAAUAUUUGACGUUGAUCUUACAAACUAAUACUUCAAGCAGUAUCCUAGAAAGCUAAAAACUGCAAGAUGGCUUGAAAUUUGAAAAGAGCACAUGCUUUUCCUCCUUAACUUGAGAAAAUGUUUAAUAUAGUGCACCUUACAGAAGCAUUUAAGCAAUUAGAACUUUGCACAAAAACAUCAAGAAGACUAAACAAGUCAGAUGCAGUGUAUUUGUCCAAGCACAAAUUGCAUUUUUUCCUCAACUUUAAUAUUUAUUGAUGAGAAUCAAUACAGGUCCCUCAUUUGUUAUAGAAAGCUUUCUUUCUUGUAGUCUCACCAGUUAAUUCAGAGGUCUAUAAUCAUCUUGCAAAGUUAAGGGCAUUUCUUUUGAUCUAAAGUCUUUGCAUCACCACCUCAUCACACGCCAAGCCAAUAUUCCAUUUACCUCUACAACAAAAAGUUUUAAUUAAACAAUCCUAAUGCACGCAGCCAAAUAAAAUGCAGUAAGAAUAUUCAACUUAAAAAUCUGAAAGCCAACUUGGUGAAUUGCCUCCUUAGGUGAAGUUCCAUGCUUUACUAUAGUUGACAGAACUCAGCAAAAGCUUCCAUACAACAGAUUUUGAAAAUGAUGAUGCCAACAGAUACUCAUUCAAUGCAUUGAAACUCCAAAGGUUCAUUGUUCAUAGAAGUUUACAGAGUUUUGGUCAUCAAAUAGCUCAGACCUAAUCCCAAACAAAAAAUGAGUGAAAAUUAGAUCACGAGCAGCUAAUUGUAAAUUCUAACUUAACUCUUCAUCUCCUUUGUAAACAAGAAACAAAAUGGAGACACGCAAAAUGAAUAUGGAGAAAAUUUGAACUCAAAUGAAAUGAGGGCAUGAAAGCAAACAAAUGGCAUGCACCAAAAAACCAAGCCUCAAUCAAAAACUAAUUAACCAUUAAGAAAAAAAUUGGUCAGAGAAUGAACUCCAAAUUCAGGAGUCAAGCAAGAAGCUUUCAUUAUUAUCAAAGUCAAUUAUCUUUGUUAGUAUGCGAGUGUGACGACUAUAGGUUGUUCUUUUUCUAAUGUCAUAUGAUUCCAAUUUUAGGUACAGGGCAUCUCUCUCUCUCUCUCUCAUCGCUAAGUGGAUAUUUUUCUCUUUUGUCAUAUACUUUAGUUAUUCUUCAAUUUACUAACUAAAAUGAAGGCCGCUUUAUUAAGAAGUUAUAUCCAGUUAUAUAAUUUGUUGUAUUUAAUAUAUGUUUGGGCUCAUAAUUUUUUUUAAAAAUAUAUAUUUCAUUCUCCAUAAUUUUUUCCCAUCAUAGCUACGAAACGUCUUAGUUUCGACUAAAAUCCUAAAAUUGGUCCUUAAUUGAAUAUGCAUUGCAAUUUGCAAAUGUAAUAUUGUGAAUGGGACACUGGAGAUACCAAAAUGGUCAAAUGCGAAAUAAGUUAGGAUUGUACGAUGUAGUUUGUAUUCAUAUUCAAUGCCUUUUUUUUCAAAAAACAAAUUGAAAUGCCAUUACUAAACGAUUCUUGAUGAUGGGAGCCACCGUGCCAGCUUUGUCGCUGAUUUGGUAUUAUUCUUAACUUGCAGAUAGUUGUGGAUAUGAUAUGCAAAAAGGUAAGGACUAUAUCUUCUUGAUGGAGGCCUCUGAUUUUUUCCCUUCUAUGUAAUUUAGUAAAUCGCAUUUUCCCUUGUGAUUGAUAUAUCAUACCAAAGUCAAGUCUUAAAUACUGCUGUCAUAUGUUAAGGUUCAACUUCCAUUUUGAUUAACGUCCAUUUGCUGCUGCUUCCAAAAGUGAGAAUGAGAUACUUUGGUUAAUUUCAGUAGUUGAACCCAAUAGAGUACUUUAUUUAGAUCUUCAUGGUUCAAAGGCCUGAAAAAACUUGCCGGUAUUUGCAAAAUGACAUUCUGUGCUUUUAUUUAGGCUUAUUAUUUAAGUGAUAAAAACUCCCGUAACCUGCUGUCAAGAAAAUUUCAGAUUGUUAAAAGACAACAUUUUGUUUCAGCCAAAAAUGUUUGUUUCGAUUAAAGACUUGAACCAUUUUCAUUUAACCUUGAUUGUGAUGCUUUACAUUAUGCAUGUUCCUCUCAAUCAAUAAAAGUUGAGGUCAUGAUUUUAUAUUUCUAUUUUGUAACUUGAAAUAAUUGGUCUGCCUGUUUCUGUAGCUUGAUAACAUGAAUUUUUCCUUCUGAAGUUAAUUUGAUCAAUAAAGUAAUUCUUCGGAGAUGAUAUGCCCAUUCUAUAGUCAUUUUCUUAGGUAACAUGUUUUUUCUUCACUCUUCAGAGCAUGUCUAAACUAAUUGAUCGCUCAGCGGAGACUUUGGGUGAGAAGACAAAAUUUCUUGGUAAAUCCUCUAAAAAGGUAUGCAUAAUUCCCGAGUAUUAAAUAAUCAUUGGUCAUAAUUUUUGUACACAACUCUUUUUUUGGAGAUCGUUAAAAGUGGUUGAUGAUCUAUUUUGUAAUAUCAUAGAGGGAUCAUGAAUUCCUGUUCUUUUCUGUGGCUAGGCAACACUUUCGGGCCAAGCUAAGGAAAUCUAUUUUAGGUAAUGUGAAAACCAGUUGUAGGAUGUAAUAGUUUAUUAUGCCCUGACAAUAACUUUUUGUAUAAUUGUCAGUUUAAUGAAUACAAGAGGAACUCUGUUGGCAAAUUCAUCCAUGAUAGAUGCUAAAAGUAUUUAUGCAUACCAGUUGCCUUAACUAAUUUUUCUCAACACUGGUAUUGAACAGGAAAAUGAAUAUGCAAUUUGUAUAUUGUGCCAUUGUGGAGAAUUUGGAUAUUCUUAUUUAAGUAACAAGGAGAGUAUUUGCCUCAUCUUUAAACAAUGAAUCUUUGAGAAAUGAGGAGUGGGUGAUUGGCAGUGUCUUCAUGUAAAUGUUCAUUUAUUUGUAUUUUGAACUAUUAUGAGAAUCUUUGUAUGCCAAAUUAGUAAUACAAAUGUUCAGAUGAUUUUUCCUGUUGAUCAUGCGUGUGUAUCUGCACACAACCAUUGUGUCCCACUUUAUUCUGAUGCACAAAUAUCUGUAGUUUAGAAGAAAAGAAAUAAUAAUCAUAUAUUAUUGCUUGGUUCAUGAUUAUUAAACGAUUAUGGCUUUAGAAAAUCCACAAAUCCUUUGUGUUCAUAUAUGAAUGUGCGAAGUUUGCUAUCUCUUAGAUUACCUUCUUCCAAGAUAACAAGUUCAUAUAUUUUUUUUAAUCCUUUUUCAUCACAGUUGAAUUUCAAGUGUAAGUUUUGUUAUUAAUAGCUGGUUUCCUGUUAUUAUGAUUUCAUAAACAGUGAGAGGAUAUGUGCUCUACUUUUGGAGGGCCUCCACAUGAAAGAAAAUUGCAACAAUUGAAUUCUUCCGGAGGGUAUGGUAUUUAAUUUAUUUUCUCAGCUUGUUGUAAGACUAAUAUAUUUCCUUCAGUACCCAAAAGGACAGAAAUGAAUUACGGAAGGAAGUUUUUGCUGCUUUAUUUAGUGCUGCUGAGAAAUCUGAUGGAUUUCCUGAAAUUACGGUGAAGACGGAGUGGAGGUCCAACGCAUUAGGAAAGGUGGUGAGUGAACCGCCGGAGGAAUUAGUACCAGAAUACAAGGCUAAUGUGGUGCACUUGCAGCAAGAUGACCAGACCUGUAUGUGCUCUUAUAUUAACUAUAUUGGUUGGAUUUGUGAGUGUGUACAUUUUUGUGUGUAUACUCACAUUUGUAUUUAUGCAUAUUAACGUGUGUAGGAUUCUUGAUUUCUGCCACUUACUGGAGAACUAGUGGAAAGCUUUAUACUGAUAUAUGUGCUAUAACUAAUGGAAACUACAAUAUGAAUAUUUUCUCUCACCUGGAGAACUGUGUAACAGAUAUAAUUUGUGGCUCUGGAAUACUGAAGAUUCUGCAAUAACUAAUGGAAAAUAUGAUAUGAAUAUUUUUUCUCACCUGGAGAACUUUGUAACAGAUACAUUUUGUGGCUCUGGAAUGUCUAAAGAAUGCUUCAGUUUAGAUCAAAUAUCUUUUAGUUAGAAAAGAUAAAAUUCUCUGAAUCUGAAAGACUGAAACAUUUUGCAUAUUUUGUGAAAGGGAAGUAUCUGUAGAUACUAGCUCAUGCAUUGAGGUAAUAUCAAUGUUAAAGAAAAACAGCAAUAAUUUAUUAUACAGAAUUAGGUUCACUUGCUUUAAAUGCUGGUCUGAUCAACCAUAACAACCUGUAAUGGUCCUGCAGAAAUAUAUAUACGGGGAGAAACUAGCUAAAUUUUCCUUUCACUUAUGGGUUUGGUCUUUUUUUCCCCUAUUUUUCAGCUUUCCUUCUCCUGAAGUAUGUUAACAAUUGCAGAUAAUGACGAAGAGGACCGCUUCCAGGCUCUUUGUAGAGCUGUGAUGGAAUAUAGGGGCACAAUGAAAGAAUAUUGUAAGGUUGUAUGUACUUUCUCUCUUGUCAUUUAUGUUUUCUCACACAUUUUGUUUAUGCCCUGAACAUGCAGCUUUGUAUGUGUCAAUUGCCUUUUACGUUUUAAAAGCCAUAAAGUAAGAAUACAGUUCCUUGUCAGGCUAUUGAUGCGUUCGCUCAGAAGGGUCAUGUUCAAGCAGGAAAACUUCUAGAACAGGUAAGGUUUCCAUCUACAGCCAUCCAUUGACAGCAGAUAUAUUUUCAUUAAGCAGACACUGUUAGCAUUCAAGAUGCUGGCAGAUUCACUUGAUUCUUAUUAGUUUGUUUAGUGGCAAGGCAUAUAACCUGUAUUUCAAAGCCAAGUUGUGCUAUUGAUUAUGUUAACUUUAUUGUUAACAUAAAGUGAUAUGGAGGACAUAAUCAAUGUAGGAAAAUUAGGUGAAGAGAUGAUGUCAAAUCUUGAACCUCUUACAAAGCUCCAAGUUCUUUACUUGAAGAAGCUGCCAAAUUUGAAGAGCGUCUACUGGAAGGCAUUUCCAUUCCCAGAUGUAUGCAGAAUUUUUGUAUUAAUGCCCAGUUCUUAAGAACCUGCCACUGGAUUUUCAAGGGGUGGGCCAAGGUAAAAUUCUUAUCAAGGGAAAGGAAGAUUGGUGGAAAGAACUUCAAUGGGAGGAUCAAGCAACUCAGAAUGCAUUGCUUCCAUUUUUCAAAUCAACUGACAAGUGAUUGAAGGGGGCAUCAUCAACAUCAUCAACAGAGAUGGAGAGAUUCUGGAGCAGAUCAGCAGGGUUUGUAUAUGAUCUUUGGUGGUUGCUUUCUUUUGUGAUUUUUUUUUUCUUCCUGUCAUUUUAUCAUUUCUUUGUCUCUUUUUUUAUUGCUGAUGUUAGUGUAUGCUUACUGUUGCUUGACAAAGUUCGCUUGCUUCUUGUUUAUUAAAUUUUUUAUCGUCACAAAAUAUUACUUGUUCUAUUUGAGAGUGAUGUGAAUCAAUUUUCAAUUAUAUAUUUUGUGGUCAAUGUGAAUUCAAUUUCAUUUGUCUCCUGCAAUUAUGAGAAAACUGCAGAGUCAUAAUAUGGAAAAGUACACCAGCAAAAACUUUGUAAAAGCUUCGGAGUGAAACAGGGAAUUCACUUACUACUAAGAACAAUUGAUGGCGAGUUAUUCCAUUCAUUUUAUGUCCAUCUAUCUAUUUAAUUAUUAAAGAUAAAUGGUCCAUUUAUAAAUUUCAGAUUGUCUCUCUCUGAAAAUAACAAUAUUUAAAAUAUCUCUUAAAUUAUUAUAAAUUUUAAUACACUCUCGAUUUAAAAUGGAACAUGCUGAUGAAAUUGUUUUCUUCUUAAUAAAAUUGAAAUAAAUUGUGUUUGCAGUAGUUUGAAAUAUUUUAAAGAUUAUUAUUUUAUAAGGGAGUAAUAUGAAAUGAAAUUUACUUUUCAUGCGUGAAAUGUUGAAAAAGGACAAAGCAAGUGUCCCUGCUUUUAUUUUUAUUUUAAAGUGGAGUCAUCUCACAUACUUUAGCUCUAUCAUUACAAUUUUUCAGGUUACAUUUUUAUUAUUUAUUUAUUUUCUUUUUUACACAUGCAUGUGGGUUACUUUUCCGUAAGCUCCUCAAUAUAUAUUGAACCCAGCGAAGAAUGUUAUGGAAGAGCAAAUUAAUGAUAUUUCUGAUAGAGUCUAUUUGAUUAUGUAGCCUGAAUGGAUGUCUUGUUGAAAGAUAUCUCAGUGCAUUAGUUCAUCCUUGUCUGUCAAUGUGUUUUUAAUGGUUUUUCCAAUUGUUUAUUAUUAUAGAUUGAUUGUAAAUUGAUAUGAAAAUUUGAUAUGAAUUUAAUGUUGAAAUGUUUUCUCUUUAGUGGAAUGAAUUUAAAAGUGCAAAAGAUUAUUGCACACAGAGAAAUAAACAUAUAUGCUUUAUAACUUUAGCAAUCGAUUCUUUUACAGCUGGAAACAGAGAUGAUGAUUAUCAUAAGGAUGAAGAAAAGUAGUGCGUUAGACGAUUAGACUCUCUUAUUAAAGGCAAGUAUAAAGUAGUGAAGAAUCCAAUAUCUCUAUUGUCUAGUCUUUUGUUUAAUUCUUCUUUUAUUAUUUUUCAGAAUAAUUUUUGGUGAUUACAAUCGGGUUAUUAUUCAGAGUUAUUGUUAUCUUCUGGGGCAGUUUCUGUUCAUCGAAUUCAUUAAUUAAAAUUUUAGAACUCUUAUCAGAAGAAUAUUUUUCGGUUAUCUUUUUUAUGUUCUAAUUCCAAUUGUAAGAAGUAGCCAUUUUAGAAUUUGGGUCUUGAAUCGAAUUUCAAUGCAUGAAUUAAUAUUAAAAAAAAAAAAUUCACUACUCGCAGUUUAGGUUACAAAUUACUUUUUGGAAAGUUGACUUUGGAAUGUUUGCAAAGAAAGAGACUAACAUAUUUCCAAUUACACUAAAUCUCUAUUAUGAUAAUGUUAAGACUAAAUUAAUUUAAAUAAUUUUUAUUUGAAAAUUAUAUCAAACGCAGUCUAAUUUUAUUAAUUUUAAGAAAUAAUAAUUAUAAAAAUUAUUGUUCUGACUUAAUUAAUACAAGUGAUAUAAAAGUUAAGUGUGCACUAAAUCUGUUUUAAUUUUUUCCAGUAUAACUAACAGAGGUCAUUACUAGAAUUAUAUUACUAGUCUAUUAGAUAGAAAAAAUUACUUAUAUUGUUUUAUAUUUAUUAAAAAAUUUAAAGCCAAUUUUUUUAAUUACUAUUUAAAGAAUAUUAUAAUUUGAAAAAUUUUAAUAUCUUUAUUAAAAAUUUAGAAAUUUACAGUCCUCUAAAUAUUUAAGGCGUAACUGUCAUUUUCUCAAGAAGCUUUAUUUAAUAUUAUUGAUUUAAAUAAUAUCUUAUUAAAAAUGUACUGAGGAGAAAUUUUGGUGGGUAUUUUAGUCUUUUCAGCAAUCAUCAUGAUUAACCUUUGGUUGGCCUUGAAACGUCGGUCAGAAAAGUUUUAAAAUGCUUAAUUGUUUUUCACUGUUAACGUUAGUGGCCUUGAAAUUGCUUAUAUUUUAUUAAAAAUUAAUGCUAACAAGAAAAAACUAGAUCGUAUUCCACCCCCAAAGCAAAAGUGAUAAAACAACCGGCUGUAUUCUUUUAUUAAACUACAAAUUAAAAUGGAUUUCUUUAAUUAAAGUGGAUAUCAUUUAAUUAAUGUUUGAACAUUAAAGUUCUGAUAUAUAACCACUAUGCCGACCACCUAAUUGCUGCUAUUUAAUUUCGUUCCAGUUCUCUCUCUCUCUCUUUUUCUUUUUUUUUUGGGCCAAGCAAUAAAUAGUAAAAAUUCAAUAAAAGCAAUAUUAAUGCUGCAAGUGAGUCAUGUUAUUUAUUGUCAAUUAGGAAAUGUGAACCUAAUUUGAUUGCAUCCCUUUAAUCAUUUAAUAAUUAUGUAAGCACCAUCCCUUUAAUUAUUUAAUAACUAGAAAAUAGAACACUGCGUUUCACGCGGCUUUGAAAAAAGAAUUUAGUAUUAUCUUUUUUUCUUACUUUACACUUGAUGAAACUGAUAAAAAAUAUGAAUUGAUUUUUUUUAAAGAUGAGGCAGCCUUAUAAAAAAUAAAAAAAGCUAUUAGCCAGCAAUACAAAUAAAGAAGGAAUGCAAGAUAAAGAAUAAAAUGAGAGAAUAUAUUAUAGAGUGAUCUUAUUCAUUCUAAUUGUGUGUGUACAAAACAAAAAGAUGAGCUCUCCUUUUAUAACUACAUAAUUACUUCAUGAAAUUAAUGAAAAAUUAUGAAUCAUAAUUUCUUGUGAGAUAGUGGGAGUUAUUGGGAAGCUAAAAGUUGCUAAUGGGAGAUAGUGGGGAGACUAAGAGAUAUAUAUUAUGAACAUCUACAUUUAUUUUAAUAAAUUCAUAACACUCCCCCUUAAAUGUUCAUUACAAAGAAUAUGCCUCAUUAAAAUCUUUACAUAAUUGUUAUUGUGUAAUAACAAUCAAAUUAAUUAUAAGAAGAUGAAAAGCCAAAUCUAACAGAAAAUUUCUCUAUUUAUUAGAUAAUAGAGAAUAUAGCAAGAUGAGAAAUGGUAAUGCCACAUCAUCUCCUCACGUCCCAACUUUAUAUAUAUAUAUAUAGAUAAUAUAUAUUAUUCCUGUCCUACAUUCACAUAUUUAAUUGUCCUUUUGAAAAUAUUCAUGAGUUAGGCCAAGUAAAGUCAAAGAAAUUGGGAAAAAGGAACAAAAGGACAAACCUAAAUUAAUUGAACCUAAUUCAUGAAAAUGCACACUUUUGUGUUGCGGACGGCGGACCCUAAAGCUUCGUUGUUUGCAGCUGCAAUUAAUUCUUUUCCUUCAAAAGUUAGAGGCUCGUGUUUACAGUGGGUCCCGAAUCGGACGUACCUAAUAAAUCUUUUAAAAAAAUUUGCCGUAUAAAGGACAGAGGUCAUUACUGAAAUUUCUCUUCCACGGGCAAUUACAGCAGCUUCAGUUAAUCAAACUCAAAUCAAUUUUCUUUCUUAACAAAAUAUUCCAAAGAUGUGUAGCAUUUUUCAGAUCACAUGCGAUGGUGCUUUUUUCAAUCGUUGCUUGGAUUGCUUUCUUGGAAAAGCAGCAUACAUACGUAACCUCCAAGAUAAUCUUGUAGCCUUGGACACUGAAUUGGGAAAUCUGAUCGCUAAAAAGAACGAUGUGAUGAGGAGGGUUGUCGAUGCUGAACGGCAACAAAUGAGAAGGCUGGACGGAGUGCAAGUGUGGGUUUCGAGGCUCGAUGCUGUUAAAACUGAAGCCGAUGAACUUAUCACAGACGGCUCUCGAGAAAUUGAAAAAUUAUGUGUUGGAGGCUACUGUUCCAAGAACUGCAGGUCAAGCUACAAAUUCGGAAAACAAGUGGCAAGAAAGCUACGAGAUGUGGAGACUUUAAUCGCCGAGGGAGUUUUUGAGUCGGUGGCUGAGAGAGCUCCGGAACCUGUGGCAGAUAAAAGACCCACUGAGCCAACAAUAGUAGGCUUGCAAUCACAGCUUGAACAAGUUUGGAGAUGUCUUCUUGUAGAAGAAUCAGCGGGAAUCAUUGGCCUAUAUGGUAUGGGCGGUGUUGGUAAAACCACACUGUUGACCCAUAUCAACAAUAAAUUUCUUGAGAGUCCCACCAACUUUGAUUGUGUGAUUUGGGUCGUAGUUUCAAAAGACCUGCGACUUGAAAAAAUUCAAGAAGAUAUUGGGAAGAAGAUAGGUCUGUUUGAUGGUUCGUGGAAGAAUAAAAGUGUUGAGGAGAAAGCCGUAGACAUCUUGCGGAGAUUAGGAGAGAAGAGGUUUGUAUUGUUGUUAGAUGAUUUAUGGGAGCGGGUUGAUUUAACAGAAGUGGGCGUUCCACUUCCCAGCCCACAAAAAUACUACAUCAAAGUCGUAUUCACGACCCGUUUCAUUGAUGUGUGUGGUAGCAUGGAAAGUCACAGGAAGUUUAAAGUGGCAUGCUUAUCAGAAGAGGAUGCUUGGGAGCUGUUUCGAGGAAAAGUAAGGCAAGAAACUCUUGAGAGUCAUCAUGAUAUCGUUGAGCUAGCCCAAACUGUGGCCAGAGAGUGUGGCGGUUUGCCACUCGCGCUUAAAACUAUAGGUCGAUCUAUGGCCUACAGAAAGACAGCUAAGGAGUGGAGACAUGCAAUUGAAAUGUUAAGGAGAUCAGCUUCAGAGUUUGCAGGUUUGGGAGAAAAGGUGUAUCGUCUUUUAAAGUUUAGCUAUGAUAGUUUGCAGAAUGAUACGAUUAGAUCUUGUUUCUUAUAUUGUUGUUUGUAUCCUGAAGAUUAUGGCAUUCUUAAAUGGGAUUUGAUUGAUUGUUGGAUUGGUGAGGGAUUCUUAGAGGAAUCUGACAGGUUUAGUGCAGAAAACCAAGGAUACUACAUUGUGGGCACUCUUGUUCAUGCAUGUUUAUUAGAAGAGGUGGAAGAUGAUAAAGUAAAAAUGCAUGACGUUGUUCGUGAUAUGGCUAUAUGGAUAACCGGUGAAAUUGAGAAGGAGAAGCGAAACUUUUUGGUUUGUGCAGGUGCUGGAUUAAAAGAGGCACCGGAUGUUGAAGUAUGGGAAAAUGUGAGAAGAUUGUCAUUGAUGCAAAACCAAAUUGAAACUCUGUCAGAGGUUCCCACAUGCCCUCAUCUUCUCACUUUAUUUCUUGACUUUAAUAGGGAGUUGAAGACUAUUGCGGAUGGCUUCUUCCGAUGUAUGCCUUCUCUCAAAGUUUUGAAGAUGUCAAACUCUGGAAAGCCUUGGAAAGGUUUGGAAUUAAAUUUGGGGAUGCCAAAGUUGGGUUCACUACAGCUUCUUGAUAUUUCACACACCUGCAUACAAGAUUUACCGCAAGAAUUAAAGUUGUUGGUAAAUCUGAAAUGUUUGAAUUUGAGGCGGACAAUUUGGUUAAAUAAAAUUUCAUGGCAACUAAUAUCAAAUUUUUCAAGGUUACGUGUGUUGAGAAUGUUCGCUACUGGCUGGUUCAAUUUUCAUGAAGCACCAGAAGACAGCGUUUUAUUUGGUGGGGGUGAAGUUUUGAUACAGGAAUUGCUCGGUUUGAAAUAUUUAGAGGUAUUGGAGUUGACCUUGGGAAGUUAUCAUGCUCUCCAAAUUCUUUUCAGCUCAAAUAAGCUAAAAAGUUGUAUUCGAUCUCUUUACCUCCAGUUGACCGGAGAUACAGCGUUAAUUAUUGAUGCUACGGCUUUCGCAGAUCUAAAACACCUCAAUGAAUUACGCAUUGAGUCGGCUACAAAGCUGAAAGAAUUGACGGCUGAUUAUACAGAGAUAGUUCGAAAAAGGCGGGAACCUUUUGUUUUCCGCAGCCUUCACCAUGUUACUAUACAAAGCUGCCAGAAGUUGAAAGAUUCGACAUUCCUCGUUUUUGCUCCAAACCUCAAGUCUCUUUCGAUAGUCAAAUGCAAUGCUAUGGAAGAAAUAAUCAGCGUCGGAAAAUUUGCUGAGACUCCUGAGAUGAUGGGACAUAUAAGUCCUUUUGAAAAUCUCCAAAUGAUUGAUUUACUAGGUUUGCCACAUUUGAAGAGCAUCUUCUGGAAGCCAUUGCCUUUCACUCAUCUGAAAGAAAUAUCUGUGCGUUAUUGCCCUAAUCUUAAAAAGCUUCCACUCGAUUCCAACAGUGCAAAGGAGCGUAAAUUUGUUAUUCGUGGAGAAGAAGACUGGUGGAACCCACUUCAAUGGGAGGAUGAAGCCACUCAAAUUGCUUUUCGUUCCUGUUUCCAACCCUUGUUCCUGAACAGUGGUCGCAAAAUUUGAUUUCUGGUGAGUGCGUUUGUCUUUUAAAAAGAAUAAUUUAAAAGAAAUUUAUUCUUGUCGGUUUCUUCACUGUUUUUAUUUCAGUUUCUCUCUCUCUCUCUCUCUCUCUCUCUUUUUGUCUUCUGCAAAUCACAAUUACAUUUUUAUUCUUGUCGUUUUCUUCACUGUUUUUAUUUCAGUUUCUCUCUCUCUCUCUCUCUCUCUUUUUGUCUUCUGCAAAUCACAAUCAAAUGUUGAAUUAAUGGAAUUAAUGCUUCAUAAAUUUGCCGGCACUGCCAUUACUUUUUUUUGGGGGAUCGAAUUGAUACUUUAUUUAUAUCUUCUUAGCGAUUUAAUUUCCUGUCAAAAGACGAACGAGAAGAACAUAUGACUUAAACCAAUGCUCGCAUAAACUUGCUGUAAAAAGAUAUAAUCUCACUGAAAUGCACACGCCUAGAAUGAAUAGAAUUAAAACAGGGAAAAUAUUAAGUAUAUUAGCCCUCUUUACUGAAAAUCAAAUGACAGUAAAUUUUUUGAAGUUUUGAUUUUCUAUGGUCAAUUCCACCUUUUGCAAUUUCUUCUGUUCUAACAAAAACCAAUUUCUUUGUUCAAGUAUUUUCGUUUGGAUAUUAAUAAUUCUCCACCGAAAGAGUGAACUCUUGCUCAAAGGGAUCUCUAAUAAUACAUAACAUGAUUAUUUUCGUUUGAAUAAUUGAUUUCUUGAUUGAAUUGUCGUGUAAUUGAUUUAUGGGGGAUGACACAUCAACAUACUUGAAAAUACACUAAUCUCAGCAUCAUCGGUUAAUAACUUUUAGAUUUAUGGGUAAUCAAUAGUUAAGAUUAGUUGUCAUUAAUACUAAAUAAUUUUUACUUUUUUUGUCUCUUCUAGAGGAUCUUCUAGAAAAAUGCAUCCACAAUUAAAUUUAAUACUUUACAUAAUAAACAAAGCCUAAAUGUUAAAUUUAAGAAACUGCAUUGUAUUUCAGUUGAAGUUGACUUUAAUAUUUAGGGUAGAAAAACAAUUAAUUUUAUUUUUUGAAAUGUCCAUAUUCAGAGCACAUUUCAAAAAGACUCAAUAAUUUCUCAUAAAUUUCAAUUAAAAAUAUUCAAUUUGUUGUUUCAGUUCUUUUAUUUUUUAUUUUUUCCGACAUGAAAGCGACUUAAUGUUACUAAAUUGGGUGGUCUUUGGAUUUUCAUGACCCAAUAAUUGGAACAAAACAAUUUUCUCAAGCGCUCUCCCGCAACAUUUUAUAAUUGAAGCCGCUGCCCCGCCCGUGGUUUCAAACUUUUUUCUUUCUCCUUGUUUAAAUUAAUGGGAGCAGCCUCCGUCCUUGACUAGUUGACUGCUUGUCUUCUUUUUUUUAUUAAUUAAUUAAUUCAGCCGCCCCCCUUUCUUGUCCCAAUAUCUUCUACUUUCGGUUUCCUUUUAUUAUCUCUUUAUUUUUAAAAAAUGCUUAUAAUAAUAAUAAAAUAUAAAAUAUAAAAAUAAAAAUAUAAUUUAUCAGAAAAUUAAGAUAAAGAAAUAUUAUAAGCACAUCAAUCAACAAGUGAAAAAAAAACAAUUUUAAUUUACAUUAAAUAUAAACUUUCAGUGUUAAUCAACUUUUCUAAAUAACUAAAUUAAAAAAUUAAUUGAUUUAAUUGUGGUGUAAUUGAUUUGUAGGGGAUGAAUCAGCAGCAUCAUCGGUUAACGCUUUCAGAUUUAUAGUUAAUCAAUAGUUGAGAGUUGUUAUCACUAACGCCGUGUAUUUUUUAAUGUUUUUUCUCUCUCCUACAGCAUCUUCUAGGAAAGUGCAUCCGUUGCUAAAAUUUAGUAUCGUAAAUAAUAAACCAAGAAUAAAUAUUAAAUCUAAGAAACUGUAUUGCAUUUAAUAUUUAAGGGAGAAAAAUAAUUAUAGUGUCUUUAUUAAUCAGUAAAAAAAAAAAUUAGAAUCAUAAUAAAUUGUAUUGUUAUUGAUGUAUUUAUUUUAUUUUAUACUCAAAAUAAAUUAUUUUAAAUUAUUAAAAUAAUUUAAAAUUAGUAUUUUAUUUUAUACUCAAAAUAAAUAAUUUAAAAUUUUCAUUUCUUGUUUAUUUCGCAAGUUGUUAUUGCCUAAUGCUAUGUCAACUCGAACAUUAGCAUUUUUUUUUUUGGUCCUCUUUUAACGCAAAAUUAGUGUAGGUUAAGUAACAUAAUCAAUAUUAGGACAAUUUGAAAUCCCUAUGGGUGCGUUUGGUACACUGUAUUGUAUUAUACUGUAUUGCAUUAUUUUAAUGCUGAUGUAUUGUAUUAUGUUGUAUUGCAUUAGCACUGUAUUAUAACAAUGCUAUACAAUAUUUGGUGUUACAUUGUACUGUAUUAGAUUUUAAUUAUAUUAUAUUUAGUGUUACAAUUGUUGUAACAUAAACACGACCAAAAUAAAUUGUACUAAAUAAUCUAAGUAAGAGUUCUGUAGUAUAUGUAAUAAUACUAUUUAUAUUAUUAUUAUUAAUAAUUCUAAAUUAAUAUUAUUUAAUUUUAUUCAUAUUUAAAUAUGUAUUAUUAGUUUAUUAAAUUAUUUAAAAUAAUUAAUUUAUAUAUAUUAAUUAUUGUAACUUAAUUAAAUAAUGUAAUGCUAUAUUAUAUUUUUAUAUACUAUUUAAGUAUUUAUUAUUAAUUAUAUUUAAUUAUAAAUUUAUUAAUAAAUUAUAAUAUAAAAAUAAAAAAUAAAAAUUAAUAUUGUAUAAUAUUAUAUUAAAUUAAAGUUUUAUUUUUAUUACUAUUAUUAUAAAGUAAAAAAAAAAAAAAGGGAAGCUACUGACUUUUGAAACACAAAAGUCAGUAAUACAACCUAAUCACGAGGGGGGGCGCGGGUUUUGAUAAUGCGGCAAAAGCUGCAUUGUAAUGCUGCUCAAUGCAAUCCAUUUGAUCACCAAACACAGGUAUAUUUUAACUAAUGCUGGGCCCACAAAAUAAUACAAUGCAAUUCCGCAUGCCAAACAUACCCUAUGGGUGCGUUUGGUACACUGUAUUGUAUUAUACUGUAUUGUAUUAUUUUAAUGCUGGUGUAUUGUAUUAUGCUGUAUUGCGUUAGCAUUGUAUUAUAAUAAUGUUGUACAAUGUUUGGUGUUACACUGUACUGUAUUAAUUUUUAAUUAAACUAUAUUUGGUGUUAUAUUGUAUUGUAUUAAUUUUUAUAAUUAAUUAAAUUAAAUAAUUAAAAAAUAAUAUUUAUUAAUACUUAGAAAAAUAAUAAAUAUAGAAAUCUUAAUUGUAGAAAUUUAACAAAUUUUUUAGUAAAUAUUAAAAAUUAAUGAUUAAAUUUCUAAAAUUUGUAUUAUAAUUAUGAUAAAAUAAAUUUAUAAAAUUUAAUAUUAUAUGUAAAUAAUAAAUUUAGAUUAUAAUUAAUAUUAUAAUUGUUAAUAUAAAUUAAUAAAUUAUUAUUCAAUAAUAUUCAAUUAUAUUUUAAUUUACAAUAUAUUAUUAUUUUUACAUUUUAAUAUAUUAAUAAAUUUAUAAUUUAACAUAAAUAAUUAUAAAUUUAAAUAAUAUUAAUUUUAAAAUUAAUAUUAAUGUAAAUAAUAUUAUAAUAUUAAUAUAUUAUUUUUAUAUGAAUCAUUAAUAAAUAAAAUAAUAUUAUCAUAUAAUUUAUUUUUAUAUUUUAUUCAUUAUAUUAAUAUUUAAUAAUAAAAUAAUUUAUUUUUAUAAUAUUUUAAUAAAAUAAAUUUGCCUCAAUUGAGGCAUUAACUGUUGCCUCAAUUGAGGCAAAAAGCUUCCGCAUCCCUCGGGUUUGCGUAAUGCGGCCCCAUGCCUCAUUAUGCUGCAUUAUAAUGCAGCAUAAUGAGGUGUCAAAUUUUGCCAAACAUGUUCUUGGUAAUAAACUAAUGUGAAUAGUAGUAUAAUACCACAUAAUCUCAUGCACCAAACACGCCCUAUGUGUAUUAUUCACGGUAUCUAUGAGGGCUUAUCCUUUUGCUAGAACAAACUCUAGCAAAUUGUCAAAUGUGCUUAUCCUUUCCCUUGACGACUCAUUUUAAAAUUGUCACUCAUUUUAAAAUUGUCUUUCAAUGCACAAACACAGACAUAACCGCCGACAUCGAGCACCAAGUUUGGAAUUUAAUUGAUAAGCAUACAUUUGAUAAAUUAAUGAAAAGUUUGGAGAGUAGUUUUGAUCACCCUUGAUUAGGACGGUAUUACAAAAAAGAUCAAAAAGAAAACAUCGUCUCUCUUCACAAAAAUAAAUAUUUUCCGUUAGAAUUUAAUACAAUAAUAUUUUUUUUGAUUAAAAUUUAAUUAAAUACACAAAUAAAUUAUAUAUUUUUUAAAAAAAUUUACACCCAGUCACAAGGCUGGCUAUUAAACUUAAAGGGUGGAAGCUUCGGAGACUAAAGUUGGUAACUUCUCCAAGUGGUCUUAAGUUGACCGGAACUACCCAGACUUUAUGUUUGGUAGCCUAGACCUGAUCGGACCUAGGCCCAAGUUUGGUCUUAAAGUCCACAAUUAAAUUAAAAAAAAAUUAUUUGAUUUGUAAUUGAUUUAUGGGGAAUGAAUCCGCAGCCCUAAAAUUACACCAAUCUUGACAUAAUGACAUCAUCGGUUAAAAACGUUCAGAUUUAUGGUUAAUCAAUGGUUUGAGAUUUGUUAUCAUUAAUGCUAGAUAUUUUUUAACAUUUUUUUCUAUCUCUCUUCUCCUGAAGGAUUUUCUAGGAAAAUGCAUCCACAACAAAAAUUUUAAAUUGUAAACAAUAAACAGAGUAUAAACGUUAAAUCUAAGGAACAUCGCUGCAUUUCAGCUGAAGCGAACUUUAAUAUUUUACGGAGAAAAAUAAUUAAGUCUUUAAUGUGAUUUAUUGAUUAAUAUAUAUGACUAAUUUUUUAAAAGAAGAUGAAGGAUGAAGCUUAAAAAUAUAAAUUAUAGAAUUAAUUUAUCUCUUCAAUAAAUCUAAAGUUUAUUUUUUUUAUUACAUGCUUCUAUUUUAUUUUUAUUCCAUGUUAAUGAAUGGAGAUUUAAAUCCAUUUUGGAUUUAUAAAGAUGUUUAGAUAUUUAAAUCCACGUGUGAUUCCAAACUUGAACCUUUUUUUUUUUUUUUUCUAAUUAAUGCAAACAGCCGCCUCUUUGACUGCUUUUCUUCUUUGUUUAUUAAUUAAUUAAUUCAGCUGCCCACCUUUCUUUUCCUAAUGUUUUCUACUCCCAAAUUUUUUUAAGGACAAGGCUACGUUGCAGACGCUGUACCUAACAGCUGCACCUUCGCCAGCUUAAAAAAGGGUGCAUUUGGUAAGCAACUUUUCUUUCGUGUGCAUAUGUGUCCUGCCACCAUUGGGUGUGUACGUAACAGAUAAUGUACCGUAACAAGCUCCUAUUUUUAAAUUUGUUUAUAAUGAUAAAAUAUAAAAAUUAAGAUUAAAAUGUAAUGUAAUGUAAAAUUAAAGGUGGAAGAGUAUUAAAAUAAGGCUAAACCUAUGUUACGUUUAACGUAACAUACAUUUAAAUAUAUAAAAUAUCAAUGGAAACCCUCAAAUUUUAUGGAAACUAUAUUAAUAAAAUUAAAAGAAAUAUUUUUAAAUCUGAAAGAAGAAAUAAAAGAUAUAAAGCAAGAGAUAGGAAAACUAAAAAUAGAAAUAUCUGUAAAAGAAAAAGGAAAAGAAAAAUUAGAAAUAAAAGAAACAACUCCAACUGAAUCGAAUUCAGACUAAUGGAAGAUGUAUUAGAAACUUUAACUGAAAAAUUCAGUGACAUAAAUCUUAGUGAUUUAGAAGACUUUGAAAAAGAAUAUUAGAUAAAAAUGAAUACUGCUGGAGGACCAGAAAUGAAACCUAAUGUAGCAUAACCAAGUCAUAGAUAUGGUAUAAAUAAAAUGAAAAAUAAACCUUUUUACGAGUAUAUACCUCCUAUUAAAAAUACUCCUUGGAAAAAAGAAUACAAACCAAAUCAAGAUACAUUAACCCCAAUAAAUAAUGCUGGAACAUUUUUAAAUCUAGAUUGUAAGAUAGACAUUCGAAAGGCGUUAGCAGAAUGGGUGUUACAAAUGAAAUUAUUUUUUAUAUUUAACGGGUCAAAGGAUGACUAGAAUGUAGAGACUGAAGAAGAAAAAAUAGAUAUAUUUGUUGAAAUCUUAAUAGCCAGUUUUUCAGGAAAUGUGUUUAAUUGGUGGAGAGGAUUAAGCGAUGAUACACAAAACUUAAUAAAAGAUUCAACCAAAUAGCAUUUAGAAAAAAUAAAGCCUUAGGAAUGGAAAGGAUAACUGAAUACAUAGCUAGUGAAUUUUUAGGAGAAGAUUGGCUAGAAAAAUCGGGCAUAUAUGAAAAUUUAAAAAUUUAUGAUAAAAAGAUCUUAGUGUUUUUAUUAAAAAAUUAAAAUUUACAUGACUAUUUCUUUAAAUAUUUAGGGCAUAUAUGAACCACGGAGGAGAAAAGCUUUAUUUAAUAUUUUAGAAUAGUUUUUGAUCAGUACAAUUGGGUCCUUAUUCAGAAUUAUUGUUCUCUUCCGCAACAGUUUUUGUUUAUCAAAGUCGUCAAUUAAAAUUUUAGAAUUCUUAUCAGAAGAAGUAGUCGUUUUAGAAGUUGGGUCUUGGAUCAAAUUUCUACGAGUGCAUGAAUUAACAAUAAAAAAAUUUCAUUACACACGGUUUAAGCUACAAACUACUAUUUGCACAGUUGACUAUAAAACUUACCUCCAAUUACACUAAACCUCUCUAUUUGGUAACGUUGAGACUAAAUUAAUUUUAUUAGCAUGAAAAGAUGAUAGAAAUAUAAUUAUAAAUAUUAUUGUUGUUAAUCAAUUAGUACAUGUGAUAUAAAGGUUAAAUGUGCACUAUAUUUAAUAAUUAAUUAGUGGAGCAUGUUAAACAAAAUGUUAAUGUAUAUUUAUAUAGUGUUAGGAAUAUGCAAAGUCAAGUCCUCAAUUUGCAUUAUCCUGUAUAGAAUAUUACUCUAAAAAUGUUUUACUAUAAUUGGCUUAGAACAUUUGUAAAGAAAAAUAAUAAUAAAAUAAUAAAUAACAUACACCGUCACAUAGCACCUAGACAAUGAUAGAAAAUUAUUAAAGAGAGUGCAAACAAUUAAUUAGAGAUUUUUAUGAUGACUUUUAAUAUUCAUGAUAAUAACAAAUAAAUACAUGUAUCACUUUUUUAAAAUAUUAAAUUUGACUGCUCCAUUAAUAAAUUAUUAUUGUAAUUCAGACUCUAUCUAUAUAUCCUUGCACUAAGAAUAAUUAAGGUAACGUUUGUUUUUUAACUUAAUGACUUAAAGUGACUUAACUUAAUUAAUUAAGUUAAUUAGAGGUGUUUGUUUUAUAACUUAAUGAGACUUUUUAGAUAAUUUUGACUUAAUAAAAUAAGCUAAUUUUUUUUGGCUUUUUACUUAAUGGAGAAAUCUGAAUUAAGUCAAUUACUUGCUAAUGUCAAAAAUAUCCUUGUUUUAUAAUUUAUUUUUCAUGUCUAUCCCAAAACUCGCCCGUAGAUAUUUACCCCACAUAAAAAUAUCCCUGUUUUUUUCUUUCUUAUAUUAUAUACGAUAAAAUUUGAAAUUUAUAGUAUUUUAUAUAUUAAAAUUCUAAAAUAAUUAUGUAUUCACUUGAAUAUAGUUUUACUUAUAAAUGUUAAAAUAUGAUGGUAUUUAAUAUAUUAUUUAUUUGACAUUCAAAUUUAAUAAGGAUACAAAUGUAAAAGUACAUAUUUUCAGCUUUUUAAAUUGAAAAAAAAUAACUUAAUAUUUAUUUUCUGAGAUUCAGACGAAAAAAUAAACAUAUUAUUCAGAUUCAUACAUUCAGAUCUAUUCAGAAUUCAAACUAAUUCAAGUCUAUUCAAAUUUUAGACAAAAAAAUAAACGCCACCUAAGUCAUAAUAAAAAUUUUCGUAACUACAUCUCGUUUCUUCCUCAUAAUAAUAAUUAGAUUGGUUCGAAUAUUAUAACUAUAUAGAUUUAGUGUAUAGCCACAUCCAAUUUAAAUAUUGACCCAAUUGGGAUGGUCCCCAAAAAAAAAGAUUCGUUAAAGGAUAAUUCUAAUUAUUUUUACUUCUCAAACGUUAGUGGGACGUUUCUAUUAGCGCACUCGUAAGCCAAGUUGUCAAAUAUUUAUACUAAACUACAAUUGCUAACAAGAAAAAUCAAGAUCGUGUUAAGCAAGUGGGUCCCGAAUAGGACGUGCAAAUCUCUCGUAAGUCAAGUUGUCAAAUGUUUAUAUAAAACUAACAAUUACUGACAAGAAAAAUCAAGAUCGUAUUAAAAAUGGGUCCCGAAUAGGAUUAUCUUUUUAAGAAUAUUAUUAUUUUAUUAUUAAAAUUUUAUUAAUAUAACAGUAUUAAAAUUUAUUAAAAAAUAUAUUUUAUUAUUAAAAUUUUAUACCGUUAUCAAUUUAUUAUUAUUUUAUUAAAAAAAUUAAUAUUUAACAAAAAUUGAGAUAAAAAUUAAUUUUUGUUCUCUGUCUUUAUUUAUUUAUUUAUUUUUUUGGGUCUUCUGCAAAUCACAAUCAAAUGUUGAAUUAUAAAUUUGCCGGCAUUGCUUUUUUUUUUUUUUUUGGGCCGGGGGGUGGUGUUGAAUUGAUGCUCUGGGUUUUUGACUUUUGUUGUCAAAUUUUACUCUGUUUUUCCCAAAUUGAUGCUANNNNNNNNNNNNNNNNNNNNNNNNNNNNNNNNNNNNNNNNNNNNNNNNNNNNNNNNNNNNNNNNNNNNNNNNNNNNNNNNNNNNNNNNNNNNNNNNNNNNNNNNNNNNNNNNNNNNNNNNNNNNNNNNNNNNNNNNNNNNNNNNNNNNNNNNNNNNNNNNNNNNNNNNNNNNNNNNNNNNNNNNNNNNNNNNNNNNNNNNNNNNNNNNNNNNNNNNNNNNNNNNNNNNNNNNNNNNNNNNNNNNNNNNNNNNNNNNNNNNNNNNNNNNNNNNNNNNNNNNNNNNNNNNNNNNNNNNNNNNNNNNNNNNNNNNNNNNNNNNNNNNNNNNNNNNNNNNNNNNNNNNNNNNNNNNNNNNNNNNNNNNNNNNNNNNNNNNNNNNNNNNNNNNNNNNNNNNNNNNNNNNNNNNNNNNNNNNNNNNNNNNNNNNNNNNNNNNNNNNNNNNNNNNNNNNNNNNNNNNNNNNNNNNNNNNNNNNNNNNNNNNNNNNNNNNNNNNNNNNNNNNNNNNNNNNNNNNNNNNNNNNNNNNNNNNNNNNNNNNNNNNNNNNNNNNNNNNNNNNNNNNNNNNNNNNNNNNNNNNNNNNNNNNNNNNNNNNNNNNNNNNNNNNNNNNNNNNNNNNNNNNNNNNNNNNNNNNNNNNNNNNNNNNNNNNNNNNNNNNNNNNNNNNNNNNNNNNNNNNNNNNNNNNNNNNNNNNNNNNNNNNNNNNNNNNNNNNNNNNNNNNNNNNNNNNNNNNNNNNNNNNNNNNNNNNNNNNNNNNNNNNNNNNNNNNNNNNNNNNNNNNNNNNNNNNNNNNNNNNNNNNNNNNNNNNNNNNNNNNNNNNNNNNNNNNNNNNNNNNNNNNNNNNNNNNNNNNNNNNNNNNNNNNNNNNNNNNNNNNNNNNNNNNNNNNNNNNNNNNNNNNNNNNNNNNNNNNNNNNNNNNNNNNNNNNNNNNNNNNNNNNNNNNNNNNNNNNNNNNNNNNNNNNNNNNNNNNNNNNNNNNNNNNNNNNNNNNNNNNNNNNNNNNNNNNNNNNNNNNNNNNNNNNNNNNNNNNNNNNNNNNNNNNNNNNNNNNNNNNNNNNNNNNNNNNNNNNNNNNNNNNNNNNNNNNNNNNNNNNNNNNNNNNNNNNNNNNNNNNNNNNNNNNNNNNNNNNNNNNNNNNNNNNNNNNNNNNNNNNNNNNNNNNNNNNNNNNNNNNNNNNNNNNNNNNNNNNNNNNNNNNNNNNNNNNNNNNNNNNNNNNNNNNNNNNNNNNNNNNNNNNNNNNNNNNNNNNNNNNNNNNNNNNNNNNNNNNNNNNNNNNNNNNNNGAAGGGUCUCUAAUCAAUAGCUGGAAGCAAUUGAGAAGGCGGUUGCUACAGUGAAUUCAAAUGUAAAAUGUUUGCUAUUCUUCGAUUUGGUUAAUGAUUUCGUAUGAAUAUUGUUGUUCCGUUGAGUUGCAUGCGAAUUCAAAUGCAAAAUAUUCUUCGAUUUUCAAUUUUGAAAUCAAAUUUUUUUUUCCUUCUCAAGCAUGUUAUGCAGAAACGAUUGUCAUGUUAUGCAGAAACGAUUUUUACUAAAUCAUUUUUAACAAACUAUUGAAAUUAAACCACUGGAAUAAGAAUUGUAAGGAUUUAUCGUAAGCUUACUAAUACGAUAAUUCUGAAACUAUCACCUUUUUUUUUUUAUUUGUUGCAGGGAAACCCAAAUUUUGUAUUUUGUCAAUUUCAUCUGAUAUGGAAUUUAUUUCCUCCCUAAAGAUUUAUCAAACUGCUUCUCUUCCCUGCUUCAAUAUCUUUAUGCAAUUACGAUCUCAUAGGAAAAGAGAGUUUGGGUUGUAUAUCUUAUAGUAUUUAUUUAUUUUUUGUUAAAAGAAAUUUAUUUUAAAAUAGUUUAUAGCAACAGUUUUUAUUUAACAAUAAUGAGGAAGGAUUAUUAUAGGUUCAAAUAGUUGUUAGAACAUUAUAAAAAAGUCCAUUUACUAUCAAAUGUUUUAAAUUGGUGCAACGUGAUAAUUGUCUCAUAUAAUUUUUUAAGGGUAAAAACUCGUUUCAUUCCCAUAUUUUAAGAUUAUUACUCAUUUAGUCUUUAUAUUUUUAAAAAUGUUUCAAAACAUUCAUACCCUUAAAUUAUUAACAUCUCUGCUGUUACUUUUUAUUUUUUUUUGACUUGUUUUUACAAUAUUGCCCUCUUACAAUAAUGUUUCUUUUUAUAAAAUUAAUAAAAAGAAAAAAAAUUAAAUUAUCAAUUUAACCCCAAAAAUAAAAUAAAAAUAAAAAGAAUAAAUAUUAAUUUUUGUGAAAGUUUACAUGUGUCCAAAAUAAAUUUUAUUGUAAAAAUAAUUAAAUUGCCUUUUUUUUGGACAUUAGUAAUAAAAAAAUUAAUAUAUUAAUUCCUCAGCAGUGUGUUACAAAAAAGUAAAAUAUAUUAAUUUUGUUUUUAUUUUAGACAAUGAGAUAGAGAAAAGUACAAGAUAAAGGAAAGGACUUCAAAACUCACUGUUCAUCAUAAUGCCCUUUGCCUUUAAAAAAAAAUCAUUCUAAUAUUUUAUAACACAUAAAAUAUAAUCCUAAGAUAAAUAUAAUAAUACAUAUUUUAAACUAAUCUCGAUAUUUAAAAUAUGUUUUAAUAUUUUAUAAUCUAUCAGACAUAUUUUAUUAUAUUAAUGUAAAAUUUAUAAUAAAUACAAACAUAUUAUUAAAAUAAAUAUAUAAAAAAUAUUUAUUUUUUAUAUGUUUACACUGAGGACUCUCUUUAAUUCAUUUAUUUUCUCUCUCUCCAAACAGGUACUGUCUUCAGUUAGCAAUGCUAUGAUAGUAAUCCAAUUCUCUUCUCCCCCACCUGAGCGAGAUUUGAAUUUGAAUCCCUUGUUUUUCACCCACUCUGUUUUUUUUCACGCAAGAUUUGACAAUUUGAGUUAAAAAAUAUGGUCCAAAACUUGAACACGUAUCUUUUAAUUGUAAUAAAAGUUCUUUAAGCUUUGGAGAUGGCAUAUAUAUGGCUGGAAGUGUCCUUUUCUUUGACCUAGAGGCAGCACCAAGCUAUCCAGCAUCAUCAUUUUUCAAGUGGGUCUUAAAUGCCUAGAAACGUUGGUGUUUCUUGAUUUAAAGAUGACACAUGCUAUAAGUGUGAAUGGUUUGGCUAAGCCUAAAUUUAAAGUCUACUCAAGUCGCAUUCAGGAUCAUGGAAAUUGGAAAGGGAGAGAUGAUAGCAAGAUUUAUAAUAAACAAUUAACUUGGGUCCUCAGUGUACAAAGCAAAUGCCACGCAAGCGAUAGCCGGCCCAGCCCAGAAAACCCAGUGGCGAUCCCAGAGAUGGCCUCCUCUAACGAGUGCUGGGCCCAAAAAUCUUUGCGGGUUGAGCCCAGCUCCGGCAUAGCCCUUUUGAGCAGUAACAGUUGUCGAGACAAAAACCAGAAGACCCAACACUGUUCCAAUGACAAUGCAUACGGUAAACUCUGCCAAGAGCCUUGGCUUGUCUGGAGUCAAAAGCCAUCCACACAGAAGCAAAAAGGAACACAAACGAGCAAAUUAUCUCAAGCCAAAGGGCCUGCCUAGUCCCCAAGCCGAUCUCAACAGGCCCAUCUGGCCCAGGUACGACAACAUUCAGGGUGCAGCCUCCAAGUUGUCAAAUAUUUAUAUUAAACUACAAUUGCUGACUAGAAAAAUCAAGAUCGUAUUACAAGUGGGUCCCGAAUUGGACGUGCCUAAAUCUUUUUAUAAUUUUCCCAGUGUAGCGGACAGAGGUCAUUACUAAAUUUCUCUUCCACACGCCACAGCAGCUUCGGUUAAUCAAACUCAAUCAAUUUUCUUGGCUUCUCCGCUUAUCAAUAUUACAAGGUAUGGGUAGCAUUUUUCAAAUCACAUGCGAUGGUACUAUUUUCAAUCGUUGCUUAGAUUGCUUUCUUGGAAAAGCAGCAUACAUAAGUAACCUCCAAGAUAAUCUUGUUGCCUUGGAGACUGAACUAAGGAAACUAAUCGCAGCAAAGAACGAUGUGAUGACGGCGGUUGUCAAUGCUGAACGGCAACAAAUGAGAAGGCUGGACCAAGUGCAAGUGUGGGUUUCGAGGGCGGAUGCUGUUAAAAAUGAAGCUGAUGAACUUAUCAGAGGCGGCUCUCAAGAAAUUGAAAAAUUAUGUCUUAGAGGGUUCUGUUCCAGGAACUGCACGUCAAGCUACAAGUUCGGAAAACAAGUGGCUAAAAAGCUACGAGCUGUGGAGACUUUAAUCGCCGAAGGAGUUUUUGAGGCGGUGGCUGCCGAGGUGGUGCCUGAGAGAGCUCCAGAGCCUGUAGCAGAUGAAAGACCUACCGAGCGAACAGUAGUAGGCUUGCAAUCACAACUUGAACAAGUCUGGAGAUGUCUUGCAGAAGAAUCAGCGGGAAUCAUUGGCCUAUAUGGUAUGGGCGGUGUUGGUAAAACUACACUAUUGACCUAUAUCAACAAUAAAUUUCUCGAGAGUCCAACCAACUUUGAUUGUGUGAUUUGGGUAGUAGUUUCAAAAGACCUGCGACUUGAAAAACUUCAAGAAAAUAUUGGGAAAAAGAUAGGUUUGGUUGAUGAUUCAUGGAAGAGUAAAAGUGUAGAGGAGAAAGCUCUCGACAUCUUCCGGAGUUUAAGAGAGAAGAGAAUUGUAUUGCUGUUAGAUGAUAUAUGGGAGCGGGUUGAUUUAACAAAAGUGGGCGUUCCACUUCCAGGACCACAAAAUACUACCUCAAAAGUCGUAUUCACAACCCGUUUGAUCGAUGUUUGUGGUAGCAUGGAAGCUGACAGGAAGUUCAAAGUAGCAUGCUUAUCAGAAAAGGAUGCUUGGGAACUGUUUCGAAAAAAAGUUGGGGAAGAAACUCUUGGAAGUCAUCAUGAUAUCGUUGAGCUAGCCCAAACUGUGGCCAAAGAGUGUGGUGGUUUGCCACUCGCACUUAUUACUAUCGGUCGAGCUAUGGCCUACAAAAAGACAGCCGAAGAGUGGAGACACGCAGUUGAAGUUCUAAGAAGAUCAGCUUCGGAAUUUGCAGGUUUGGGAAAAGAGGUGUAUCCUCUUUUAAAGUUUAGCUAUGAUAGUUUGCAGAAUAAGACGAUUAGAUCUUGUUUCUUAUAUUGUUGUUUAUAUCCUGAAGAUUAUGGCAUUCUUAAAUGGGACUUGAUUGACUGUUGGAUUGGUGAGGGAUUCUUAGAGGAAUCUGACAGGUUUGGUGCAGAAAACCAAGGAUACUACAUUGUGGGCACUCUUGUUCAUGCGUGUUUACUAGAAGAGAUAGAAGAUGAUAAAGUAAAAAUGCAUGACGUUGUUCGUGAUAUGGCUCUAUGGAUAGCUUGUGAAAUUGAGAAGGAGAAGAGAAACUUUUUGGUUUGUGCAGGUGCGGGACUAAAGGAGGCACCUGAUGUUAAAAGAUGGGAAAAUGUGAGAAGAUUGUCAUUGAUGCAAAACCAAAUUGAAACUUUGUCAGAGGUUCCUGCAUGCCCUCAUCUCCAUACUCUAUUUCUUGCCUCUAAUAAUAGUUUGCAGAGGAUCACCGAUGGCUUCUUCCAAUUUAUGCCUUCUCUCAAAGUUUUCAAGAUGUCAAACUGCGGGAAUUUAAUUUUGGAAUUACCUUUUGGGAUGUCAAAGUUGGGUUCAUUGGAACUUCUCGAUAUUUCACAUACCUACAUACAAGAGUUACCACAAGAGUUAAAGUUGUUGGUAAAUCUGAAAUGUUUGAAUUUGAGGUGGACAAGCGAGUUAAAUAAAAUUCCACGGCAGCUAAUAUCAAAUUCUUCAAGGUUACGUGUGUUGAGAAUGUUGGGUACUGGCUGGUUCAAUUUUCAUGAAGCAUCAGAAGACAGCGUUUUAUUUGGCGGGGGUGAAGUUUUAGUACGGGAAUUGCUCGGUUUGAAAUAUUUAGAGGUAUUGGAGUUGACCUUGCGAAGUUAUCAUGCUCUCCAAAUUGUUUUGAGCUCAAAUAAGUUAAAAAGUUGUAUUCGAUCUCUUUACCUCCAGUUGACCGGAGAUAGAAAGUCGAUUAUUGAUGCUACGGCUUUCGCAGAUCUAAACCACCUCAAUGAAUGAUUGAUUUUUAAAGGUUUUGAGUUGGAAGAAUUGAAGAUUGAUUAUACAGAGAUAGUACGAAAAAGGCGGGAACCUUUUGUUUUCCGCAGCCUUCACCGUGUUACCAUAGAUUCGUGCCUUAAAUUGAAAGAUUUGACAUUCCUCGUUUUUGCUCCAAACCUCAAGUCUCUUUCGCUAUUCAAUUGCCGUGCUAUGGAAGAAAUAAUCAGCGUUGGAAAAUUUGCUGAGGUUCCUGAGAUGAUGGGACAUAUAAGCCCUUUUGAAAAUCUCCGAAGUCUUCGUUUGUCACAUUUGCCAAAUUUGAAGAGCAUCUACUGGAAGCCAUUGCCUUUCACUCAUCUGAAAGAAAUGGUGGUACAUGGGUGUGAUCAGCUUAAAAAGCUUCCACUCGAUUCCAACAGUGCAAAAGAGCGUAAAUUUGUUAUUCGUGGACAAGCAGACUGGUGGGACCGACUUCAAUGGGAGGAUGAAGCCACUCAAAUUGCUUUUAGUUCCUGUUUCCAACCUUAACUUGAUUUCUGGUUAGUGCUGUUUCCUUAACUUUUACAUAUAUUCUCGUCGUUUGCUUCGUGCAAAAUACUAGGUCUUUUGUUCUCUGUUUUUAUUUCGCCCAUUUUUUUUUUUUUUUUUUGUCUUCUGCAAAUGACAGACAAAUGUUGAACUAAAAGGAAUUAAUGCUUUAUAACUUUGCCGGCAUUGCUUUUUUCUUUUUCUUUUUUGAUUUUUUGGGGCGAGGGGGGAUCGAAUAGAUGCUCUGGUUUUUGACUUUUUGUUGUCAAAUUUUACUCUGUUUUUUUCAAAUUGAUGCUUGAAUAUUUGAAUCAAAUUAAUGCUCACGUAAAUUUGUUCAGUUGCCGUAAAAGGAUAUAAUUACACUGAAAUACACAAACUCUAGAAUGAAUAGAAUUAAACAGAGAAAAUCUUGAGUAUAUUAGCCGUCUUCACAUAAAAUCAUAUGAAAAUUAAAUUUUGAAGUUUUUAUUUUCUAUUUUUAAUCAUACCCUUUAUAAUUUCUUCUGUUCUAACUACAAUAAAAUUUUUGGUUCAAGGAUUUUUAUGAGGGGUAUUAAUAAUAGUCCACCAAAAGAGUGAACAGUUGGAUGCUGCCCUAAGGGUCUCUAAUCAAUAGCUGGAAGCAAUUGAGAAGGCGGUCGUUACUGUGUACAAAGCCAUGCAGUAUUUGCUAUUCAUCUUAGUAAUUAUGAAGCUUUGGUAAAAUUUUCAAACAAAGUUGACAUGUUAUUUUGAGAUUUGGUUCAUGAUUUUGUAUGAAUAUCGUUGUUCCAUUGAGUUGUAUAUGAAUUCAAAUGUAAAAUAUUCUUUGGUUUUCAAUUUUGAAUUCAAUUUCUUUUCUUAAGCAUGUUGUGCAGAAAUGAUUUCUACUAAAUCAUUUUUGAUAAACUACUUAAAUUAAACAACUGCAAUAAGAACUGUUAAGGAUUUAUCGUAAGCAGACUAAUAUGAUAAUUCUGAAACUAUCAUUUUUUUUUUCAAUUUGUUGCAGGGAAAGCCAAAUUUUGUAUUUUUCAGUUUUAUCUGAUAUGGAAUUUAUUUCCUCUACACUAGCUACCUAAAGAUUUAUCAAAUUGCUUCUCUUCCCUGCUUCAAAUUAAUAUCUUUAUGCAACUACAAUCUCAUAGGAAAAGACAGUUUGGGUUGUAUUUAUUAUAGUUUUUUUUUUCGUUAAGAGCAAUUUAUUUUAAAAUCGUUUAGUAGUAACAGUUUUUAUUGAAUAAUAAUGGGGUAGGAUUAUUAUAGGUUCAACUAGUUGUUAGAACAUUAUAAAAAGUCCAUUUACUAUCAAAUGCUUUAAAUUGGUGCAACAUGAUAAUUGUCCCACAUAAUUUUUAAUAAUAUAUAUGGCCCAUAAAUUUAAUAUGAAUAAAUGAGUUUCGAUAGUUAAAUUUGAUACGAUUAUUAAAUAAGUUAUAUCCAUGUCAAUUCGACUUAAAAUCUGGUAAAUUUAGAUUUAGAGUUUAUAACAUGAUAACUUGUUUUAUGACAUGAUUUACUAAUCAAUUAAUAUUAAAUUAUAUUUUAGCCAAUCAGAUAUGUGGUACAUUUGUCAAAUUUUAAAAAUUAUUUAUUUAUAUAUGAAAUAAAUUUGACUAGACUGUGUGUAGGUAAUAGUGCAUAAUUUCUAAAAAAAUGUAAUAAUAACACGUUAAAAUGUUAUUUUUAUGAAGAAAAAUUGAAAUUUUAUUAAAUAGGCGACACAAUAAUAAAUGGGUUGAGAUUAUUUACAUUUUAAGAAUUACUCUGAACAUUAUUUUAUUUUAUAAAUUUUAUAUUACAAAAACACCCAUAGUUUAAUUUACCAUUAAGAACAAUUUUGUGCGAUUAAAUAAAAUACAUUACUCUUUACCCUUUCACUACAUCGACAUAAAUCCUAAUUGUUAUGUUUCUAAUUUCUUUGAUAUGCUUAUUGAAGUCCACAUUAUAAUCAAUUUUAAACUAUUAUACCACUUAAAUACAUUUUAGAAUGAGAAGUUUGGUUUUCUUCAUGGGCUGCCUUGCUGAUGCUGUUAUUGAAACUAUCGAACUUAAUAAUUUUAUGGCCAAAAUGAUAUAUGUUGAACCAGCUUUUACAUCGAAUUCUACCACCAUAAAAAAUCGUACUUGUAACAUCUCAAGGUUCCAAUUUAUCAAAAGUUAAUCAUUCAUAUUUGUUAGUUCCUAACAGUCACAAGAGCGUACAAGCCAAUUUUUGUAGCUCCUUUUUCUGCAGUAGAUUCAAGUAUAUUAUUAUCAAGCAUUUUUGUUACACCCUUAAUUCCUUAUCAUCAUCCCUUCAUUCAGAGCAACUAAACAGAGGUCAAUGUCAUUAUGUUAGAGUUACGAGGAAGAGUACUGCCAAAAAAGUUCUUUGUAUGGGAUUUAAUUUUCUGGGUUUGUAGUGAUGAACAAAUUGAGGGUUGUUUUGGUAUUUUCAAGAGUGUAUUGAGUGAAAAUUAUUUUUAAAAAAUUUAACAAAUGAGUGUAAUGAGUAAAAAAGUGUUUAAAGUAUUUUUUAGAGUACAAAUAGCUCCACCUUAAUAAAUGAGUUCUUGUAAAAAUUGAGAUUAUUGAUAUAAUUAUUAAAUAGGUUGGAUUGAAGUUAGUUUAAUUUUGACAAGAUAAUAAGACGACGCGACACAAAUACAACCAACCAGUCAACCCAAAUUGCAACCUUUUACUAAUAAAAGAUACCUGUUUGAAAAGUAAUUAUAAGCUAUCUUCUUUGUGUUAUUUCUCUAAAAAUUUGCGGCACAAAUAUUAUUUCCAUGGAGAAAAGUACGAAAUACCCGCUUUCACUUCAGCAGAAGCAAAGCAAAGCUAUGAGCCAUCUCUGUAUAAUUGAAACGCCAUUGCUAAACGGUUCUUGAUGAUGGGUGCCACCGUGCCAGCGUUGUCGCUGAUUUGCAUGAUUUAUUAGUUGUUCAGAUGGCGGAUUUUGUACUGUCACUUUCAUUUCAUUCUUGAGAGCCACGUACAAUACUAGGUGGCAUUGAAGUUGCCCCAGUGGUUAGUUUUCUGAUUUUUUUUAAUUCAAAUUUUUAUGUUUUAGAAAAAUGUAAGAAAUAUGUAGAAAUGUUGACAGCUACAAUUUUGAAACUUUGCCUAAAAUUAUUAUCGUUGCUUAUUGUUUCUUAGCUAAAGAGAAAUCCUAGAAACAUGAAAUUAUUAUUCUAUGCUUGUUUUAAUAUUAUACAUUAGCAGGUUAAUUAAAAAUUAGACGUGAAUACAACAAGAGAUAAGUGGAGAGAAUUUGGUAGUCGACCGCAUUUAGAAUUUAAUUUUUCUUUUAGCUGCCGAUCAUUAAAUUUUAUAUUUCAGAAAAUUAUACCUAGAAUAUUUCAAGGAUAUACUACGAAGAUUAUGAAGGUUUGAUUACAUGUCACUAUCAAUUGCCUCAAUCAUUUGUAGUAAAUUAAUUAAUCAUUUUGCUGCAAAUGAUUUCCUAUUAAAAAAUUCAAGUCAGAGCUGAAUUGCACAGUAGUUAGUCGUGCUUGCAAUUCAAAUCAAGUAUUGUAUUUUCUGCCUGAUUUGGUUGAUUCAACUAUGUGCAUUUGCAUAAUGGAGAUGCUUAUGAACGUUGUAGUAUAGAAAUCGAAACGUCUUGUCUUUUGCUAAGCCCAGAAGCAAAGUUCUUUGUAUUAUACUCAUCAGUUUUCUUCGUUCUCUUCGUUGAAAUUUUAUCCAAACAGCGGUUUCUUCGAAUUUUUGCCCUCUCUUACAUUUUUAAAUCUAUCAAAGAACGGUUACCUGAGAAGAUUGCCAUCAGGUAUUUCGAAAUUGAUUUCACUACAAUACCUUAAUCUAUCAGAUUUUAAUCUAUCAGAUGCUCCCGUCACUCAGUUGCCAAAAGUGACAAAAGCCUUAGUAAAUUUUUAGAGUAAAAACUCAUUUAUUCCUUAUAUUUUAAGAUUAGUAUCUAUUUAGUCCUUAUAUUUUGAAAAAUACCUUGAAACAUCACUGCCAUUAAAGUAUUGAUACCCUUACCGUUACUUUUUAUUUAUUUUGGCUUAUUUUUACAAUAUUACCCUUUAAUAAUAAUUUUUUUGUUUAGACAUUAAUAAAAAUAAAAUAAUUAAAUUACCAAUUUAAUCCUAAAAAAUAAAAAUAAAAAUUUAUAUUAAUUUUUAAUUGUAAAAAAUUGUAUGCAAACUACCAAAUGUGCAAACGGUGCUUGCAAAAAAAUUAAUAUAAAUUUUUUAUUUUUAGGGUUAAAUUAGUAAUUUAAUUAUUUUAUUUUUAUUAAUGUCCAAAAAAUUAGUAAUUUAAUUAUUUUCUUUUUAUUAAUGUCCAAAAAUUAUUAUAAAAGGGUAAUAUUAUAAAAGUAAGCUAAAAGAAAUGAAAAGUAACGGUAGGGGUAUCAAUACUUUAACGGUAGGGAUGUUUCGAGGUAUUUUUAAAAAUAUAAAGAGUAAAUGGACACUAAUAUUAAAAUACAGGGACUAAAUAAGUUUUUAUCCUAAAUCUUUAAGUGUUUGAAUUGGAGUACAUAAAUUAUCUCUCUACAAUUCAAAAACAACAGAUUUGUUACUUUUCAACGCUACAGGUUCCGCGAAUAUUCAGUUGUGGUUAUCUUGUUGAAACACCAGAAAAUAGCGUUCUAUUUGGUGGUAAUGAAUUCUUGGUUGGGGAGUUACUUAGUUUAAAACAUUUAAAUGUAUUAAGCAUCGCCUUAAAAGGUUUUUCUACCGUCCAAAAAUUUAUGAGCUCCCAAAAGUUUCAAAGUUGUACAAAAUGUUUGGAGCUUAUAGACAGUGAUGAUUCAAAGUCGUUUGCCAUGGCAGAGUUGAAGCAUCUUGAAAAACUAGGUAUUUCAAAUUGUGGAAAUUUGGAAGAGUUUAAGUUCUGCUGUGUCGAAGUUGGAAAAACUUGAGAAGAUUUUUGUUUGAACAGCCUUCACCAAGUUAAGAGAAAGGCUUGUCAUAAAUUGAGGGAAGUGACAUGGCUUGUGUUUGUACCAAAUCUUAAGGUUAUUCAGAUAGAAAAAUGUAUGGAGAUGGAGGUUGUUGGGAAAGAGACUACCACAAGCAGCUAAAAAUUAAGCGAAUACAAAAUUCUUUCUCUCUUUGUGUGAUUAAAAUAGGAUGUGCACCACAAACAAAUAAGCAGAAAAAUAAACCAAUAAAUGCAAAGCAAAAACCAACCACAAGAGACACCGAUUUUUAAGUAGAAAAUUUAAAUUGGGAAAAAUCACAGGAUAGUAGUCUGAUAUAAACUUCUACUAUAUUAAUGAGAUUACAACACAAAUUCUUCUCCAGAUAAUACUAGAUGCUAACAAUAUUAAAAUUCUCAACAAUCUUAGUUUAUAAUAAUAGAUCUAAAAUCUAUUUCUUCAAUAAGUGAGUAUCUCAAAUAAUAGCUACUGAGAGAAUAAAAUACAGAUCAACACCAGUAGAAAUAUAGAGGGCAAUGUCAGGAACUUACCCUCCAAAUUUAGGACUAAUCAGAGCUAAAAUAACCUUUUGAUUGUUGAAUCAAAGAUUGAAAACCAAAAAAAAAAAAAAUAUCUCUUUCUCUCGCAGUGUCUUCUCACUUUCGCAAAAUGUCUACAGCUCUCGCGAUUCUUUACUUAUUUCCUUAGUUAAUUUCAUCCAAGUCCAAAAUUUUACAAUAAUUACACAUCAAGCAAAUUAUUUUGGACUUUGAACUUUUUGGUCCACUGAAGUGAAAUGGACCUUACAAAUCUCCCCCUCCAUCUCAUCUAAGGGGCACCACCAAGCCCGCUCUCUACUUACAGCUUUCCAGCUUCUCCUUGGGUAAUGACUUUAUCAUCAUAUCUGAUGCAUUCUUCGUUGUGUGAAUUUCUCCAAGCUGCAACUGUUUCUACUCAAGCACGUCUUGUAUCCAAUGAUACUUCAUAUCAAUAUGCUUCGAUUUCAAAUGAUAUGUUGAAUUCUUUGCCAAGUGGAUGACACUUUAACUGUCACAGUACACAACAUAACUAUCUUGAUUAACACCUAGUUCUUGUAGAAAAUUCUUCAUCCACAAGGUUUCUUUGUAACUUUCAGUGAUUGUAAUAUACUCUACUUCUGUAGUAGACAAAGCAACACACUACUAAAGUCUAGACUGCCAUGAAACUGCUCCUCCUACAUAGGUGAGCAAAUAUCUUGAUAGAGACUUUCUAGAAUCAACAUCUCCUGCCAUAUAUGCAUCCGUAUCUACUUGUAAUAUAGGUUUGUCACCACCAAAACAUAAACAUGCCUUGGAAGUGCCUCUGAGAUAUAUGACAAUCUACUUUACUGCUGUCCAGUGUUUUUUACCCAGAUUAGAGGAAAACCAGUUGACUACCAACUGUUGAAGCGUACCUCAAACUACCAACUGUUGAAGCAUAAAAAACUCUUUUUAUCUCUUGCUUCUCUUUCUCACUUAUGGGACAAUGCUUGAAACUAAGCUUGAAAUGACCUGCAAGUGGAAAAUAAACAUAUUUUGCUUUGUCCAUAUUAUAUCUUUUAAGAACUUUUUCAACAUAUGCUUCCUGAGAUAACCAUAAAUUCCCAGUUUUUCUGUCACGAGAAAUCUUCAUGCCAAGAAUUUGUUUCGCCGAUCCCAAGUCCUUCAUUACAAAAGACUUGCUAAGCUCUCUCUUCAAAUUGUCAAUCUUACUAGUAUCCUUGCCAACAAUCAACAUGUCAUCCACAAAAAGUAAAAGAAUAAUAAAAUCAUUAUCACUAAACUUUUUCACAAACAUACAAUGAUCACACAUUGUCUUGCAAAAGCCAUGAUUCUCCAUAAAAGAAUCAAACUUCUUAUACCACUGUCUUGGUGCAUGUUUCAGCCCAUAUAAAGUUUUUUUCAAUUUGUACACAAGUUCUUCUUUACCUUUGACACUGAACUCUUCAGGUUGUUAUAUGUAUAUUUCCUCCUUUAAGUCAUCGUGUAAGAAAGCAGUCUUUACAUUGAAUUGUUCAAUUUCCAAAUCCAAGCUAGCUACUAAUCCCAGAGGUGCUUGCUCAAUUGGUUCUGCUGGACCAUUAUUAUUAUCCUCUCCAGCUCCCCUAUGAUCAUCAUGAACAACAUGUGGAGAAACCGAAGUUGGAAUAAUAAGAAUCUCUGGAGAUGGCUGAGACUUAUCAUUUUUUUUUCAUCACCAACUAUCUAAUUUUUAAGAAACACAACAUCUCUAAUUCUGAUUACUUUUCUUGUCACUGGAUCCCAUAAUCUGUACCCAAAUUCUUCAUGUCCAUAGCUUAAGAAAAUACAUUUCUUGGCUUUAUCAUCAAGUUUUGAUCUCUCAUCUUUAGGGAUAUGAACAUACACUCUGCACUUAAACACCCUCAAGUGUUUAUAAGAAACAUCUUUCCCAAUCCAAACUCUUUUAGGUACAUCGUCAUCUAAUGGAGCUUAAGGAGAAAGAUUAAUCAAAUCAACUACAGUACGCAUAGCCUCCGCUCAGAAGGAUUUAUAAAGCUUGGCAUCAGAAAACAUACAUCUGACUAUCUUUUCAAUUGUUCUGUUCAUUAUUUCUGCAACACCACUCUGCUGAGGGGAUUUUGGUACAGUUUUCUUAAGUUUGAUUCCAUGAGAUCUGCAAUACUGCUCAAAUGGUCCUCUGUACCCACCAUCAUUUUCUGCCCUGACACAUUUCAAUUUUUUUCUUGUCCCUCUCUCAACAUAAGCACGAAAGAAUUUAAACAUAGUAAGCACGAAAGAAUUUAAACAUAUCAAGCACUUAAUCUUUAGAUUUUAAAGCAAAAGUCCAUACUUUUCUAGAACAAUCAUUAAUAAAAGUCAUAAAAUAAAGUGCACCUCCUAUUGAUCUAUUUUGCAUCAUGCAAAUAUCAAUGUGAAUCAAAUCAAGGAUUUGUGACUUUCUAGAUGGAGAAAAGCUUUUAAAAGUUACUUUAUGUGCCUUUCCAGCUAAACACUAAACACAAGUCUUGAGGGACGUACCUACAAAGCUUGGUAGAAAUCCUUUUUUGGCAAGAGUUCCUAACCCUUUCUCACCAAUGUGACCAAGCCUUUUAUGCCAUGUCUCAAUGUCAGAAUUGUUUACAGCCAUAUUCAUAUAUUCUUUCUUGAUUUUGGCUUCUAUUACGUAGAGGGUGUUCAUUUUCUUUCCUUUAGCCAACACUAGAGAGCCUUUGGUGAGCUUUCAUUUUCCUUCACCAAAUUAGUUAGUAUAACUAUCAUCAUCAAUUUUUCUUGUGGAGAUCAAAUUAAGACGAAUAUCUAGUACAUGCAAGCUUUUUUGUGGAGAUCAAAUUAAGGCGAAUAUCUAGUACAUGUCUGACAUCUUUAAGGAGUAGCUUAUAGCCAACACUGGUUUGAAGCAAAUAUCUCCUAUGCCCACAAUCUUGGAUGCCCCCUCAUUUCCCAUCCGAACAUGGUCAUAAUUACCAUUAACAUAGGAUGUGAAGUAAUCAUGAUGUGCAGUUGUUGUGCAAAUUUUAAUGUACUCGCAAGCGCACGAAUCUAUUGUAGUAUAGAUCAAUGGUGACGAGUGUCGAUCCCACGAGGAGGUGGAUUUUAAUUGUGUAUAGAAUUAAUUUUGCAAAUGGUUGAUUGGAUUUGUGGUGGAAAUGAUUUGGAAUAUGCUAAAACUUAAAUUAAAAUGGCGAGAAUAAAUUCUAAAAUUGGAAUUGAAAUUGCGAGAAUAAAGUUGAAGAGAAUUCUAUUGAAAUGACGUACUUGGGUAUCUGGAUCCGUAUCAACAUGCAUCAUGGGCUAAAUAAUGCGUAUUAAUGCCAAUUAAAUCAUGAGGGGGGAAUCCACACCUCAUGAACCACGCUCUAAUCAAUAUGGUGCUAAGGGCUUAUCGUGCCAAAUAAUAAUAACCUUGUACUAGAGAGCCGGUGUAACCAAGGCGGUACUAGACAAGAUUAGUAUUAUUUGUCGACGAGAAGUCAAAACAUCCACAAAAACUAGAGGGGAAGAGAAAAUAAAUUUACCAAAUAAAGCCCAUGACACAUGUUGAGACUUCACCUUCAACCCAAGCUUAAAAGAAAAUUAGCUACUCAUAAUUGAACUAAGGGCAAAAUGGGAAUUUAUUAAAAUACGAAGAAAAUACAAGAUAGAGAGGGAAUUACAGAAAAUGGAUCCCAAAAAUGGAUUCAGAGAUAUCAAAUUAGGGGGGGAGGCCCCCUUUUUAUAGAUACAUGGAGUAAAUCAUGGCAAUCGGAUUAAAAACAGUUUGGACGCUCAGGAUUGCGCCACGUCAUCAGUCAACAGUCCACGGUUUGACCACGCGGAUGAACAGUAAUACGGUUUGACCCAUAUGAACAGUACGCGGUUUGACCCGGAUGAACAGUAACGCGGUUUGGUUGAAAAUAAUCCUGUGUGAUGCAUGCACCGUACGCGAGAUUUUUUGUCCACUGAUAUGCUGCCACGUCACCAUCAACAGUACAUAAGAAUUUUAGUCCAACAGGAUCGUGACACCUCAUCAGUCAAUGCCACAUCAUCGAUCCGUCUAUGUGAGCAGUGCCGUGAACAGUAACAUAUACAGUACCGUAUACGUGAAUAGUACCGUACAUGUGAAUAGUGCUAUUUUUCCUUUUAUGCUCCUCCUAAGGUUUUCGACCGUCCUGAGUUCAAAAGUGAUGUCCGUUUUACCGUCUGAUCUCUCCUUUAUUGUGAAAUCACUAUAAUACCACUAAAAUACAUAAAAUACUUAAUUAAAAUAAAACACAUGUAAUUAAAUCACAAGAAGGUUAAAUACAUAAAAGUAAGGGUUGUUAGUAAGACUUGAAAUGUAAAAUGAUGGUUUUCUCCUUUAUAAAUAUGCAUUUUCUAACACUCAACAGCAGUAACCACGAUGUGCAGUAACAUCAAACGAAGCACCCGAAUCAAUCACCCAAUUACUGGUAUGGCAAGUAAGAUUUAUAGAGCUAUCAUUAUAAGCAAUGCCCAUAUCACCAUUAAUUACGGCUGUAACAUUCUCUUUGUCAUUUUUCUGACCAUCGCCUUUUUCUUUCGCAUGUUCUCUUUUCCACAAUUUACACUACCUUUUUACAUGGCCCAUUUUCUGACAAUGAAAGCACUUAGCUUCUCCUAUGGGACUUAGAUCUUCCUCCAGGGUUAUCAUUAUUCUGAUGACGGAAAUUUCUGCUUCGACUUCUCCCCCGUCUUUUUUGGUUUUCUGAAACAAGUGUAGCUGACUCAGAGGGAACUACUUCAGCAUUCUUUCUUCGAGAUUCUUCAUUCCGCAGUCUAUCUGUAACCAUAUCCAAGUUUAAUUUACCAUUCGGUGCCGAAUUAUUCACUGACACCACUAAUGUCUCCCAACUAUCAGGUAAAGAACUAAGCAACAACAAUGCUUGUAACUCGUCAUCUAGAAUAAUCUUCAUAGUAGUCAACUGAUCAACCAAACCCUGAAACUCACUAGUGUGUUCAGUAAUACUGUGGCCUUUUUUAUAUUUCAAGUUAACAAGCCUUUUCAUUAGAUUGACUUUAUUUUGUGCUGUUGGCUGCUCAUAAAUUAUUUCUAAUUUUCUCCAAAGAACAUCAGCCUUGGAUUCCUUCGCGACAUGAUGGUACACACUCUGAUCAAUCCAUGACCUAAUAGUGCCCACGGCUUUCUGGUUCAAUUGAGCCCAUUUCUUAUCAUCUAUAUCAACAAGUUUAACUUCAUCACCUUCAAUAGGUUCAUGUAAGUCUUUCAUGUAGAGCAAAUCUUUCAUUCUAGACUUCCAAAUAUCAUAAUUCCACGACUCAAUUUAAUCAUGAACGCCAAAGACUCCUCUAUUUCAACCACAUAAGUAAUAAAAACACACAACCUGGCUCUGAUACCACUCUAUUGGGAAAACGACUACCACAAACAGCUACAAAUUAAGCGAAAAUAAAAUUCUUUUCCUCUUUGUGUGAUUAAAAUAGGAUGUGCACCAUAAACAAAUAAGCAGAAAAAUUAAUCAAUAAAUUCAAAGCAAAAAUCAACCACAAGAGACACCGAUUUUAACGUGGAAAAUUCAAAUCGGGAAAAACCAUGGGACAAUAGUCCGAUAUAAAUUUCCACUAUAUUAAUGGGAUUACAGUACAAAUUCUUCUCCAGAUAACACUAGAGGUUAACAACAUCAAGAUUUUCAACAAUCUUGGCUUACAAUAAUAGAUCUAAAAUCUAUUUCUUCAAUAAGUGAGUAUCUCCAAUAACAGCUAAUGAGAGAAUAAAAUAUAGAUCAACACGAGUAGAAAUGUAAAGGGCGAUGUCAGGAACUUAUCCUCCAAAUUUGGGAGAAAUCAAAGCUAAAAUUAUUUUUCGAUCGUUGAAUCAAAGAUUGAAAACCCAAAGAAAAAAAAUAUCUUUUUCUCUCGCAACGUCUUCUCACUUGCGCGAAAUGGCUACAUCUCUCGCGAUUAUUCACUUAUUUCCUUUAUAUUUUUUUUGGUUAAUUUCAUCCAAGUCUAAAAUUUUACAAUAAUUACACAUCAAGCAAAUUAUUUUGGACUUUGGGCUUUUGGUCCACUGAAGUGAGAUGGACCCUACAGAAGCAAUAAUCAGUGCAAGAAAAUUAAGUGAAGUUCCAGAGAUGAUGGCAGAUCUAAACCCUUUUGUAAAACUCCAAUAUCUUGGCCUCCGAAUUCUACCAAAAUUAAAAAAGCGUCUAUUGGAAUGUGUUGCCCUCUCCACAUGUCAGGGAAAUUUUUGUAUCUGAAUGCCCAAUUCUCAUUAGAGGAGAGGAACACUGGUGGAAUAAGUUGCAAUGGGAGGAUGAAGCAACCUAUAAUGCUUUUCUUCCUUGUUUUGGAUCCAUUUGAUGGGCAUCAACAUGGAUUAAUAUUUUGCAGCGAACCAAUUUGAAUAAAACUUACGGUAAGUGCUUUUCCAUUUAUUGCAUAUUUAUAUCUAAUUUUUGUUUUCCUUUAUGGUUAAAUUUUGCCCUGUAUAUGUUGUUGUACGGUGACAUUCUUGAAUCAAUUAUUAAUUUUUUUAAUUCUCGUCUCACAACCACCCUUUUGAUCAUGAGGAUAUGCCGAUAUCAAAGAGUCAUAAUUUGGGAUACAAAUGUAAGAAUUAGGCAGAUGACAUGUUGUUUCAAAGCUUUCGAAGAAGGACUAAAUAUGUCAUUGAAAGCCUCCAAUUUUGCGACUGAUUUUUUUUUAAUUUGUUAUUUUUAUAGGUGGCAAAAAUACCCGUCUGAUUUGGACUCGGCUGAUUUGGGCCGGGUACGGAGUAUGAAGCCGGGUUGGUCCUGGGCAUCACUUGAAACUCGGAACCUGGAUUUUAUUAAAAAAUAUUAUAAAUAUAUAUUAUUUUAAAUAUCUAUAUUUAUUAGACUCAUCUAUUACAUAUAUCUAAUUUCAUUGAAAUAAAUUUAAAAAUUAUAAAAUUACCAAUAUAUAUAUAUAUAUAUAAUAUUAAAAAAGUAUAAAAUCUGAGUCCUCAGAUUAAAACCCAGUUCAAGUGUCUAAAAAAUACAUGUGGACCGAGUUUGAACAUUGCGAUACCCAGACCCAAACUUGGGUUUUGCCAACCCUAGUCUUUUAAAUUGCUUGAUUGUAAUGUUUUAGUAUAGAAAAAUGAUAGCCAAGACAACAAUAAGAGGGCACAUUGUGCAUGCACAAUAGUGGAUAAUUUCGGCAUUCCAAAUCCAAUUAGGGUGGAUAACCUUUUAUUAGUAUUAACCUUCUCUCGUAUUCAAGUAAUGUAAAAUAUGCUUAGAAGCUGUGGAUCCCCCUUUAUAAGUGUUGGGCUUAUGCCAAACUCGAUUGAUGUGGGAUGCCUUUAUAGGCAUCAAGUUUUCUCCCAUACACUUUAUGUUAAAAAUAAUAAUGAUAAAAUAAAUCCAUUUUAAAAUAGACUUCUUUUUCUUUUCUAUAUAAACAAACUCAUUCUUCAAAUCAGUUGUGGGUGGAAGGAGUGAGUAGAGAAGAACUGGGCCCCUUUCGUUCCUCUAAAAACCUCACCAAACCUCUCUUGUAAGCUUCUCAGUGUCCCUCUCAAUAUUUCUUAUGAUCUCGUUUUUUAUUGAAUCACUUCUUUUGUGUGCUGCAUUUUUGUGUGUCGUAUUUGGGUUUAUCUUAUCUGGAAUCCUGUUAUGAUUGAUGGAACAAGUAAUCGAUUUUUGGUUUAUUUGGAAUGGAAUUAUGGUUUAUUUGGAAUGGAAUUAUCUGGGUGUAACGGAUUAAAUUAUGACAUUGGGGAGAAGGCACUAAGGGGUUUGCUUGACACAUUUGGUUCUGUGUUUACUCUGAAAGAAAUAGCUUUUGCUUAUCGUAAUGCAAGGCGAAAUCCCGAUUUGGGUGGUGAAUUUCUCUAUCCCAAUUGGGCUGGUGAAUUUCUCUGUGACAAAUAGGCAAACAGCUCAACCUCUUUUAUCUAUCUUCUACUAGUGAGGCAAGGGAUAAAAAGUCUUCAAAAUCAUCAAAUAGUAACAUCUUCGAGAAUUCAUUUUAUGCAAAUGGAAAAUCUAGACCUUCUAAGACAAAAUGGCGUCCAGUAUCAAGAGGUACCGUUUCAAGUUUUCUUGGUAAAAAUUAUGUAAACUUGCACAGCCAGCUAAUGGCACUUUUCUAGUUUUCUGGCAUCAAAGCCAUUGAAGUCGUAUCCAAAGGAGUUUCCCAUGUCUGCACUUUGUGGAGAAGGAACUAAACAAAAACAAUCAAAGGAUGACCAUUUGCAGAAGGAUGUGGAAGAUUUUCUGUUUAAAUUGCUAGGAGAAGUGUUCCAGCUGAAUAGGGAUGUGAUUCGGGAAGUUCCAGUAAUGUCUUAAAUAUGUUGAUGCCAAUUUAAUAUAUAUUGUCAUUUUCAAUGUUCUUUCUUUCUUUCUUUAUCUUCUUUUCUUCUACUUCUUCUUCUUUUUCUUUUCGUGUGCAUGUGAUCACUAAUUUGUUAUUAUACUUAACUUGCAGGUAGUUGUGGAUAUGAUAUGCAAAAGGUAAGGACUAUAUCUUCCUGAUAGAGGCCUCUGCUUUUUCCCUUUUAUGUAAUUUAGUAAAUCUCAUCUCCCUUUGUGAUUGUUAUAUCAUAUCAAAGUCAAGUCUUAAAUACUGCUGUCAUAUGUUAAGGUUCAACUUGCAUUUUGACUAACAUCCAUUUGUUGUCGCUUCCAAAAGUGAGAAUGAGAUACUUCGGUUAAUUUCAGUAGUUGAACCCAAUCGAGUACUUUAUCUAGAUCUUCAUGGUUCAAAGGCCUGAAACUUGCCCGUGAUUGUAAAAUGAUAUUAUGUGCUUUUAAUGCAAUAGGGGGAACAAGGUGUCAAAGGAAUUAGCAGAUUCUAUGGCAGAUUCUAUGCCUGUACAACUGUAACAAUUAUCCUUAUGAUUGUAAAUCUUAUAUGUUUUCCUUAUUUAGGAUAUACUAGCUGUAGGCUAUUUUAGAUAGUUAUGUAUAUGAUAGUUUAGCUAUGUUUAGGGCUAAACAUAAGCUUGUAUUCAUAGUAUAUAAAGGGAAUUCUCUUCUAAGAGAAAGCAUAACUUUUGCUCAAAAUUCUCUGAGUUUAUCAUGGUAUCAGAGCCUCAGUUCUGAAUUCUCUUCUUCCUAGUUCAUUCCCUUGUUCUUAGUUAUUCUUUUUUUUAUCAAGUUAUCUCAGCCUCAUGUCUUCAGACAAGUAUGAUGCUUUUUUGAUCCGUUUUAAUGGCACAAACUACUCAGCCUGGGCAUUUCAUUUCGAGAUAUUUGUCAAAGGCAAAGAUCUAUGGGGACAAGUUGAUGGCAGGAAACCUGCCCCUGAUAAAGAGAUAGACCAGGAUGGGUACGCCAAGUGGGAAGUCAAGGAUGCUCAAAUCAUGGCAUGGAUUCUAGGAUCUGUGGAAUCCAACUUCAUCUUGAAUCUUCGACCCUUCAAGACUGCAGCAGGAAUGUGGAAUCAUCUAAAGAAACUCUACAGUCACACCAACACUGCUCGUUGAUUUCAGCUUGAACAUGAGCUAGCCAAUCUCCAACAAGGCAGUCUCUCUAUUUCUGAUUUUUAUUCUAUCUUUAUGAUUAUUUGGGCUGAAUAUACUGAUAUAAUCUAUGCUACCUUACCUCCGAAGGUCUUAGUUUUGUUCAAUCUGUACAUGAAACUACUAAGAGAGAUCAAUUUAUGAUAAAACUGAUAUAUGAAUUUGAAAGCACUAGGUCCAAUCUUAUGAAUUGAGAAUCUGUCCCUUCCUUGGAUACAUGCCUCAAUGACUUAUUUCAUGAGGAGCAACGACUUCUUACUCAAAAUACCAUGAAACAAAAAAAAUCUACUUCUGUUCCUAUGGCUUAUGCAGCUCAAGGCAAGCCAAAAGGUAAGGACAUCAGUAUAGUUCAAUGUUUUUGUUGCAAAGGAUUUGGACAUUACGCUUCAAAUUGUUCAAAAAAAUUAUGCAACUAUUGCAAAAAAGAUGGACAUAUCAUUAAGGAAUGCCUUACUCGACCCCCCAAGAAAUCUGAAACAACAUAUGCUACCUCAGUUGGUUCUUCUAGUGAUGGUAGUUCUGUGGAUACAGCACAUUUGACCCAAAGUGCUCCUGUUCCUGUUCAAUCUGUGACCCCAUAAAUGAUUCAACAAAUGAUCAUUAUUGUAUUCUCCUCAUUAGGACUCUCAGGUAAAUCACCCACUAGAUCUCCUUGGUACUUUGAUUCUGGGGCUUCCCAUCACAUGACAAACAAUGCUAAAUUCUUCACCAAUGUAAGUAAAUACCUUAGAAAUCUAAAAAUUCAUACAGCUGAUGGCAACUCUUUACCUAUCACAGCCACUAGUGAUGUUUCUUUUUCUAUAACCAAUGUCUUUGUCUCUCCUGGUCUUCCUACUAAUCUUGUUUCAAUCGGUCAGUUAGUUGACAAUAAUUGUAAAGUAGAAUUCUCUAAAUCUAGUUGUGUUGUGCAGGAUCAGCAGUCAGGGAAGAUGAUUGCCAGGGGGCCUAAAAUAUGACGUCUUUUCCCUCUCCAAUUUGCUAAGUCUCCAUGUUUCUCUUUGCCUAUCAUCACUUGCAAUUUUACUAAGGUUAAUUAUCGAGCAUGGCAUAAACGUCUAGGACACCUAAACUCUAAUGUAUUUUAUGCUUUGCUAAAUUCUGGUUUACUUGGGAAUAAAAGAUCACCAUCCCUUAGUGUUGUUCAAUUUGAUUGCAAUUCUUGCAAGCUUGGAAAAAGUAAAAUUCUGCCAUUUCCCACUCACACACCGAAUGUUGUCCAGCCUUUUGAUUUGAUACAUAGUGAUGUGUGGGGUAUGGCGCCUGUUACAUCUCAUGCUAAUUACAAGUACUUUGUCACUUUUAUUGAUGACUAUAGUCGCUUCACAUGGAUUUAUUUUCUACAUUCUAAAGAUGAAGUGUUCUCUGUUUUCAAGCUUUUUCAUGCAUAUAUUCAGACCCAAUUUUCUACUAAUAUCAAAAUUCUUUGCUUUGAUAAUGGGGGUGAGUAUAUGUCUCAUUUAUUUUAAGAAUUUUUGCACACCAAUGGUAUAAUUUCUCAAAGAUCUUGUCCUUCAACCCCUCAACAAAAUGGGGUGGCUGAAAGAAAGAACUAUCACCUUCUCGAUGUUGUCUUCAUUUGUACCCUCUCGUUUUUGGUGUGAAGCUUUCUCCACUGUUGUCUAUCUCAUCAACAGAUUGUCCUCUCAUUCCUUGAACCAUGUCUCCCAUUUCUUUCAGUUAUUUGGCCAUACACUAAGUUACUCUCAUCUCCAUACCUUCAGUUGUGUGUGCUAUGUUCAUCUUCCUCCAUAUGAGCGUACAAAACUCACAGCCCAAGCUGUGAAAUGUGCUUUUCUAGGAUAUUUUAUGCACUAAAAAUGUUUUCUUUGUUAUGAUCCAAAUUUGCAUCAUAUAAGGGUUUCUCGAAAUGUGAUUUUCUUUGAAAAUCAGUAUUUCUUUUCCGCAUACCACGACGAUUCUUCGCCUUCAUUUUCUGUUUUGCCAAAGUUUACUAACCCUUCUGCAGAUUCUGCACCUUCUAAACCUAUCAUAGUCUAUCAGCGACGCAAGAAUUUAGUACCUCUCGGGCCCCCUCCAGCAACUUCCCUGAAUGUUGAUCCAGUUCCAGCAACUGCACCUGAACCUUUCAGACAUAGUACUCGGGUUCGUAGACCACCAGAUAGGUAUGGUUUCACCUCUCCAUUAUUUUUGACAGCCACUUUGUCUUCUAUUCUUAUUCCUUCAUCAUAUAAACAGGCAAUAGAGCAUGAAUUUUGGUGAAAAUCUAUUGAAUCAGAACUUCUUGCACUUGAAGAAAACCAAACUUGGGAUAUUGUUUCAUGUCCUCCAUCCGUGAAACCCCUUAGUAGUAAGCUAGUGUUUUCUAUCAAGCUGCGUUUUAAUGAAUCCAUAGAUCGUUACAAGGCUCGGUUGGUGGUUCUUGGCAACAAGCAAGAAUAUGGCCUAGACUACGAUGAGACCUUCGCGCCGGUAGCCAAAAUGACCACUGUUCGAACAAUAUUAGCCCUUGCUGCAUCACAAUCAUGUUCUUUACAUUAAAUGGAUGUAAAGAACGCUUUCCUACAUAGUGAUCUCAAGGAGGAAAUUUACAUGAAACUUCCCCACGGUAUGACUACUUCCUCUCCUAAUGAUGUUUGCAAACUAAAAUGUUCGUUGUAUGGGUUGAAGCAAGCACCGCGAGUAUGGUUUGAGAAGUUUCGAUCAACUCUUUUCAGUUUUUCAUUCACUCAAAGUCAGUAUGACUCCUCCUUUUUUUUUUCCAACAGACAUCUAAGGGCAUCAUUGUUCUCCUUAUUUAUGUGGAUGACAUCGUUAUCACUGGUUCUGAUAUGGAGGCAAUUUCUAAACUUCAGAAUUUGUUGCACUCUAUUUUUCACAUGAAAGACCUCGGUCAACUCACCUAUUUUUUGGGGUUAGAGGUGCAUUAUCUGCCUCAAGGUAUCUUCUUGAAUCAACACAAGUAUAUUCAGGAUUUAAUUUAAUUAGCUGGACUUAUGGACAAAAAUUCUGUUGACACCCCAGUGGAACUUAAUGUGAAAUAUCGACAAGACGAAAGGGAACUACUUCAAGAUCCUACUUAUCUAUCUAACUAUCACCCGCCCAGACAUCUCUUAUGCUGUCCACACCGUUAGCAAGUUCAUGCAAGCCCUUCGACAUCUCCACGUAUCCACAGUCCGCCGCAUCAUUAGAUAUAUUCUUGGCACUCUUAACUGCAGUUUAUUCUUCCCUACUGGUUCUUCACUCCAACUACAAGCCUACAAUGACGCAGAUUGGGCUAGCUGCCCGGACACGAGAAAAUCUACUUUGGGAUGGUGCAUGUUUCUUGGUGAUGCCCUUAGCUCUUGGAAAUGCAAAAAGCAAGACUCAGUCUCCAAAUAAUCCACUGAGGCAGAAUACCGCGCCAUGUCUGUAGCCUGCUCCAAGAUCAUUUGGUCGCGUGGUCUCUUAACAGAGCUUGGUUUCUCACAACAUCAACCUACUCCCCUACAUGCUGACAACACAAGUGCCAUCCAAAUUGUAGCCAACCCUGUCUACCAUGAGCGCAUGAAACACAUAGAGGUUGACUGCCACUCUAUUCGAGAGGCCUAUGACCACCAAGUUAUCACCCUCCUGCAUAUCUCCACUACUCUACUGAUUACGAAUAUCUUCACCAAAUCCAUGACAUGUCAGCGACAUAACGUUCUUGUUAGCAAAUUGAUGCUUGUAGAUUUACCAGCAUCAAUUUGAGGGGGGAUGUCAAAGGAAUUAGUAGAUCUUAUGGCAAAUUCUAUGCCUGUACAGCUGUAACAAUUAUCUUUAUGGUUGUAAAUCUUAUAUUUUUUCCUUAUUUAAGAUAUACUAGCUGUAGGCUAUUUUAGAUAGUUAUGUAUAUGGUAGUUUAGCCAUGUUUAUGGCUAAACAUAAGCUCGUAUUCAUAGUAUAUAAAGGGAAUUCUCCUCCAAGAGAAAGCAUAUGAAAGAAACUUAGUUCUAUAUUGUUUGGUAGGCUAGAAAAUGAAAGAAAAUAAAAGAAAAGCUUUGCAAAGAAAACUGUUAGAUCCUUUUAUUAUACCAAACUUACAGUUUAAUGACUAAAAAUUGAUAUUUAUAUUGAGCUACAAACUCUUCACACACACACACGAGAUUGUUGCAACACAUAACCAAUUGCUGUAUAACUAACUUGACACAUCAGCUCAACCAGCUAACUAACUUUGACAGGUCAGCUUAAUGAUUUGAUCUGAUACAACCAGCUACACAGCAACAUCAUGCUCUGCUCCAGCUUCAUCUAAUUCACUAACAACUUUUGCUCAAAAUUCUCUUAGUUUAUCACAGGGAAGUAUAGCUUUGGAAAAGGCCGGAUCAAUAACUAUGGAGAGAUUUAUAAGUGAUAAAAAUUCCCGUAACCCGCUGUCAAGAAAAUUUCACAUAGUUAAAGACGCCAUUUUGUUUCAGCCAAAAAUGUUUGUUUAAUCUGCCAAAAAUGUUUGUUUCGAUUAAAGACUUGAACCGUUUUCAUUUAACCUGAUUGUGAUGCUUUAUGUUAUGUAUGUUCCUCUCAAUCAAGAAAAGUUGAGGUUCAUGAUUUUAUAUUUCUAUCUUGUAACUUGCAAUAAUAACUGGUCUUCUUGUUUUUGUAGCUUGAUAACAUGAAUUUUCCUUCUCAAGUUAAUUUGAUCAAUAAAGUAAUUCUUCAAAGAAAAUAUGCCCAUUCUAUAAUCAUUUUCUUAGCUAAUAUGUUUUUUUUUUGUUUACUCUUCAGAGUGUGUCGAAACUAAUUGAUUGCUCGGCAGAGACUUUGGGUGACAAGUCAAAAUUUCAUGGUAAAUCCUCUGAAAAGGUAUGCAUAAUUCCUGAAUAUUAAAUAACCAAUGGUCAUAGUUUUUGUACACGACUCUUUUUGUGGAGAUCGUUAAAAGUGGUUGAUGAUCCAUUUGUAAUUUCAUAGAGGGAUCAUCAAUUCCUUUUCUUUUCUGUGGCUAGGCAUCACUUUCGUGCCAAAGUAAGGAAAUCUAUUUUAGGUAAUGUAAAAAACAAUGGUAGGAUGUAAUAGCUUAUUAUGCACUGACAAUAACUUUUUGUAUAAUUGUCAGUUUAAGGAAUACAAGAGGAACUCUGUUGACAAAUUCAUCCAAGAUAGAUGCUAAAAUUAUUUAUGCAUGCCAGUUGCCUUAACUAAUUUUUCUUAACACUUGUAUUGAACAGGAAAUGAGUAUGCAAUUUGUGUACGUGCCAUUGUGGAGAAUUUGGAUAUUCUUAUUUAAGUAAGAAGAAGAGUAUUUGCCUCAUCUUUAAACAAUGAAUCUUUGAGAAAUGAGGAGUGGGUGAUUGGAAGUGUCUUCAUGUAAAUGUUCAUUUACUUGUAUUUUGAACUAUUAUGAGAAUCUUUUAUAUGCCAAAUUAGUAAUACAAAUGUUCAGAUGAUUUUUCCUGUUGAUCACGCGUUUGUGUCUGCAGACAACCAUUGUAUAUCACUUUAUUCUGAUGUGCAAUUAUGUAUAGAUUAGAAGAAAAGAAAUAAUAGUCUUAUAUUAUUGUUUGGUUCAUGAUUAUUAAACGAUUAUGGCUUCAAAAAAUCUACAAAUUCCUUCUGUUCAUAUAUGAAUGUGCCAAGUUUGCUAUAUCUUAGAUUGCCUUCUUCCAAGAUAACAAGUUCAUAUGUUUUUUAAUCCUCUUCAAUCACAGUUGAAUUUUAAGUGUUAAGAUUUGUUAUUAAUACCUGGUUCCCUGUUAUUAUGAUUUUUAUUAUGAUUUCAUAAACAGUGUACGGACAUGUGCUCUACUUUUAAAGGGCCUCCACGUGAAAGAAAAUUGCAACAAUUGAAUUCUUCCGGAGGGUAUGGCAUUUAAUUUAUUUUCUCAACUUCUUGUAAGACUAAUAUAUUUCCUUCAGUAGGCAGGGCAUGUUGGGAAGGGCUUUUAUUGAAAGAAUUCUGAUAUUUCUUAGACUUUGUUUUGGAAGGGAGGUGGAGGGAUUUCUCAUCCAUAUAUGGUUACUUGAUUAGCUUUUGACUGUAUUGCCUCAGUCGUGCAAAGGAAGAUCCAAAUACUAAUGAAUGAGAAUUGGUUAGAGACCCAAAAGACAGAAAUGAACUACAGAAGGAAGUUUUUGCUGCUUUAUUUAGUGUUCCUGAGAACUCUGAUGAAGAUGGAGUGGAGGUCCAAAGCAUUAAGAAAGGUGGUGAGUGAACCGCCAGAGGAAUUGGUACCAGAAUACAAAGCUAAUGUGGUGCAUUUGCAGCAAGAUAACCAGACUAGUAUGUGCUCUUGUAUUAACUAUAUUGACUGGAUUUGUGAGCAUGUUCAUUUUUGUGUGUAUAAUCACUUUUGUAUUUAUGCAUAUUAAUGUUAGUAGGAUUCUUGAUUUCCUCCACUUACUGGAGAACUAGUGGAAAGCUUUAUAGUGAAAUAUCUGCAAUAACUAAUGGAAACCAUGAUUUGAAUAUUUUCUCUCACCUGGAGAGCUUUGUAACAGAUGUACUUUGUGGCUAUGGAAUACUAGAGAUUCUGCAAUAACUAAUGGAAACUCUGAUAUGAAUAUUUUCUCUCACCUGCAGAACUUUGUAACAGAUACACUUUGUGGCUCUGGAAUGUCUAAAGAUUUUGUCUGCUUCAGUUAGAUCAAAUAUCUUUUAGUUACCUACAUUAUGGAAAAGAUAGAGUUCUCUGAAUCUGAAAGACUGAAACAUUUUGCAUAUUUCGUGAAAGGAAAAUAUCUGUAGAUACUAGUUCAUGCAUUGAGGUAACAUCAAUGUUAAAGAAAAACAGCAAUAACUUAUUAUAUAGAAUUAGGUUCACUUGCUUUAAAUGCUGGUCUGGUCAACCAUAUGAACCUGUAAGUGUAUCUGCAGAAAUAUAUAUGGGGGGACAAACUAGCUAAAUUUUCCUCUCAUUUCUGGCUUUGGUCAUUUUUUCCCCUUAUUUUUCAGCUUUCCUUCUCCUGAAGUAUGUUAACAAUUGCAGAUAAUGACGAAGAGGACAGCUUGCAGGCUCUUCGUGGAGCUGUGAUGGAAUAUAGGGGCACAAUGAAAGAACAUUUUAAAGCUGUAGGUUCUUUUUCUCCUGUCAUUUAUAUUUGCUCACACAUUUUUCAUAUGCUCCAAGCAUGCAAGUUUGUAUGUGUCUUUGCCUUUUAAGUUUUAAAAACCAUAAGGUAAGAAUACAGUUCCUCGUCAGGUUAUUGAUGCAUUCACUCCGGAGGAUCAUGUUCGAGCAGGAAAACUUCUAGAACAGGCAAGGUUUUCCAUCUACAGCCAUCUAUUGACAACAGAUACAUUUUCAUUCAGCAGACACUGUUAGCAUUCAAGAUGCUGGCAGAUUCACUUGAUUCUUAUUAGUUUGUUUAGUGGUAAAGCAUAUAACCUGUUUUUCAAAGCCAAGUUGUGCUAUUGAUUAUGUUAACUUUAUUGUUCACAUAAAGUGAUAUGGAGGAAAUAAUCAUUGUAGGAAAAUUAGGUGAAGAGGUGAUGUCAAAUCUUGAACCUGUUACAAAACUCCAAGUUCUUUACUUGAAGAAGCUACCAAAUUUGAACAGGGUCCACUGGAAGGCCUUGCCAUUCCCUGAUGCCUGCAGAAUUUUUGUAUUUAAAUGCCCAGAGCUUAAGAAGCUGCCACCGGAUCUUGAAAGGGCAGGCCAAGGUAAAAUUCUUAUCAAGGGAAAGGAAGAUUGGUGGAAACAACUUCAAUCGGAGGAUCAAGUAACUCAGAAUGCAUUGCUUCUAUUUUUAAAAUCAACUGACAAGUGAUUGAAGGGGGCAUCAUCAACAUCAUCAACAUGGAUGGAGAGAUUCAGGAGCAGAUCCGCAGGGUUUAUUACGACCUGUGGUGGUUGCUUUUUUGUGACUUGUUCCCUUUCAUUUUUUCACUUCCUGUCAUAUUAUCAUUUCUUUGUCUCUGUUUCUAUUGCUGAUGUUGCUGCAUGCUUGCAGCCCUUGACAAAGUUAGCAAUGCAAUAUAGAUUUUGAAAUUAAAUUUUGUAUGUUCGGGACAGUCACAAAGUACUACUUGUUCUAUAUGGGGGUGAUGUGAAUCAACUUUUCAAUUAUAUAUUCUGUGGUAAUUGUGAAUUCAAUUUCAUUUGUCUCCUGCAAAUUAUGAAGAAAGUGCAGAGUUAGAAUAUCGAAAAGUUCACUGGCAAAUACUUUGUAAAAGCUUCGGAGUGAAACAGGGAAUGCACUUGCAACUAAGGACAAAUUGGUGGCCAGCUAAUGCAUUCAUUUUAUGUACAUUCAUCUUUUUAAUUAUUGAAGAUAAGUGGUUCGUUGCUUUUGUUGUAGAAAAAAUUCAGACGACCUCAAUUGUGAGAUGAAAAUAUUUAAAAUAUCUCUUAAAUUAUUAUAAACUUUAAUUUAUCUUAAUUUUAUUUAAAAGAUAAAAGAAAAAUGUGGUAUAUGGGUAAAAAUUUUUUUAUCUUGUUAAUAAAAUGAAAUAAAUUAAAAUUUACAAUAAUUUAAAGUAUUUUAAAAUUAUUAUUUCAUAAGAGAUUAAUAUGAAAUUAAUCCUUUUUACUUUUUGAAUGUGAAAGGACAAGAAAAGAGAAAGCUAGUGUCACUGCUUUUUAUUUUAUUUGAAAUCGGAGUUAUCCCAUAUACUUUACUACUUUAGCUCUAACAUUACAAUGUUUUUAGGCUACACUUUUAUUUUUCUUUUUCCCCCUUUUUUUAUACAUGCAUGUGGAUUACUUUUCUCUAAGCUCCUUAAUAUUUAAGACAAAUCAUAAAAGCAAUUGAAGCAUAACAAGAUGAUCAAAACAUUUAACCGAAAAAAAAAGAAAUAAAACAUUGAAAAUGGAGAUGUUGAUUAAUUUAGAAGAGAUGCAAGCAAAAAAUAUUCCCAAAAAAAAAAAAAAAAAAAGCAACGUUAGUUCAUCCAUGUCUGUCAAUGCGUUUUUUAUGGUUUUUUUUUUCCAGUUGUUUGUUGUAAUAGAUUAAUUGUAAAUUGAUAUAAACUUGAUGUUGUAAUAUGUUCGCUUUUGUGGAAAUAAAUUUCAAUAUUCAAGAUUAUUCAAGUCUUAUCUAGUAUGUGUUCGGUUGUGUUGUCGAUAAUUUUACAUUCUAAUAAGUUUUCACCUAAAAUAUUAGCAUGAGUAGUAGUCCUUAAACCUUUGGUCAAAAUUAUUGUUAUUGUUUCUUUUAGAGGAAAUUUUUUUAUUAAAGCCUCGUUAACACUAUUCCUUAUUAAGAUUAUAAGUUAGUGUCGGUGCAGGAUUUGCAGCGACAAAUCUUGUCUAGCCACGUGUCAAAAUACAAAUAAAUCAAGGGAAAGCACAUGACAUGGAUUAGGAUCCAAUAAAAUUUAAAUCCCAAGGAAAAGGACAACUGUAUCCUAAAGUUUCAAUAAGAGAUACUGGGAUAUCUUUUGACUAAUGUUAUUUUUUGGCUUUAUUAAUAAAAAGAUCCAAUAGUUUAUAACAAAUAAAAAUAUAGUAUUAAGCUAAAUGUGAUAAUUUACACAUUUUACAUAAUUUCAAUAAAAAUUUUUUUAAUGUUUUACAAUCUAUCAGACAUAUUUUAUUAAAUUAAUAAGAAUUUUCUUAUAAAUAGCAACAUAAUAUUAAAAUAAAUUUAUAAAAAUUUAAAUGUAAAAUAAUUUUAGUAUAAUUAAUACGCGGGAUAUAUUUUGUAAAUUAUAAAAUUACUUAACCCAAUGAUUUUUAAAAAUCUUUAAAAUAAAUAAAAAUAAAUUAUUCACAUUUUGAUGUAAAUAUUUAAAACAUUUUUAUACAUUAGUCCACAAUUAUUUAUGUUAUAUUUGUAUUUAUUAGAAAUUUUGAAAGUCAAAUGUUUUUUACCUCUAUGUUAUUAGAAUUAUUGCACACAGAGAAAGAGCCAUAUAUGCUUUAUAACUUUAAAAUCGAUUUGUUUUAUAGCUGGGAAUAGAGAUGAUCAUUAUUAUAAGGAUUUUUUAAAAAAAGAUAAAGAAUAUUAAUGAUUAGCGAAAUCUCUAUGGAAAUUGAAUUUAGUAAGAAAAAAUUGAGCUGAUUUUAGUGGUAUAGUAAUAUUUUAUAUAGAGAAAAGUAAAAGCUGCACCCAAGGUUAAGGGAAAUGGUCAAAAUUCUUUUUUAAUCAUAAUACCCUUUUUCCUAGAUAAUUUAAAAAUUUUACUCUAAUAGUUUAUAAUAAAUAAAAACAUAUAAUCCUAAAAUAAAUAAAAUGAUAUAUAUUUUAAAAUAAUCUCAAUAUUUAAAAUAUAUUUUAACAUUUUAUAAUCUAUUAGAUAUAUUUUAUUAUAUUAAAGUAAAUUUUAUAAUAAAUACAAAACAUACUAUUAAAAUAGAUAUAAAAAUUUUAAAGUAUUUUGAAUAUUAUAUAAAAUAACUUUAAUAUUGUUAAUGCAUGAGAUGCAUUUUAUUAAUUAAAAAUUCUAUGUAACCCAAAGAUUUAUUUAUAAUAAAUUAAUAAUCAUAUUUUUGAAAUUAUUUUAAAUAUUAAAAAAUAUUUUAAUAUUACUAACUAUUAGAUAGACUAAACUAUUUAUUUUAUUUUCUAUUUAUUAUAAAAUUUCAAAGUUAAUCUUUUUAACUACUAUUCAAAAGAUGUUAUGAUAAAAACAGAAUUUUUGUGUUUUUAUUGAAAAUUUGGAGUUUACAUCUAUUUUUUCAAAUAUUCAGGGUGUAACUGUUUUUUCCCUUUUAUAUAUACGAACGGUGGUGAGAAAGUUUGAUUUAACGUUAUUUAUUUAAAUAAAAUCUCAGUUAAAAAUGUACAGAGAAGAAAUUUCGGUUGGUAUUUUAGUCUUGGUAAUCUCUAUAUUAUAUGCAUAUAAGAUACAUCAUUCUCACAUGAAUAGUAUAUGUGUGAGAUCCAUAUAUUAUUCAUGUGAGGGAGAUGUAUCUUAAUAAGAUAGAGGGAUCCGUUAGUCUUUUACCAAUCAUCACGAUUAGGCCUUGGCCUUGAAACAUUAAUUGUUUCACUUUUAGCGCUAGUGGCGUUGAAAGUUGUCAAGAAAAAGCAAGACCAUAUUCCACAAAAGCAAAAGUAACGUAGGCUCUUUUAUUAAAGGCAAAGUAUAAAGUAGUCAAGAAUCGAAUAUCCUGUCGUCUACUCUUUUUUAAAUUCUUCUUUUAUUAUCGUUUAGAAUAGUUUUUGGUAAUUACAAUCAUUAUUCAGAGUUAUUGUUAUCUUCCGGGGCAGUCUCUGUUCAUCGAAGUCGUUACCUUUUUUUUAAUGGAUCAGUUCCAGUGGUAAGCAGUAAUUUUCUUAGAACUCGGAUCUUUAAUUCGAGUUUCUGUGUGAAUUAAUAAUAAAAAAUUUUCAUUACACGCAAUUUAAGCUACGAAUUACUUUUUGCAAAGUUGAAUAUGGAAUUGGAGAAAUUAAGUAAUUUAGAAUGUUGGUAAAAAUUGACGAACAUAUCUCCAAUUACAGUAAAACCUCUCUACAGUCAUAACAUUAUAACAAAAUUAAUUUUAUUACUAUGUUGAGGUAAUAUAGGUUUAGUUACAAAAUUAUUGUUUUAAUAUGGUUAGUGUCAAGUGAUAUAAAGGUUAAGUAUGCAGUACAUUAAUAAUUAAAUAAUGAAGUGUCAAAUCUAAUGUAUAUAUAUUAAUGAUAUAGAUAGACAUAGUUUUAAAAAACUAAUUAAUGUAUAUUUAUGUAGUGUUAUGAAUAUGGAAAGUCAAGCCUACACUUUACAUUAUCCUUAAUUUUUUCUCUCAGUUAAAUUCUACAAAUAUUGUACAAUGGUUGGGCAAGAACUCUAAAUUAAGAAUAAAUUAUUGUCACAAAUAAUUUUAGAAAAUAUUUUAUUUCGUCUUAAACCUUUAAUAUAAAUAAACAUAUAUAUAUAUAUAUAUAUAUAUAUAUAUAUAUAUAUGUGUGUGUGUGUGUGUGUGUGUGUGUGUGUGUGUGUGUGUGUGUGUGUGUGUGUGCAUAUUUUGCAACGUAUAGAUAAUUGUUAGUAUAUGGAGACAAGUCUUUUAAGGUAGGACCUAGGAAAAUUUAUAACUUACUACACUGUGGAGUUUUUAUUCCUUUUUAUAAUUGGCUCAUAUUGAUACAUUCUUACACAAAAUAUUACCAUUGACAUAUUUUACUACAAUUAGUUUAGAACAUUUGUUAGGAAAAAAAAGAAAAGAAAAGAAAACAUCCCUUGGAUGUAGCUCUCCUGACUAUUUAAAUCUUUUAAGGAAAAAAAGAAAAAAGAAAAACUGGCACAUUCAAAUCUUGAAGCAAUUACAUUAAAAUCUCUCCAUAAUGAUAGGAAUAAUCUCCAUUUAGUAAUAAAAAAUUUUGUUCGCAAUUUAGGCAGAGUUAUAAAUAAGAAUAAAAUCCUCAUUGUAAUAAGUUAUAUUUAUUAUGGAUCCCAUCCUAAGGAAUUCGUCUCUAUAUAGUAAUAAUUAUUUGCAUAUUAUAAAUAUAUAUGUUGCAUUAGAUUAAAUGAACUUGUCUCCACAUACUACUUAGACAACGAGAGAAAAUUAUUAAAGAGAACACAAAUAUUUAGAUAUUUUUAAGAUUACUUUGCAUAUUUAUAACAAUAAUACAUUGAUAUAUGUAUUAGUUUUUUGAUAUAUUAGAUUUAACAUGCUCUAUUAAUAAAUUAUUAAUACGAUGCAUAUUCAUCUCUAUAUCCUUGCAAUAAAAGUAACUAAGUUAUAACAAUAAUUAUUAAUAAAUUAUUAAUACGUUGCGUACUUCAUCUCUAUAUCCUUACAAUAAAAAUAACUAAGUUAUAAUGAUAAUUUUUGUAACUACAUACUUAUUAGGUUUUAACUACUUCAUAAUAAUAAAUUAGUUUCGUCCUAAUAUUAUAAUUAUGUAGAGUUGUAGUGUAUAGACACACCCAAUUUAAAUAGUAUAUCAAAUAAAAUUGUCCCCACGAAAAAGAAAAAAGGGGUAAAGGAUUCUCAUUUCUUCAAACAUUAGGAUCACGUUUGUACAAGUGCGAUGCCUUUCUUUUGAAGGCAACGUCAGUGGGUACCCAAUAGGACGUGUGUAAAUCUUUCCAAAAUUUCUCUGGUAUAACGGACAGAGAUCAUUACUUUUCUCUUCCAUAUACCACAGCAGCUUCAGUUAAUCAGACUCAAUCAAUUUUCUUGGUUUCUUCGCUUAUCAAAAUUCCAAAAUAUGGGUAGCAUAUUUCAAAUCACAUGCGAUGGUGCUUUUUUCAAUCGUUGCUUGGAUUGCUUUCUUGGAAAAGUAGCAAACACAAGUAAGCUCCAAGAUAACCUUGUUGCCUUGGAGACUGAAUUGGGAAAACUAAUCGCAGCAAAGAACGAUGUGAUGAUGAGGGUUGUCAAUGCUGAACGGCAACACCUGAGAACGCUGGACCAAGUGCAAGUGUGGCUUUCGAGGGUGGAAGCUGUUGAAACUGAAGCUGAUGAAUUGAAAAGACACGGCUCUCAAGAAAUUGACAAAUUAUGUGUUGGAGGCUACUGUUCCAAGAACUGCGCGUCAAGCUACAAGUUCGGGAAACAAGUGGCUAAAAAGCUACGGGAUGUGCAGACUUUAAUCGACGAAGGAGUUUUUGCGGCGGUGGCUACCGAGGUGGUGCCUGAGAGAGCUCCAGAACCUGUAGCAGAUGAAAGACCCACUGAGCCAACAAUAGUAGGCUUGCAAUCACAACUUGAACAAGUUUGGAGAUGUCUUGUAGAAGAAUCAGUGGGAAUCAUUGGCCUAUAUGGUAUGGGCGGUGUUGGUAAAACUACACUAUUGACCCAUAUCAACAAUAAAUUUCUUGAGAGUCCAACCAGUUUUGAUUGUGUGAUUUGGGCCGUAGUUUCAAAGGACUUGCGACUCGAAAAAAUUCAAGAAGAUAUUGGGAAAAAGAUCGGUUUGGUUGAUGAUUCAUGGAAGAGUAAAAGUGUAGAGGAGAAAGCUCUCGACAUCUUCCGGAGUUUAAGAGAGAAGAGAAUUGUAUUGCUGUUAGAUGAUAUAUGGGAGCGGGUUGAUUUAACAAAAGUGGGCAUUCCACUUUCCGGACCAAAAAAUACUACAUCAAAAGUCGUAUUCACAACCCGUUUCGUCGAUGUUUGUGGUAGCAUGGAAGCUGACAAGAAGUUCCAGGUGGCAUGCUUAUCAGAAGAGCAUGCUUGGGAACUGUUUCGAAAAAAAGUUGGGGAAGAAACUCUUGAGAGUGAUCAUGAUAUCGUUGAGCUAGCCCAAACUGUGGCCAAAGAGUGUGGUGGUUUGCCACUCGCACUUAUUACUAUUGGUCGAGCUAUGGCCUUCAAAAAGACAGCCGAGGAGUGGAGUCAUGCAAUUGAUGUGCUAAGAACAUCAGCUUCUGAGUUUGCAGGUUUGGGAGAAAAGGUUUAUCGUCUUUUAAAGUUUAGCUAUGAUAGUUUGCAGAAUGAGACGAUUAGAUCUUGUUUCUUAUAUUGUUGUUUAUAUCCCGAGGAUUAUAGCAUUCUUAAAUGGGACUUGAUUGAUUGUUGGAUUGGUGAGGGAUUCUUAGAGGAAUCUGACAGGUUCAGUGCAGAAAACCAAGGAUACUACAUUGUGGGCACUCUUGUUCAUGCAUGUUUAUUGGAAGAGUUAGAAGAUGAUAAAGUAAAAAUGCAUGACGUUGUUCGUGAUAUGGCUCGAUGGAUAGCUUGUGAAAUUGAGAAGGAGAAGAGAAAAUUUUUGGUUUGUGCAGGUGCUGGAGUAGGAGCGGUGUCAGAUGUUGAAGGAUGGGAAAAUGUGGGAAGAUUGUCAUUGAUGCAAAACCAAAUUGAAAUUCUGUCAGAGGUUCCCACAUGCCCUCAUCUCCUCACUUUAUUUCUUGACUUUAAUUAUAAAUUGGAGAUGAUCACCGAUGGCUUCUUCCAAUGUAUGCCUUCUCUCAAAGUUUUGAAGAUGUCAAACUGUGGGCAUGUCAAAGUUUUGAAAUUACCUUUUGGGAUGUCAAAGCUGGGUUCACUACAACUUCUUGAUAUUUCACAUACCGGCAUAAGAGAGUUACCAGAAGAGUUAAAGUUGUUGGUAAAUCUGAAAUGUUUGAAUUUGAGGUGGACACAUAUGUUAAAUAAAAUUCCACGGCAGCUAAUAUCAAAUUCUUCAUGGUUACGUGUGUUGAGAAUGUUCGCUAUUGGCUUUGAAAAUUCUAAAGAACCAUCAGAAGACAGCGUUUUAAUUGGUGGGGGUGAAGUUUUAGUACAUGAAUUGCUCGGUUUGAAAUAUUUAGAGGUAUUGGAGUUGACCUUGCGAAGUUAUGAUGCUCUCCAAUUUUUUUUGAGCUCAAAUAAGUUAAAAAGUUGUAUUCGAUCUCUUUUCCUCAAUAAGCUGGGAGAUACAAAGUCGAUUCAUGCUACGGCUUUCGCAGAUCUAAAGCAUCUCAAUGAACUAUGCAUUCGUUCGGCAGUGGAGUUGGAAGAAUUGAAGGUUGAUUAUACAGAGAUUGCGCCAAAAAGGUCGGAACCUUUUGUUUUCCGCAGCCUUCACCGUGUUACUAUGGAGCGGUGCCAUAAAUUGAAAGAUUUGACAUUCCUCGUUUUUGCUCCAAGCCUCAAGUCUCUUUCGCUAUACGGUUGCAAUGCUAUAGAAGAAAUAAUCAGCGUUGGAAAAUUUGCUGAGACUCCUGAGGUGAUGGGACAUAUAAGCCCUUUUGGAAAUCUCCAAACGCUUUAUUUAACUGAUUUGCCAGAGUUGAAAAGCAUCUACUGGAAGCCAUUGCCUUUCACUCAUCUCAAAGAAAUGACGGUACAUGGGUGUAAUCAGCUUAAAAAGCUUCCAUUCGAUUCCAACAGUGCAACAGAGCGUAAAUUUGUUAUUCGUGGAUACACACUCUGGUGGAACCGUCUUCAAUGGGAGGAUGAAGCCACUCAAAUUGCUUUUCGUUCCUGUUUCCAAUCUCAUGAAAUAUAAAUUCCUGAGCGGUGGUUGCAAAAUUUGAUUUCUAGUGAGUGCUUUUUUCUUAAACUCUUACAUAUAUUCUCGUCGUUUGCUUCGUGCAACGGACUAGGUUUUUAUUUCAGAUUCGUUUUUUGUCUCCUGCAAAUCACAAUUAAAUGUUGAAUUAUAUGGAGUCAAUGCUUUAUAAAAUUUUCAAGGCACUGCCAUUUCCUUUUUCUUUUUCUUUUUUUUUUUGGGUCGAAUUGAUGCUCUGGCUUUUUACUUUUUGUUGUCACAUUUUGCUCUGUUUUUUCAAGUUGAUGCUUGAAUAGUUGAAUUCAAUUGAUGCUCACAUAAAUUUGUUUAGUUGCCGCAAAAGGAUAUAAUUAGACUGAAGUACACACUUCUAGAAUGAAUACAAAAUGUUAAGUAUACUAGCCCUCUUUACAGAAAAUCAAAUGAAAAUCAAUUUUUUGGGGCUUUGAUUUUCUAUGGUCUAUUAUAUACUCUUUUUAAUAUCUUCUGUUCUAACUAUAACCAAAUCCUUUGUUCAAGGAUUUUUAUUUGGGGUAUUGAUAACUGUCCACCAAAAGAGUGAACACUUGGAUGCUGCUCAAGGAUCUCUAAUCAAUAGCUGGAAGCAACUGAGAAGGCGGUCGCUACUGUUUACAAAGCGAUGCAGUAUUUGCCAUUCAUCUUAAUAAUUAUGAAGCUUUGGUAAAAUUUUCAAACAAAGUUGAACACAUGUUGUUUUGAGAUUUGGUUCAUGAUUUUGGAUGAAUAUCGUUGUUCCGUUUGAGUUGGAUGUGAAUUCAAAAUCUAUAUAUUCUUUGGUUUUCAAUUCUGAACUCAAUUUCUUUUUCUCAAGCAUGUUAUGCAGAAAUGAUUUUUUACUAAAUCAUUUUUGAUGAAUUGUUUAAAUUAAACAAUUGGAAUAAGAAUUGAAAAGGUUUAUCAUAAGCAUGCUAAUAUGAUAAGUUGUUUUAUGAACGAUUAAUUAAUUAAUCAAUUAAUAUUAAAUUAUCUAUUAGUCAAUUAGAUAUGCGUUACAUGUCAUGUUUAAAAAUUAUUUAUUUAUAUUUCAAACAAAUUUGACUGGAUGUUGUGUAGGUAAUACUACAUAAUUUCAAAACAAAAAAAGUAAUAAAAACACGUUAAAUUUUGUUUUUAUGAAGAAAAAUUUAAAAUUUUAUUAAAUAGGUGAAAAUAAUAAAUGGAUUCGUGUAUGGUUUGAGAUUCUUGACAUAAUUAUGAAAUAAGCCGGAUUCGACUUAGUUCAAUUUUGACGCGAUAAGAAGACGACACCACACAAACACACGAUAAGAACCGUUACCUGAGAAGAUUGCCAUCAGGAAUUUUGAAAUUGAUUUCACUACAAUACCUUAAUCUUUCAGAUACUACCAUCACUGAGCUGCCAGAAGAGCUAAAAGCCUUGGUAAAUCUUAAGUGUUUGAACUGUACACAAAUUAUCUCUCUACAAUUCAAAAACAACUAAUUUGUUACUUUUUCAAUGCUACAUGUUCUGCGAAUAUUGAGUUGUGGUUAUCUUGUUGAAAUAUCAGACAAUAGAGUUCUAUUUGGUGGUAGUGAAUUGUUGGUUGGGGAGUUGCCUAGUUUAAAACGUUUAAAUGUAUUAAGCAUCACCUUACAAGGUUUUUCUGCUGUCCAAAAACUUAUGAGCUCUCAAAAGUUUCAAAGCUGUACAAAAUGUUUGGAGCUUAUAGACUGUGAUGAUUCAAAGUCUUUUGCCUUGGCAGAGUUGAAGCAUCUCGAAAAACUAGUUUUUUGAAUUGUGGAAGAGUUUAAGUUCUGCUUUGUUGAAGUUGGAAAAGCUCAAGAAUGUUUUCGUUUGAACAGUUUUCACCGAGUUAAUAUAAAGGCUUGUCAUAAAUUGAGGGACGUGACAUGGCUUGUAUUUGCUCCAAAUCUUACAGUUAUUCAAAUAGAAAAAUGUAUGCAGAUGGAAGUAAUAGUCAGUGCAAGGAAAUUGGGUGAAGUUCCAGAGAUGAUGGCAGAUCUAAACCCUUUUGCAAAUAUCUUUGCCAGCGAGUUCUACCAAAAUUAAAAAGCGUCUAUUGGAAUGAGUCACCCUUUCCACAUGUCAGGGAAAUUAUUGUAUCUGAAUGCCCAAUUCUCAAGAAGCUUUCACUCGGUUUUAACAAUGCAAAGGAAUCUAAAAUUGUCAUUAGGGGAGAGGAACACUGGUGGAGUGAGCUGCAAAGGGAGGAUGAAGCGACCGUUAAUGCUUUUCUUCCUUGUUUCGGUUCCAUUUGAUAGGCAUCAACAUGGAUUUAUAUUUUGCGGUGGACAACUUGUGGUAAGUGCUUUUCCAUUUAUUACAUGUUUAUAUCUAACUUUUGUUUUCCUUUAUGGUUAAAUUUUACUGUAUAUAUGUUGUUAUACGGUGACAUUCUCGCAUCAAUUAUUAGCUUUUUAAUUCUCUUCUGGCAUUAAUUGCCCUUCUGAUCAUGUAGGAUAUGCCGAUGUCAAAGAGUAGUAAAUUGGGAUACAAAUGUAAGAAUUAGCCAGAUGACAUGUUGUUUUGAAGCUCUCUCGAAGGACUAGUUAUGUCAUUCAAAGCAUCCAAUUUCGCUACUUUUUUUUUCAUUUGUUGCUUUUUAUAUUUCUAGAUAGCUUGAUAUUCGGCCAAGACAUCGAUAGGAGGGCACAUUGUGCAUGCACACUAGUGGAUGAUUUGGGCAUGCCGAAUCCAAUUAGCGUGGAUGACCCUUUAUAAGCAUCAGGCUUCUCUCAUACCAGAGCAAUGUAGAAUAUGUUUAUAAACUGUGGAUUACCCUUUAUAAGUUUAGACUUCUUCUAUACUCGAGCGAUGUGGAAUACCUGUAUAAGCAUUAAGCUUCUCUCAUACACUUUAUGUUAAAAAUAAUAAUAAUAAUAAUAAAAUAAAUCCAUUUUAAAAUAGGCUCUUUUUUUCUUUUUUUAUAUAAACAAAAUGCAUUCUUCAAAUCAAUAGUGGGUGGAAGAAGUGAGUAGAGAAGGACUAGGCCCCUUCAUUCCGCCUAAAACCUCACCGAAACCUCUCUUGUGAACUUCUCAGAUUCUCUCUCAAUAUUUCUUAUGAUCUCGUUUUUGAUAGAAUCACUUCUAUUGCAUGCUGCAUUUUGUGCGUCGUUUUUGGGUAAUAUCUUAUCUGGAAUGCUGUUAUGAUCAAUAGAACAAGUAAUCAAUUUUUGGUUUGACGGAAGUCGAUUUAUUUAUUUACUAUUGUUUUUUAUUUGAAAUUUUGACAGUUGUGUUUCAUUCAUUUCUUUCCUUCUUUUUUUAUUUUAUAUUUAUUAUGUAUAAUUGUGUUUCAUUUGAUAUUGAUCAUACUGUAGAUAACUAUGUGAUUGUAGCUGGGGAUUUUAAGUUUUGUGAAUUCAAGAAACUGUCAAAAUGCUAGUGAAAUUGGGACCUUUAUUCAUAAGCUUGUGGUUUUCAAAAGUAGCCGGGUUCAACUGAUGAAGUUCCUUUUUGGGAUUCUUUUUUUUCUAGGCUGCAAUUCGGAUAUGUACCUGAUAGACAAUCUUUUGUGAGUUUAGCAUAUCUUCUCCGAUUUUGUCUUUUAUUCCCCAACUUUACAGCUACACACCAUGAAUGCUGGGUGAUUGUACAGAAAAUUUGUGUUAGAACAAAAGCAUUGUGAAGGAGUUUCUGUGCUAUAAGUUAUUGGCUUCAGCUUUAUUGGCAUUAAUUGGGUAGAUUAUGUGUUACAGUGAUUCAAUUUGUGAUCCACACUUUAAUUUUCUCUUUUCCCCAAUUAUUUAUGUCAAAUUCAAAUCCAGAAGCAUGCGCUGAUUUUUUUUUUUUUUUGUGAUAAUCUGUGAAGUUUAUUUGGAAAGGACGUAUCUGGGUUUAAUGGAUUAAAUUAUGACAUUGAGGGAAAGGCACUAAAGGUUUUGCUUGACACAUUUGGUCUGUGUUUACUCUGCAAUAAAUAGCUUCGCUUAUCAGAAAUCCCUAUUUGGCUGGUGAAUUUCUCUGUGACAGACAGGCAAACACCUAAACCGCUUCUAUCCAUUUUUCUGCUGGUGAGGUAAGGGGUAAAAAGUCUUCAAAAUCAUCAAAUAGUAACAUCUCUGAGAAUUGGUUUUAGAAAAAUGGAAAAUCUAGACCUACUAGGACAAAAUGGCGUCCGGUAUCAGGAGGUACCGUUUCAAGUUUUCUUGGUAAAGAAUAUAUUAAACCUGCGCAACCAGCUAAUGGCACUUUUCUGGCAUCAAAGCCAUUGAAGUUGGAUCUAAAGGAGUUUUCCCAUGCCUGCAUUGUGCAGAGAAGAAACUAAACAAAAACAAUCAAAGAAUGACCAUUUGCAGAAGGAUACGGAAGAUUUUCUAUUUAAAUUGUUAGGAGAAGGGUCCCAGCUGAACAGGGAUGUGAUUCAGGAGGUUCUCGGUAAUGUCUUAAAUAUACUGAUGCCAAUUUAAUACAUAUUGUCCUUUUCAAUGUUCUUUCUUUCUUUCUUUUUUUUUUCCUUCUUCUUCUUUUUCUUUUCGUGUGCAUGUGAUCACUGAUUUGGUAUUAUGCUUAAGUUGCAGAUAGCUGUGGAUUUGAUAUGCAAAAGGUAAGGACUAUAUCUUCCUGAUGUAGGCCUCUGCUUUUUCCCCUUCUAUGUAAUUUAGUAAUUCACAUCUUCCUUUGUGAUUGUUAUAUCAUAUCGAAGUCAAGUCUUAAAUACUGCUGUCAUAUGUGAAGGUUCAACUUGCAUUUUGAUUAAGAUCCAUUUGCUGCUGCUUCCAAAAGUGAGAAUGAGAUACUUUGGUUAAUUUCAGUGGUUGAACCCAAUAGAGAACUUUAUUUAGAUCUUCAUGGUUCAAAGGCCUGAAAAAACUUGCCCGUAAUUGUAAAAUGACAUUCUGUGCUUUUUAUGCAAUAGGGAACAGGGAAGUAGAGCUUUGGAAAAGCCUGGAUUGAUAACUAUGGAGAGACUUAUUAUUUAAGUGAUGAAAAAUUCCCAUCGCCCGCAGUCAAGAAAAUUUCAGAUAGUUAAAGACUCCAUUUUGCUUCAGCCAAAAAUGUUUGUUUCAAUUAAAGACUUGAACCAUUUUCAUUGAACCUGAUUGUGAUCCUUUACGUUAUGCAUGUUCCUCUCAAUCAAGAAAAGUUGAGGUCAUGAUUCUAUAUUUCUAUAUUGUAACUUGAAAUAAUAAUUGGUCUACUUGUUUCUGUAUCUUGAUAAUAUGAAUUUUCCUUCUCAAGUUAAUUUGUUCAAUAAAGUAAUUCUUCAAAGAAAAUAUGCCCAUUCUAUAAUCAUUUUCUUAGCUCAGAUGUUUUUUCUUCACUCUUCAGAGCAUGUCAAAACUAAUUGAUCGCUUGGCAGAUACUUUGGGUAAGAAGACAAAAUUUCUUGGUAAAUCCUCGGAAAAGGUAUGCAUAAUUCCCGAGUAUUAAAUAACCAAUAGUCAUAAUUUUUGUACAUGACUCUUUUUUCUCUUUUUUGUGGAGAUCAUUAAAAUUGGUUGAUGAUCCAUUUUGUAACAUCAUAGAGGGAUCAUCAAUUCCUUCUCUUUUCUGUGGCUAGGCAACACUUUCAGGCCAAAGUAAGAAAAUCUAUUUUAGGUAAUGUGAAAACCAACGGUAGGAUGUAAUAGUUUAUUAUGCACUGACAAUAACUUUUUGUAUGGUUGGCAGUUUAAUGAAUACAAGAGGAACUUUGUUGACAAAUUCAUCCAAGAUAGAUGCUAAAAUUAUUUAUGCAUGCCAGUUGCCUUAACUAAUUUUUCUUAACACUUGUAUUGAACAGGAAAAUGAAUAAGCAAUCUGUAUAUUGUGCCAUUGUGGAGUAUUUGGAUAUUCUGAUUUAAAUAACAAGGAGAAUACUUGCCUCAUCUUUAAAUGAGGAGUGGGGGAUUGGAAGUGUCUUCAUGUAAAUGUUCAUUUAUUUGUAUUUUGAACUAUUAUGAGAAUCUUAUAUGCCAAAUCAGUAAUACAAAUCUUCAGAUGAUUUUUGCUGUUGAUCAUGGGUUUGUGUCUGCACACAACCAUUGUAUAUCACUUUAUUCUGAUGUGCAGGUAUGUGUAGCUUAGAAGAAAUGGAAUAAUAAUCAUCUAUUAUUGCUUGGUUCAUGAUUAUUAAACGAUUAUGGCUUUAAAAAGUCUACAAAUUCCUUCUGUUCAUAUAUGAAUGUGCCAAGUUUGCUAUAUCUUAGAUUAUCUUCUUCCAAGAUAACAAGUUCAUAUUCUUUUUAAUCUUUUUCCCUCACAGUUGACUUUUAGGUGUUAAGAUUUGUUAUUAGUCCCCUGUUAUUAUGAUUUCAUAAACAGUGUACGGAUAUGUGCUCUAACUUUGGAGGACCUCCACAUGAAAGAAAAUUGCAACAAUUGAAUUCUUCCGGAGGGUAUGGUCUUUAAUUUAUUUUCUCAACUUCUCGUAAGAUUAAUAUAUUUCAUUCAGUAGGCACAGCAUGGGGGGAAGGGUUUUUAUUGAAAGAAUUCUGAUAUUUCUUAGACUUUGUUUUGGAAGGGGGGUGGAGGGAUUUCUCAUCCAUGUAUGGUUACUUGAUUAGCUUUUGACUGUAUUUCCUCAGUCAUGUAAAGGAAGAUCCAAAUACCAACGAAGGAAUAUUGCCUAGACACCCGAAAGACAGAAAUGAGCUACAGAAGCAAGUUUUACUACUUUAUUUAGUGCUCCUGAGAAAUCUGAUGGAGACCGAAUGGAGGUCCAAAGCAUUGGAAAAGGUAGUGAGUGAACCGCCGGAGGAGUUGGCACCAGAAUGCAAGGCUAAUGUGGUGCACUUGCAGCAAGAUAACCAAACCGGUAUGUGCUCUUAUAUUAACUAGACUGACUGGAUUUGUGAGUGUGUGCAUUUUUUUGUGUAUACUCUUGUAUUUAUGCAUAUUAAUGUGUGUAGGAAUUUCUGCCACUUACUGGAGAACUAGUGGAAAGCUUUAUAUCGAUAUAUCUGCAAUAACUAAUUGGAAACUAUGAUAUUAAUAUUUUCUCUCACCUGAGGAACUGUGUAACAGAUAUACUUUGUGGCUCUGGAGUACUAGAAAUUCUGCAAUAACUAAUGGAAACUAUGAUAUGAAUAUUUUAUCUCAACUGGAGAACUUUGUAACUUGUAGCUCUGGAAUGUCUAAGGAAUUUUGUCUGCUUCAGUUAGAUCAAAUAUCUUUUAGUUGCAUACAUUAUAGAAAAAGAUAAAGUUCUCUGAAUCUGAAAGACUGAAACAUUUUGUAUAUUUUGUGAAAGGGAAAUAUCUGUAGAUACUAGUUCAUGCAUUGAGGUAACAUCAAUGUUAAAGAAAAACAGCAAUAAGUUAUUAUGUGGAACUAGGUUCACUUGCUUUAAAUGCUGGUCUGGUCAACCAUAUGAACCUGUAAGUUCUGCAGAAAUAUAUAUACGGGGAGAAACUAGCUAAAUUUUCCGUUCAUUGAUGGCUUUGGUCAUUUUUUUCCCCUUAUUUUUCAGCUGUCCUUCUCCUGAAGUAUGUUAACAACUGCAGAUAAUGAUGAAGAGGACAGCUUGCAGGCUCUUCUUAGAGCCAUGAUGGAAUAUAGGGGCACAAUGAAGGAACAUUGCAAAGCUGUAGGUUCUUUUUCUCCUGUCAUUUAUGUUUUCUCACACAUUUUUUAUAUGCUCCAAGCAUGCAAUUUUGUAUGUGUCAACUGCUUUCUAAGUUUUAAAAACCAUAAUGUAAGAAUACAGUUUCUUGUCAGGCUAUUGAUGCAUUUGCUCAGGGGGAUCAUGUUCGAGCAGGAAAACUUCUAGAACAGACAAGGUUUUCCAUCUACAGCCAUCUAUUGACAACAGAUAUAUUUUCAUUCAGCAAACACUGUUAGCAUUCAAGAUACUGGCAGAUUCACUUGAUUCUUAUUAGUAAUGUUUAGUAGCAAAGGAUAUAACCUGUAUUUCAAAGCCAAGUUGUGCUAUUGAUUAUGUUAGCUUUAUUGUUCACAUAAAGUGAUAUGGAGGAAAUAAUGUGAAGUGAUAUGGAGGAAAUAAUCAAUGUAGGAAAAUUAGGUGAAGAAAUGAUGUCAAAUCUUGAACCUCUUACAAAACUCCAAGCUCUUUACUUGAAUAAGCUACUAAAUUUGAACAGGGUCCACUGGAAGGCCUUGCCAUUCUCUGAUGCAUGCAGAAUUUUUGCAUUUAAAUGCCCAGAGCUUAAGAAGCUGCCACUGGAUCUUGAAAGGGCAGGCCAAGGUAAAAUUCUUAUCAAGGGAAAGGAAGAUUGGUGGAAACAACUUCAAUGGGAGGAUCAAGUAACUCAGAAUGCAUUGCUUCCAUUUUUAAAACAACCAGCAAGUGAUUGAAGGGGGCAUCAUCAACGUCAUCAACAUGGAUGGAGAGAUUCAGGAGCAGAUCAGCAGGAUUUAGUACGACCUGUGGUGGUUUCUUUUUUGUGACUUUUUUCCCUUUCAUUUUUUCACUUCCUGUCAUAUUAUCAUUUCUUUGUCUCUGUUUCUAUUGCUGGUGUUGCUGCAUGCUUGCUGUCCUUGACAAAGUUAGCUAGUUUUUUUUUUUUUAAUUAAAUUUUGUAUGUUCGGUCGGGACAGUCACAAAGUACUACUUGUUCUAUAUGGGGGUGAUGUGAAUCAACUUUUCAAUUAUAUAUUCUGUGGUAAUUGCGAAUUCAAUUUCAUUUGUCUCCAGCAAAUUAUGAAGAAAGUGCAGAGUUACAAUAUGGAGAAGUUCACUGGCAAAUACUUUGUAAAAGCUUCGGAGUGAAACAGGAAAUGCACUUGCAGCUAAGGACAAAUUGGUGGCCAGCUAAUGCCUUCAUUUUAUGUACAUUCAUCUUUUUAAUUAUUGAAGAUAAGUGGUUCGUUGCUUUUGUUAAGAUUAUAAGUUAGCGUCGGUGCAGGAUUUGCAGCAACAAAUCUUGACUAGCCACGUGUCAAAAGCACAAAUAAAUCAAGGGAAAGCACAUGACAUGGAUUAGGAUCUAAUAAAAUUUAAAUCCCAAGGAAAAUGACAACUGCAUUAUGAAGUUUCAAUAAGGGAUACUGACUAAUGAUAUUUUUUGGCUUUAUUAAUAAAAAAAGAAUAUUUUAUAACAAAUUAAAACAUAAUAUUAAGCUAAAUGUGAUAAUUAUAUACAUUUUAAAUAAUUUCAAUAAAAAAACAUUUUAAUGUUUUACGAUCUAUCAUACAUAUUUUAUUAAAUUAAUAUGAAUUUUUUUUUAUAAAUAGCAACAUAAUAUUACAACAAAUUUAUAAGGAUUUAAAUGUAAAAUAAUUUUAGUAUAAAUAAUACGUGGGAUAUAUUUUGUAAAUUAUAAAAUUAUUUAACACAAAGUUUUUUAAAAAAUAUUUAAAAUAAAUAAAAAUAAAUUAUUCACAUCUUGAUUUAAAUAUUUAAAAUAUUUUUAUAUAUUAGUCUACAAUUAUUUAUGUUAUAUUUUUAUUUAUUAGAAAUUUUGAAAGUCAAAUGUUUUCACCUCUAAGAGAAAGACACAUAUGCUUUAUAGCUUUAAAAUCGGUCUGUUUUAUAUCUGGAAACAAAUAUAUCAUUAUUGGUAAGGAUUAAAAAAAGGGAUAAAGAAUAUUAAUGAUUAAUGAAAUCUCUAUGGAAAUUGAAUUUAGUAGGAAAAAAUUGAGCUAAAUGAUUUAGACAUUUAGUGGUAUAGUAAUAUUUUAUAUAUAGAAAUGUAAAAGCUGCACCCGAGGUUAAGGGAAAUGUUCAAAACUCUUUUUUACUCAUAAUACCCUUUGUCCUAACUAACUUACAAAUUCGACUCUAAUAUUUUAUAAUAAAUAAAAAUGUAAUCCUAAAAUAAAUAAAAUAAGAUAUAUUUUAAAAUAAUCUCAAUAUUUAAAAUAUACUUUAAUAUUUUAUAGUCUAUCAGACAUAUUUAAUUAUAUUAAAGUAAAUUUUGUAAUAAAUACAAACAUACUAUUAAAAUAGAUAUAUAAAAAAUUUAAAGUAUUUUGGAUAUUAUAUAAAAGAACUUUAAUAUUGUUAAUACGUGAGAUAUAUUUUAUUAAUUAAAAAUUCUAUUUAACCCAAAGAUUUAUUUAAGAUAAAUUAACAAUCAUAUUUGUGAAAUUAUUUCAAAUAUUAAAAAAUAUUUUAAUAUUACUAACUAUUAGAUAGACUAAACUAUUUAUAUUAUUUUCUAUUUAUUAUAAAAUUUCAAAAUUAAUCUUUUUAACUACUAUUCAAAAGAUAUUAUGAUAAAAAUAAUUUUUUUGUGUUUUUAUUAAAAAUUUGGAAUUUGCAUAACUCUUUUUUUAAAUAUUGGGGUAUAGCUGUCUUUUCCCUUUUAUAUAUACAAACCACAGUGGUGAAAAAGCUUGAUUUAAUGUUAUUUAUUUAAACAACACCGAUAUUCACACCACAUUGAGCACCAUAGUUUUUUUUUUUUUUUUGAAAAGAAAGUACACCUUUCAUUGAAUUAAGAGAAAAGAAACAAAACAUCCUCUGGAAAUUCAUCCAGCCAAAUACAAGGGUCUGACUUUUUGAAAGCCAACUUUGCCAAAUCAUGCGCUAAAAAGUUACACAUCCUAAGGACGUGCUGAGCUUUAAAAUUCUGAAAGAUUUUCUUAGCUUCUAUAAUAUCAAAAAUCACCCAAAAGGUGUCUGUCAAAGUGCUUCUCUUGUUAUUGAUUAGCUCUAUCACCCCUUUAGAAUCAGACUCUAAGAUAACUGAAGUUGCCCCUGCCUUGGCAGCUGCCUGCAUUCCCCACAAAACAGCUUUUGCCUCACUCAACUCCACAUCUCCUGAGCUCUUAAAAGUGCUAACAGCUGCAGCAACUGUUUCUCCCUUAUGGUUUUUAACUACUGCUCCCAGCCCAGCAAGAUAAUUCACCCUAUCCAUAGCAUCAUCAACAUUUACCUUAAGCCAUCCUUCUUCGGGUGGACUCCAUUGGCUUUGCUGAACAUUGUUUUGUUCUGCUAAGAAAUCCUCUUCUGACAUUGAGCACCAUAGUUAAGUACAAAACGGUGCGUUUUGUUCACGCAUGUUAGUAAACACCCACGCAACUUACACACAUACGCGCGGCUCACAACACGCGCUCUCCUCGCCCUAAAUCUCACCUGAUUGAAGCCACAAAUUUGGCCACGUUCUCCCACAGCUCUCUCCGUUCUGACCGUUUACUCUUCCUCUAGCCCCAUCGAUUACAUCUCUCAUAGCACCUCAUUCAACCGACGUAAUUGCCAGAAAACAACCUACCUGGUAAUAAAAGUCGAUUCUCUUACAAUUUUGGCCCAAAAAAAAAAAUUGCACAACUGAAAAAUCAAAAUGCCACUCUUUAAAACCAAAAAUCAAUUUUGGGCCCCCUUCAUCACCGCCUUCACUCUAGAUUUUUUCAAUCCACUUUGUCGUCAAAACCGUGGUGUUCUUAAACCAUUAUUAUAUUCACCAUCCCCUUAAUCACAUCCAACCAUCCCCAUUAUUCGUUUGUCAAACACGCUGUUCUCUUCCCAAAUUAAUUAAUUAAUUAAUGACAGACAGGAACAAAAGUACUUUAAAUCUCUGCCAAAUCGUAUUGUUAUUACUUCUUCCGAGUCGAGGCCACGUCGUUCUCGAUGGAAACCAUUGCUUUUUAUUACCACUCUUGAGGAGUUCGAAGCAUUCUCGACGGAGACCCGCGCAAGCUGUGGAAAGAGAGAGAGUCAACGGUGAAAAGAGAGCAUGGUGAGAUGUGUGAGCGACGGGGGGAGAGAGAGAGAGAAAGAAAGCCGACGGAGAGAGCACAUAGAGCUGAGAUGCGUGAGUUGGGUGAAGAUUUGGUGAGCGUUGUGUCAGUUGCCCGUGUGUUGUGUGAGCUCUGUGCCAUGUGAUAUGCGUGCUACUUUGAGAAUUUAUAGAUAGCACAAAACUCAAUCUAUAUCCAAUUCAUACCUAGAUAGAUGCGGAUUUGACUCAAUUUAUAUCCAAUUCGUCAUUUGCGAACUAAAAAUUUUUAAUUCUCUCAAAUUCACAAACUAACUAAAUAAAUAAAAAUUUAAUAUAAAAAUAACUGUACUACCGAUCAAAUUUAAAAUUAAAUAAUAUUUAAAUAAAUUAAUUGUUUAAAUAAAGUUAGAAAAUACAUUCAAAAUUUUAAAAUAUAACACAGUAAAAAGAAAAAAUCUCAUUUGUUUAGACCUAUGUAUGAAAAUUAAUUGUUUAGGAAUCUAUAUUUAUUUAUUUUUAUAUUAUUAUCGGAUAAGAUAUAAUAUGGUGUUAAUGUAACUAUAUUUUAACUUAUUUAUUUAUAAGACCAAUGCUAUAUGUACAAGUUUAAUUUUUUAAUUAAAUAAAUAUUUUUUUUUGCGGAAUUGUGGAUUUUUGCGGAUUUACAAAAGUAAAUCUAUAUCCAAUCCACCGACUAUGGAUUUUCAAAUUUUCAAAAUUUCAAAUUUUCAAAUUUUCAAAAUUUCAAAUUUUCAAAUUUUCAAUCCAAUCCAAUCCACCAAUUCACAAAUUCGGAUUUUUACGGAUUAGAUUUCUACAGAUUAAACGAAUUGAGCAGACCAUAUUUGAUUUUGAACAUUGCUAAUUUGUAUGUUAAGUAUAACAUAAUCAAUUAUUUGGAUAAUCCCUUGUGUUUUAUCUCUAAUUAGAGCAUCAAUCUUCACAAUAUCUACAAAGCUACAAUGGCUACAAAACAAACCUGCUUGCAAAUUGUCAAGGAUACUUAUCCUUUCUCUUGACAAGUCAUUUGGAAAAAUACUGUCCCUUGGCGGCUCCAUGACUUCUCUGCUCCUCCUUUUGGUCUUAAUGUACGGUUGCAUAAUGAUAGUUUAGGCCCUUUAGGGACUACUUUCCCUGGGGUUGUUAAGUCUUAGCUUGUGCUAGGCUCGUUUUUCUUACCAAAAAAAAAGGGAAUACUUCUCCUAUAAGAAAUAAUCUCUAUAUAUAGGGUGGUUGGAUUCACUUGUUUACAUAACAGAUCAAUUAGUUCUCUGUAAAUAGAGAGUUUCUAGUAUAAGAGAAACGGUAGAUCUAUUGAGAGAUUAUGUGUUAUUAAAAUUUUAGUUGCGAAGAAAAGUACUAGAGUGAUUGUAUUAAUUUUUUACAUAGUAGAUUUUUCUAUCGUCAUCUUUAUGGCUGUGAUUUUUCUUCCAUAUAGAAGUUUCUCACGUAAAUUUUUAUGUUGUGUGAUUAGUUUUAUUCUCUAUCUAUUUUUUGUUUAAUAUUUUAUUUGUAAGAUGCUGGAUGGGAUUAAAAUUUCUUAACAAAUAACGGAUUAAAAAUCAUGAAGAAAAAGCUCAAGAGAUCUUCAAGAUUUGAAGUGUGCAAAAGUUCAUAUUACUGCUAGAUGAUAUAUGGGAGCGGGUUGAUUUAGUAAAAAUGGGUGUCCCUCUUCCUAGAUCAGAAAACAGCACAUCCAAAGUGAUAUUUACAAACCCGUUCUGAGGAAGUUUGCGGCUUAAUGGAAGUUCGUAGGAGUUUUAAAGUGGCGUGCUUAUCAAAUAAAAAUGCUUGGGAAUUGUUUCUAUACAAAGUUGGGGAAGUGAAAGAAAACAGAGAUGUACUGUUUGGUUGAAUAGAAAAUUACAGAGAAAAUUCUCAAUACUUGUAUUUGAUAAGAUUCAAUUCUUAAGAGCUUUUACAAAUCAGUACAAGUAUUUAUAUUAUUCCUUACACGUGAGAAUUGCUAGUAACUCACUAACUAACUAACUUUCUUUGAGCUGGAUCACUAACACUUGACUAAUCACACUGAGCUGUUAUUCUUCACUAACAACCUUCUGCUGACGUGGCUUCACCAAGCUACUUGAAUAAUGAGCAGCCUUGACAGCCCCCCUCAAACUCAAGGGACAAGACAUGACGUUGAGUUUGGCCCUAAGAUAGUUAAAAUGGAUGAAUGAGAGUGGCUUGGUCAUGAUGUCAGCUACCUGCUCCUCACUUGGUAUAUAUUGAAUGUUUAGUUCUCCAGCAAGAACUUUGUUUCUAACAUAAUGAAUAUCAAUCUCAAUAUGCUUUGUUCUUGAGUGGAAAACUGGAUUGUGAGCUAACUCUGUUGCACUGAGAUUGUCACACCAAAUAACAGGUUUCUCUAUGCAUUGUAAUUUCAACUCAGAAAACAGUGAUUGCAGCCAGCUUAUCUCGGCACUUGCUGAGGCUAGGGACCUAUACUCACUCUCUGCACUGGACCUAGCAAUAACAGGCUGCUUCUUAGACGACCAAGAUAUCAGAUUAUGACCAAGAUAGAUGCAAUAGGCUCCAAUCGAUUUUCUGUCAUCCAGAUCCCCUGCCCAGUCUGCAUCUGUGAAUCCUGUUAGUUUCAGAUCACCAUCCUUAAUAAUUUUGAGUCCAUAGUUCUGUGUAGCCUUUAGAUAUCUGAGCACUCUUUUGCAAGCCAUAAGGUGCUGCAGUGUUGGUGCAGAAACGUAUUGACUCAGCUUGUGAACACUAAAGGCAAUUUCUGGUCUUGUUAAUACCAAAUAUUGCAUCCCACCAACAAUGCUUCUGUAAUGUGUUACAUCUUCAACAUAACAACCAAGAUUACCUUGAGCUUCCUUCUGUAGCUUCAUUCCUGUACUCAUAGGAGUAUCAAUAUCUUUGCAAUUUAUCAUCUCAACUCUUGACAGCAGAUCCCUUAUGUAUUUCCUUUGAGAUAAGAAAAUACAAUCUUUAUCAUACAGUACUUCAAUGCCUAAGAAAUAAGAGAGAACUCCAAGAUCCUUCAAAGCAAACUUUGUACUGAAUUCUGUAAUGAAUUUUUCCAGCUCAAAGCUAUUUGGUCCUGUUAUUAAAAUGUCAUCAACAUAUAUAAGAACUAGAAUCAUAGAUGACUUAUUUAUUUUCAAGAAUAAGGAGGUAUCUGAGCUGGAAUUUGUGAAUCCCCACUGCAACAAACAGCCUUUCAACUUAUCAUACCAAGCUCUUGGAGCUUGUUUAAGUCCAUAAAGAGACUUGUGAAGCUUGCAUACAAAGUCUGGUUUCUCAAAGCUGAUAAAUCCCUCUGGUUGAUCCAUGAACACUUCCUCUGUUAAGUCUCCAUUAAGAAAGGCAUUAUUCACAUCAACUUGCCUUAUCUUCCACUGAUUCAUCACAGCUAAACUCAAGACUACUCUUACAGUUGCUGGUUUUAUGACAGGACUGAAAGUUUCAAAAUAAUUCACUCCUAUAAUUUGUUGAAAUCCCUUUGCAACUAACCUAGCUUUGUAUUUAGCUACACUUCCAUCAGUGUUGUAUUUAACCCUAUACACUCAUUUGUUUCCAACAACUCUUUGAUCAUUUGUUUUUGGCACUAAGGACCAUGUACCACUCUGCAUCAAAGCUGCAUAUUCUUCUUUCAUGGCUGUAAACCAUUUUGGGUUUUGCAUAGCCUCAUAUACAGAAUCAGGUUAUUUGUGAACAAGGGUUGCUGUAUAAAGCUUUGGUUUGAAGAUACCAGUUUUGCUUCUGGUAGUCAUUGGAUGUGUAUUAGGUUGGACUGGAAAAGAUAUAUCAGGUGUAGGUUGAGCUAAUAAGGAUAUGUCAGGUGCAGGUUGUGGUGAAUUUUGAGGCUCUGUAGAUGGUUCAAUAAAUGUGGUAUGUGUUUGUGAAUAGGAAUGUUGAUUGUCAGUAUGAAAUGGAUUAUCUGAAUGUUGUGAACUGCUGCUGGUAGAAAUUGCAGAUAGAGGAUUGCAUGAGCUAUUUCCAUCUGAUACUGGUGUUGUAGAUAAUAUGGUCAGAUGAAACACUGGUUGGGGUGUAAGGGAUUGACUCGAAUAAGAUGAUGAUUCAUUAGAAUGAAAAACUGAGUCUGUAGAAUAAGGAAAUGUUGACUCAUAAAAAACAACAUGUCUGGCUAUGUACAUCUUGCCUGAUGAAUGCAAGCAUUUGUAACCUUUGUGAACUGGACUGUAGCCAAGGAAAAUGCAUUUGCUUGAGUGAUAAUCAAAUUUGUGUUUGUUGUAAUCCCUUAGAUAAGGAUAACAUGUGCAACCGAAACACUUGAGCAUGCUGUAAUCAGGUUUAAGUUUAAAAAUUGUCUCAUAUGGGGUAAGAAGUUUCAGAGCUGUUGAGGGUAAUCUGUUUAUAUGGUAAACAGCUGUAAGAAAAGCAUCCCACCAAAAUUUAAAUGGUAGCUUAGCUUGUGCUAAUAGGGUUAGUCCUAGCUCAACAAUGUGUCUAUGUUUUCUUUCUACCACCCCAUUUUGGUGAUGUGUAUAAGGACAAGAAUGUCUGAAAAUGAUUCCACAUUGGUUUAAGAAUUGAGUAAAUGAUCUGUAUUCUCCCCCCCAAUCAGAUUGCAGGUUUUUAAUGGGGCUGUCAAAUUGGUUUUCAACCUGCAAUUUGAAUAGUUUGAAUACAUCUAAUGCCUCAGAUUUCAACUUAAGAGGAUAAAUCCAAGUGUAUCGGCUAAAAUCAUCAACAAAACUUAUGUAAUAGACAUAGCUAUCUCUAGAAGGUGUAGGUGAGGGUCCCCAUAGGUCUGUAUGUAUAAGCUCAAGGGGUUUUGUUGUUUUGGUUUCUGUGCUGGGAAAAUGCAGCCUAUGGGAUUUGCCCAUUUGACAUGCUUCACAGAUAUGCUCAAGUGUUUGUUUUAUGUUAUUUCUUGAGAGAUUAACUGAAGUAAUUCCUUUUAGCAAAUGCAUUAGAAUUUGAGAAUUAGGAUGGCCAAAACGUUUGUGAAGAAGAAGAAUUUUAUUAUUCAAUGCAUCACAAGAUGAAAUGUAGCUGGAAAAUUUAUUUAUUGAUGCAUUACAAACUGUGACACAACUGGAAUCAUUAUUCUGAGUGUUUUUAAGAACACUUGAAUCAAAAGAACAUGCAGAUAACAUUGACAAAGGUUGAGUGGAUGAAGGUUGACCCAUGUAAGAACAAGGAAGAGACUCAGAUGGUCUUAGAAGUAGCUUAUACAAUCCUUUCUCAGCAAUUCCUGUCAGAAGCACUUGCCUCUUCAGAGAAUCCUUCACAUAGCAAACAUUAUCAACAAAUUCAAUAGAGAUAUUGUUAUCAGCAGUUAAUUUUGAUAUGCUGAGCAGGUUCUUUGUGAUAUCAGGUACUAAUAACAUGUCAUUCAGUAAGAUAUGUGUUGGUUUAUAUGCAGCAUUUGAUCCUUUAUAAGUAAAACAUGGAUUACCAACAUGAGUUAUAGGCAAACCUUGGCCAUUGCCGAUGACAAGUUGAUUAGAUCCUCUGAAUUCCUCUCUGACAUUCAUGUUGGCCAUACUGUUAGUCAAGUGAUGUGUGGCACCAUUGUCAAGGUGCCAUCCUUCAUCAGCAGGCCCUUCAUAGUUGGUAAGAUAGGCUUCAGGAAUUACUGUGUCUGUUGAUGGAUAAGAGGAGAAGGAUAAAGGAUUGUAGCUUGAGUAGGGUGCAGCAUACUGUUCUUCAGUUGAAGGAGCAGCAUAGGUUAGAGAUGGAUCAAAGUUAGCUGUGUAUGCAGCCUUAGAUUCAAAAGAUCUGCCCCUUCCAAAAUGCCUAGGUAAUGGUUGAGGAUUGUCAUCAUAUCUAUGCCAGCAUUCAUCUGCUGCAUGUCCUGUUUUGUGGCAUAUCUGACAUAUGGUUGGUAAUUCAUCAGCAUGCAUGUUAGCUGAAGGAUGAAAGUUUGGCUUCAUAGGUGGCCUAAAAGGUUGCAUCAUCUGGCCCCUGCCAUAACCCCCAACAUUACCAACACCAGGUGAAAAACCUCUGGGAUGUGGAUUGUGAAACAUGCCUCUUCCAACAUUAAAUCCUCUAGUCAUAGGUCGACCAUAAUUUCCAUUUCCAACAACACCUCUUCUAAAAUUUCCUCUCAUAUAAGGAUGAUUCACAUUCAUUGUGCUAUAGUUUGCAUUAAACACAGUUUUGGCACUUUGAUUUUGUUCAAGUCUAGCUUCAUGAGUCAGUAAUAAUGCAUAAGCAUCAUCAUAGCUCAUCUUAUUAGCUGUGAUUAUGGAAGCUAGAUCUAGAUAACCUGAACCUAAGCCAUUCAAAACUCUCAUUAACAGAUCCUUUUCAGUGAUUACAUCACCAGCACAAGCAAGUUUGUUGGCGAGUAAUUUCAUUUUAGCACAAUAUUCCUCAACAUUCAUUGAAUCUUUUCUUAAGAUAUUCAUUUCAUAUCUGAGUUGCAUAAUCUUAGCCUCAGAUUGAACUCCAAACUGUUUUUCAAUAGAUCUCCACACAUCAAAUGAAGUGUCAUAGCUAAGAACAGAACUAAGAAUACCUUCACUUAUAGUUGAGAGCAGCCAGCCAAGGAGUAUUUGAUCUUGUGCUCUCCAGUUGCUGUAGGCUGGAUUUUCAAUGCUCUCACCAGAUCCUUCGAUCAUUGAAUCAACUAGAUACUGUUCUGGAAUAAUUUGCGGCUCUAGAAUGAAUCUUUCAAGGCGAUUUCCUCUGAUUGAAGUUACCACUUGUUUGCGCCAAAGCAAGAAAUUUGAUCGAUCAAGUUUCACAGUUGCAGCAAAAGUAAAUGAUGUUUGUGUAUGUUGAUUUGAGUUUAUGAUUGUUUGAUUUGAGAUUGUAUUGCUUGAGCUGGCCAUUUGUGGCUCUGAUACCAUGAAAGAAAACAGAGAUGUACUAUUUGGUUGAAUAGAAAAUUACAGAGAAAAUUCUCAAUACUUGUAUUUGAUAAGAUUCAAUUCUUAAGAGCUUUUACAAAUCAGUACAAGUAUUUAUAUUAUUCCUUACACGUGAGAAUUACUAGUAACUCACUAACUAACUAACUAACUUUCUUUGAGCUGGAUCACUAACACUUGACUAAUCACGCUGAGCUGUUAUUCUUCACUAACAACCUUCUGCUGACGUGGCUUCACCAAACUGCUUGAAUAAUGAGCAGCCUUGACAGGAAGAAACUUUGAACAAUCAUCCUGAUAUCCUUCAGAAAGCACAAUAGUUGUUAAGGAGUGUGGUGGUUUGCCACUUGCACAUUUUACCAUCGGUCGAUUUAUGGCAUGCAAGAAGACACAGCCGAAGAAUGGAGAUAUGCUAUUCAAGUGUUCAAUUCGUCCGCUUCCCGUUUCCAGGUCUGGAAGAAUGGAUAUAUACUCUUGUAAAAUUCAGUUAUGAUAGUUUACCCAAUGACACAAUUACACCUUGUCUGUUAUAUUGUAGUUUAUAUCCAGAAGAUUGUUGCAUUUCUAAAGAGAAUUUGGUAGAUUGUUAGAUCAGUGAAGGAUUUUUUAAUGAGAGUGAUUGGUUUGGAGAAAAAAUCAAGGAUACUUCAUUUUGGGCAUUCUUCUUCACGUUUUUUUUUGGAAAAGGGAGGAGAUUGUGAAAUGAAAAAUGCAUGCAUGACGUUAUUCGUGAUAUGGCUUUGUGGAUCGCAUGCGACUAUGAGAAGGAGAAGGAGAACUUUUUGGUUUACGCUGGUGUUGGUUUAACUAAGGUACCGGAUAUUAGAGAUUGGGAAAAGGUAAGGAGAUUGUCAUUGAUGAAAAAUAAAAUUGAGAAUCUAUCCGAGGCUCAUACAUGCCCUCAUCUCCUCACUUUCUUUCUUGACGAUAAUGAGUUUCGGAAGAUCCCCGGUGAUUUCUUCCAGUUUAUGCCUUCUCUCACUGUUUUAAACUUGUCAUGUAUUAAACUAAAGUCAGUUCCUUUAGGGACUUCAAGGUUGGUUCCACUACAACAACUCGAUCAUUCAUAUUCAAGCAUAAAAGAGUUGCAAGAAGAGUUAAAUGCCCUGAUUAAAGUUAAAUGCUUGAAUAUAGAUCAUGUAGAGGAGCUAAUUACAGUUCCACAACAACGGAUAUUUAAUUUUUAAGGUUAUAUGUGUUGAGAAUGUUCGAUACUAUUAGUUUAAAUUUUCAAGAAGCAUUAAAUAAAGACAGCAUUUUAUUUGGUGGGGAGGAAGUUUAAGCAGAGGAGUUGCUCGGUUUGGAAUAUUUGGAGGUAUUGAGCUUCACUUGAGAGGUGUUCGUGCUCUCCAAUUUAUUUUGAGCUCACAUAAGCUACGAAGUUGUACUCAAGCGCUGUUCCUCCAAUCCUUCAAUAAUUCGAUAUGGCUUGAUAUUUCACUUUUGGCAGAGUUAAAAGCACCACUGCAGAUUUAAGUAUUUUUGGCUGUAGAAAAUUGGAGGACUUGAAGAUGGAAUAUACAGGGGGAGCGAAAAACAAGCGGCAACCUUGUGUUUUCUAAGGCCUACAUACAGUUCACAUAGAGGUUUGUUCUAAAUUGAAGGACUUAACAUUCCUUGUUUCUGCUCCAAAUCUCAAGAACUUGGAAAUACAAAAUUGCCCUGCUGUGGAAGCAAUCAUCAGUGUGGGAGAAUUUGCGGAAGCUCUAGAGGUGGUGGAAAAUCUAAACCCAUUUGCAAAACUCCAGUAUCUUGGACUAGAAAAUCUGCCAAAUGUGGAGAGCAUCUAUUGCAAGCCUCUGCCCUUUCCAUGUUUGAAAAGAAAUGACUGUGGAUAGUUGCGGUUGUCUUAAAAAGCUUCCACUCUACUCCAACAGUGUAAAAGAGUGUACAAUUGUUAUUUCAUCAUUCGGAGAGUUAAUGGUGCAAUGAGAUUUGGCAGUUAACUCUCGUGGGAAGAGCUUGAAUGGGAAGACGAAGCCACUCGAAUUGCUUUUCAUUCAUGUUUCAAAUCUCUGAUUGGAUUGGAGAUUGCAUUUCGCCUCAGGUUCGUACUUUUCUUGAAUUUUUCUUGUUAACUUCAUUUGUUCAUUUAUCCAUUUUUUUUUAAAGGAAUCAGAAGGGUUAAUAAUUUUGGUUGUGUUAGGUCGACUUCUAAUCACGAGGCAGAAGGAGUUGAGAUGAAGUUUAAUUUUGGUGGAGAAAUUGUUUGAUUUAAAAAAUUUAAAUGAGUUGACCAUCAUUCUUUAGCAUAUUUGUAUGAACAGGAGUGUGUAAAUAUGCAAACUGUCCAGCUGUAUGUGUAUAGCGUAAUAAUUUUGAGGAGUUAAAACAUUGAAGAAUAUUGAUGUUUCCAUUGUCAAACCAAAUAUACUUAAUUACUUGAGGAUAAUGAUUACUGCUAAUACAUUUGCUAAUACAUUUGCAAAGAAAAAAACAUGCCUAUUGAAAAACUCAUCUUAUUAGCAACAGCAUUAUAAGUAGUAUCCAAUCAUAGUUUCAUGCAAGAUUUUGAGAUUUUUCAAAUGCUGAUUCCGGGAAUGGAGAUUAAUAGAUAAUGGAGACAGGUUGACUGCAAUGGCUAAUUGCAAGAGGGAAUUUUAGUCGUAAAAACAGACCAACUAGCAAAGCAAAUUCCAAAUCUUGGAAUGAAGUGGCAAAAAAACGAAACAAACAAAUGGCAAGAGGAAGUGACUAUACAAUAAUAACAUCGACUUGCAAUUCAACAUUUAUACAGUUUUACUCACCAAGAAAAGAGAAAAUUACAAUAGCAAUUUGGCUACUAGAAGAUGUUCAUUCAUGCUUAUGCCUGUCAUAUGGAUUUGAAACAAGGAGUAAAAGCAUUUAGAGUGGCUUCAUCCUUCCACUGCAGCUCAUUCCACCAGUGUUGCUCUCCCCUAAUAACAAGUUUGCGUUCCUUGGCGCUGUUGUAAUCGAGUGGAAGCUUCUUGAGGUUCGGGCAUCCAGAUACAAACAAUUCUAAGAGAUUUGGAAAGUGCACUUAAAUUCUUAUGAAUUGCUUAAGUAUGCAAGCAGCAGAGCAGAAAACAAACAACCUUUUCAUAUAUUAUAAUAACAUGAAUAAUCAGAUAUACACAUCCUUCACAUAUUUAUACUAAACGUGAAAAAUGGUAGCUUGCUCAAAGGGAAAACAGAAAUGAAUAAAACAAAAGAUUACAGCUGCACUAGCCAAUCAUUGGAAACAUUCUAGAAACUCCAGCUUGCAGUAUUCACGUGUAAAUAUUCUCCUGCAUAACAGUUUUGCCAGCUCAUUGAAUACACCUCAACUUCUUCAUCAGCUGGUUGCUGGAUAUGGCUGCUCAGGUGGCAUGCCAGCAUGGCCUUUGGGUCAAUUGUUGACUCAUCUUCAUAAUCUGAAUUCUCAACACCCUCUCUCAAACUUAAGGUCUUGUCGAAGACAUUAAGUUUGCUUCUAAAUUGACUGAACUUGUAAUAAGGCAAUGGCUUGGUUAAUAUGUCUGCAACUUGAUCUCUGCUGGCUACAAAACUGAUUUCCAGCUCUCCUUGAGUGACUUUGUCUCUAAUGAAAUGAAGGUCUAUCUCAAAAUGCUUUGUCUUUGAGUGAUACACUGGAUUUGUGGCUAUUGCUGCUGCACUUGUGCUAUCACUUAAGAUCAUUGGAACUCUUUGCAUCUUGAUUUCCAAUUCACCAAACAGAGAAUUUAUCCAAGUGAUUUCAGUAGUACACAAAGCUAUGGCCCUGUACUCGGACUCAGCUGUCGAUCUUGCUACCAUGCCUUGCUUUAUUGAGCUCCAAGCUACUAAAUUGUCUCCCAAAAACACACAAUAUCCACUUACUGAUCUUCUGUCAUCUGGAUCACUAGCCCAGUCAGCAUCAAUAUAGGCUAUCAAAUCUAGAUGUUCUGACUUCUGGAACUUUAAGCACAUGUUUGCAGUGCUCUUUAGGUACCUCAACACUCGUUUGCAAGCUGUCCAGUGAGAUUGUCUUGGGUCAGACAGGUAUUGGCUAAGCUUGUUCACAGAAUAUGCAAGCUCUGGUCUUGUUAGAACAGCAUAAUGUAGACUUCCUACAACACUCCUAUAAAAUGAAGGAUUGUCAAGUUUGGUGCCUUCACCCUUCUUUAGUUUCUCUGCUGUGCUGAAAGGUGACUCUAUUCCCUUGCAAUUCUCCAUCUCUGUUUUAGCUAAUAGGUCUUGAACAUAUUUAGCUUGAGAGAGCAAAAUGGAGUUCUGAUUUCUUAUAACAUGUAUCCCAAGGAAGUAGCUUAAAUUUCCAAGAUCUUUCCACUUAACUUUCCUAUCACUUCCUCAAUACCCUUGCUGUUAUUUCCAGUCACAAUUAUGUCAUCUACAUACACAAGCACAAUGAUUAUUUCAGCACUGCUUCUUUUGAAGAAUAGAGAAAUAUCACACUUGGAGUUGUUGAAUCCCCAAGAGCACAGAGCAUUCUUUAAUUUGUCAAACCAUGCUCUGGGUGCUUGUCUCAGUCCAUAAAGAGCUUUCUUGAGCUUGCAUAUGUGGUUUGGUCUUCUCCUAUCCUCAAAUCCCUCAGGUUGUGGCAUGUACACUGUCUCUGUCAAAUCUCCAUUCAGAAAUGCAUUAUUUAUGUCAACCUGCCUCAACAGCCAAUCAUUACUUACAGCCAAAGUUAAAAUGAUUCUGAUUGUUGCAGCUUUGACCACAGGGCUGAAAGUCUCAUUAAAGUCAAGUCCUGGUGUCUGCAGAAACCCCUUCAAGACAAGUCUAGCUUUGUAUCUAUUUAUGGUGCCAUCUGGAUUUUCCUUUACUUUGUACACCCAUUUGUUGCCAAUGAGUUUGUAGUUCUGGUCAUGUGGAAUUAAGGUCCAGGUUUGGUUUUUGACAAGAGCAUUAUAUUCAUCCUCCAUUGCUCUUCUCCAUUUAGGAUCUUUCAGUGCCACAGUGGAGUCAGGGGGUAAGGAAGUUUGAGAUUGAGUGGAUAUUUGAUAAACCUUUGGCUUGCAAAUCCCUGCUUUUGACCUUGUGAUCAUGGGAUGUAAGGAGGCUUGAGUGUUUGGUUAUGUUAUGAGAGGCAAGGUGCAAUUUUCUACUGAGGUGUUUGGUGAGAGUUCAACAGGUGAGUGGUUGUCUGAUAUAGAGUUGAAGCUCAAAUUCUAACAAGCUCCAUCUUAACUAAAACUUGGGAGCUGUUCUGAGUUUCCAGCAGUGGCCUGAGAUUAACUAUGAGCUGCAUUUUGCUGUGUUGACUCAGGGGGAACAGUAGUGGAGAAAGAUACAACUUGAAAUUUUUCUAGAACUGUGGGGGAAUCAUUUUGGUCAGUGAGCCUUUGCUUGCAGAAAUUUGAGUCAUUUUGAAAAGGGAAUGAAUGAUCAUUAAAUUGACACUGGCUGAAAUGUAGAUCCUCCCAGAAUGAUGCAUGCAAAUGUAACCUUUGUGACUGAUGCUAAUGCCUAGUAGUGUGCACUUGAAAGUGUGAAAAUCAAACUUAUGCUUGUUGUAGGGUCUUAAGUAUGGAUAGCAUUCACAACCGAAAACUUUAAUUUGGGAAUAAUCUGGUUUGGUGAGAUAUAACAGCUCAAAUGGAGUUUUAUUUUCAAGAAUAGGUGAGGUUAAUCUGUUUAUGAUGUAGGUGGCAUAGCUGAAAGCUUCUUGCCAAUAUCUCAAAGGCAUUUUUGCUUGGGCUAGUAAUGUUAGGCCAGUUUCCACAAUGUGUCUGUGCUUUCUCUCCACCUUUCCAUUUUGUUCAUGUAAAUAAGGGCAUGAGUGUCUUAAGGCUAUUCCUUCUUUCUUGAGAAAGGGUUCGAAAGUUUUAAACUCCCCACCCAUGUCUGUUUGUAAAGCCUUGAUUCUUAAAUUUAGCUGAUUUUCUACUUGGUUUUUAAACACAAUGAAUGUGUCAAGGGCCUGUGAUUUUGUUGUUAAGGGAAACAACCAUGUGUAUCUUGUCUUGUCAUCCACAAAUGAUAUGUAAUAUCUGUGUCCAUGGGUAGAUGGAAUAGGUGCUGGUCCCCAGAGAUCACUAUGUAUUUGUUCUAAGGCUGUGCUGGUCUUGGUUUCAAUGCUUUUAAAGUUUAGUUUUGAUUGCUUUCCAUACUGACAAGCAUUACAGAAUGAGGGAAAUAUAUUUUUAUUUAAGUUGAGCUGAUUACAAGAUAAUAGAGUAUUUUUCAGAACUGACUCAUUUGGAUGCCUCAGCCUAUGGUGCCAGAGAUCUAUUUCAUUUGUUCUAAGAUCCCUACUGCUUGUAUCAGCUCUACUGGACUCGACAACACUGGCACCAACACUGGCACCUAAAGACUCAUUACUACUGAAAUUGAAACAUGCCAUUGACAUUGGAUUGCUAAUGCAACUUAUUGACUUGGGUAUUGGAAAUGAAGAUAACUCAGCAGCAUAAGUAACCUUGUUGCCACUCAAAUGAGUUGGCAUGCAUAGCAGCUCAUAUAGUCCAUCUCUAGCCACUCCUUUCACCAGAAUUCUCCCUUGGCUCUUGUCCUUGAUGAAGCAAACAGAUUUUUGAAACUCAACAUCAAUAUCAUUAUCAUGAAGCAAUUUGGAAACACUAAUGAGAUUUUUGGUAAUAUCAGGUACAAACAAAAUAUGAUUUAAUUUGAUGUGUUUGUGUGGACUGUAAGUGGGCAAUAUAGAAUAACCAAUGUGAGAGAUAUGAAGUUUGUUACCAUUACCAACAGUGAGCUUGUCAUUACCUUGGUACUCUGAGUUCAGGUUCAUGUUUCCAAUAGCAUUGGUCACAUGAUUUGUGGCACCACUGUCAAGGUACCAGGCAUUGCUGUUUUGUCCUUCUGUUGUGGCCAUGUAGGCUCCUCUCCUCCUAUUUAGCUGUGGCACAUAAUUUUUCUUAAACCUAUGCCAGCAUUCAACAGCUGUGUGCCCCAUUUUGAAGCAGAUUUGGCAUGGACCCUUUGAUUCAGAACCUUCACCUUCUGCAGCAGCUUUGCCUUUGCCUUUGUCUUGAAUAUUUUGAUUUCCCUGACCAUGACCACCAUUGCCACCAUUUCCAGUGCCACCACCAGGAUUUCUGAAGACUAUCCCAGGUUGUUGCUGACUGCCAAAUCUUUCACCAUUGCCCCAGUUCCUCCUGCCAUUUCUCAUCUGUGUGAAGUUAGCCUCAAGAAUCCCUGGGCUGAGAUUUUGCUCAGUCCUGGUUUCUUGGCUGAGGAGCAUGCUGUAGACCUCUGACAAUGAAGGAGUUUCUGGCAUAGAGUUAAUGUUAGUGACAACAGAGUCAUAUUCAGAUCAUACUCCAGCUAAGACACACAUAAUAAAGUCCUCAUCACUCAUGUUAUUUCCAGCUGCUCUGAGUGUAUUUAGGAUAGUUUUCAUCAUGGAGUAAUAAUCAUGGAUUGUAAGAGAGCCCUUUUUAGUGGUUUGAAUCUGUGUCCUCAAAUAUAGGAUUCUAGCUCUUGUUCUUGCACCAUACUGAUUGGUAAGAGUUGUCCAAACUUCAUGUGAAGUAGAACAAUCCACCACAGUGCCGAGGACACCCUCACUGAGAGAUGAGAGCAACCAGCUCAAAAGAAUGUGGUCCUGUUUCUUCCAGAUUUGAUAUUCUGGAUUUUGGUGGGUAACGGUAGCUUGGUUAGGUCCAGGACUGGUGAAAUAUCUGGGGGGACAGGUAUAGCUUCCAUUUAUGAAGCCUUCAAGCUCAUUUGCUCGUAUGCUGGAGACCACUUGUGAUCUCCAGAGCAUGAAAUUGUUCUGUGUUAACUUGAUGGGAGUGGUGAACACAUAUGUGUUGCUGGUGAUAUGUUGGGUAGGAGAUGGGUUCAUUAUGGUCACAUUUCUUGUGUUAUUAUCUGGAUUCUGAUUGUCGAUAUUUUCAGGUUGGUUUUGAUUCAAAUCAUUUGGUUGAUCAUCUGGAUUUUCCAGAGUUUGAUUCAUGUUUGUUUGUGAAUUUCUGCUGCUUUCCAUAGCUCAAAAGUUGCUCUGAUACCAACUUAAAUUCUUAUGAAUUGCUUAAGUAUGCAAGCAGAAGAGCAGAAAAAAAAUAACCUUUUCAUAUAUUAUAAUAACAUGAAUAAUCAGAUAUACACAUCCUUCACAUAUUUAUACUAAACGUGAAAAAUGGUAGCUUGCUCAAAGGGAAAACAGAAAUGAAUAAAACAAAAGAUUACAGCUGCACUAGCCAAUCAUUGGAAACAUUCUAGAAACUCCAGCUUGCAGUAUUCACGUGUAAAUAUUCUCCUGCAUAACAGUUUUGCCAGCUCAUUGAAUACACCUCAACUUCUUCAUCAGCUGGCUGCUGGAUAUGGCUGCUCAGGUGGCAUGCCAACAUGGCCUUGGGGUCAAUUGUUGACUCAUCUUCAUAAUCUGAAUUCUCAACAAUGCAUUCAAACAGAUCUUCUUCAAAUUUCUUAGAACUUGCAACCGAAGAUAUUGGAGUUUCGCAAAAGGUUUUAGCCCUGUAACUUCUUCCACUUUCCAAACACUGAUUAUUUCUUCCAUCUCAUAACAACGUUCUACAUGGACCAUCUUCAGAUUUGGGGCAAAAACAAGCCAUGUCAUCUCCCUCAAUUUACUGCAAUAGUCUAUGGUAACACUUUGAAGGCUGUUGAAACCAUAAGUUCUCUUGUUGUUUGAACUUCUGCAUAGUCAACCUUUAGCUCUUCCAAACUUGUACAAUACACAAAAUCUAGUUUGUCAAGAUACUUGAGAUCUGCUAUGGACAAAAUAUUCCAUGACCUUGAAUCCUCACAGCGUCGAAGCUCUAAAGCAUAUUUACAACUCUUGUACUGUUGGCAGCUCAAAAGUCUUCGUAGAGCAUAAAAACUUCUUAACGUGACGCUUAAUACAUUUAAAUGUUCCAAAGUAAUCAACUCCUCUACCAAAAUUUCACUACCACCAAAUAGAACGCUAUCUUCUGGUACUGUAUUAGCAGAGCCACAAUCUAGCAUCCUCAACACCUUUAACCCAGAAAAAUUACAAAGCAGUUGCCGUGGAAUCGUAUGGAGAUAACGCAUGUACUCCAAGUUCAAACACUUUAGAUUUUUCAAGGCUUUUAAUUCAUGUGGUAACUCUUUGAUGAAAGUUUCUGAAAGAUUAAGAUAUUGUAGUGAAACCAAUUUUGAAAUUCCUGAAGGCAAUUGACUCAAGGAGCGAUUCUUUGAUAGGUUUAAAACUUUAAGAGAAGGCAUAAAAUCGAAGAAAUCACUAGGGAUAGUAUCUAACAUAUUAAUGCCGAGGAACAAAGUUAUAAGAUGAGGGCAUAUUGGAGUUAUUGGUAAAAUCACAAUUUUAUUUCUCAUCAACGAUAUCCUUCUCUUAUCUUCCCAUUGUUUAACCUCGGGUGGUUCAGUUAAUUCAAUACCGGCAGAAACCAAAAAGUUUUCAUUCUCCACUUCACAGGCUAUCCACAAGGUCAUAUCACGAAUCACAUCAUGCAAUUUUACAUAAUCUGAUCCUGCUUCUUCCAAUAGGCAUGCAUGAACAAGAACACCAAUAAUGUAGUAUCCUUGGUUAUGUACUCCAUUAAUUCCUUCAUAUUCCUUCAGAAAACCCUCACCAAUCCAACACCCUAUCAAUUCAAUUUUGCUAAUUUGAUAAUCCUCAGGAAAUAAACUACAGUAUAACAGACAAGAUCUAAGGACGUCACUAGACAAACUAUCAUAACUGAAUUUUAAAAGACGAAACACCUCUUUCUCCAUACCUGGAAAUUCAUAAGCUGAUCUCCUUAACAUCUGAAUUGCAUAGCUCCAUUCUUCGGGUGUCUUCUUGCUGCUCAUGGCACGACCGGUGGUAAUAAGUGCAAGUGGCAAACCACUACACUCCUUUGCCACAGUUUUGGCUAACUCCGGAAUAUCGGGAUGACUUUCAAGAGUCUCUUCUCCGACCUUCUUUAGGAACAAUUCCCAAGCAUCUUGAUCUGCCAAACACUCCACCUUGAACUUUUUUUGAGCUUCCAUGAGGCCACAGACGUCCACAAGACGAGUCGUAAAUGUUGAAAGUCAUGGCUGGCGCCGGCCAUCUAGAUGGCCGGUGCCAACCAUUCAACAUUCAACACGGCCCGCCAUUAUUGGUGGUGCCGUGUUGAAUGACUCCAUAAAAAAAAAAAAAAAAAAAAAGAGCCAAAAUUUUGGCUAUAUAAAGAGGGCUUCCCACCCUCAUUUAUAAUCCAAUCUUGAGAGAGCAAUUUAGGGAGUUGAGAGAGAGUUUAAGAGCUUGCAUUUAUAAGCUCUUAUUUUAGUGAUUUGAGAGUUUGGGUGUAUUGGGGUUUUGGGUAGUGAGCUAAAAUACUACAAUACUUGUAACUCCUUUUCACUAGUAAAAUAUUUCCUUCUGUCUUUGCCCAUGGACGUAGGCUAAAAGCCGAACCACGUAAUUUCUGGUGUCCUCUAUUGUGCUUGUUCUUUAUUUUAUUUCCAAUUUCAUUUUAGCUGCGGUCCUGCUUCACCCACCAAUUUCCUAACAGUGGUAUCAGAGCUAUUGGUUGUAUUUUUGGAGUCGGGAACUGUUCACGUAAGGGGUACUAUUCACGUAUACGACACUAUUCACGUAUACUGUACUGUUCACGUAUACGGGUUUGUUCACAUAUACGGUACUGUUCACGUAUACGAUACUAUUCACGUAUACGGUACUAUUCACGUGAAACGGGGAAGCGAUCCAAGAAUUUUCCGGUGCAAAGCAGGGAAUAGUAGUGUGAGAAAAGCAACUGUGGUUUUGUACAUGUCUAGGAAAGUUCUGUCACAAAGGCGAUAAGAGCUUAAGGAGUCUGGGUUUUAAGUGGGACCAUUGUGACCCCUCCAGUCUUUCCUGGGAACUUUCCUGGUGUGCAUUCUCACACAUACUCACAACUAUUCAAGGUGGUAUACUAGCUUGUGUGCAGUAUUUAUCAACAAAAUGGCGGCAAAGUAUGAAAUUGAGAAGUUGAACGGAAAUAAUUUUUCGUUGUGGAAAAUGAAGAUGAAAGCUGUAUUGAGGAAAAAUAAUUGUUUGGCAGCAAUUGGAGAAAGGCCCAUGGAGAUAACUGAUGACAAGUGGAACGAGGUAGACGGUAACGCCAUUUCUGAUCUACACUUGGCACUUGCGGAUGGUGUAUUAUCUAGUGUGGCAGAGAAAAAUACGGCGAAGGAAAUAUGGGAUACUCUCACAAAAUUGUACGAGGCCAAGUCACUACACAACAAAAUCUUCUUGAAGAGAAAACUAUAUACUCUUCGAAUGGCGGAAUCUACAAUGGUGACCGACCACAUCAACACUUUGAAGACUCUAUUUUCACAACUCACAACGUUGGGUCAUAAUAUAGAGGAGAAUGAACGUGCAGAGCUUCUACUUCAAAGUCUACCAGAUUCGUAUGAUCAACUCAUCAUCAACCUGAUGAACAACAAUCCAGUGGAAAGUCUAGUUUUCGACAAUGUUGCAGCCUCCGUAUUAAAUGAGGAGAGCAGACGGAAAAAUAAGGAAAACAGACAAGCAAGUUCGCAGCAAGCAGAGGCGCUAUCGGUGACGAGAGGGAGAUCAACGGAACGUGGCCCCAGUGGGAGUCAAAGUUAUGGUAGAUCAAAAUCCAGAAGUAAGAAAAAUGUUAAAUGCUACAACUGUGGCAAGAAAGGGCACGUCAAGAAAGAGUGUUGGAGUAACCAGAAGAGAAGAGAGGGUAAAGAACCUGAGUCAUCAAAUGCUCAGGGGUGUGUAGCAAGUACCUCGGAUGAUGGCGAAAUUCUCUACAGUGAGGCAACAACUGUUUCAGAAGGCAGAAAACGACUUUCUGAUGUCUGGCUUAUAGACUCAGGAGCUACCUGGCACAUGACCUCUAGGAGAGAAUGGUUCUACACAUAUGAACCUAUCUCAGGAGGAUCUGUAUAUAUGGGUAACGAUCAUGCCUUGGAGAUCGCUGGUAUUGGUACUAUCAAAAUAAAAAUGUUUGAUGGUACAAUUCGCACAAUUGGGGAGGUACGACAUGUCAACGGCCUAAAGAAAAAUCUAUUGUCUUUAGGACAAAUGGAUAGUCAUGGGUACAAAACUCAUGUGGAGAAUGGAAUUAUGAAGAUCGUUAAAGGCGCGCUUGUAUUAAUGAAGGCAGAAAAGAUCAGUGCUAAUCUAUUCAUGCUUAAAGGAGAAACACUACAGGAGGCUGAUGCGUGUGUCGCGUCAAAUGGAGAAGAAUCAACGAUGAUGUGGCAUCUCAAACUCGGCCACAUGUCAGAACAAGGCUUGAAGAUUCUCUCUGAGCGAAAAUUGCUUCCGGGGCUCAAAUCAGUAAGUUUACCAUUUUGCGAGCAUUGUGUUAUAAGUAAGCAGUAUAGAUUAAAAUUCAGUAGAUCUAUUGCUAGAAGUAAAUGCAUUCUAGACUUGAUUCAUUCUGAUGUUUGGGAAUCACCGGAUAUAUCCAUGGGAGGUGCAAAGUACAUGGUGACUUUCAUUGAUGAUUAUUCCAGAAGAUGUUGGGUGUAUCCAAUUAAGAAAAAGUCAGAUGUAUUUCCUGUGUUUAAAGAAUACAAAGCGCGGGUGGAACUUGAAUCUGGUAAAAAGAUCAAGUGCUUAAGGACAGAUAAUGGUGGAGAAUAUACAUACGACGAGUUUCUUGCUUUCUGUAAGCAAGAAGGUAUUCAGAGGCAAUUCACGGUGGCAUACACUCCUCAACAAAACGGAGUAGCAGAGCGGAUGAACAGAACUCUUACAGAAAGAAUAAGAGCUAUGUUGAGGACUGCUGGUUUACCCAAUUCAUUCUGGGCAGAAGCAGCCAAAACCGCCUGUUAUAUAGUAAAUCGGUCGCCAUCUACAGCUAUUGGGUUGAAGACAGCGAUGGAGAUGUGGACUGGAAAGCCAGCUGAUUAUUCCUACCUACAUGCAUUUGGAUGUCCUGUGUACGUGAUGUACAAUGCCCAAGAAAGAACAAAGCUGGAUGCAAAAUCUAGAAGAUGUAUCUUCUUGGGGUAUGCUGAUGGAGUAAAGGGGUAUCGUCUGUGGGACCCCACUGCCCAUAAGAUCGUCAUCAGCAGAGAUGUUAUCUUUGUAGAAGAUCAACUACAAAGAAAAGAUGGAGAUGAUGGCACUGUAAAAGAAAAGUCAGAGACUGUACCAGUAUAUGUCGAAAAUAAUCUAGAAGAUUCAGAUUCUUCUGAAGCAGCACCAGAGCACGAGGAACAAGAACCAGUCGAGUCUGAGGCUCCAGAAGUUCGUCGGUCAACUCGUGAGAGACGACCACCGGCGUGGCACUCGGAGUAUGUCACAGAGAUCAACGUUGCAUACUGUCUUCUAACAGAGGAUGGAGAGCCUUCAACUUUCCAUGAAGCUUUAAACAACUUAGAUGUUGCUUUGUGGAUGACAGCAAUGCAGGAAGAAAUUGAAGCUCUACACAAGAACAAGACAUGGGAACUUGUACCACUACCACACGGAAGAAAAGCCAUUGGAAACAAAUGGGUCUACAAGAUCAAACGUGAUGGCAAUGACCAAGUGGACCGGUAUCGUGCAAGAUUGGUGGUGAAAGGAUAUGCUCAGAAAGAAGGUAUUGACUUCAACGAGAUAUUUUCUCCGGUGGUUCGACUCACAACAGUCAGAAUAGUCUUGGAGAUGUGUGCUACAUUUGAUCUACAUCUUGAGCAGUUAGAUGUUAAAACUGCAUUUCUUCAUGGAGAACUUGAAGAAGAAAUAUAUAUGCUCCAACCAGAAGGUUUUGCAGAAACAGGAAAGGAGAACUUGGUUUGCAGGUUGAACAAAUCUCUAUACGGUCUCAAACAGGCGCCGAGGUGUUGGUAUAAGAGAUUUGAUUCCUUCAUCAUGAGCCUUGGAUACAACAGACUCAGUUCAGACCAUUGUGCAUAUUACAAGAGGUUUGAAGAUAAUGAUUUCAUCAUUUUACUGUUGUACGUGGAUGACAUGUUGGUAGCAGGCCCCAACAAAGAUCAAGUCCAAGAAUUGAAGGCACAAUUGGCUAAGGAGUUUGAAAUGAAGGACUUGGGACCAGCAAACAAGAUUCUAGGGAUGCAAAUUCACCGAGACAAAAAUAACAGGAAGAUUUGGCUUUCACAGAAGAAUUACUUGAAGAAAAUCUUGCGGCGCUUCAACAUGUAAGAUUGUAAGUCAAUUUCUACCCCACUUCCUGUUAAUUUCAAAUUAUCCUCAAGUAUGUGUCCUAGCAAUGAAGUGGAGAGGAAGGAGAUGUCUCGAGUACCGUAUGCAUCAGCAGUGGGAAGUUUAAUGUUCGCUAUGAUAUGUACUAGACCAGACAUUGCACAAGCAGUGGGAGCAGUCAGUCGAUACAUGGCGAAUCCUGGUGGAGAGCAUUGGAUAGCUGUAAAGAGGAUUCUGAGAUACAUCAGAGGAACCUCAGAUGUUGCAUUAUGUUACGGAGGAUCAGAGUUUACUAUCAGGGGCUAUGUGGAUUCAGAUUUUGCAGGAGAUCUUGAUAAAAGAAAAUCCACUACUGGUUAUGUGUUUACACUUGCAGGAGCAGCUGUAAGCUGGGUUUCGAAACUGCAGAUCGUUGUGGCUUUANNNNNNNNNNNNNNNNNNNNNNNNNNNNNNNNNNNNNNNNNNNNNNNNNNNNNNNNNNNNNNNNNNNNNNNNNNNNNNNNNNNNNNNNNNNNNNNNNNNNAUAUUCUUGAUUAAUCCAUUUUCUGAAAUUUUUUAUUUUGUAUGGUCAAUUAUACCUUCAUACUAAAAAUUUCUGAUGUUAUGGGGUUGUUGGAUGUGUUUUGGAUAUUUGCAGCUAAGUUUGAGUUUAUAUCUCAACUUAAAAUUUGUAGUUUUCACUUGAAAAAAUUCAGUUAAAAAUUGAUUGGUAGAAUUGUGAAGAAGUUUAAAUUUUUAGUUCAACCCGAUUGCAUAUUUAAGAACAUCUCAAAUGAAUUGCUUACUGCUAUCAUCAUCAUAAUUGUCAGAGAUGGUUAAUUGAUAGACUAUGUGCCUGGGUCGAGCACUGGAAGCCUGCAAUGCAGACUGAUUGAUUUAUCAGUUUAACGUGUGCCAGGAAUGAAGAACUGGAAUAUCACCGUCAAGCAAGCACCCUGUGGAGCAAUACCAAAGAAUGCACAAUCCGGCUUUGCAAGGUGACACUGGAGGCUUUUUGAAAAGUGCUUCACGCUCACUUGCACAGAUUGAGCAUCCCCUCUGGAUAUUGCCCUCUCUGAUCGAGUCUGAGCACUCAAAUUUUGGUCCUCAGAGGGAGCUACAGUUUUCUCUCCAAUAACCAACAAUUUUCUAAACUCAGCACCUAGUGUGAUCAGAGUUGUUGAUAUUUAUAAAUGGAGAUCCCCAUAUUUGCAAGUGGAGACAUUUAACAAUUCACCAACAUGCUUCAUCCGGUGUACAAAAUUCUGCAGCUGAUUCAAAUCCGGAACCUGAACCAGAGUCGGAGGUAUAUCUUGAGCCAUAUCUAAAGUAGUUUGAAGUUCAAGACCUUGAGCCCUUGACAAUGGUUUUGAAAUUGGAACAUCUUGGAUUACUGCAGACUUGUACCCCUUGGUUUCAAAGGUAAGGAAAGGCAUUGCUUGAGUACAAUUUGGAGGCAGCUUCUUCACCAAUUUUAUUUGGAGGCGAUUGGCAGCGGAUCCAGCAGCACCAAUUUCAGAGCAAAUACUGACACUACUUCGAACAGCACACUGAAGAAGUGAUAUGUCUACGGCAAAGGCAAUGCAGUCCUCAUUUUGGCUUGAGAUGCAGUAAUCAUCGAAGAGAGUUUCCUUGUGAAACUGGGCAACACAUUGAAUCCCUUCGCCACUGAGAAGGUUGUGGAGGAAGUAAGCUUUCUCUCUAGUGAGGCAGAGGUGGCAUACCUUCCCCAUUUUGUCGAGGGCAGGUAGGAAUCUUUUUUCUAAGAGAUUUACUUCAUUCUCUGUGAGAAAUGCUUUGAACUUCAUCCCUCUGUCUCUAUCCUCACUUAUCAGGAAAUAAGUUGAAAGCACUACGAAGAGAGAGAGAGAGAGAGAGAGAGAAUUAAGAUAUAUAGACAAGAAAAAUAUUAGACGUUGAUCUUACAAACUAAUACUUCAAGCAGUAUCCUGGAAAGCUAAAAACUGCAAGAUGGCUUGAAAUUUGAAAAGAGCACGUGCUUUUCCUCCUUAACUUGAGAAAAUGUUUAAUAUAGUGCACCUUAUGGAAGCAUUUAAGCAAUUAGAACUUUGCACAAAAACAUCAAGAAGACUAAACAAGUCAGAUGCAGUGUAUUUGUCCAAGCACAAAUUGCAUUUUGUCCUCAACUUUAAUAUUUAUUGAUGAGAAUCAAUACAGGUCCCUCAUUUGUUAUAGAAAGCUUUCUUUCUUGUAGUCUCACCAGUUAAUUCACAGGUCUAUAAUCAUCUUGCAAAGUUAAGGGCAUUUCUUUUGAUCUAAAGUCUUUGCAUCACCACCUCAUCACACGCCAAGCCAAUAUUCCAUUUACCUCUACAACAAAAAGUUUUAAUUAAACAAUCCUAAUGCACGCAGCCAAAUAAAAUGCAGUAAGAAUAUUCAACUUAAAAAUCUGAAAGCCAACUUGGUGAAUUGCCUCCUUAGGUGAAGUUCCAUGCUUUACUAUAGUUGACAGAACUCAGCAAAAGCUUCCAUACAACAGAUUUUGAAAAUGAUGAUGCCAACAGAUACUCAUUCAAUCCAUUGAAACUCCAAAGGUUCAUUGUUCAUAGAAGUUUACAAAGUUUUGGUCAUCAAAUAGCUCAGACCUAAUCCCAAACAAAAAAAGAGUGAAAAUUAGAUCACGAGCAGCUAAUUGUAAAUUCUAACUUAACUCUUCAUCUCCUUUGUAAACAAGAAACAAAAUGGAGACACGCAAAAUGAAUAUGGAGAAAAUUUGAACUCAAAUGAAAUGAGGGCACGAAAGCAAACAAAUGGCAUGCACAAAAAAACCAAGCCUCAAUCAAAAACUAAUUAACCAUUAAGAAAAAAAUUGGUCAGACAAUGAACUCCAAAUUCAGGAGUCAAGCAAGAAGCUUUCAUUAUUUCAGAAGCUCCUGUACAAAUUAAUAAGUUAUGCUCUUUGGAAGCAAAACCAAAUUCCAAGAGAAACAGAACCCAAAAAAUUUGCAAUUAUUCGCAAAGGAAGUGAAGCACAGGAUUCUAUCACACAUAGGAAUUUUAUAACAAGAGAUCGAUAUAUCGAAUUAGAAAACUCAAUUCGAAUUUGUGUGAAAAAUCAAAAUUAGAAGAUUUCACAUUUCGAGAGGAACAAGCAACAGAUGAGUUUAAUUUCAGCCAUAACAUGCUAAAAAUGCUACACUUAACGGUUCCUUGUCAGCUAUUGAUGCGUUCGCUCANNNNNNNNNNNNNNNNNNNNNNNNNNNNNNNNNNNNNNNNNNNNNNNNNNNNNNNNNNNNNNNNNNNNNNNNNNNNNNNNNNNNNNNNNNNNNNNNNNNNAAGGGUCAUGUUCAAGCAGGAAAACUUCUAGAACAGGUAAGGAUUCCAUCUACAGACAUCCAUUGACAGCAGAUAUAUUUCAUUAAGCAGACACUGUUAGCAUUCAAGAUGCUGGCAGAUUCACUUGAUUCUUAUUAGUUUGUUUAGUGGCAAGGCAUAUAACCUGUAUUUCAAAGCCAAGUUGUGCUAUUGAUUAUGUUAACUUUAUUGUUAACAUUAAGUGAUUUGGAGGACAUAAUCAAUGUAGGAAAAUUAGGUGAAGAGAUGAUGUCAAAUCUUGAACCUCUUACAAAGCUCCAAGUUCUUUACUUGAAGAAGCUGCCAAAUUUGAAGAGCGUCUACUGGAAGGCAUUUCCAUUCCCAGAUGUAUGCAGAAUUUUUGUAUUAAUGCCCAGUUCUUAAGAAGCUGCCACUGGAUUUUCAUGGGGCGGGCCAAGGUAAAAUUCUUAUCAAGGGAAAGGAAGAUUGGUGGAAAGAACUUCAAUGGGAGGAUCAAGCAACUCAGAAUGCAUUGCUUCCAUUUUUCAAAUCAACUGACAAGUGAUUGAAGGGGGCAUCAUCAACAGAGAUGGAGAGAUUCUGGAGCAGAUCAGCAGGGUUUGUAUAUGAUCUUUGGUGGUUGCUUUCUUUUGUGAUUUUUUUUUUCUCAUUUUUUUACCUUCCUGUCAUUUUAUCAUUUCUUUGUCUCUUUUUCUAUUGCUGAUGUUAGUGUAUGCUUACUGUUGCUUGACAAAGUUUGCUUGCUUCUUGUUUAUUAAAUUUUUUAUGGUCACAAAAUAUUACUUGUUCUAUUUGAGAGUGAUGUGAAUCAAUUUUCAAUUAUAUAUUUUUUGGUCAAUGUGAAUUCAAUUUCAUUUGUCUCCUGCAAUUAUUAAAAAAAUGCAGUCUCAUAAUAUGGAAAAGUCGACCGGCAAAAAUUUUGUGAAAGCUUCGGAGUGAAACAGGGAAUUCACUUACUACUAAGGACAAUUGGUGGCGAGCUAUUCCAUUCAUUUUAUGUCCCUACAUCUAUUUAAUUAUUAAAGAUAAGUGGUCCAUUUGUAAAUUUCAGAUUGUGUCUCUCUGAAAAUAACAAUAUUUAAAAUGUCUCUUAAAUUAUUAUAAAUUUUAAUUCACUCUCGAUUUAAAAUGGAACAUGCUGAUGAAAAUUUUUUUCUUCUCAAUAUUCAAUAAAAUUGAAAUAAAUUGUGUUUGCAGUAUUUUGAAAUAUUUUAAAGAUUAUUAUUUUAUAAGAGAGUAAUAUGAAAUGAAAUUUACUCUUCAUGCGUGAAAUGUUGAAAAGGACAAAGGAAAGUGUCACUGCUUUUAUUUUAUUUCAAAGUGGAGUCAUCUCACAUACUUUACCUCUAUCAUUACAAUUUUUCACGUUACAUUUUGAUUUAUUUAUUUCUUUUAACACAUGCAUGUGGGUUACUUUUCCGUAAGCUCCUUAAUAUAUGUUUAACACAAAUCAUGGAAGAGAUGGGAGUAUAUCAAGAUGAUCAAAGCAUGAGACAAAAAUAUUUAAGAAGUAAAACACUGAAAAUAGAGGAGAGAUGCAAGCAAAAGAUAUUCCAAAGAAAAGCAAUCUAUCCCCUUUCGAGGGCAAACUUAAUCAGGUUUAAGAAAAGUACAUGUUUUGGAUUGGUAGUUGCAGCCUUGCAGGAUAAUUGUUUUUGCCAUUAUAUUAGUUGGAGGAGUUGAACCCAGCGAAGAAUGUUAUGGAAGAGCAAAUUAAUGAUAUUUCUGAUAGAGUCUAUUUGAUUAUGUAGCCUGAAUGGAUGUCUUGUUGAAAGAUAUCUCAGUGCAUUAGUUCAUCCUUGUCUGUCAAUGUGUUUUUAAUGGUUUUUCCAAUUGUUUAUUAUUAUAGAUUGAUUGUAAAUUUAUAUGAAAAUUUGAUAUGAAUUUAAUGUUGAAAUGUUUUCUCUUUAGUGGAAUGAAUUUAAAUUGAUUGAUUGUAAAUUGAUAUGAAUUUAAUGUUGCAAUGUUUUCUCUUUAGUGAAAUGAACUUAAAAGUGUAAAAGAUUAUUGCACACAUAGAAAUAAACAUAUAUGCUUUAUAGUAUAACUUUAGCAAUCGAUUCUUUUACGGCUGGAAACAGAGAUGAUGAUUAUCAUAGGGGUGAAGAAAAGGACAAAAAAUAUUAAUAAAUGAUCUUAAUGUUCCACAAAAGCAAAUCGUAAUAUUCCACAAGAAAAAGCAAGAUCUUAAUGUUCCACAAAAGCGUUAUUUAUUUUUUUUGGUGAGCCACGUGGAGCUCAAUUAUCAUUGUCUUUACUUUAAAAACGUUAUUUUAUUUUAUUUUCUUACAAAUUAAUGCUAACAAGAAAAAGCAAGAUAUAAUAUUCCACAAAAGCAAAUCGUAAUAUUCCACAGAGGAAUAAGAUCCACAAAAGCAAACAACUAGCUGGAUUCUUUUAUUAAACUACAAAUUAAAGUGGAAUCGUUUACUAAACAACAAAUUAAAGUUCAAAUAUUUAAAUAGUAGUGCGUUAGACGAUUAGGCUCUUUUAUUAAAGUCAAGUAUAAAGUAGUCCAGAAUCGAACAUCUCUAUUGUCUAGUCUUUUUUUUUUUUAAUUCUUCUUUUAUUAUUUUUCAGAAUAUGUUUUGGUGAUUACUAUUGGGUUAUUAUUCAGAGUUAUUGUUAUCUUCCGGGGCAGUUUCUGUUCAUCGAAAUCGUUAAUUAAAAUUUUAAAACUCUUAUCGGAAGAAUGUUUUUCCGUUAUUUUUUUAUAUUCUAAUUUCAAUUGUAAGAAGUAGUCAUUUUAGAAUUUGGGUCUUGAAUCGAAUUUCAAUGCAUGAAUUAAUAUUUUAAAAAAAUUUACUACAUGCAGUUUAGGUUACAAACUAUUUUUUGCAAAGUUGACUAUGAAAUUGGAGAAAUUAAGUAAUUUAUAAUGUUUGCAAAGAAAGAGACCAACAUACUUCCAAUUACACUAUAUCUCAAUUAUCAUAAUGUUAAGAUUAAACUAACUUAAAAUAAAAUUUAUUUAAAAAGUUUAUCAAACGCAGUCUAAUUUUAUUAACUUGAAGAGAUAAUAGUUAUAGAAAUUAUUAUUCUAACUUAAUUAGUAAAAGUGGUAUAAAGGUUAAGUGUGCACUAAAUCUAUUUAAAUUUUUUUCCAGUAUAACUAACAGAGGUCAUUACUAGAAUUAUAUUACUAGUCUAUUAGAUAGAAAAAAUUAUUUAUAUUGUUUUAUAUUUAUUAAAAAAAUUUAAAGUCAAUCUUUUUAAUUACUAUUUAAAGGAUAUUAUAAUUAAAAAAAUUUUAAUGUCUUCAUUAAAAAUUUAAAAUUUUAUAUGACCGUUAUCUAAAUAUUUAAAGUGUAACUGUCAUUUUCUCAUAUAUAUAUAUAAUUUCAUCAACCCCUUAUACUUUAUGUUAUUUAUAUUUUAUUCAUGAAUAUUAUAAAUUUUUUGAAAUAUAAAAUUUCGUUUAACCCUUUAUACUCAAUUUUAUUUUAUUAAAACCCUAGAGUAUGAAUUCGUCCCUAUAAUAUUAAAUUCUCAAAAUAACUUCCAUUUAAUUAAAAAAUAUAAUUAUUAUUAAAUGAAUUAUAAUUAUUAUUAUUAUGUUAUUAUAAUCAUAAAAAGCGAGAUCAUAUUCCACAAAAGCAUAAGUGACAAAACAACCAACUGGAUUCUUUUAUUAAUCAACAAAUUGUAUAGUCUUUUUCAAAUUGUUAUAAAUUGGUGGCCCCUACAAUCCUCAAUAAUUGUACCGAAAUUCACAAGUUGGUGGGCCCUACAAUUCUGUUCCGAUAAUUUAACUGUGCAAGUGCUCAUUCACAAUCUUCCAGGUCAUGCUCUUAACAAUUGUUUUUUCUUUUCUGCACGCCCUUUCAUGCUCUUAAUAAUUGAAGAGCAUACUUUUCAAAUGUGAAGCCGCAUCUAAUGUCGCUAAUUUAAUUUGGGAUUAAAUUACGGGACUAUUAUAUUGCAGUGUGCACUAAUUUUUAUGUUUAUCUAAACUCUUCAAAUUUAAAACAUAUUAUGGCAUAAAUAAGAAUGUAACAAUAACAAAAGAGUAAGAAAGUGUAGAGAAAAUCUUGCAGAAAUAUAAAUAAUAUUUAUUUUUAAAAUAAUAUUAAUAUUUAAAAUAAUUUUUAAUAUUUUAUGGUCCAUUAGAUAUAUUUUAUUAUAUUAAAAUAAAUUUUAUAAUAAAUAAAAACAUACUAUUAAAAUGAAUAUAUAUAGAAAAUUUAGAGUAUUUUAAGUAUUAUAUAAAAUAAUUUUAAUAAAAUAUGUGAGAUAUUCAUAUUUUAUUAAUUUAAGAUACCAUUUAACCUAAAGAUUUAUUUAUGAUAAAUUAAUAAUUAUAUUUUUGAAAUUACUUCAAAUAUUAAAAAAAUUAAUAUUACUAAUAUAUUAGAUAGAUUAAAUUAUAUAUAUUAUUUUUACUUAUUAAAAAAAUUUUAAAAUUAUUUUUAAUUACUAUUCAAAAAACGUAUUCAAAAAACAUAAUGAUAAAAAAAUCUUAACAUCUUUAUUAAAAAAUUAAAAACUUAUAUGAUAAAUUCUCUAAAUAUUUACGGUAUAUGUGAACCACGGUGGAUAAGCUUUAUUUAAUAUUAUUGAUUUAAAUAAUAUGUCAAUUAAAAAUGUACAGAGAAGAAAUUUCGGUGGGUAUUUUAGUCUUUUAAGCAAUUAUCAUGAUCAGAUCAGCCUUUAGCCUUCAAACGUCGGUCAGAAAAGUUUUAAAAUUAAUGCUAAAUUGUUUUUCACUUUUAACGUUGGUGGCCUUGAAAUUGCUUGUAUUUUAUUAAAAAUUAAUGCUAACAAGAAAAAGCUAGGUCAUAUUCCACAAAAUCAAAAGUGACAAAACAACCAGCUGGUUUCUUUUACUAAACUACAAAUUAAAAUAAAUUUUUUCGAUAAAUUACAAAUUAAAGUGGAUUCUUUUGAAUACAAAUGGGACAGACGAUUAGGCUCUUUUUAUUAGAGGCAAGUAAAAACUAGUCAAGAAUCGAACAGUCUUUUUCCAAUUCUUGUUUUAUUAUUUUUCAAAACUAGUUUUUGGUAAUUACAACCGGGUCAUUAAUCAUUAUUCAGAGUUACUGUUAUCUUCGGGGGCAGUGGGUAAAAGAUAAUUACUAACUGUUUUUCCUUCAAAAGUUAGCGGCUCAUGUUUGCAAGUGUGAAUGUGCGAUGCUCUUUUCUUAAAGGCCAUUACAGUGGGGCCCGAAUCAGACGUGCCUAAAUCUUUUUAAAAUUUUUGCCGUAUAACGAACAGAGGUCAUUACUAAAAUUUCUCUUCCACAGCCUACAGCAGCUUCAGUUUAUCAAACUCCAUCAAUUUUCUUUCUUAACAAAAUUCCAAAGAUGUGUAGCAUUUUUCAGAUCACAUGCGAUGGUGCUCUUUUCAAUCGUUGCUUGGAUUGCUUUCUUGGAAAAGCAGCAUACAUACGUAACCUCCAAGAUAAUCUUGAUGCCUUGGACACUGAACUGGGAAGACUAAUCGCUAAAAAGAACGAUGUGAUGAGGAGGGUUGUCGACGCUGAACGACAACAAAUGAGAAGGCUGGACGGAGUGCAAGUGUGGGUUUCGAGGGUGGAUGCUGUUAAAACUGGAGCCGAUGAACUUAUCACAGACGGCUCUGAAGAAAUUGGCAAAUUAUGUGUUGGAGGCUACUGUUCCAAGAACUGCAGGUCAAGCUACAAGUUCGGAAAACAAGUGGCUAAAAAGCUACAAGAUGUGAAGACUUUAAUCGCCGAGGGAGUUUUUGAGGCGGUGGCUACUGAGGUGGUGCCCGAGAGAGCUCCGGAACCUGUAGCAGAUAAAAGACCCAUUGAGCCAACAAUAGUAGGCUUGCAAUCACAGCUUGAACAAGUUUGGAGAUGUCUUGUAGAAGAAUCAGUGGGAAUCAUUGGCCUAUAUGGUAUGGGCGGUGUUGGUAAAACCACACUAUUGACCCGUAUCAACAAUAAAUUUCUUGAGAGUCAAAACAACUUUGAUUGUGUGAUUUGGGUCGUAGUUUCAAAAGACCUGCGGCUUGAAAAAAUUCAAGACGAUAUUGGGAAGAAGAUAGGUCUGUCUGAUGAUUCAUGGAAGAAUAAAAGUUUUGAAGAGAAAGCUGUGGACAUCCUGCGGAGAUUAGGAGAGAAGAGAUUUGUAUUGUUGUUAGAUGAUUUAUGGGAGCGGGUUGAUUUAACAAAAGUGGGCGUUCCACUUCCCAGCGCACAAAAUACUACCUCAAAAGUCGUAUUCACAACCCGUUCCAUUGGUGUUUGUGGCAGCAUGAGAGCUAGGCCGGUUAAAGUGGCAUGCCUAUCAGAAAAGCAAGCUUGGGAACUGUUCCGCGAAAAUGUUGGGGAAGAAACUCUUGAGAGUGAUCAUGAGAUCGUUGAGCUAGCCCAAACUGUGGCCAAAGAGUGUGGUGGUUUGCCACUCGCACUUAUUACUAUUGGUCGAGCUAUGGCCUUCAAAAAGACAGCCGAGGAGUGGAGUCAUGCAAUUGAUGUGCUAAGAACAUCAGCUUCUGAGUUUGCAGGUUUGGGAGAGAAGGUGUAUCGUCUUUUAAAGUUUAGCUAUGAUAGUUUGCAGAAUGAGACCAUUAGAUCUUGUUUCUUAUAUUGUUGUUUAUAUCCCGAGGAUUAUGGCAUUCUUAAAUGGGACUUGAUUGAUUGUUGGAUUGGUGAGGGAUUCUUGGAGGAAUCUGACAGGUUUAGUGCAGAAAACCAAGGAUACUACAUUGUGGGCACUCUUGUUCAUGCGUGUUUGCUAGAAGAGAUGGAAGAUGAUAAAGUAAAAAUGCAUGACGUUGUUCGUGAUAUGGCUCUAUGGAUAGCUUGUGAAAUUGAGAAGGAGAAGAGAAACUUUUUGGUUUGUGCAGGUGCUGGAUUAAAAGAGGCACCGGAUGUUAAAGGAUGGGAAAAUGUGAGAAGAUUGUCAUUGAUGCAAAACCAAAUUAAAACUCUGUCAGAGGUUCCCACAUGCCCUCAUCUCCAUACUUUAUUUCUUGCCUCUAAUAUGGAGUUGGAGAUGAUCGCGGAUGGCUUCUUCCAAUUUAUGCCUUCUCUCAAAGUUUUGAAGAUGUCACGCUGCUGGAAUUUUCAAUUACCUGUUGGGAUGUCAGAUUUGGGUUCAUCACUAGAACUUCUUGAUAUUUCACAUACCACCAUAAGAGAGUUACCCGAAGAGUUAAAGUUGCUGGUAAAUCUGAAAUGUUUGAAUUUGAGGUGGACAGGUGCGUUAAUUAGAAUUCCACGGGGACUAAUAUCAAAAUUUUCAAGGUUACGUGUGUUGAGAAUGUUGGGUACUGGCGGGUUCAUUUUUUAUGAAGCACCAGAAGACAGCGUUUUAUUUGGUGGGGGUGAAGUUUUGAUACAGGAAUUGCUCGGUUUGAAAUAUUUAGAGGUAUUGGAGUUGACCUUGGGAAGUUAUCAUGCUCUCCAAAUUCUUUUGAGCUCAAAUAAGUUAAAAAGUUGUAUUCGAUCUCUUUACCUCUAUUUGACCGGAGAUAAAAAGUCGAUUAUUGAUGCUACGGCUUUCACAGACCUAAACCACCUCAAUGAAUUAUGGAUUGAUAAUGGAAUUGAGUUGGAAGAAUUGAAGAUUGAUUAUACGGAGAUAGUACGAAAAAGGCGGGAACCUUUUGUUUUCCACAGCCUUCACCUUGUUACGAUAUAUAGUUGCCAUAAAUUGAAAGAUUCGACAUUCCUCGCUUUUGCUCCAAACCUCAAGUCUCUUUCGCUAUUCAAAUGCCGUGCUAUGGAAGAAAUAAUCAGCGUCGGAAAAAUUGCUGAGAAUCCUGAGAUGAUGGGACAUANNNNNNNNNNNNNNNNNNNNNNNNNNNNNNNNNNNNNNNNNNNNNNNNNNNNNNNNNNNNNNNNNNNNNNNNNNNNNNNNNNNNNNNNNNNNNNNNNNNNNNNNNNNNNNNNNNNNNNNNNNNNNNNNNNNNNNNNNNNNNNNNNNNNNNNNNNNNNNNNNNNNNNNNNNNNNNNNNNNNNNNNNNNNNNNNNNNNNNNNNNNNNNNNNNNNNNNNNNNNNNNNNNNNNNNNNNNNNNNNNNNNNNNNNNNNNNNNNNNNNNNNNNNNNNNNNNNNNNNNNNNNNNNNNNNNNNNNNNNNNNNNNNNNNNNNNNNNNNNNNNNNNNNNNNNNNNNNNNNNNNNNNNNNNNNNCACUGUUUUUAUUUCAGUCUCUCUCUCUCUCUUUGUCUCUGCUAAUCACAAUUAAAUGUGAAUUAAUGGAAUUAAUGCUUCAUAAAUUUGCCGGCACUGCCAUUACUUUUUUUUUUUUAAUACAAAUUGAUACUUUAUUUAUAUCUUCUUAGCGAUUUAAUUUCCUGUCAAUUGACGAACGAGAAGAACAUAUGACUUGAACCAAUGCUCGCAUAAACUUGCUGUAAAAAGAUAUAAUCUCACUGAAAUGCACACGCCUAGAAUGAAUAGAAUUAAAACAGGGAAAAUAUUAAGUAUAUUAGCCCUCUUUACCGAAAAUCAAAUGACAAUAAAUUUUUUGAAGUUUUGAUUUUCUAUGGUCAAUUCCACCUUUUGCAAUUUCUUCUGUUCUAACAAAAACCAAUUUCUUUGUUCAAGUAUUUUCGUUUGGGUAUUAAUAAUUCUCCACCGAAAGAGUGAACUCUUGCUCAAGGGAUCUCUAAUCAAUAGCCGGAAGGGCGCCGAGACCUGAUCGGACCUAGGCCCAAGUUUGGUCUUAAAGCCUGGGCUUGAGCCUGGCAAUUAAAUUAAAACAGUAAUUGAUUUCUUGAAUGAAUUGUCGUGUAAUUGAUUUAUGGGGGAUGACACAUCAACAUACUUGAAAAUACACUAAUCUCAGCAUCAUCCGUUAAUAACUUUUAGAUUUAUGGGCAAUCAAUAGUUAAAUUAGUUGUCAUUAAUACUAAAUAAUUUUUACUUUUUUUGUCUCUUCUAGAGGAUCUUCUAGAAAAAUGCAUCCACAAUUAAAUUUAAUACUUUACAUAAUAAAGAAAGCAUAAAUGUUAAAUUUAAGAAACUGCAUUGUAUUUCAGCUGAAGUUGACUUUAAUAUUUAGGGUAGAAAAAAAUUAAAUCCUUAAUGUGUUUAAUUUAUAUCACUUGUGUCAUUAAAAUUUUCUAGUCACCCUAACCAAUUACAUCUCAACCCACUUUUUUUUGGAUGAUUUUAUUUUUAUACUAUUAUUUUCAACAUUUUUUUUUCCUUUUAACACCAACAUUAGUGUAUGUUACGUAACAUAAUCCAUAUUUGGAUAAUUUGAAAUUUGUUUGUGUUUUAUCUCAAAAUAGAGCUUCAAUCAAUUUGUACCUCAUAAAUUCACAAUAUCUGGCAGGGCUAAUAAGACCAAACUCUGGCAUAUUAUCAAAUGUGCUUAUCCUUUUGCUUGACAUGUCAUUUUAAAAUUGUCAUUCAAUGCCAAAAAAAUCACAUCAACUGAUGGCCGACUACUUUAAUUUGAAAGCAUGCAUGCGAUCGCCACCAAUAAUUAUAACUUAAUUGUUAUAUUGAAAUUUUUUUCUUUAUAAUUUUUAAGUUUAAUACUGCUACAUGUGCGGCACAUAAGUUGGAAAAUAUAACAUAAAAUUUGAAAAAUGUGUAGUUUUCGUUCCUUUUUUUUCUUAAAAAUGGGGAAAAAGAAUGUAAUUUUGUUUAAAUUACUGUUGUGAUAACAAUUAUUAUUUUAUUGAUUAAUUGGCAGAGAAUCGUUAUGGUUUCGCAUGGUUGUUAAAACAUUGGAAAAUCCACUACAUCAUCCGAUAAUAACUUUCAGAUUUAUGGUUAAUCAAUAGUUGAGAUUUGUUAUCAUUAAUGUUAAAUAUUUUUUUAAUAUUUUUUCUCUCUCCUAGAGGAUCAUCCACAGUUAAAAUUUAAUAUUAUAAAUAGUAAACAAAGUAUAAACGUUAAAUCGAAGAAACUGCAUUGCAUUUCAGCUGAAGCUAACUUUAAUAUUUAACAGAGAAAAGUAAUUAAGUCCUUAAUGUGCUUUAUUUACCCAUAUAUAUGGCUAAUUUUUUAAGAUAAAGGGGAAGGAUGAUGCUCAAAAAUAUAAAUUAUAGAAUUAAUUGAGCUCUCAAGUAAGUUUAAAGUUCAUUAUUUUUAAUUACAUGUUUAUAAUUUAUUUUUAUUUCGUAUUAAUCUAUAGAUCUAAAUCCACUUUGGAUUCAUAUACAUAUAUAGACAUAAUGUGUAUGUUAAUCUAUAGGUCUAAAUUCACUUUAGGUCUAUAUAGGUAUUUUGACAAAUGUACUCCAAUCAUAUUGGCAAGUUCUAACUACUAUAUUGGUAUGUCAAUAUUAUCUCUAAUUGCCCUAUACAUUCAGAAAUAAUCUAGAUAUACAAAUUAACAUAAAAUAAAAAUAAUUGGUAGAAAAUAUAAAUUAUAAACAUGUAAUUGAAAACGAUAAACUUUAAAUUUACUUAAGAGAGUAAUUAAUUUCAUAGUUAAAAUCUUUAAAUUUUACCCCUCAUCUUAACUUAAGAAAAUUAAUCACUUAUUUUAUUUAACAAAGAAGAGAUUUUUUUCCCCUAUAUUUCCCAAUUAUUUCUCUCCCUCUCGCUCCCGUAAGUUAUACAACUUGAAGUGAAAUAUGAGUGGUCUGAUUCUAGCUUAAAUAAUUUAUUGUGACAUGCUAUCUAAGGACAAUACAUUACCUAGCUCUACAUAUUUUAUUUAACCUCCGGCUCACCCUGUGCAAACUUGCCUUCCCCUACAAGACAAGAUUAAUCAAUCUAUCAAGUCUCAAAUUCAAUUUGGAAUAUGACCAUCGUACGUUCUUGUUCUUCCCUCUUUACGAGUGCAUUCCCCCCAACCUCAAGCUCCCUCUCUCGUCUUCAAUGUCACUGCCUAUAUCCUUGUGUUGUUCUAGUUUGAAAUAGUGGCUUCCACAAUUUCAGGGCCCCCAAAAAUCCAGAAACAUAGUAUUCAUCACGAUGACAAAUUUUUUGGCAGGCAGGUGCUUCCUGACUUUCACACGGUAAUUCUCAAAUUCUGAUUUCACCAUAUUUUAAUUACUGAUUAGCAUAUAUUCAAGUGCUCUCCAUUAUAAUAGAAGCCGCCGCCUCACUCGUGAUUCCAAACUUUAUCUUUUUUCCUUUUUUAAAUUAAUGCAAGUAGCCGCUGUCCUUUUUAUUAAUUAAUUAAUUAAUUCGGCCGCCCACAUUUCUUUUCCUAAUGUCUUCUACUGUCGAUUUUCUUUUAUUUUCUUUUUAUUCUUAAAAUAUGCUUAUAAUAAUAAAAUAUAAAAAUUAAAAUUAACAUAUCAAAAUAUAAUUUAACAGAAAAUUAAGAUAAAAAUAAAAAAAAUAAAUUAUGAGCAUAUCAAUCAAUAAAUGAAAAAUAAUAAUUUUUAUUUUUAUUAAAUAUAUAUUUUUCAGUAUUAAUCAAUUAUUUGAAUAAAUAAAAUCAUUUAAAAAUAAAUAAAUAAAUUAUUCUUAAAAAAAAAGAAACUUUUUAUAACACUCACUAUGCUGGUUGUAGGGUAGACGCUUUGGGAACUGAAGCCGGUAACUUCUACAAGUAGUCUGAAGUUGACUGGCAACAACUAUAUUGACAUUUAGACAUAAUGUACUCCAACCGUAUUGGUAUGUUUAAAUGUUCUUACUAUUGUAUUGGUGUGUCAAUAUUAUCUCUAACUGCCCUAUAGAUAAAAAAAUAAUCUAAAUUUAUAAUUUAACAUAAAAUAAAAUAAUUGGUAGAAAAAUAAUUAUGGUUCAUUUACUUAUCAGUAAUCAGAAUAGACUAAAAUCGAAAUGAGUUGUAUUACCGUUGAUGUGUUUAUGUUGUCCUGGAAUCGGAAUGAAUUAUUUUAAGUUACUAAAAUAUCCUUGGUUUGUUAUUCUAAUUAUUAUUUAAUAUUUAUUAUAAUAUUUGUCAUAUCAUUAAAAAGAAAUAAUAAUGAUGAUAAUAUUAUCAUUAUUGUUUGUUACAUUAUUAUUAUUCAAAAAAAUUAUUGUUAAUAAUAAUAAUUUUUUUAUUUCAAUAAUAAUAAUGAUAAAAUUAAUAAUAAAAAACAUGACAACAACAAUAAUUAUUUAUUAUGCCAAAAAAUAACAAUAAUAAUAAGAAUAAUAAUCAUCAUCAUUUUUUUGCCAAAGAAAUCAUCAAACCAGACAAGAAAUCAUCAAAAAUUGCUAUUUCAAUUUAGGAAGAAGUUCUUUCGGUGUGCUAGCGAUGGGAGAUGUUGUGGCUGCGAUUCGGGGAGCUAAUAGUUUAUUGCACUAAUAACGGCAGGUGCUGCUGCUUGAUGCGAGGUCCAUGGCCAGUUGUCAGCAGUUCGACUUUGGCAUGGGCGCUGCUGGUUCGAUUUUAGGUGUUGUCUAAUUUCAUUUUCAGGAUUUUAAUUUUAUUUUUUUCUUUUAUAUUUUCAUUAAUUAAUCAGGGCAAAGUUUGAUUUUAGAAUUUGGAAUGAAGGUAAUUUUGUUAAUCAUGGAAAUGAGAUUUUGAUUGUCGAGAAUGAACUUACACAAGCAACUGCAAAUUAAGUGAAAACAAAACGCUUUUUCUCUUUGUGUGAUUAAAACAUGAAAUAUACCAUAAAUAAAUAGGUAAAAAUUAAAUCAACACAAUCCAAAACAGUAAACCAAUUAUAAGAGGCACAAAUUUUUAUGUGAAAUACCGAAAACGGAAAAAACCACAACAUGUUAGUAUGAUAUAAUCUUCUACUAUAUUAAUGGGAUUAUAACACAAAUUCUUCCCUAUAUUACACUAGAGAUUAACAACAUCAAGAAUCUCAAUAAUCUUAACUUACAAUACAACCUAAUAUAUGUCUCUCUAAUAAAUAGAUAUCUAAAAUAACAAUCUCUAAUAAGUAAGUAUCUCAAAUAACAGUCUCUAAUAAGUAGGUAUCUCAAAUAAUAGUUAAUAAGAGGAUAAAACAAAAAUUAAGAUUAGUAGGAUGUGUAUAAGGCGAUGCUAUCAACUUAUCUUCUAAAUUUGAGAAAAAUAGUUAAAUUCACUUUUUUGAUUGUCCGACCAAAGAUGGAAACCUUGCCCCAAAACCAAAGGAGUCACCAUUGUGUUUCUCUCUCUCUCUCUCUCUCUCGUUCUUUUCUUCUACUUUUCUUAAUGUUAGCCGCCACUUGCUUUUAUUCUUUAUAGCAUUUAAAAAGUUACUUUUAAUGGUAAAUUUCAUCUAAGUCCAAAACUUAGUGAUAAUUGCACACUAAACAAUCCUUUUUGGACUAUAGACUUUUGGACCUCCAAAUGAGACGAAUACAACAAAUCUCCCCUUUUAGAUCAUGUAGGAGGCACCACAAGCCCACUCUCUGCAUAUAGCUUUUUAACUUCUCCUUGAAUAAUGACUUUGUCAUCAUACAUAACUCAUUCUCCGUUGUGUAAAUCUUCUCAAGCUAUAACCGUUCUUUCUCAAACACGUCUCGUAUCUAAUAAUACUUCACAUCAAUUUGCUUAGAUUUCGAAUGAUAUAUCAAAUUCUUUGAACGACACUCUGAUUUUCGCAGUACAUAAUAUAGUUGUCUCAUUUUAUACCUAGCUCUUGUAGGAAAUUCUUCGUCCACAGUAUUUUUUUGCAACCUUCAAUAAUUGUAAUAUCAUUUGCUUUAGUAGUAGAAAAGACAACUUAUUACUAAAGUUUAGAUUACGAUGAGACUGCUCCUCCUGCAAAAGUGAGCAAACAUUCUAGUAGGAAUUUUUCGGAAUCAACAUCUCCUACCAUAUCUAUACACUUGUAACACAGGUUUGUCACCACCAAAAUAUAAACAUGCUCUGGAAAUGCCUCUAAGAUAUCUGAGAAUUUUUCACUAUUGUCCAGUGCUCUUUACCGGGAUUGAAGAGAAACCACUAACUACACUAGUUGUAUAAGUAAUAUCUGGUCUUGUACAAAUUAUGGCGCACACCAAACUGCCAACUGCUGAAGCAUAAGGAACUCCUCUCAUGGAGAAAUGGGUUUUGCUCUUGAGAUUUUUGGGAACAUGAAGAAUAAAUAUGUAAUUUCUUGGACUGCCAUUGUUUCGAGGUAUAUAAACAGAGGACAAGUCUAUAUAGGUCGACAGUGGUUUGCUCAGAUGCCAGAACGAGAUUAUGUCUUAUGGACUGCCAUGAUUGAUGGGUACCUUCGAGUGAAUAGGUUCAAAGAGGCUUUGACGCUUUUUCAGGAGAUGCAAACUUCAAAUAUAAUGGGAGACGAGUUUACCAUUGUUAGCAUUCUUACAGCUCGUGCGAAUCUGGAAGCACUAGAUCUGGGAGAAUGGAUAAAGACUUAUGUUGAGUGUUAGAAAAUGCAUAUUUAUAAAGGAGAAAACCAUCAUUUUACAUUUCAAGUCUUACUAACAACCCUUACUUUUAUGUAUUUAACCUUCUUGUGAUUUAAUUACAUGUGUUUUAUUUUAAUUAAGUAUUUUAUGUAUUUUAGGGACAUUAUAGUCAUUUCACAAUAAAGGAGAGAUCAGACGGCAAAACAGACAUCACUUUUGAACUCAGGACGGUCAAAAACCUUAGGAGGAGCAUAAAAGGAAAAAUGGCACUAUUCACAUGUACGGUACUAUUCACGUGUACGGUACUGUCCACGUUACUGUUCACGAUACUGUUCACAUAGACAGAUCGAUGACGUGGCAUUGACUGAUGAGGUGUCACGAUCCUGUUGGGCUAAAAUUCUUAUGUACUGUUGAUGGUGACGUGGCAGCAUAUCAAUGGACGAAAAAUCUCGCAUACAGUACAUGCAUCACACAGGAUUAUUGUCAACCAAAUCGCGUUACUGUUCAUCCGGGUCAAACCGUGUUACUGUUCAUCCACGUAGUCAAACCGCGUACUGUUGACUGAUGACGUGGCGCAAUCCUGAGCGUCCAAACUGUUUUUAAUCCGAUGGCCAUGAUUUACUCCAUGUAUCUAUAAAAAGGGGGCCUCCCCCCCUAAUUUGACAACUCUGAAUCUAUUUUGGGAUCCAUUUUCUAUAAUUCCCUCUCCAUCUUGUAUUUUCUACGUAUUUUAAUAAAUUUCCAUUUUACCCUUAGUUCAAUUAUGAGUGGCUAAUUUCCUUUCAAGCUUGGGUUGAAGGUGAAGUCUCAACAUGUGUCAUGGGCUUUAUUUGGUAAAUUUAUUUUCUUUUCCCCUCUAGUUUUUGUGGAUGAUUUGACUUUUCGUCGACAAAUAAUAUUGAUCUUGUCUAGAUACCACCUUGGUUACACCGGCUCUCUAGUACAAGGUUAUUAUUAUUUGGCACGAUAAGCCCUUAGCACCAUAUUGAUUAGAGCGUGGUUCAUGAGGUGUGGAUUCCCCCCUCAUGAUUUAAUUGGCAUUAAUAAGGAUUAUAUAGCCCAUGAUGCAUGUUGAUACGGAUCUGGAUACCCAAGUGCUUCAUUUCAAUAGAUCUAUCUUCAAUUUCUUCUCGCCAUUUUAAUUUAAGUUUUAGAAUAUUCCAAAUCAUUUCCACCACAAAUCCAAUCCCCGAUUCACAAAAUUAAUUCUAUACACAAUUAAAAUCCACAUCCUCGUGGGAUCGACACUCGUCACCAUUAGUCUAUACUACAAUAGAUUCGUGCGCUUGCGAGUACAUUAAAAUUUACACAACAACUUAUAUUGACAAAAACAAAGUCAAGAAUGAUGUAUUUGCGGGGAAUGCUUUGAUAGACAUGUACUGUAAAUGCCGAGAUGUUGAGAAAGCUCAAAAGGUAUUCAGGAAGAUGCUUUGAAAGGACAAAUUCUCAUGGACGACCAUGAUUGUUGGCCUUGCCAUCAGUGGCAAUGGUGAUAAAGCUCUUGAUAUGUUUUCCCAAAUGCUUAGGGCUUCGAUCAAACCGGAUGAGGUAGCUUAUGUUGGUGUUCUGUCUGCCUGUACUAACAAUGGUAACGAAACUUUUGUGAUAAAUAGUUGCAACUUAAGGUGAGAAUUGGAGGAAAGGAAAUAGACUGAAGUUGUUCAAUCAUCGGUCGUCUCUAUUUGGUUUUCUCCGAUAUCUCAUCUUCAGUUUUGACUCAGAUUCUAUCUUACCACUUAGGGGUGGGCAAAAUCGGGUUCGGGUCAACCCGAUCGGGUUUCGGGUUGUUCGGGUUAGACAAGGAACAAUCCGAACAUAACCCGAAUUAAUGACCCGACCCGAACUUAGUUCGGGUCGGGUCAUUAAUUCGGGUUAUGUUCGGGUUGGAUUUAAAAUGGGUAGGAUUGAGUUCGGGUCAAUUUGGGUUAGUUCGGGUCAAUUCGGGUCAGUUCGGGUCAAUUCGGGUCAAUUCGGGUCGGUUGAAAUCGGGUCAGUUCGGGUCAAUUCAGGUCAGUUCGGGUCGGUUGAAAUCAGGUCAAUUCAAGUCAGUACGUUUUUUUUUUUUAAGAACCCGAUCGGGUAUUCGGGUCGGGUCGGGUUUGACCCGAACCGAUCACAACCCGAUCGGGUUUGUAAAUUUCAAACCGAUCGGGUUUCGAUCCCGACCCGAUCCGACCCGAACCCGAAAUUUAUCGGGUCGGGUCGGGUCGGGUAAAAUGCCCACCCCUAUUAAUACCACUAGUAAUUACAUAGACUUGCUGCCAAAGGUAAGAAUGAGAAUAAAUUAAAUAGAUUAUGUCGAAAACGAAAUAAAUUUACCAUUGUUCUGUUCAUUCUAUUUGUUUCCUACAGAAUAUUUCUCCAGCCUAAAAUUUUUUGAAUUAGUAAGUUUUUAUCUUAUGCAAGAAUUGUGCUGAGAGUAAUUCCAUUUCUCAGUCUCUUUAUGUUUCAAUGAAGACGUAAAACUUGUGUUCUAGUGCACCAAUGUUUAUGCUUCUUACAAUUUGACUUUAAUUUAGUUUGUAAAACUUUUGUCAAAAAGUACUAAAAAGUAGUGCACCAAACACAAACUUUAUUACAGAGAGGACUUCAGUUAAAUUUUAAGAAAACACUCAAAAGAACGAGUUAUAAAUUAUUAUCGAAAUAUUUCACAUAAAUAAAAGCCAUCCCAUGCUGCAAAGAUCUUGCUAUAAUCACCAAAAACUAUCGGGAGCUUUUAGGGUUUCCAUAAAAAUGUCAUUUCGUUCCAAAAGUCAAUGGUGGGUAGAAAGUGGUGCAAAUGAGACUCAUUGUUAAUGGUAUAAGUUUUUGCUUAAUUAUGUCUUCCCCAAAAUGAUGAUUUAAUUUCCAUUCUCAAUUAAUUUUCAAGUUUCAACACUUUUCUAUGUAGCAUGACAUUGGAAAGAUCUUGUACAGUUGUACUACUAAAAGCUAGCACCACACGUUAGUUAUUGUUAAGUUCUUUUUCAACGUGAAAUAAAGGAAGUAGUCCUUCGUUAAAACCAUUAUAGCCAAAUUUCACGUAAUUGGACAUUUACAGACUUUUAUUUCAAGUUGGAUUUUGGUCCAACAUUUCAAAGUUGGCCCAAUUAUUUUUGUCUGGUCAAGUCCUUCGCAGCUAAGCCCCUCAAUGAAUGAGGGUGAGAUUGCUAAAAAUUACGACAGGUGAUAUUUUAUUAUUAUUAUUUGUUUGAGGGAAAAAAUAGGAAAAGCAAUAGAGCGCCACGUGUCAACCAAUGGAAUGAUUCCUGCACAAUCUAAGGUACCCCACACAAUCCGAGGUACCCCAUAUAAUAUGAGGUACCCCACACAAAUAGGGGUACCCCGCGUAAUAGGAGGUACCCCAUGUAACUCGAGGUACUCGGCAAAGCGGAUGCAAGAGAAUCCUCCGAAAAUAUCCGCCAUGAGAAACGUCUCCGCCUCCUAAAAGAUAUUAUUCAAUUUUGUCAGAAUUAUGAAUAAAAAACGACGCCCUAAAAGGAGGGACAGUCGCCUGCGACCUCUGCCAAAAGUGAAGGACACUGUCCCAAGGACAGUGGUCCCCAACGCCUACCCGACAGCUACUGCAAAGGUACCCUGGACCACUCUCCAGCGCGCGCCACGUUUCCAAAAGAUGAGAUACGCCGCGAACGUGCAGAUAACUGCCCAAAAAUUAUAAAGAGGUAAAAGGACGUUAGUAAAAAAGGGUAUGCCAUGUGGCAGCUGAGGUACUCCAUAUAUAAAGGCGCCUAGGUUUCAUUCUCCAUCAUGUUCUCACUCACCAUUAACACUCGCACUCCAAAAAAUAGGUUUUCUUCAACCUUAAACCCUAAUUUACAGAGGGUUAGUCAGCUCUCUUUACCAUAAAAGCUUGAGUUUGCUAACUUGAGCGUCGAAGUGUGAACGCCGGGGUACCCCGGCUUCACCUCUAACCUCUAUUUCACUGUUUUGCAGGCGUGAAGCUCAUUUGGAAGGACACAUCUCUUAGUUCUAAACCUUUCACCAUUGUUACCACUCUCUCUCCCUUUCUCACCUCCCCUGGAUUUCAGAUACACCACACCGCACACAAUAAACUAGUGAGGUACCCCGUCUCCCAUAAAAAUACAAAUUCAUUGUUCUAGAUAGAUUUGGCUUUUUUUACCCCAAAAUCUGUUGAAAACACUAUUUUUAAUUUUGGGGGAUAAAUCCUCACCAAAGUGAGGAGAUUUUAUCAAAAUCAAAAUAAAAAUAUAACAAGAACUGAAAGUCGGGCAGCCUAAAAGCUAGAUGAACUAAAAGUCAGGCGCCUAAAAACAACCUUAUGCAAAAGAGAAGCAACAUGAGACCGAUCAAGUAAAAGAAUCCACCGCAACACCUAAAUUGGCCAAAUUAUCUGUUGGUAUUACAAGUUUCUUGUUAUAAAAGUGUAGAAUGAAGUAGGUGACAGUAGUUUUAAGUUACAGCUGCAUGCCUAAUCGCAAUAUCAAAUAAUGAUUAAAUAUCAAAUAAUGCUUAAAGUAGUUGCCUAGGCCCGCCACAAUUUAUAUUAACUCUUAAAUUUAUAAAUAAUUAAAUUUUUAAAAGUUUGGAUUUAUAUUAAAAAAUCUUCAUAUAAAUAAAUAAUAUAUGCACUUUUACAACACAGUCUUUAAAUUUAAAUUUUUCUAGAAAAAUCUUCUGUAUAUCUUUUCUAUUAAAAAAUUUCCAUAUAAAUAAAUAAUAUACCUAAUUUAAUUGGACCCAGCACAUCGCAUAUGCAUAGAACACAUUCCACAAAGCCAUGCUAUUCGGAAAUUGACGAAUGAAAAGUGAGGAGGCAGCAGUCAAUGCUAUUUGGGCUUGGCCCAAAAUUGAUUUAUCAGGUUGACGUUUGCCAGGAAUGAAGAACUGGAAUAUCACCGUCAAGCAAGCAACCUGUGGAGCAAUACCAUAGAAUGCACAAUCCAGCUUUGCAAGGUGACACUGGAGGCUUUUUGAAAAGUGCUUCACGCUCACUUGCACAGAUUGAGCAUCCCCUCUGGAUAUUGCCCUCUCUGAUCGAGUCUGAGCACUCAAAUUUCGGUCCUCAGAUGGAGCUACAGCUUUCUCUCCAAUAACCAACAAUUUUCUAAACUCAGCACCUAGUGUGAUCAGAGUUGUUGAUAUUUGUAAAUGGAGAUCCCUGUAUUUGCAAAUGGAGACAUUUACCAAAUCACCAACAUGCUUCAUCCAGUCUACGAAAUUCUGCAGCUGAUUCAAAUCCGGAACCUGAACCAGAGUCGGAGGUAAAUCUUGAGCCAUGUCUAAAGCAGUCUGAAGUUCAAGUACUUGAGCCCUUGACAAAGGUUUUGAAAUUGGAACAUCUUGGAUUACUGCAGACUUGUACCCCUUGGUUUCAAAGGUAAGGAAAGGCAUUGCUUGAGUACAAUUUGGAGGCAGCUUCUUCACCAAUUUUAUUUGGAGGCAAUUGGCAGCGGAUCCAGCUGCACCAAUUUCAGAGCAAAUACUGACACUACUUCAAACAGCACGCUGAAGAAGAGAUAUGUCUAUGGCAAAGGCAAUGCAGUCCUCAAUUUGACUUGAGAUGCGGUAAUCACCAAAGAGAGUUUCCUUAUGAAACUGGGCAACACAUUGAAUCCCUUCACCACUGAGAAGGUUGGGGAGGAAGUAAGCUUUCUCUCUCGUAAGGAAGAGGUGGCAUACCUUCCCCAUUUUGUCUAGGACAGGUAGGAAUCUUUUUUCUAAGAGAUUUACUCCAUUCUCUGUGAGAAAUGCUUUGAACUUCAUCCCUCUGUCUCUAGCCUCACUUAUCAGUAAAAUAGUUGAAAGCGCUACAAGGAGAGAAAAGAAGAGUAUUAAGAUAUAUAUAGACAAGAAAAACAUUAGAUGUCGAUCUUACAAGCUAAUACUUCAAACAGUAUCCUAGAAAGCUAAAAACUGCAAAAUGGCUUGAAAUUUGAAAAGAACACAUGCUUUUCCUCCUUAACUUGAGAAAAUGUUUAAUAUAGUGCACCUUACAGAAACAUUUAAACAAUUAGAACUUUGCACAAAAACAUUCAAGAAGACUAAACAAAUCAGAUGCAGUGUAUUUCUCCAAGCACAAAUGGCAUUGCAUUUUUUCCUCAACUGUAAUAUUUAUUGAUGAAAAUCAGUACAGGUCCCUCAUUUGUUAUGGAAAGCUUUCUUGUAGUCUGACCGGUUAAUUCACGGGUCUAUAAUCAUCUUGCAAAGUUACAGGCAUUUCUUUCGAUUUAAAGUCUUUGCAUCACCACCUCAUCACACACCAAGCCAAUAUUCCGUCUACCUCUACAACAAAAAGUUUUAAGUAAACGAUCCUAAUGCAUGCAGCCAAAUAAAAUGCAGUAAGAAUAUUCAACUUAAAACUCUGAAAGCCAUCUUGGUGAAUUGCCUCCUUAGGGGAAGUUCCAUGCUUUACUAUACUUGACAGGACUGAGCAAAAGCUUACAUACAACAGAUUUUGAAAAUGAUGAUGCCAAUAGAUACUCAUACAAUCCAUUGAAACUCCUAAGGUCCAUUGUUCACAGAGGUUUACAGAGUUUUGGUCAUCAAAUAGCUCAGACCUUAAUCCCAAACAAAAAACGAGUGAAAAUUAGAUCACCAGCAGCUAAUUGUAAAUUCUAACUUAACUCUUCAUCUCCUUUGUAAACAGGAGACAAAAUGGAGACACGCAAAAUGAAUAAGGAGAACAUUUGAACUCAAAUGAAAUGAGGGCACGAAAGCAAACAAAUGGCAUGCGCAAACAAACCAAGCCUCAAUCAAAAACUAAUUAACCAUUAAAAAAAAAAAAGUGGUCAGAGAAUGAACUCCAAAUUCGGGAGUGAAGCAAGAAGCUUUCAUUAUUUCAGAAGCUCCUGUACAAAUUAAUAAGUUAUGCUCUUUGGAAACAAACCUAAAUUCCAAGAGAAAGAGAACUCAAAAAAUUUGCAAUUAUACGCAAAGGAAGUGAAGCACAGCAUUCUAUCACACGUACAAAUUGUAUAACAAGAGAUCGACACAUCGAAUCAGAAGAACUCAAUUCAAAUUUGUCUCAAAAAUCAAAAUUAGAAGAUUUCACAUUUCGAGAGGAACAAGCGACAGGUCAGAUGCAAAAUUUUCAGCCACAACAUGCCACAAUUAACAGUUUAUUUCCAUGGAUUUAGAGAGCUGACUGACCUUUUGGCUUUUGGAAUUGAGAAGAUCGCGGGCCAAAAUGGAAGAGGGAAAGCGAAAGUGCGGGUUUUAAUAGGGUAUUGGAUUAGCAAAUUUAAUUAGUUUGCGAGGGUAAAAUAGGAAAGAGAUAUCACUAUUAACUUUUUUUUUUAUAAGAAAAAAGAAUAAUAAAGAAUAUUUUAUUGUCAUUUGCAGCCUGCAAAUGACAAUAAAUCAAAUACGUCAUACAGAAGCUUAAAGCUGAAUCUAAAAAAUCUAGAGCUCUCAACUACAAAAAUUACACUUGAUGAUCCUCUACAAGAUGAAGCUUGUUCAAUAUCUUAUCCAAAGUUUAUAAAGUAACCUUGUAACGAUCUUGAGAUUGCCUGCCUUCCUCGACGACCUGCACGAUGCGUUUGUACAAAUCAUCAUACCUGUGCACCGGAUUUUUAAUAUCAACGCCACUGCAGCUGUGAUCAAGAACAUAAGAGCGUUUAACAUCUUUUCUCCAUCGAGAAAGAAUGUAGUGAGAUGGGAUCUCCUGCAUGCCACUCUGGUUUAGAACACAAAGAAUGUGUCUGGAUAAAUAUCCUCUGAAAUUGAACAACCCACAAACACAAAGCACCUCCAAGUCGGAGGCAUUGUACAAAACAUCGAAAGCCCUUGAAUCUUUCUCGUUGCUACCAACCUCAAAUUCUUCCUUCACUAUGUAUGUUAUAGGUCCAUCAGCACUGACAUGUUUUGUGCUAUAGCAAGAGUACAUAGCCUCCACCUCCGUCUGAAACUUCCUUCACAUUUCAUUUGUGUACAGUUUUGAGAGUUGAAAUUCAUAGUCACAUCUUGGUUUCUGGAUACAACUUGAAUUUCUUGAAUCCAUAUCUGCCAAGGCUUCCGGUUGAUAAUUCGCCUGCAGUGCUUGAUCAUACUUGUGUAAGAAUUCUUUCAAAGGAGUACGCUUAUCAAGAUAUCCUUCAAAGUAUGAAGUAGAAACCUCAUUCUGCAGGAAUGAAAACACUCCUGAUAAAAAUGCUUCCUUCAAAUAAACAGGAGCCCACCUUUUACGAUCUUCAUAUAAAGUUUGAAUCCAUCCGUGAUCCUUUAUUCCAUGACGUUGAAUCAUGUCUUCCCAAGCUGCUUCAAAUUCCUCAGGCCUGAGAGAGUGAUAAAUUGCUCUAUGUAAUGCACCUCUAAUAGCUUCAUAUUCAAACAAUCCUUGGAGUUUCUCUGGAAUUUUUUGCAAGAUGCAUGACAAUGAAAAGCAAUGAUAAGCUCUUGGGAAAACAUCGCCAACAGCAAUUUGCAAGAUUCUACAUUGGUCAGUGAUGAUUGUUUGUGGAGAGCGUCCUAACAUACAUGUAAGCCACACCCUAAACAACCAUGUAUAUGAUUCUAUGGUCUCCCUGGCAAGUAAACCACAACCCAACAACACUGAUUGUCCAUGAUGAUUCACCCCAAUGAAUGAAACCAGUGGUACAUCAUAUCUUUCAGUCAAGCACGUAGUAUCAAUUAAGACUACAUCACCAAAGUACCUAUAUGCAACUCUUGACCUGGUAUCAGUCCAGAACAGGUUUCUCAAGCAUCCCUUUUCAUUUAGAUCCACUACAUUAAAAAAGUUUGGAUCUGUCAACUGCAAACGACAAAAGAAACUCUGGACAGCUUGUGCAUCUCCUGGUUUAAGCUUCAAUUGAUUUGAGCUAUUAACAUUAUUUCCAAAUACUCCAUUAACAUCUACAUUACCAUUUCCCUCGGUAUCGAUGAUAAGAGUUCGAAACAGUCUAAUUUUUUGAACGUCUUCAGCACUAUCUAAUUGCAAUGUUCUUUUGGUUCCAAUACCUAUGUGCUUAUGUGACUUGUAAAACUUUCCGCUUCUUGGGCUUAACAAGUGGUUAUGCUCAAGCUCGACUUCAAUGAUUCUCCACCUUUUGGUUUCCAUCAACCUAAACUUUAUCAUUGCUGGACAGCCAGUUCUUGUUUCUGGUCUUGGGCGGUUUGCCUCGCUUUUCUUCUUGAAGCCUGCACUACUACAGCUCAGCUUUCCUCUAUACUUUUCUCUACUCUUUCGGUACCAUGUAUUGCUAACUCUAACACCAAAACCCUGUUCCUUGGCAUAGCAAUUGUAAAAGUAAUAAACAUCAUCAUACGUCUCAAACUCCAUUCCAACAGCAGGAGCCAAUGGAUUUUGGAUUAUCCCAGUUUGUCCAACAUAUUCAGUCAUUGCACAAUCUCCUACGACCUCAAAAUCAUCAGCAUCAUCAUCACCUACUGGUUCAGUAUUCAGAGAAACUUCAUCCAUCUACAAUAGAUGUUUAAUGAAGUGAACUUUAAGGAGAAAAAGCAAAAUCAGUUCAAGGAAUGAUAAUAUAACCAUACAGUUACUUUCACAAAGCUGCGUAUUUCAUCAAUACCUUAACAACAUACAACUGCCUGAGAACGUAUAGACAUGUCAUAGACGCUUGAAUUAAGUAUUGGUACAAAUUCAUGUGGGACACAAUUUCAGUCACUAAACCCAAUGCCUUUUUUUUUCACAUCAUACCAAGGAACGGAUUAAACCCAAUACCUUCUUUUACGCCAUACCAAAGAACAGAUUAAAUCAUCAAUGAAAAAUUAAUCACAUAAUAAUUUAACUAGACAAAUAAAGAGCUCGAAACAGCACAAAACUUGAAUAUGAUUAUGAUAAUUGUUGAGUCAUUGUAUCUACAGCUUUCCUUCAACAAGAAGAUUAUGAACAUAAACUACACACAAAAAAUUUAUUUUAAACUGACAUAAAUUUAUUCAGUUACAUUGAAACCCAAAAAAGGAAGCAGGAGCUGGAGAAAAACAACAGCAGAGAAACUUAUUUCCAGAAGGUUUACGAAAUAAGGAAUUUAUUAAGACACAAAAUUUGAGGUCAACAAUAAGAAUUUGGUUCUCAUUCUCUUUUUCUUCAUUUUUCACUUAUUGAUGGAGUUACCAUACAAUCCUAAAUGAUAAAACCCCAUCUCCAUCUUUUUGAAAUAGAGUUAAAGCAAAGCUUUUUAAGAUGUUUUUCCCUAAAAGACUCAAUAGUACAAUGUUUUUCAAUAUUAAAUACACAACUCAAUCUUCCCCUAAUUUACUCUAAUAAUCUCUUAACUAAGGAAGAUUAAGCUCCACUUGUAAGCUAAAACAAGUUUCUUAAAUCAAGCCCCAAUGCUCUAUGCUAUUCAACAAGGCCUCAUAAAUGAUAAAACUACCUCUACAAAGAUACCCAUUUUAAUUUCGCAAACUAAAAUCGAACUCCUGAAACGUAACGAGCAUUAAAACAAACAAGUCCGAACAAGAACUGAAAAAUGAUACGUAAACCCGUUUCGACAAACAGUUUCCAAUCAAUGAGCAAAAAAGUUAAUGGAAAACAUGAAAUUCAAACGAAACAUACCUUAGGUUGAUAAAUUAGUAGCGCAAAAGAAAUUUUAGCGAGAUAUGGGAUCAGGGAUUUUGCCACGGUGAUGUUAAUUGCGACAUUCGGGUGACUCAGCAGCCUUCGAGGCUGAAACUUUGAUUGACCAAAAGCUUCCCGUUCGUUGAUUCUCUAAUUGCAGAAACGAAACUGGCAGUGUACAGAAGACGUACGCUGAUUUGAUAAUUCUGUGAAAAUCAUUGUUUUUUUUCAGAUUUUUAAUGUGUUCGAUAAAAUAUCAAAAUCUCAAAAACUUUUGUCUUUCAUUUUGGGGGGGAAAAACCCAUUGAGAUCCUUAUGUUUUUUCUUAUAUAAUCUGGCUUAAUAAUUUGCAAAGUCUAUUACUUAGCACCCAUGCAUGCUGCGUUCCAAUUUACAAAAUUGUACGUGAGUGCAUCCAGCUAAAAUUUGUAAAAAGAAAAUAGCAAUAACAUGUUAAAAAUGUGAUUAUUAUGAAGAAAUUUUAAUUUAGUUAAAUAGGUGACGAUGGAUAGGUAUAAAAUCUGAGAUCUUUUAUAAGGUUAAUAAAUAUGUUGAGUUUGGAUUAGUUCAAUUUUGAAAUAAUAAUAUUCAAAAUAUCUCUUAAAUCAUUAUAAACCUCAAAUCUAUUUUAAUUUUAUUUAAAAGAUAAAAGAAAAAUAGGUUAUGUUGGUGAUUUUUUAUUAUCUUUUUAAUAAAAAUGAAAUAAAUUGAUGUUUAUAAUUAUUUAAAGUAUUUUAAAGACUGCCAUUUUAUGAGAGAAAAAUAUUUCACUUUUUUUUAGUGUGAAAGGCCGAAAAAGGACAAAGCAAGUUUCCCUAGUUUUUAUUUAUUUGAAAUUGGUCAUCUCAUAUACUUCACCCUUCAACACUAUAAUUUUUUUGGUUAUAAUUUUAUUAUUUUUUCUCUUUUACACAUGCAUGUGAAUUACUUUUCUUUAAGCUCCUGAAUAUUUAAGAUAAAUCAUGGAAGAGAUGAGAGUAUAACAAGAUGACCAAAAUAUGUAACAAAAAAAUUUUAUAAGUGAAAAAUAUGUUAGAGACUUACAGUGGAAGUAAAACUCUGAGGUGAUGUUUGAUUUGAAGAAAAUGGAGGAAAUGAAAAGACUGGAAUGUAGAGGAAAAGAGAGAAAAGGAGAGGAGAGGAGAGUGAAAUUUUUUUCUAAUGUUUGGUUUGUCACAUAAUUAUACAAAGAAAGGAAAUCUCUAAUUUUUUAUUUAGACAAUUUUAACCUUAAUAAGUAUUAAGUUUUCAAUAUUUAUCAUGUGUAUAAUUAAAAAAAAAAGAAGUAAAUGGUAGAAAGCGGUUUCUGAUUCCGGCCACAUCGCCCGCAAUGGAAGGUACUUAUCAGAACAUCAAGAGCCAGCCAUCAUUCCCUAGCCAUCACUGCUGUCGGAACACUGCCGGAAAGCUGCCGAUUGAACCGCGAAAAGUCGUGGAAAUCGCUGCCUCAAAUCGGUGAGUUUCGCCCUUUUCUGGUCACGCCGUCGCCAUGGCUUUGUCCAUCAAGCCUGCCACUUCCAUUUUCAACCAUCCAUAGCCACUAUUAAUUGCCAAAUCACCGCCGAUCAGCGGGAUCUGUGGAAGUUAAAAAGUUUCUAAAUUUUUUUAACUGGAUUUGAACAACAUACGACCAUUUUUUUAUCUCGAUAACGACGUAGUAAUGUUGAUCGUUGGUCGGCAAGUCGUAUGGUAGUGGCAGUGAGUAACACGCGCCAAUCACAUCGGCGGCGGCGGCGGCACUAUCCGGCGACUGUUAAAAUAAUAUUUUAUAUUUUCAGAUUAAAUAAAUUUAUUUUAUUAAAAUUUUUAAAUCAUUAUUUAAAUUUAAUUAAUUUAAAAUUAUCUAUAAUGUUGAAUUGAUAAAAUAAAUUUAUAAAUAAUAAUUAUGUGAUUACAUUAAAUAAGUUAAAAAGUUGAAGGGUUAGUUUUGGAAGAUUUAGUUUCCAACACAAAGGGAAUUUGAAUUCUUCACUUCUUAGUGUGGAAUUCAAAUUCUAUAUUGUAAUAGAUAUUAAAUUUCAAUAAAAAUUAAAUUCUUAUAAGUUAUGUCAAACCAAACAACGAAAAUAAAAAAGAAAUUUAAAUUAUUUUUCUUUCCUCCACCCUCUCCUUCCAACUAAAUACAUCCUGAAAAUAGAGAUAUUGAUUAAUUUAGAAGAGAUUCAAGCAAAAAAUAUUCCAAAAAAAAAAGCAAUAUGUCCCUUUGGAGGGCAAACUUGUCAGUUUCAAAAAAGUACAUGCUUUGUAUUGAUAGUUGUAGGAUAUUUGUUUUGUCACUAUGUAUUAGUUGGAGAAGUCCAGCCUUGUGGAGAAUGUUAUGAAAGAGCAAAGGAUAUUCCUGAUAGCUGAUAGAGCUCUAUCUGAUUAUGUAUCCAGUGAAUGGAUGUGUUGUUGGAAGAUAUCUGAGUGCAUUAGUUCAUAUGUGUCUGUCAAUGUGCUUUUAAUGAUUUUUCCACCUGUUUGUUGUAAAAGAUUAUUGUAAAUUGAAAUGAACUUGAUGUUUUAAUAUUUUCUUCCGUAAAUUGAAAUGAACUUGAAUUAAAUCUCGUUGAAUUUAAUAUUAUCUCCUUAGUGGAAUUUCACCUAGUAUGUAUUCAGUUGUGUUGUCUAUAAUUUUGCAUUCGAGUAAGUUUCACCUAAAACAUUAGCAUGAGUAGUGGCCCUUGAACCUUUGGUCAAAAUUAUUGUUAUUAUUUCUGACUAGAUGUAAAUUUUGUAUUAAAUCUCGUUAACACAAUUCUUAAUUAAAAGUAUAGGUUAGUGUUGGUGCAAGAUUUGCCACACCAAAUUCUGCCUAGCUGUCAAAAGUGCAAAAUAAAUGAAGAGAAAGCACAAAUACACGACUUGAAUAAGGAUACAACGAAACUUAAAUUCAAGAGAAAAUGAUAGCUAUAUCCCAAGAUUUGAAAAAGUAGUCAUGUAGGUUUUUAAGAUUUCAAUAAGCGACUGAGAUUCAAAUAAUAUCCUUUAAUUCUAUUAAUAAAAAACAAAGACUCAAAUAUUUUAUGAUAAAUAAAAAUAUAAUAUUAAAAUAUAUGUGAUAAUAUACACAUUUUAAAUACUUUCAAUCCAAAAAAAUAGUUAUGUUUUACAAUCUAUUAGACAUAUUUUAUUAAAUUAAUAUAAAUUUUCUAUAAAAUAAGAAUAUAAUAUUAAAACAAAUUCACAGAAAUUUAAAGAAUUUUGAAUGUAAAAUAAUUUUAAUAUAUUAAUACGUGAGUUUUUUUAUUAAUAUAAAAAUUAUUUAACUUUAAGAUUUUUUAAAAUCUUUACAAUAAGUAUAACUAUAUUAUUUACAUUUAAAAAUAUUUAAAUAUUAUUAACCUACAAUUAUAUUUGCAUUUGUUAGAAAUUUUUAAAGUCAAAUAUUUUGCACUUCUAUAUUAUUAGAAUUAUUGCACACAAAGAAAGAAACAUAUACGUUUAGAAAUUGUUUUCUUUUAAAAUAGAGAUGAUGAUUAGUAUAAGGAUCAAAAAAAGGAUAAAGAAUAUUAAUGAUUAACGAAAACUCUAUACAAAUUGAUUUUAGUAGGAAAAGAGUGAGAUGAAUGAUUUCUUUUACAGUUAGAAAAAUAGAUGAUGAUUAUUAUAACGAAGAAGAAAAGAUAAAGAAUAUUAAUUAUUAAUGGAAUCUCUAUGCAAAUUGAUUUCAGUAGGAAAAAAAAUGAGUUAAAUGAUUUAGAGUGCGUUUGGAAUUGAGAUUGGACAGCCAUAGAUUUUAAGUUACAACACUGAAGUGUUUGGUAAAUACUAGCUGCUGCAGAUUGAAAGUUAUGUUGAUAUGAUUUUUCACAUGUAUCAUAGAAAAUAUAUUACAUCUUUAAUAAUUUUUUUAAAAUUUGUAUUUGCUAUAUAUUGUUUUUUUUAUAUAGUUAUAACUUUUUUUUUUUCCACAGCAGCUGUAGCUUAAAAGCUACAGCACCUCAAUCUCAAACAAGUCCUUAGACAUUCAUAGUGUGUUUAUUUUUUGGAUUGGUGAAUCAAAAUUAUUGACAACGCUAACUUCAUCUUCACCGUUCGCAAUCCAACAGCAGCAAUUGUCGCCAAUAAUGAUAUCGCCGAUGAUGAUGACAAUAAUAAUAAUAAUAAUAAUAAUAAUAAUAAUAAUAAUAAUAAUAAUAAUUAUUAUUAUUAUUAUUAAUAAUUAAUAUAUUAAUAUAUUAAUGUUAAUAUUAUUAUUAUUAAGAUUAACAAUAAUUAUUAGUAAUACAAUUUUUUGAAUAAAAAUAAUCACAAUAAUUAAAAUACAAAUUAACAAUUAUGACAAUAGUUAAUUAAUGUCUUUUUAGUAAUUUGUAAUAAUCUAACUCAUUUUAAUUCUGAUUAUUACAGUUUAAGUAAAUAAAUUAUUAUGAUUCCUAUUCUCCUUUUCUAUUUUAACUCACUUCGAUUCCAGUCUAUUCUGAUUUUUGUUUAAUAAACGCACCAUUAGUGCUAAAGUAAUAUUUCAUACAUAGAAAAGUAAAAACUACACCUAAGGUUAAGGGAAAGGACUUCAAAACUCUCUUUUGAUCAUAAUACAUUUUGUACUAAUUAACUUAAAGAUUUUGAAUCUAAUAUUUUAUAAUAAAUAAAAAUAUAUUCCUAAAAUAAAUAUAAUAUCAAUAUUUAAAAUAUGUUUUAAUAUUUUACACAUUUUAUUAUAUUAAAGUAGAUUUUAUAAUAAAUACAAACGUCCUAUUAAAAUGAAUAUAUAAAAAAUUUAGAAAAUUUAGAAUAUUAUAUAAAAUAAUUUUAAUAUAAUGCGUGAGAUAUAUUUUAUUAAUUUAAAAUGUUAUUUUACCUAAAAAAUAUGAUAAAUUAAUAAUUACAUAUUUGAAGUUAUUUCAAAUAUUAAAAAAAUUUAAUAUUAUUAGUCUUUUAGAUAGAUUAAAUUAUUUUUUUUAUAAGAGAUAGAUUAAAUUAUUUUAAAAUGCCUUAAUUAUUUUUACUUUUAACGUUACCGGCCUUUCUUUUAUUUUAUUGCAAAUUAAUGCUAACAAGAAAAAGCUAGAUCAUAUUCCACAAAAGCAAAAGUGACAAACACAACCAGCUGGAAUCUUUUAUAAAACUACAAAUUAAAAUGGAUUUUUUUUUUGAUAAAUUACACAUGAAAGUGGAUUCUUUUGAAUAUAAGUGGAGUAGGCUCUUUUAUUUUAUUUUUGAAUAUUGUAUAACGGGACUGUAGACUCUUUUAUUAAACUACAAAUUGUAUAGUCUUUUUAAAAUUGUUAUAAAUUAAUGGCCCCCACAAUCCUCAACAAUUGUACCGAUAUUCACAAGUUGGUGGCCCCUACAAUUCUGUUCCGAUAAUUUAACUGUGCAAGUGCUCAUUCACAAUCUUCCAGGUCAUGCUCUCAAUAAUUGUUUUUUUUUCCUGCAUUCCCUUUGGGAAAUUUACGAAAAUAAUCAUUAAUAUUUUAUUAUUUUUACAAUUAACCGUCUUAAUUUUUUUCUAUCAACAUUAGCCAAAUACAAGUCUUUCUUCCCAAAUUACCCUUCUUUACAGAACAAAACCAACAUUGUUUCUCCCAUAUCGCCAAACCAAAAGCAGCUUUUUAUUCUUAAAUCAUCAGCCAACGGCGACCGCAAAAGACAACGGUAAAAGUGAUAUCCGAUCAUAAUCUAUCCGGAUCCAACACAAAUCUACAUCACUCAGUGGUAUGAAUUAUUUUUUGAACUUACUGAACUCAGUCGGGUGAAUCUGAGUCUGGCGACAGGCUGCCUGUCGCAGUAAAACUUGGUGCGACAGGCAACCUGUCGUACCAAACCUUGGUGCGACGGGCACCCUUGGAGAUUUAUUAAAAAUGUAUUAUUUUAAUAGGACUCAAAUAAUUUUUUUUUAUAAUUUCAGGCUUAAUGGAUUCAGUUGUACUUGAAUUGUGUUACGAUGGUUGGUGGGAGACAUUAGAGAAUGGCUGUAUGGAGUACGUGAAUGGUAAAAAUCGAGCUUUUUUGGUUGGAAAAAAUUACUUGUUUGAUCAGUUAUUGGCAAGAGUAUACGAGGUAUUAAAAAUAAACCCUAAUGACUAUAGUAUCACAAUGAAGACAACUUUGAGGUCUAGUAACACAUUAUAUCGUAUAUGUGCAAUGCCCAUGGAUAUAUGUGAUGAUGAAAUGGUGAGGGUUGUGUUGCAUAUGGCAUCUGACGUAGCUAAUUUUGGAUGCAUUCCUAUAUUCGUGACCACAUCACCUCGACUUCCGAGCGAAGGUAUUGAGCCACAUGUCGAUAUAGAAACUUCGUUUAGAGCAAAUAUGUCUGGCCCCGAUAAUGAUGAAGAGGUGUUGCCAAGGACAAUAUCGCUGCAGCAAUAUUACUCUCCAAUCCACGACAAUUAUGAUAACAUUGAUGAUAAUAGCGUUACGUUACAGGAUGUUGGAGCAACGGUAUUUCCAAUAACAACGUCGUUGGAGCAACGAUAUUCUCCGUAUCACAACAAUGAUUUUCGGGACAAUGAUGAUUUUCAUAAUGAGACAGAGGAGGAUAAUGUUUGUGCAGAACCUUCUAAUAAUACGAGGCGGGGCACUCGUUUCAAUAAUGAUGGUGAUGAUGGAGGAGUCGGUCAUUCGAAUGUUCCGUCGUUUCAGCAUGAGGAUGAGUGUGAAGACAAUACUCCUGUGAAUAACAGAGGCAAUAGACCUAUUCCUUCUAUGGUUCGAUCGAGAAGGAGAAUUGACCCCCUUACAAGUCUUGCUCCAACUUUACCUUCGAACAUGGUUGCUCCAAGCUUUGUUAGCAGUUGUGACUCAGAUGAUAUCAGCGUGGGUAAGCUAUUUGUUGAGAAGAAUGAGCUUAUAUUACAACUACGCAAGGUGGCCUUUAGAGAUAAGUUUGAUUUCAAGAUUGCACGGUCUACUACGACACGUUUCGAGGCUCACUGUUGUUCAGAAUCAUGUAAAUGGCAUAUUCGAGCAACUAGAAGUUCGAACGAGCAAAAUGUUCCUUGGGUGGUGAAGAGAAUUGAUAAUGUACACACUUGUCAUAAUGAGGUAUUGAUUGAUGGACGUCAUCAAGUAAGGAGCCGGGUUGUCGGUCAUAUUAUCGCAGAAAAAUAUAUUCAAGAUAAGAGGAUUUAUACUCCCAAUGACAUAAGAGCAGAUAUGCAACAGGAAUACGGUGUUCAGUUAACAUACCAGCAGGCAUAUAGGGCGAGAGAAGUUGGUCUUGAAAUAGUUCACGGCAACCCUGCAGAGUCAUACAACUUGCUCCCUAAAUACUCUCACGUACUAACUACAACGAAUGAGGGUACAGUCACUCACCUCGAGCAGGAUGGAGAUGGUAAUUUCUUGUACUAUUUUGUAGCACUCGGAUAUUCCAUCAAGGGGUUUAUGCAGUACAUUCGGCCUGUCAUUGCUGUAGAUGGUACUCAUCUAAAGAGAUUAUAUCGUGGAAGCAUGUUCGUGGCAACAUGUCUUGAUGGUAACAAUCAAUUGUAUCCGUUAGCCAUUGGGAUCAUGGAUUCAGAAAAUAAUGAUGCUUGGGAAUGGUUUAUGAUGAAGUUACACGGAGUGAUUGGUGAUAGACCUGAGUUGGUAAUUAUCUCUGAUCGAUGCACUGCCAUAAGGAGAGCCGUUCUUAAAGUAUUUCACAAUGCAACUCAUGGCGUUUGUUUUUACCACGUCAAAGGUAACAUUAAGUCACAAUUUAGAAUGUCCAAAGCUCUUUGGGAUGAAUUUGAGCAUGCCUUUAUUAAUGCAGCAAAAGCAUAUGGCCACGAGGAAUUUAAGAGACAACUUGAAGGGUUGUGGAUGAUCCACUCGGGUGCGGCUGAUUACUUAGAAAAUAAUGUCGGCACGUGUAAUUGGGCAAGGUCUCAGUUUCAAGGUAGGAGGUACAACAUUCUUACCACCAACAUCGCGGAGAGUGUUAAUGCUUUCAUGAGGGAACCUCGAAAAUUUCCUGUUACUCAUCUUGUUGAUCACUUCAGGAAAACAUUGCAGCAAUUGUUUUAUGAUAGAAAAAUUGUGGCUGAAUCAAUGACUACUCGGCUAACAACAUGGGCGGAUGAAAUAGUCACUGAGAGGAGAACUAUAGCUGAAAGAAUGAUAGUUCGGCCGGUGUCUCCGCAUCGCUUUCAAGUUAUAGGCGGUGGGCUUAAGGAAGGGUUGGUUGACUUGCAAAAGAGAACUUGCUCCUGCAGAGUGUUUCAGCUUGAUCAGCAUGUGUGUGCUCAUGCAAUUGCGGCGUGUCUAACACACCGGGUGGAUUUUAUUAACCUUUGCUCGGACUUUUACACUACAGAAUCGUUGGCGAUGGCUUAUGCACAACCAGUGGAGCCAGUUGGUGAUGUGGCUGAUUGGGAAGUUCCAGAUGAAAUUCAGGAGAUGCAGGUAUACCCACCAGUUGAGGCACCACUACCUGGCCGUCGUAAAGAGCUCAGAAUACCCUCGACUGGCGAGGACGUUGACCGGCGGACUGUAAGAUGCGGCCGGUGUCAUGAACUAGGCCAUAAUCGUAAGCGAUGUAAGAAUCCUAUUGCGUCGACUCGAAGUUAGUUGUAUUUUGUGUGUUAUUCGUUGGUUAAAACUAUUAUUGUUUUUGUGUUACAUUGGUUAAAACUGUUAUUGUUUUUUGUAUUUCGUUGGUUAAAACUGUUAUUGUUUUUUGUGUAUUGUACACUUAUAUUCAUAAAACUUUAUUUUAUUUUAAAGUUCAAAAUGUGAGGCAUUAAAAUUAUAUAAACUUAAGUGCGGAAAUUAAAAAAAAUGCAAAUUUCAACAUUGAAAUUACUACAUAGGUCUACAAUAUAAUAUCGUCAUUAAAUAUAUCAACCGCAAUCUUCUUUCUAAAGUACUCGACAUGACUAGCGUUAAACUCCAAUCUAAGCCCGAACAUUAAAUACAUCGUAACCAUCAAUACAAAAACACUGCAAUCGCUAGUUCCGGGCUCUUGUUGUGGUGCGCUCUUAACUGCGAUAACUUUCCACGGGUCUUCACUCCGCAACUCAGGUCGGAUAUUGUAGAAGCCAACAUAUUCCAACCAUCGAGGGAAUAUAACUUCAAGUGGCUUGAAUUUCAACUUGUACUUUUUGUCGUCGCGAAAUGUGAGUAAUGAGUCAUAAAUCCAGACUUUAUUUUUCCGAAAGUCAACUCGUGCUAGUACCCAAUGCGCGCCGUCCAAGUUAACAGGGAUGAGUAACUGCAUAUAAAAAUUAAAAAAACAUGUUCGUUAUAUAUGAAAUUGAAAUACAACAAAGAAAAAGCAACAACUCGAAUAUUUUCAUUAUAGAGCAUGUGAAAUGUAAUAAAAUACACACCAUAUCGACAUCCGUCAUUAAUUUUGACAUUGUGUGCUGUCGCCCACAAAGAUAACUAUUCAAGCGGUCGUCGAAUACCAUUGAAUCAACUGCACAAUUCCUGUUAUUCCAUAACUGAUUCAAGAACACCUAGUACAUAGAUAACCAAGAAAUGCAUAAAUUAAUAAAACUUAAAGGCAAUAAUUAAACAAAUUAAAUAGUAUUUAUAAGUUUUGUCGGCACGUUACCCAAAAAAAUGUGUCAGUAUGUGUGACACGUUGGAGUAAGGCAUUUGGAUACUGCCGUUGUUUCUCGCUAAUCAAGCGGAGAUACUCGUGAAUAUGCUGUAGAGAAACAAAAAUAUUACGAUUUAAAAAAAAAUUAUACACAAAUCCACAACAGUAUACACCACGAGGAAAAUAUAAAUACCUCAUCGCCUAGCCAUCCCAUCGAAGCUGUCCCCAAAAUUAUUUGAAAGAAUGACCGCAGGUGCUGGACUCUCCGGCGGACUCUGCUAUCACCAGUGAACCAUCGAUCAAACUCAGCAAACAAACUAGAGUCCUCCAAUCCUCUCAGUGGAUUUACAUCCACACUCGUACUCAUGUCAAUCGCAUGCUCCAUCAUUUGGGGUCGAGGUAACCUCCGGACGUUCUGUCCACGCCUGACCGGAGGAAUCAUGUAAGGACUGUUAUAAACAUACGACGGUAUGUACGCGCGGCCGAACUUACUAACGCCCGGAGGCACCUCUGUGAACACCUGCAUGCUCUCCCCACUAACAUCCCCGUAUAAACUAUAAAAUGACGUGGGCGUAGACAAAUUUUCAUUGCCCACGUCAGUAUACACUCCAUAGUCAUCCGGGGCCUGUACAUUCGCCAAAAAGAACAUAUUAAAUAAUUAUCAAAUUAAAAGUUAAACGAACAUAAUUAUUUAAUUUAAAUUAGCUUACCGCAUACGAGCGUGCAGUGGGAGAAUCCUUAUUUGGAUGUUUAGAAAAUGUGUCGAUGAAGCCAACAACGGUUUCUUUAAAAUCUUUUAAUUCUGACUUUAUUUCAUACACAUUACGAUCAAUCUUAUCCAGCCGUCGUCGUACGUAAUCAUUAAACUGCUUUGUCCUCGACUAUUACAAAAGAAAAAAAUAAAACUUUAGAAUAACAAUAAAAAAAUAAUAAUUUAUAAAGGAAAAAUAUCGUAUAUUAUUUAUAACCUCAGAAUCCCGUGCGUCAUCAGAGUUGUCUGUUUGCUGCUGGUGGUCAUCAACAGCCACCUCAUCCUCAAAAGUGUCAAGACGCUGCUCUGGUAUUGGGUUUAGUAUGUCGUCAUGAUCAUCAUGCUCGUCCGAUUGUCUUGUAACCGACGGCAUCGCGUUGAUUGAGGGUUGGUGCUGUAUAAAGUAUCAUUUAAAAUUACUAAAUGAAAAGUCAAAAAUUUCGAUAAAAAAAUUUUUAGUACUUACAGUAUACCGACCUUAUGAAUCCAAUCUGGAAUGCUUGGCAAGUAAUCCUUCACAGAGAGUCAAUAUUUUCUGCUACUCUCUUUUGAAUUUGGCUCAAGAGUUUGUAAAAUGUCCGUCUGCCAUAAAUUCAAUUGAAAAAUUUAAGUAAGUAUACCCAACUUAAAUUUAGUAAAGUUAAAAAAUAAGUAAUACAUAUUACUUACAAGACGAGAUUCGUCGUUGAAGAACGAAUAAACCUCCGCAAAGUUGAUUCUCGAAGACGUCAUGGGCUUCCAUUGCAGAAUGCGGGGAAUCUUACUCUUCGUUUUGACGACCCAUGUUGAUGGCAACCCUCCGAUUGCUUCGUAAAUCCAAGCCUACAACAAACCAAAGUGAAAAAUCAAAUAAAACAACUAUCAAAUAUUUAAUACUAUAAAACUUAUUAAUAAACAAAAAAAAGCACCUGCACCCCAGACGUAAAGCCGUAAAGAUUAUAUUUUUCAAUAUUAUGAUCUGAAUUUUUCAACCGAGUCUUCUUAAAUUUCUCGUCUUUCUCGAACAGUGCAUUGUCAAGACUCUCGUAAAUCAUUUCCCACGACAAUAGACCCCAUGGCGCUUUCGGAAGUACUGUAUAUCAUCAACUUGGUCAAGCCAAUCGAAAUUAAUUUGACAGUGAUUUUUUCUUGCAUUUAGUACUCUGUCCGCAAAAUAAAACAGCGCAAUCUUUAAUGCGUCCAUAUCGUCCAUUUCCUCGAAAUUCAACUCCUUAAAUACUGCAUCAAAUUGCUUCACAUUAAUCUUACGAUGCACACCACCAAAAUACGUAUUCCGUAGCCUCUGCUCCAUUUCAUCAUUUUUUUCAUUGGUAUCAACACCAAAUGAAAGUCCAGUAACCAAGCACCAUUCGAUAAUUGACAAGCGAAUCAAAUGCUUACCAAUUUGAAACCAUAACUGAUCCUCACAGCUAUCUUCUUCAUGGGCCACUUGCCGCAGUAAACGAUUGUGCAAAAUUACCCCACUAAAUGGAAAACUUCGGCACUCCAAGAAAUGCCCAAAUAUAUCCUUUUUGAACAUACUCAACUGCCGCUUUGUUAAUUUUUCCUCGAUGGCUUUUACGACCGAAGAUAACAUACACAUGCUCGAAAUUCGACCAGGAAAGUGAUCAGCAUAACGAAAAUACAUCUUGCCUACUUCAAUAUCCGGUGAUUCUGAUUUCGCCAUGUAUCUGUAAUAUUUAUAAAAUUAUUACAUUACAUUUACAAAAUUAUUACCAAACUCUAAUUUUUUGGUGCGACAGGCGCCUGUCGCUCCAAAAAACUGCCUGUCGCACCACAGCUGGUGCUCCAAAAUCGAAAACAAUACUCCCAAACACUACCAACUACCACAAACAUCAUCACCACCACUAUUAAUCUCAAGCUAUAACUAUUAUUAUUCUAAAAUCUCAUUUUAAAUUAAUGAAAAUAAGAAAAAUGACUAACCUAGGUUUUGUUGAAGGUUGUAGAUCGUAGAUCGGAUGCCGGUGAGAGAUGGAGCCGCCGCCGACGAGGGUUGAUGUCGCCGCCGAUGAUGGGAGUUGGAUCGGUUUGGGAGAGAUGAGUGAAAAAGGGAGUGUUGGGGAAGAGAUGAGGGAUGGGUAUUUUGGUCUCAAAUGUUGUUUUAUGGCUAAUGUUGAUAGAAAUAUUUUUGGGGGGUUAAGAUGAAAAAAAACAAAUUUGUUUUGGUUAUUACUGUAAAUUUCCCAUUCCCUUUCAUGCUCUUAAUAAUUGAAGAGCAUACUUUUCAUUUUCAAAUGUGGAGCCGCAUCUAAUGUCGCUAAUUUAAUUUGGGAUUAAAUUAGGGGACCAUUAUAUUGCAGUGUGUACUAAUUUUUGUGUUUAUCUAAACUCCUUAAGUUUAAGACAUAUUAUGGCAUAAAUAAGAAUAUAACAAUAACAAAAGAGAUGCCGGAGCAGAUCAGCAGGGUUUGAAUAUGACCUUUGGCGGUUGCUUUUUUUUUGUGAUUUUUUUCAUUUUUUCCUUCCUGUCAUUUUAUCAUUUAUUUGGCUCUGUUUCUAUUGCGGGUGUUACUGCAUGCUUACUGUUGCUUGACAAAGUUUGCUAGCUUUUUGUUUGCAGUGCUGCUAUUCACCCCGAGUCAAGCUCCGAAAAUUUAUUAAACAACGCCGUUUCGAUAGUAACAAUUUUUUUCUUUUCCCUUUGUCUGUCUCUUUCAUCUGCUGUUUCUCUAUCACUUUUCAUUUUUUAUUUCCUUACUUCCCAGCUGCCCCUAAAUUGUUAUUCUAGCAAUAUACUUUCUCAUCUUUGAAUUUUCAUCCUUGAGUACUCCCACAGCCGUAAUUUCAUCAUUAUAGACUUCACUUGGAAUGCUGUAUUUUUUCGAUUCUUAAGCUACUUCAAUUACAUCUCCCAGUAUAGGAUCCUCAUCUUCCUUUAUUUCUUCAUCUUAUGAGGUAACAAAUGGAUUUCACAACUCAUCUACUUUUAAGCAAUUACAUAUUAUACCUUGAAUGAUUCAACUGUUCCGACAGUUAAAGAUUUUAUGCUCAACCUGCAGUGCUACGAACAUUGUCCAUGAAAGAUGAGUUUCAGCAUAUAAAAUGAAAUAUAGAUGUUUAAUCUAAAAUAACCCUUCACUGCCAAGAAACCUAGGUCACAAAAUUCACAGAUAAUGAUAAAGAGCUAAAAAAUUUGAAAAACUCUACAGAUCACACAUCAAGCAAGAUAUCAUGUUUUUUUCCCUCAUUCGGUGGUGAUUGAUUCGCUUUUUGAUGAUGGAUAUGGUAUAAAAGUUUUGACCCAAUUUCAAGCAAACACAAAUAGAAACACAAAUAGAAACACAAACACAAUCAGGACUAGAGUUGUGGGCGAUUAUCUUAGGUGUACAAGUGAAACGGUGGUGGCUGUCGAUGGUGGUAGUGGGGUGGUUGGGUAUGCGUGAUGGCUAGAUUUUAGGACAAUAAUGGUUGGAGUUGACCUCGAUCAACGAAGGAAAGUGACAACAAUUUUGACAUCAAACGGUGCAUUUUUUAGCUUAGUAAAAUGGAGCCGUUUCGAAUUUGGGGUUUAAUCCGGGGUUUGACUCGGCGCAAGUAUCAUUUUCCUUUUGUUUAUUAAAUUUUUUAUGGUCACAAAGUAUUACUCGUUCUAUUUGAGAGUGAUGUGAAUCAAUUUUUCAAUUUUAUAUUUUGUGGUCAAUGUGAAUUUAAUUUCAUUUGUCUCCUGCAAUUAUGAAAAAAUUGCAGUCAUAAUAUGGAAAAGUACACCGGCAAAAACUUUGUAAAAGCUUCGGAGUGAUACGGGGAAUUUACUUACUACUGAGGACAAUUGGUGGCAAAGCUAUUCCAUUCAUUUUAUGUCCAUCCAUCUAUUUAGCUAUUGAAGAUUAGUGGUCCAUUUGUAAAUUUCAGAUUGUCUCUCUCUCUCUCUCCCACUUGAAAUAACAAUAUUUAAUAUAUCUCUUAAAUUAUUAUAAAUUUUAAUUUACUCUCGAUUUAAAAUGGAGCAUGUCGAUAAAAAAUUUUUCUUCUUAAUAAAAUUGACGUAAGUUGUGUGUUACAGUAGUUUGAAGUUUGAAAUAUUUUAAAGAUUAUUAUUCUAUAAGGGAGUAAUAUGAAAUGAUAUUUACUUUUCAUGUGUGAAAUGAAAAAGGACGAAGCAAGUGUCCCUGCUUUUAUUUUAUUUCAAGGAGGAGUCAUCUCACAUACUUUAGCUCUUAACAUUACAUUUUUUCUGGUUACAUUUUUUAUUUAUUUAUUUUUUUUUUUUUACACAUGCGUGUGGGUUGCUUUUCUGUAAGCUCCUUAAUAUAUAUUUAAGACAAAUCAUGGAAGAGAUGGGAUUAUAUCAAGAUGAUCAAAGCAUGUAAAAAAAGAAAAAAGAAAAAAAAAAAUUAAGAAGUAAGACACUGAAAAUGGAGAAGAGAUGGAAGCAAAAGAUAUUCCAAAACAAAGCAAUCUAUCCCCUUUCGAGGGCAGACUUAUCAGGUUUAAAAAAGUACAUGCUUUGGAUUGGUAGUUGCAAUCAAGGGAAAAUAAAUAGGAUCCAAUGAAAUUUAAAUCUCGGAGAAAAUAAAUAAUCAUGCAGAUUUUCAAGAUUUUAAUAAGGGAUACUAAUAUCUUAUUUUGAUUAAUAACAUUCUUUUAUUGUGUUAACUCAAAAAAAAUAUUAUAAUGCUUUACAAUAAAUACAAAUGUCCUAUUAAAUGAAUAUAUAAAAAAUUUAGAAAAUUUAGAAUAUUAUAUAAAAUAAUUUUAAUAUAAUGCGUGAGAUAUAUUUUAUUAAUUUAAAAUGUCAUUUUACCUAAAAAAUAUGAUAAAUUAAUAAUUACAUAUUUGAAGUUAUUUCAAAUAUUACUUAAUUGUUUUUACUUUAAACAUUACCGGCCUUUCUUUUAUUUUAUUGCAAAUUAAUGCUAACAAGAAAAAGCUAGAUCAUAUUCCACAAAAGCAAAAGUGACAAACACAACCAGCUGGAAUCUUUUAUAAAACUACAAAUUAAAAUGGAGUUUUUUUAAAAAAAUUGUUAUAAAUUGGUGGCCCCUACAAUCCUCAAUAAUUGCACCGAUAUUCACAAGUUGGUGGCCCCUACAAUUCUGUUCCGAUAAUAAUUGUUUUUAUUUUUCUGCAUUCCCUUUCAUGCUCUUAAUAAUUGAAGAGCAUACUUUUCAAAUGUGGAGCCACAGCUAAUGUCGCUAAUUUAAUUUGGGAUUAAAUUAGGGGACCAUUAUAUUACAGUGUGCACUAAUUUUUGUGUUUAUCUAAACUCCUUAAAUUUAAGAUAUAUUAUGGCAUAAAUAAGAAUAUAACAAUAACAAAAGAGUAAAAAAGUGUAGAGAAGAUCUUGCAGAAAUAUAAAUAAUAUCUAUUUUAAAAUAAUUUUUAAUAUUUUAUGAUCCAUUAGAUAUAUUUAUUAUAUUAAAGUAAAUUUUAUAAUAAAUAAAAACAUACUAUUAAAAUGAAUAUAUAGAAAAUUUAGAGUAUUUUAAAUAUUAUAUAAAAAAUUUUUAAUAAAAUAUGUGAGAUAUUCAUAUUUUAUUAAUUUAAAAUACCAUUUAACCUAAAGAUUUAUUUAUGAUAAAUUAAUAAUUAUAUUUUUGAAAUUACUUCAAAUAUUAAAAAAUUAAUAUUACUAAUCUGUUAGAUAGAUUAAAUUAUAUAUAUUAUUUUCUAUUUAUUAAAAAAUUAAAAUUAUUUUUAAUUACUAUUCAAAAAAUAUAAUGAAAAAACAUAAUGAUAAAAAAAUCUUAACAUCUUUAUUAAAAAAUUAAAAACUUAUAUGAUAAAUUCUCUAAAUAUUUACGGUAUAUGUGAACCACGGUGGAUAAGCUUUAUUUAAUAUUAUUGAUUUAAAUAAUAUGUCAAUUAAAAAUGUACAGAGAAGAAAUUUCGGUGGGUAUUUUAGUCUUUUAAGCAAUUAUCAUGAUCAGAUCAGCCUUUAGCCUUCAAACGUCGGUCAGAAAAGUUUUAAAAUUAAUGCUAAAUUGUUUUUCACUUUUAACGUUGGUGGCCUUGAAAUUGCUUGUAUUUUAUUAAAAAUUAAUGCUAACAAGAAAAAGCUAGGUCAUAUUCCACAAAAUCAAAAGUGACAAAACAACCAGCUGGUUUCUUUUACUAAACUACAAAUUAAAAUAAAUUUUUUCGAUAAAUUACAAAUUAAAGUGGAUUCUUUUGAAUACAAAUGGGACAGACGAUUAGGCUCUUUUUAUUAGAGGCAAGUAAAAACUAGUCAAGAAUCGAACAGUCUUUUUCCAAUUCUUGUUUUAUUAUUUUUCAAAACUAGUUUUUGGUAAUUACAACCGGGUCAUUAAUCAUUAUUCAGAGUUACUGUUAUCUUCGGGGGCAGUGGGUAAAAGAUAAUUACUAACUGUUUUUCCUUCAAAAGUUAGCGGCUCAUGUUUGCAAGUGUGAAUGUGCGAUGCUCUUUUCUUAAAGGCCAUUACAGUGGGGCCCGAAUCAGACGUGCCUAAAUCUUUUUAAAAUUUUUGCCGUAUAACGAACAGAGGUCAUUACUAAAAUUUCUCUUCCACAGCCUACAGCAGCUUCAGUUUAUCAAACUCCAUCAAUUUUCUUUCUUAACAAAAUUCCAAAGAUGUGUAGCAUUUUUCAGAUCACAUGCGAUGGUGCUCUUUUCAAUCGUUGCUUGGAUUGCUUUCUUGGAAAAGCAGCAUACAUACGUAACCUCCAAGAUAAUCUUGUAGCCUUGGAGACUGAACUGGGAAGACUAAUCGCAGCAAAGAACGAUGUGAUGAUGAGGGUUGUCAAUGCUGAACGGCAACAAAUGAGAAGGCUGGACGGAGUGCAAGUGUGGGUUUCGAGGGUGGAUUCUGUUAAAACUGGAGCCGACGAACUUAUCACAGACGGCUCUGAAGAAAUUGGCAAAUUAUGUGUUGGAGGCUACUGUUCCAAGAACUGCAGGUCAAGCUACAAAUCGAAAACAAGUGGCUAGAAAGCUACGACAUGUGAAGACUUUAAUCGCCGAGGGAGUUUUUGAGGCGGUGGCCACUGAGGUGGUGCCCGAGAGAGCUCCGGAACCUGUAGCAGAUAAAAGACCCACUGAGCCAACAAUAGUAGGCUUGCAAUCACAGCUUGAACAAGUUUGGAGAUGUCUUGUAGAAGAAUCAGUGGGAAUCAUUGGCCUAUAUGGUAUGGGCGGUGUUGGUAAAACCACACUAUUGACCCAUAUCAACAAUAAAUUUCUUGAGAGUCCCACAAACUUUGAUUGUGUGAUUUGGGUCGUAGUUUCAAAAGAC